GAGGAAAAAAAGAAAAUUAAAGAAAUUAUAUUGUUUGAGAUUAAAUUAUACUAUUUAAAAUUAUUUGAGACUAAAUUGUAUAUUUUAAAUUUAAAUUUGAUGUUUAAUCUAAUGUAUUUAUAUUUAACUUCUGUAGUUGAAAAUGUUAGAACUUUAUAAGAAACUAAAAUCGUAUCUUCUACCAUGAUUUCGAUUUCAAUACCCGGAUUACAGAUGGCAAUCCUUACUCGUGGUUCGUUCUCGUUCGUGAUCUGCAAAAAGACGGACGUUUCGAGUCUAAUUCCCUUAUCUCCGGAGAUGGAGCCGUUACAAGAAUUAGGAUUAGGAUUAGAUCGGGACUUCCAUAUGUUAUAUUUAUAUACAACUUAAUGUAAGGAUAUUAAAUCACGUCCGUUCAUCAAGAACGUGUUCAGAUACAUCCUAACCGUUAGAUCUACCAUAUCUUUAUAGAUCAACUUAAAUAAACCGACUGUAUCUUUAUAGAUCGUAUUGAAUAAAUCACAUGGGUCACAUCCAACAUUCUCCCACCUGGCCUAAUAAUAUAAUAUUCAUACAGUAUAGACGAUACAAAACUUUAUUAGAUACCAACUAAAUUAUACAGUCGAAAUCUCCGACCCACUUGACCAAGCAAUUAAUCAUAAUACUUUGAUCAUAGCGGUUAUGUCCCAAAUGAUGAACACUCCAUUCCAUGUAUCAAAAGCACGUAUUCUUUAAUCAAAUAACUUUAUGAGUUACAACCGUAUGAACUUAUUAUAAGUUCAACUCAGAGUCCCACUUUAGUGCACAAUAAUAUUUUAAUGUACAAAAGAUAAUUUUAUGCGCAUAUGUGUAAAAACCAAAAUGUGUUCUUAUUCAAAUAAAAAGUCUUUAAAGUUUUAUACAAGAAAAAAAUACUUAGGUAUCGUUUGGUUCGAGGAUAAGCAAAAAGUGGGUAUUUCGGGGAUAGGUAUAAAUUAAAAUAUAAGCGAGAAUUAGGUCAAUUUUGCGUUUGGAUGAAAAUUGGAUUAUUACUGGAAAUAAGAAAAAUAACGUUUGGUUAGGUAAAAUGGAAUAAGAAUUAAAGUGAAUAGUUAUAAAUAAAAAAUAAUAAUAUUAUUCUUUUCUUUAUAUUAGAAUUAGAAUUUUUAUAUUUUAUAUUUGUAUUUUAAAAUUUAAAAUAUAAACUUUUAAAUUUUAAAAAUCAAAAUUAAAAUUUAAAAUUUUGAAAUCUCAAAUUUAUAAUUUUAAAAAAUUAAAAUUUUAAAUUUUAAACUUUAAAUUAAAGAUGAAAUUUUUAUUUAAAAAUACAAAAUAUCAAAUUCUAAAUAAAAAAAUUUAAAAUAUCAAAUUUUAAAAUUUAAAAUUAAACAUUUUAAAUUUUAAAUUUUAAAUUUUGUAAUUUUAAAAAUUAUAAAUUUUUAUUUUUAAACUUACGAAAUUUAAAAUUUAUAAUAAAUUAAAAAUUCUCUCUCUCUCUCUCUCUCUCUCUCUCUCUCUAUCUCUCUUUAUAGGUGGAACAAACUGGGUUAUCCCAGCUUGUUCCACCUUCCCACCCCUUAAACGGGCUAUUCUAGAAUAGUUCGUUAAGGAGAAAAUUAGUGUUCCCACCAUUUUUUAUUUAUGUUUAGAGGAUAAGGGUGGAAUAAACCCUUUAUUCUACUUUUAUCCCCCAACCAAACAUAGCCUUAAAUUAUAAAUGGACUCAAGAUUCCCAUAUGAUAAACAUGAUCCUUGAACUUAUUUACCGGCAAUUCUUUAGUCAUAUGAUCAGCAAUCAUCAUCUCGGUCCCAAUGUGUUGGAUAUCCACCUUCUUCUUGUCAUAUUCUUUCACAGCAAGAUACUUUAUAUCGAUAUAUUUGCUGCGAUCUGUAAUUCGACUAUUCUUGCCAAAGAAUACUGCAGCAGAGUUGUCGCAAUAAAUCUUAAUUGGCCUUAGGAUAGAGUCGACAACUCUUAAAUCUGAGAUAAAAUUUCUCAGCCAUAAAGCAUGUGACGAAGCCUCAUAGCAAGCAAUGAACUCUACCUCCAUAGUGGAUGUAGCAAUUGUAUCUUGCUUAGUGCUCCUCCAAGAUAUAGCACAUUGAGCAAGUAAGAAAAUAUACCCUGUGGACUUUUUAGAAUCCACACAUCCAGCAAAAUUAGAGUCCGAAUAUCCAACCAGCUCAAGAUGGUUAGAAUGUCUGUAAGUGAGCAUAUAAUCCUUUGUUCCUUAUAAAUAUCUUAUAACAUUUUUUGCAGCUUUCCAAUGAUCAAGGCCAGGAUUGCUUUGGUAUCUACCCAAUAUCCCCACUGCAUGAGCUAUAUCAGGUCUGAUACAGACCUGGGCAUACAUCAAGCUCCUUACUGCAGAGUCAUAGGGUAUGCUUUCAUAUAUUUUCAUUCUAAAUCAUUCUGAGAACACUGUUUCUGAUUGAACCUGUCACAUUUUAUAAUAGGCGCAACUGUAGAUGCAAAGUUUGAUGUAUUAAAUCUUUCUAUAACUCUUUCGAUGUAGGCUUUCUGAGACAAACUCAAAAUUUUUUGAGAUCUAUUUCUAUGAAUCUUUAUGCCAAUGACAUAAGAAACUUCACCCAUAUCCUUCAUCUCAAGAUUCUUAGAAAGAAAAUCUUUAGUUUCUUUAAGAAAACUUAAAUCACUAUUUGUAAGCAGAAUGCCAUCCACAUACAGGACUAAAAAAAUAUAUUCACUCCCACUAACCUUAAGGUAUAUGCACCGGUCCACUAUAUUUUCUACAAAACCGAAUGUAGUAAUUAUAUUAUGGAAUUUGAUAUACCACUGACAGGAAGCCUGUUUAAGUCCGUAUAUAGACUUUUUUAGUCUGCAAACAAGGUGGUUAUUUUCAUCUGUACUAAAACCUUCGGGCUGUUGCAUAUAAACUAUCUCCUCUAUAUCCCCAUUUAGAAAUGUCAUUUUCACAUCCAUCUGAUAUAACUCCAAAUCAAAAUGAGCUACCAAAGCAAUGAUAAUUCUCAAUGAAUCCUUCUUGGAUACCGGAGAGAAGGUUUCAUGAUAAUUAAUACCUUCUUUCUGAGUGAAACCUUUAGCAACAAAUCUGGCCUUAUAUCAUUUUAUUUUACCUAAAGAGUCCCUUUUGGUCUUGAAGACCCAUUUACAGCCAAUGACUUAGACUCCUUGUGGUAACUCAGCGAGAUCCCAAACUUUGUUAUCAGCCAUAGAUUUCAUCUCUUCCUUCAUGGCAUCAUAUCAUAAGGAAGAUUUAUCUCCCUACAUGGCCUCUAAAAACGUCCAUGAAUUUUUAUGCUGUCCGACAUCAAUGUCAGACUCCUGAAGAUAGACUACAUAAUCAUCAGGAAUUGCCGGUCUCUUUUGUCUUGAGGAUCUUCUUAAGCCAACCUCUUCCUGCAGAUUUUUAUUAUUCUGUGCAACUAGCUCUAUAAUUGUCUGUUCCUCAUGGGACAGCUCUUUAUGGGGAGGUUCAACUUGGUCAGCAUUUUCAUGCCCCAAGAUUAGUUAGUUUUUAUUAUGGUCAAAUUGACCUCCUGAAAGAGCAACUAAAUUAUUAUCUGUUGAUGGAUAACCAAUUGAAUCCCUUAUUUCCUCAAAAUUCAUCUUUUGAGAAAUAACACUCACACUAGCUUUAGAAUUCUCAAGAAAUUUGACAUUUUUGGCCUCAACUAUCUUGGAUGAGUGAUUUGGACACUAGAAUCUGAAUCCUUUGGAGUUUACGGCAUAGCCAAUGAAAUAUUUACUGACUGUUCGGAAAUUCAACUUUUUUAUAUGCAGAUUAUAAACCCUCACCUCAGCUGGACAUCCCUAUACAUGCAGAAGAUUUAAACUAUGUUUCCACCCUUUCCAUAACUCAAAAGGAGUUUUGGAAACAACCUUCGAUGGAAUUCUAUUUAAAACAUUGUCUUCAGUGCUUCACGCCAAAGAGAAGAUGGAACACAGUAGCUGCUAAUCAUCCUCCUUAUCAUAUCCAUGAGUGUUCUAUUCCUCCUUUCGGCAACGUCAUUUUGUUGGGGCGUGCCAGACAUAGUAUAAUGUGCAAUGAUGCCUUCACUUUCGAGGAAUUGAGCAAAUGGACUGACCAUUUGACCUUUAUUCAUAUGUCUUCCAUAGUACUCACCCCUUUUGUCGGACGGACCUCACAAUUUUGAUUUUCCUAUCCAAUUGUUUCUCUACCUCAACCUUAUAAGUUUUAAAAGUAUCAAGAGCCUCAGAUUUUUCAAAUAAGAGACAGAGAUAUAUAUAUCUUGAAUGGUCAUCAAUAAAUGAAAUAAAAUAUUUCUGACCAUUAAAACAAUGAGUAGAAAAAGGUCCACAGAUAUCUGUAUAUAUGAUCUCAAUUAUUUCAGAACUCCUUUUGGCACUUUUAGUGGUAUUUGUGUUGGUAUACUUUUCCUUUAGGCAUUUCACACAAGUACCAAAAUCGAUAAAGUCAAAAUUUUAUAAGAUCUUUUUUUUACCAAUCUCUUUAUUCUCUCUUAAGAAGAUAUGAACUAAACGCUUGUGCCAUAAAUAAGAGGAGUUUUCUUUAAAAAUAUUCUUUUUAACACCAAUACUAUGAUCAACAUUAUAAUUAUUCUCAAAGGAUUGACUUAAAUUAAAUUUGUACAAAUCAUCUACCAAACAACCAUUGCCAACAAUAAUAUUAUCAGAGAAAAUAGCAAAAGAUUCGUUAUCAAAUAAAAACUUGAAACCUUUAUUUCUCAAUUUAGAAACGGAAACUAAAUUUUUAAAAAAUUUAGGAAUAUAAAAAGUAUCAUCAAGUUCAACUACAAAACCAGUACUAAAUUCUAAAAUGAAGUUUCCUACCGCUUGAAUUUGAGAUUUAUUUUCUUCUCCGCUAAUUAAAAUUCUUUCAUUUGGCUUCAACAUGUUUAGGUUGCGAAAACCCUUUCUUCUCGAGUCAAGCUUUAGACUUCAAGCAGUUCUUUUCUAUUUGCCCUUUCUUUUUACAGAAGUAGCAUUGAUCUUUCUUGCCAGAAUUUUUUAUUGGCAACUGAGCUAACUUUUUGUAAUUAGAGGCACCCUUACUUUUUUUCCUUUUGUGCUAAGUUGCCAGAUUAACAGAUUCUUUAUAAUUUUCGGCUUCUCCUGCUUAAGUCUCUCUCCUCUUUUUGAACACAUAUAGUCAAUAAUUCAUUUAUUGACCAUUCAUUCUAAUGUGUGUUAUAGGAGAUCUUAAAAGGGUCAAACUCGGAAGGUAAUGAGUUUAAAAUUAGAUGGACUAAGAAGGUGUCGGAGAUCUCAAAUUUUAAAGUCUUUAGUUGAGCUGCUAGAUUCCGCAUCUCCAUUAUAUGCUCGCGCACACCCUUGACUCGAUUGUGCUUGAUGCCCGAAAGUCGCUUCAUCAGCGUGCUCGCCAAAGCUUUAUCGAAGCUGAAAAACUGCUCCUCAAUGGCCUUUAGGUAAUACUUGGUUUUAUCACAUUCUGAGAUUGAUCCCCUAAUGUUUUUUGAUACUCUAGACUUUAUGAGCAUCAAACUUAAGCGGUUGGAUCGCUCUCAUUUUUCCUACACGGAUUCCUGCUGUGCAGUCAUUGGCCCCACUAUUUUAGGCGAUUGGUCAAUGCGCAAAGCCAAAUCUAAAUUCAUAUAAGCCAAAGUAAAAGAAAUAAUUUUUUUACAAUCAGAAUAAUUGUCUCCAGUAAACAUAAUACGAGAAUAUCAUUAAGAAAUGUAGUAGGGAGAAAACUGCAAGAACAAAAAAAUAUAUAACUUUUAUUGCCUACUAUAAGAUAAUAAACUUUAAAUUAGAUAAAUUUUACCUUUCUGUGGGCAGAGGCGCUACACGUAUAUAAUUUAUCUACUUUAAUAAUAAAACUAGCAGAAAAUUAAUUUCUAAACAACGAGAUUUCUAUACUUAUGGGCAUAAGAAAACUCGCUAUCUAGAUAUUCAAUGGACUAUCCUAUUCCAGUCAAAAUUCAGAAAAUUAUUAUUUUAUUUGACUGCAAUAAAUAGUCAAACUUUAAUUCAAUAUCGGUAAAUCCUUAUAUAUUCUUCAUUAUCUAUGGGAUACUGCGGCUACUCCUGAGCAUAAUGAAAAAUACAAAUAAUCUUAUUUGACAUUGAAUGACUAUUAAAAAUAAAAUAAAAAUCUAUAUGAAUUUUCGGGUUAAUUUUAAUUCAAUAUCAUCUUUUAAAAAAUAUCAUAAGUGAUCAUAUAUCAUAACUAGGAUGCUGUGGCUACUCCUAAACAUAGUUGAUCUCACAAAUCUUUAUAUGAUAUUGAAUGAUCGAAAAUUUCAUGUUACUCUAAAACACAGCGAAAAAGAAAUAAAUAUCUCUAAUAAUUUUCUUAACAACUUUAUGUGACUCAAAAUCUAUAAAUUGUAUGAAGUCUAUAUAUCCUAUUCGAAAUAUUCAUGAUUAUUGUACGUGUGUUUAGAAUAAUAAUGCAAAAAAUAUGUUGUAAAAAUUAAACUAAACACACCAUUUAAUAAUCAUGAAUAAAUAAAUUAAUUAGUACAAAAACUAAAUGUCAUAUAUAGAUUUGAUAUAGACUUCUAGAACAAUGAGUCACGUAACAAAGAAAAAUUAUUAACCAAAACUAUAUACAUGUAUAUCCUUUUUAUUUUCAUUUUAUUAAAACAAAUAAAUAAAUAAAUAAACUCUAUUUUUUUGUGUUGACCUUUGUGUUGACCGUGCCAAAUGGGUGCUCCUAGCACUAGCAGCCCUUUUUGUUGACCGCAUCCAAGCAGGUGCUCUUGGCAGCCGCCCACGGGGUUGCCUUCGUAUGGAGGAAUUCUACACUGUGACACUUGCACUACGGCAUUAAUAACAAGCCAAUUACAUUUUUUUUUUUCAAAUAAAAGUACAAUAAAAAUAUUUUUUUAUAAUCAUGAUGGGAUAUGAACCCCUAAACGGAGACAUUUGAUUAGUUUGUUACGCCAGGCCACCAAUAUAUUCGUUGCAUUCUAGAAUUUUUCCUUCGUAUAGCCCCUAAUGGGGCCGUACACGUGGGCCCCGCCAAUCGCGGCGGAGCGAUGCCCGCACGUCGCUCCAGUAGAAACCAGUCAACACCCGAUUUUUUUUUUUUUUUUUUUNUUUCUUUUUUUUUUUUUUUUUUUUUUUUUUUUUUUUGUGAAAUCGCUUAAUGCCGUCGGCCCGGUUACAUCGUUCCUCCGAAUGUCAGUCUCGAUUGAGGCCGGCCGAUAUCACCAUUAAUACAAAUCGAUCAACAAAAUUUAUUUAUUUAUUUAUUCUUUAAUAAAAAAAAAUCAAAAGAAAUUCGAAAAGAAACGAAAAUUCGGUAUAAGAUACGGCUCUGAUACCACAUGUUAGGACUUUAUAAGAAACUAAGAUCGUACCUUUUAUUAUAAUUUCGAUUUCAAUACCCGGAUUGUAGACGGUAAUUCUUACUCGUGGUUCGGUCUCGUUCGUAAUAUGCAAAAAGAUAGGACGUUUCGAGUUUAAUUUCAUUAUUUCUGGAGAUAGAGCCGUUCACAGGAAUUAAGAUUAUGGUUAGACCGGGACUUCCGUAUGUUAUAUUUUUAUAUAACUUAAUAUAAGGAUAUUAAAUCACGUUCGUCCAUCAAAGACGUGUCCAGAUACAUCAUAACUGUUAGAUCGAUUUAUCUUUAUAUAUCAACUUAAAUAAACCGAUUGUUUCUUUAUAUAUCGUCUUAAAUAAAUCACGUGGGCCACGUCCAAUAAAGAAUACAUGUGGAGGCUCAACAACAGCAAUAGAAUUAUGCACAAAUUGACCACAGUUUCAUCCACGACUAUUGAAGCAAAUAAUUUUUAAGAAAAAAUAAUAAUAUUUAAAAAGUAGACUUUUUUUUUUAUACAAGGGAUGAUCACACCACCUCAUACAUAGAGUGAUAAAGUUUUAUAAAAACAAUUUUUAACCGGUACAUAUAGCCAAAAAAAUAUAAUUAUAACUAUUCUAUUUCAAAUUACAUGCAUAUUUAGUAAUACUGUAUUUAUAAUUACAUUAAAUCAAAUGCCCUUUUAUAUAAAAAUUAAUAAAAUACGUAUGUAAGCUGUUAAUCUAACCCAUCAGUCUCAAAUGUGGCAAUACGCCGAAACUGAGCAUACUUCACGGCACGCACCAGUCCCUCUCCUCCACCCAAACAACCGAUCGAGCAAUUUGAGCACUACGUACGUAAACCCAUAUAUGCCUCUCCCAUCUCUCUAUAUAAACCCAUGCAUAUAUGUAUGAUCCAAUAUCCCUUGCUUAAUUAAUUAAGUGUGCAUAUAUAUAUAGAUAUAUCAACUUCUUAGUUUAUUAAUUACUAUAUAUGGCUUUCCCCACGAUAUUAACCCAAGGCCUUUGCAUGGCUCUGCUUGUUCUAACUCUACGGGCUUCGUUCGCUUCGGCUUCUCGAGAGCUCGGCGAGAUGUCGAUGUUAGAGAGGCACGAGAGGUGGAUGGCUCAGCACGGCAAAGCGUACGAAGACGCUGCGGAGAAAGAGCGGCGGUUUGAGAUAUUCAAAUCGAACUUCGAGCUGAUUCAGACGUUCAACAAUGGAAACCACAAGUUCAGGCUCGGCUUGAACCGGUUUGCCGAUCUCACCAACGACGAGUUCAGGGCCACACACAACGGCUUCAGGCCGAAGUCGGGCGCGGCGGCGAGCACGGCGAAGCGGUUCAGGUACGAAAAUGUUACUGCAGUGCCCGCGAGCAUGGACUGGAGGGCUGAAGGCGCGGUUACUCCUGUGAAGGAUCAAGGACAGUGCGGUGAGAACAUAAUAGUUGUUAUAUUCGAGAUUUUAAGUUUGAAAUUUAGUUACUUUAUAUUUCUAACACGCAACAAAACUAGGAUGUUGCUGGGCGUUCUCCGCGGUAGCUGCAACAGAAGGGAUCGCUAAGCUUGCCACCGGCAAGCUAGUCUCCUUAUCGGAGCAAGAGCUCGUGGAUUGCGACGUCCACGGGCAAGACGAGGGCUGCGAUGGGGGGCUAAUGGACUCGGCUUUCGACUUCAUCGUCAAGAACCGGGGUCUAACCACGGAAGCCAACUACCCCUACAAGGGGGCAGACGGCAAGUGCAACACCCGCAAGGCAGAUGCGGCCGCCUCCAUCUCAGGCCACGAGGACGUGCCUGCGAACCAUGAGUCUGCCCUUCUCAAGGCAGUGGCCCACCAGCCGGUGUCGGUGGCCAUAGACGCCGGCGGGUUCGCCUUCCAGAUGUACGAGGGAGGCGUCUUUACUGGCGACUGCGGAACUGAUCUAGACCACGGGGUUACUGCGGUGGGAUAUGGCGUGGCGAGCGACGGGACCAAAUACUGGCUCAUUAAGAACUCGUGGGGCUCGUCGUGGGGCGAGAACGGAUACAUAAGGAUGGAAAGAGAUGUGAAUUCUAAAGAAGGACUCUGCGGCAUCGCCAUGGAAGCUUCCUAUCCUACUGCUUGAUGGGCAAAAUGGAAUACGCUUACUUAUAUAUGCAGAGUGCAUGUACGUAUACAAAUAAUAUAUACCGCACAAUGUAUAUAUAUAAAUAUGUGUUUGUGAUGGCUUUGCGGGUGGAGUAGUACUAUUAAGUGAAGUCAUUUAAGUAACUUUAAAAAUGCAUGUAUGAGAUGUUGCUGUGAUCGAAGCACUUCAUAAUGUAUGAAAUAUCAAGUUCAAUAAAAUUACUCGAAUGUAUUGUCUUUCCUAAAGCUCAGUUUCUUUCCUUCUUUAAAUAAUGACAAUUCAUAGCCUGAGCAGGUUCCAAUCCUACUAUCUGCUAUGUUGGGUUUGAUGCUAUCAAAUUCUUCCAUUAACCUAUUUGCUUUAUUUUGAAUUUGAUUAAAUAACUCAUGAAGUAGGCUAGAUUCUACUUGAUUUUUUAUUUUAGUUGAUCCAUUAACAAAUUAGGAUAUAGUAUGACGUGUUCUCGUUGUGUAAGAAAGAGUUCCAAAAUCGCUUUCUAAGAUUCUAUUUCCUGGUAUAGAGAAAUAAAAAUGGAGAGAAAGUUGAAGGAGAAACUCUUUUAUUAUUCUUGCUUGAUUUAAAACCUUCAAAGUUGAUUGAAGACAAUCCAAGAUGUACUAAUUAAUAUGGUGUUGGUCUAGUUCCAUGACAUGGUGACUAAUAAUAUUAUUUUUUGUACGAUAAAAAAUCUAAAAUUCUAAAAUAUUCUCAAUUUUAACAUUAUCGCAAUUUAAAAGAGUGUUUGAAGAAUAUUUUUUGUUUUUUUAUCAACGUGUAUCUAUCUCACUUUAAUCCAUAGUGCAUCUGUUUGUUUCUUCCAAUUUCACGCUUGAAAGUGUUGAAUGACAACAUAAGAAAAGUACCACCGCAAAUUCAUCAAACAACCUGUUUGAUUAGCAAAUCCACAAUUUGUUGACUGCCUAUUCCCUUCCACCCUCCUGCCUCAUCCUUCUUCCAGUUCGUAAUCCUUUAAGCCAUGACCCUCCACGACGCUUCUUCCACUUCUUCUCUGCAAACGGAAUGAUAGCCUGUCAGUGAUUGAAUAUACUGACAAGCUUUCAUGGAGAAGAGAGAGUGCUGGAUUAUACUUCCUACGCUUAUUGCGGUUUAGACACAAGACUGCCUUCCUUCUGAGAGGGUGGGAGGUUGCCCGGGUGAGGGAGAAGACUACACGCCAGUGUCGCUCAUCUUAGCGUUGGAGAUUGGACUGGUAUCGGCCGAGGAAUGCACUGUUAGAAGGAUUGUUGCACCAUUAGUCUUUGCGUUGCACUAUUAUCUCUGUUGCGGGCUGCACAGUUCUUGAUUUUUAGCUUCAGAAAUUUUAAAUUCUUAAAGCCGGACAGCAAACAACAGAGCUGGCGAAUAACGGGGCGGAUGUGAUCCGAGUUCCGAAAAAUAACAAGGUUGUGUAAAACGCAAGAGGUGCAUUUAAUGCCUAACAGGUCCGUACGUUAGGAUAUGCGUAUCUCAAAGAAUACGCGAAAGGCGUUAGUAUGCGAGAAGCAUUUUGAUCAGUUUACUGAAAAUUCGGCCCGAAUCUGCAAAACGAAAAAGAUGGCCCACAUUUGCAAAAGCGCAAAAUUAAUAAAUUUUUUUUGCAAAUUGGUCUUAUUUUUUAUACAAUAAAAAAUCUAUAAUAAAUUUUUUAUGCAAAUUAGUCUUAUUUUUUAUACAAUAAAAAAUCUAAAAUUCUAAAAUAUUUUCAAUUUUAACAUUAUCGCAAUUUAAAAGAGUGUUUGAUGAAUUUGCGGUGGUACUUUUCUUAUGUUGUCAUUCAACACUUUCAAGCGUGAAAUUGGAAGAAACAAACAGAUGCACUAUGGAUUAAAGUGAGAUAGAUACACGUUGAUAAAAAAAUACUUCCACAAAUUCAUCAAUAAUUUGUAACAAUUACAAUCUUACAUAGUGUUCGAUGGCCCCCCUAUUCCGCCUCCUCCUCCUGCAUCACUCCUUCUUCCAUUCGUAUCCUUAACCAGCCCUUCUAUGACAUUUUCUACUUCCUCUGCAAACGUAAUGUAGCUGUCAAUGAUUGAAUAUACUGACAACUUUCAUGGAGAAAGAGGAGUCUGAAUUUAUACUUCCAAUGCUUCUUGCGGUUUUAGCACAAGACUGCCUUCCUCCCCGGGUGGGAGGUUUGCGCGAUGUGCGAGAGAAGACAUACACGCCAAACGCGCAUCAUUGAAGCGUUGAGAUUCUGGAAUUGGUACCGGCCGAGGAAUGCCCUGUUAGAAAGCAUGUUGCACACAAUAAUAGUUUUUCGUUGCUCUCUGCGUUACACUAUUAUCUCUUUUCCGGCCGAACGCAUUCUGACUUUUCCUUUAAAAAUAUUAGAUAAGCAAACAACGAACUGGCGAAUAAACGACGAUGAUCCAGUCUGAAAGAAAAAUGAGGUUAAAUAAAACUGAAAGAACAUUUUAAAGUUGCGACAUGUCCGUACGUUAAAAUAUUAUGUAACUCAAAAAUUACCUGAAAUACGUUAAAUACGAAAGCAUUUUGAUUAGUUUUACAAACUUCAUCCGAAUCUACAAAACUAAAAAAUGGCCGCAUAAUUAUACAAAACGCACAAACUAAUAAAUCUUUUAAUAUCAAAUGUCUUAUUUUUAUUCAAUAAAAAAUCUUCUAGUAAUUUUUAUACAAAUGGUCUUAUUUUUUAUCAAUAAAAAUCUAAAAUCUCCAAAUUUUCAAUUAAACAUUACAGUAAUUUAAAAGAGUGGUUGAAAAUUUUUAUUUUUAUUUUUACUCAACGUGCAUUUGCUCACUUAAAUCACUGUGAUCUGUUGUUUUUGCCAAUCACGCUUGAGCUAUUUUAAUACAUACAUAAGAAUCAUUCCACAAAUGCAUCAAACAAAUGUACGGAUUCCAAAUCCACAGCAUUAACUCGUCGAAAGUUAUACAUUAAGAAAAAUUGAAAAAGGUUACAUGCUUCGGGCCGUUUUGCUUUGUUCUCCGUUCAUCGUCUCAUUGGUCCUUCUGGUUCUUUGAUAUUCAGGGGGGACGCAUCUCGGGGCCGCUACAAUUGUCUUCAUAGUCGUUAUCAAGAAAUAAAAUAUCACAAUAAAUCCCAAUAGCAAGUUCAAAUUAAACAAUAAGCAAUAAAAGAACAACCUUAUCGAAUAAAUCCCCCAUUUUUAAAAUUUCCACCAUUUUCCGGUCUUCACGAUCCCAAAACUUAUCUAUCCGAACCCUCACAACAACAACGACAACAAUCAACCAUCAAAGAGAAAAAACCAACACAACGGACACCCUAACCCUAGGGAACCAAAACCGAAACCCUAGCUCGAUCACCCGCCGAAGCCGUAGAGGGUGCGGCCCUGGCGCUUGAGGGCGUAGACGACGUCCAUGGCGGUGACGGUCUUGCGGCGGGCGUGCUCGGUGUAGGUGACGGCGUCGCGGAUGACGUUCUCGAGGAAGAUCUUGAGCACGCCGCGCGUCUCCUCGUAGAUGAGCCCGCUGAUGCGCUUCACGCCGCCGCGCCGCGCCAGGCGCCGGAUCGCGGGCUUCGUGAUCCCCUGGAUGUUGUCGCGGAGAACCUUCCGGUGCCGCUUCGCCCCGCCCUUCCCCAACCCCUUCCCCCCCUUCCCCCGCCCCGACAUCGCCCUCGCCCAAACCCUAGAAAAGUAGAAACCUAGAAAGUAGAAGCGCGUCGGAGAGUGGAAUUUGUGGAUUUCGCGACGAGGUCUUAUUAGGGUUUGGGGAAUCAAUCGGGGAUUUAUAGAGAGAGUGAGAGGAGGGACUAGGGCUUUUUUUUUUUUUUAUUGGAACUGGGGAUUUGGGGGGAAUCGGGGGAAUCGGAGAGGGAAGAGGAAAAUGGUGCGGUGGAUUCGUUGAUUGGUGGGUUUUGAGCCGUUGGAUUUGUAAACUUAUUGACGCUUGUGAUUGGAUGAGCUCUGUUGGUCCGGAUCGAUGACGUGGUCGGUUUUACACUUGCAGGUAGCUGCGUUAGCUUUUGGACUAUUUUCUGUGUGUGUGUGUGUGUGUGUGUGUGUGUGUUAGUGUUAGUGUCUUUCAUAUCCCCAAAAAAAAUAGUAAUAUUAUACAUAUUCUUAUAGAUUGAAAAAAAUAUUAUGAAUACUUUUGUAUAUAUAAGAGGAUUCAGAAGUUAAAAAAUAUUGGUGAUAAAAAGAUUUAGAAUUUAGGAGUAUAUUAAUAAUAAUUUUAUAUAUUUAAAAAGUUAAUGUGUUUACACAGUUUAUUGUCAUGUAAAUAAAUCAGUUUCAUAAAAAAAAAGUAAAAUAAAAUUUUUUCAUAUUUUUGCUUCCCUGAUGUCAGUGCGAUUAAGGUGCGUAUAAAGUAAUAACUUUAUUGAUUCUUCUUUCAUUAUUGUUAUAUGCAAUAUAUUUGAUGAAAUUAUAAGUUUUACUACAUCUAUACAUAAAUCUGUUUCAUCUCUUCUAUUGUAUAUAUAGUGAUAUAUAUUAUUUUUGUUUAUUAAUUUUUCAUAGCUAGCCAGUCAAAAAGUUUUAAAAUUUUUAUGUUAUUAAUUUUUUGUCUUCCACAGCAUCAGUCCACCGCAAUGUACGGAUAACUUCGCUAAUUAUUUAUAAUUAUAAAUAAGAACUAUGAUUUUUUUCUUCUUCAAUAGUCAUAUUAUUCAUGAUUUGAGAUAAUAACAUAUUUUACUUACAAGAUUUAUUUUUACUCAAAAAUUAACUUAAAAUUUAAAUAUAAUAUUUCAUUCUAAACAUUUGAUCAUGUUUGUUGGGCCCGUACGGUUUAGAAUAGAAACUGAGAUUGAAUACAAAAUGGUAAAACUCUUCAACGUCAACAAUCAUAAUCGAAAUAAUUGAUUUUUGUUUUCACUAUUUUGUCGAGAUAGAAAAAAUUUUAGUUAUAAAAACAUAACUAAAAUAAGAUUGAAAUUAAACAAAAACUAUGAUAUACCAAAUAAUAUGUUCAUACAUCCAAAUAAGAUAUAAAUUAAUUAAACAUUCAUGCAUUCAAAUAGACCUUGGGUCUGGACAAUGCCACACAAUGCGUAAGUUAAUUAUUGGACCUAAUUUGGGCUUGGAGUGGGUCGACUAGAAUCUAGCCUGGUGUAGUCGUUGUUUUGACUUCAAUGGAAUCGAGGUUAAGGGCCCGUUUGUUUUGGUGUAAGUGGAGUGAUGGAACUCGAGUUCGAUCACUUUCGUUAUUUAUUUUGAUAUAAGUGAAAAAUAUAAUGUAACUCAAGUUAUGUUAGAGCUCCACUUCACCUACUCUCGACUUCCUCCUCUAAAGUGCUAAACUCGACUUUCACUACACUCAACCUCUUCUAAAAAAUUUAUUAAACAGUAAAAUAUAAACUCUACUUCCUUUAUAAUGGGUUAGAAUUAUCUUAUUUAUAAUAAAUUAGGAUUAUUUUUAAAUAAUAAUAAAAAAUUAAUUAUAUAAUAGAUUAAAUUUUAUAAUGGUAAAUUUACUAUUAUAUUUAGGAGAUAAUGAGAUCCACUUACUUACAUCAAAACAAACAAUGAAACUCAAAAAAUUAAUUUUACCAGCACCAAGUUACAUCAAAACAAACAACAGAAAUAAUUAAAUUUAACUUUCAGGCGGUACGAGUUAUGUCAAAACAAAUAACAAAAAAAUAAUUACACUUCAGAAAAAUUCAAAUACUACUACACUUGACUUACGUUGAAUCUACAAAUACGUCUAUCCAAAACGCCCCCUAAUUGAAACAUGAAGUCGUCGCCGAAUAUCGCGGCAAGCGUAAAUCCCAGAGCGAUUUUUACGGCGAAGCUCACCGACUUCCUCCCCUAGUGGUAUUUAUUGGUCAUAUUUGCUUAUAUAUCCCUCUAAUAUUAUGAUAUUGCAAAACAUAUUCUUUCAAACUUUAAAUAUUAUAUAUAUUUUUUUAUAAACCCUUAAAUAUUGAUUUGUGGAACUCAUUCUAGCAUGUUUCAAUUUGAAUUAACAUAAGUAAUAUCUUUUUGUAUAAUAUGAAUUUUAAAUAUUUAUGAUCUAGCAAACUUGCACUCAAGCCAAAAGUACGAUUGAAUACUAGAUAUCUUUAUAUUUUACCAUACUACUUAUUUUGUCCUUACAAAAAUCAGUGAUGCUACUCAAAUCGGAGUGUCAAGAUUAAGCUCGGUAUUUUUUUUAUAAUGACAAUAAUAAUAUUUUUAGUCAUGUAAUUUGAGUGAUAAAUACGAUAAAAGCAAAAUAGUCUUUUGAAAUAGGACAUCGUGACUUUUGGCUGGAUGUAGUUAUAAUUUUUUAAAGGACUUUUUUUGUAUUUAGACCUUUGAUAAUUUUUUAUUUUAAUAAUAGUCCUGUCAAAAUUUAAUUUUCAAAAAUGGUCCUGGGCCUGCCACACAGGCGCCACGUCAGCGCCACGGGGGAAGGGCUGGGCCCGUGUGUUAAGUUGAACACGGUGAACCAUUCACCGUGUUCAAACAUGGUGAAUGGUUCACCCAUUUAAUACGUAUUUUUUGUUACGUAUUUUUUGUAUAUUGAAAAGUGGAAUAAGGAGUAGUGAUGUCAAUAGAUAUGGAUAUCAGAAAUAUUAUCCGAAUUCAAACCUGAAUAAAUUAUAUAUAUAUAUACAUAAUUUAUUUUUGUUUAUUUAUACAAUAUAUAAAAUAUUUAAUAAUUUUUAUUUCUUAGAUCUUCAUCAACCAGCGCGGUUUUUAAAUCUAUACCGUAAUGGAUGGAUCUAAGGAAUGAAAAAUUACUUAAUAAAACGAUGUUAGUAUAUGAUAAAUAAACAAAAAUAAUAUUAGUUAUAUAUCUAUAUAUAUAUAUAAUAUAUAUAUAAUAUUAUAUAUAUAGAUUUAUUCGGGUUGGAUUCGCGAUAAUAUUUCGGGUAUCCAUACCUAUUGACAUCCCUAUUCCUUAUCACUUUUCAAUAGACAAAAAAUACGUAAAGAAACACGGUGAACCAUUCACCGUGUUCAACCUUAGAUACCCUGGCUGCCAGCCCUGCCGUGUGGGCUGUCGUAGGCACCUGUGUUCACGCCCCGGCGAGACCGGCGGUAAGGCCCUCCCGUAGCGUGCACAGACCCGCCAUUAUGGUCAACACAUAUAAGGCGUCUACAAUAAAAAGCGGAAGUAAAAGUUAAGUAACUAAACAAGUAAAGAGUGAAAAUAACUGACUAAUGAUAUCAGGCAGCAAUAAGUUCUAUCGAUUCUUAUCACCAAGGUAAAGAAGUAAGCUAGAAGAUAAAGGAGUCUAUAAGAAGACAAUAUCCUGUCUCAAUGUACAAAAAUGGUUGCUCUCUAGUACUGUAAAAUACUCUAACCUCUCGCUCAGAAACAAAACAUGAAAUCGACGAUGGUGACCAUGCCUUAGCAACUCGUCUCUGAAGGAAGCUAGCUCGAAGCCAACUCCUUCCGCCGAUCCUGGCUCACCUGCCGUGGAAGGUCUGAAAAUAUCGAGAAAAUGAGGGCGUGAGAACUAAAUUUAUAGUUCCAGUGCGCAAUUACUGACGUUCAGUCUUGCACCACUAGGCCCCAAAAGAAAAGGGUAAGUACUAUAGCAUAAUGAGAGUAUUAGCAAAAAUACGAAAGCAUAUAUGAGGAGGCUAAACGCUCGGUAUUCAAAUAACAUGAUGUUCUGGUGAUGUAUCAUUUACGCUAUACACAAGUAAUUGGUCCAAUGCAUAAAGAGCUAAGCUUAACUAAGCAAAGCCGCAUUAUACAGCAACCAAUGAAAUAAAAGCGGUGUGUGCUAUAUGUACCAUAUGCUUAUAUCAUGAGCACGUCAAAGUAAUCAACUACUAACCCUAUUCUAGUAGUGAUUAUUCAUUAUCAACAACUGUGUCGAUUUCCGUGUCCAAUAAGAACCCAACAAGGUCAGUCCGCUUGUCGCCCUAAGUGCUGGUGGAUAGCCCGAUUCCUACUCUUGGGAAGUGUCUGUCCCACCGACCUGUAGGCUUUUCACAUCCGCACGAUUGCGACGUAUGUCGCGUAGCUAACUCCGGAGUACCGCGCUUGUAGGGAGCGAACCUCAGCAGAUGUGCGAAUGAGCCACAAAUGCAAGCAAGCAUUAGUUCCAAGUCUCAAGUAUCCAAUUUCAUGUCUCUAAACACCGUAUAGUCAUAGCAUUCCGAAGAUACUAGUUUCAUUCACAAAUAUGAGUUCCAUGUGCUUAAGUUCUUGUGGCCCCUUUAUGACACUUGGACAUUUUAAAUGACAAGUUAAUCCAACUCUUUCAAUGGCAUCCCUAGUAUUAACAUGACCUGAAGGCCAAUGCCCCUCCAUGACAUAAGCCCAACUAUUCACAAAUAACACAAGUCCCCGAGCCUCUUUAUGGCCUACCAAGAACCUUCAAGUUCAAUAUAGGAAUAGUCCUUAAAUGCAUGCAAGAGGUGCUCAUUUUCACAAUAGAAGUCAUGAUUCCAAGUCUAAAAAGGAUGCCAAAUAUGUGCAAGUACCACAUGCUAGUUCUCUACUAUAUAGAGGUCCGAAUUUCCUUACACAUAACAUAGGCAUAUUAAACAUUCUAAAAUUCACAAUAAAUAUAUCUAACAUGAUUACGCAUGCUUUUCAAUUUACGAAACAUAUUUCACCAUAUAUGAGUAUUUCUCAUAUAAAGGUUAGGUCAAACCCACCGAACCGUCGCGUGCUCCUUCGAAUGACCGAACGGAGUUGUCCACGAGUCUCACAAUACCCUAAGGGCUCGUUUGGUUCAAGUUAUGUAAUAUUACAAAGUAUCUCGACAUAUCCAGGUAUGUUGGAUUUCGGCGUGAGAUUACUACUAAUGCUGUAUUAGAGCGUUUGGUUUAAUACAGUAAUGUAAUACUAGAUUACAGUGUUUAUAGCAUUAAUAUGUUUGGUUCAGUUUAUAAAAUUUAGUAAUCCUGACAUAAAAGUAUAGUUUUUUCCAAAAUUGCCCAUGUUGUAGUCAUUUGAAUAUUGUUUUUUGCGGAAAUGACGAAUGGAGGGAAGGAGAUCGUGAUGAUUAUUUGGGAGGAUGACGCAAUAGAAGAUGAUAGGUGUUCGUGCGCGAGAGAGAGAAAGAGAGAGAGACGUCGAGNAGGAUGAUAUUAGUCGGUUAGAGUUGAAUGGUCCCCCUAGGGUUGAGUGGUCCCCACUGGGUUAUAGUAUUUAAUCUAAUGGUUAGAAAUAAUGAAAAGAGUUGAUCCAAAGGCUAAAAAACUGGUAGCAACAAUGGAAUUUUGCUACUAAUAGUAUCCCAGUCCAAAUAUAUAUAUAUAUAUAUACAAAUAAAAUACUAUAUAUAAUAAAUAAAUAAAUAUAUAUAUAUAAUAAAUAAAUAUGUAUUUAUAAAUAAAAUUAUAUAUAUAAUGAGAUUUGAGCUAGAAUACUAUCGAUAGCAAACCGACACUUUUGCCACCCAUUUGUUUUCGAUGAUGGAGCAUCCAAAUCAACGAUCGGCACCGUUGAACAUGAUCUAUACCACUUGAAUUGUUUAGAAAUUAAAUUUUAAAUCUUUUCGACAUCAUUUGCCUAAUGAUAAAAGUAUUUCAAAAUUUUUAAUUUUAAUGGUCGAUAUGAGACGUUUUCUUGUUUAACGGCAUAAAGAUAUCCAAAUCAAUUGAAUUUUUAUUAGAAAAUUCUUUAAACUAUUUAAAACAANGCCCCGCGCCCUAGCCCGCACUGCAGCCUCCUCGUGACACGUGUGCAGUUAUUGAGGAAUAAUAUAUAGUUAUUAUUAUUGAUAGAUUAUAGAUUAUAGAUUAUAGAUUAUAGAUACUGAAUUAAAUAUUCAUGAAUUCAAAUAGAGCCUUGGCCCCGAAAUUGCCACACAAUGACAAUGCGUAAGUUAAUUAUUGGGCCUGAUUUGGGCUUGGAGUGGGUCGACUAGAAUCUAGCCCGGUGUAGUCGUUGUUUUGACUUCAAUGGAAUCGAGGUUAAUUAAAACAUGAAGUCGUCGCCGAAUAUCGCGGCAAAAGUAAAUCCCGGAGCGAUUUUUACGGCGAAGCUCGCCGACUUUCCCCCCUAGUGGUAUUUAUUGGUCAUAUUUGCUUAUAUAUCCCUCCAAAAUUAGGAUAUUGCAAAAAGUGUUCUUUGAAACUUUAAAUAUUAUAUAUAUUUUUUAUUUUUUUAUAAAUCCUUAAAUAUUGAUUUGUGGAACUCUUUCCGGCUUGUUUCAAUUUGAAUUAACAAAAGCAAUCUCUUUUUGUAUAAUAUGAAUUUUAAAUAUUUAUAAUCUGGUAAGCUUUUACUCAAGCUAAAAGUACGAUCGAAUACUCGUAGAUACACAAAAUAAUCUUCCCACAAAUAUUAUUAUAUUUUAGUAUACUGCUUACUUUAUUUUUACAAAAAUCAAUGUUGCUAUUCAAAUCAAAGUGUCAAAAUUAAGCUCAGUAUCUUUUUAUAAUGACAAUAAUAAUAAUUUAAUCAUGUAAUUUGAGUAAUAAAUACGAUAAAAGCAAAAUAGUCUUUUUAAAUAAGACAUCGUAAUUUUUGGCUGAAUAUAGUUAUAAUUUUUUAAAACACUAGAAAAAUAGAUAAAAAUUUACAAAAUUUAUCUGAACUAUAAACUAUUUGAAAUUAUUGCCUUUAAAAGUUCAUUUCAAAGUAUCCACCCGAUCCUUCAAUUAUUUCUUUUUUUAAGAAGUAAAGGCUGUGGAUAAUUUAAAAAGUAGAACAUGGUUAAAAACGAACAGUUUAAAAAUAUAAACAAAAAUAUAUUUCUAUAAAAGAAAGAAGAAAAAAAAUUAAAACUACAUGGAAAAGAUGAAAAUAACGGUCACAUCAAAUCUAAAAAAUGAAAAAGAACCAAUAUGUAGAUCCGUGCCUGUAGUUCAUGUAAGUUUUAUAUAUUUUUUACCUAAAAAAUUAGUAUGCGAUUUUUUUUUUUGUAAAUUUGAAGGAACAAAAUGAAAUAUUUAAAUUUUACAGAUAUAUAUUUGCAAUUGUCCCUUAUAAUUACACCGAACAAGUAGCUUCUUCGUGGAGGAGAAGAGGAGGAAGAAGAAGAAGAAGAAGAGAGAGAGAGAGAGAAACCCUCGGUGAGAGAGAUAGAGGAGGGGAGGGAGAGGAGAGGAAGAGGAGAUGGAGAUGUGCUCGGACGAGGCUGUGAAGUACGUGUGGGAGGGGGCGAUCCCUCUCCAGAUCCAUCUCCAUGAAUCCGAGGUCACCACGCUACCUCCUCCUUCCCCGAUCUUGGUAUGAUCCUCGCUCUCUCUCUCUCUCUCUCUCUCUCUCUCUCUCUCUCUCUCUCUCUCCGAUUACUCUUUUUUUUAAACCUUUAGAUUAUCUACUUUGAUGCUUGCUUGAUGCGUUAAACGCGAUCUGAUGUGCUCCGAUCUAGAAUCGGAUUAAAAUGCUAUUCGGAUUGUUAAUUUAGUUGUUUGUUGUUGUUCGUUUGGUGGGAAUUUGAAAUUGGCGAUCCAUAGUUUGCGUAUUUUUUGGUUUGUGAAGUGUUCUUGCUGUGUGCUGUAGUGAAUCGCAAGUAGGAAAUUAGUGGAAUUUUGUGGCCUUAAAAGCUGCUGGGAUCAUUACUGCAGAUAAUGUCUUAGAUUUGUUAUCUUCGAUGUGGUUUUCUAAGUUGUUGAUCAUAAUAAUUAACCCUCUCCCAUGCUGUAUGAAAAUUUGAAUUGGUAAAUCUACUGCUCUUUUCUCUUUGUGUUGUGUCUCGUCUUUAUUCAAGCCUUCUUGAAUUAGGGCAUGUUUUGCCGUUCUGUAGGGGUAGUGCGGUUUAAUGAAGUGCUCUAACAACUUCUCUCGGCACUUGAAUUAGAAACUCUGAGUUGGAGGUUCUGAUUCUGGGGCUCAGAAUCUUGUUUCAGCUUCCCUAUGUAUCAGCAGGAAACUGUUUUAAUUCUGAAUUUUGUACUAGAAGUAAUUAUAAAUGAAAACGAAACAGAAGCAGCACAAAACAAGCAUUUAGUUUCCAAAACUUUUACUCAUGGUAAAACUUCUUUGUCCUCUUCUAUAUGCUUUGACCAUUUAUUUACCCUUGGCCCUUGCCCUUUUCUUGAGUGCUAUGUCAAUGCUAGAGUCUUGAAUUGGAGUUCGGACAUGAUGAAUGAUUUUAAUUGCUUUCACAACCUUAGGAAAGAGUAUUUAGUUUAUUAUAUUGUUGUGGGUAUAUUGACAUAUUAAAUGUUUAAAUUGAUGAUCGAAGUUAAUGGCAUACUUGGCUCCAUUGGAGAUUCAAUAGAUUUUUUUUUUUGAGAAAACCUAUCAGUUUUUCAAAUACAAAACAAGACACAAAAACCUAGUCCAAUAGCCUAUUUUGUACUGAUGAAAACGGGUCGGAUAUGUCAGAUAGUGCCCGAUCCAUAUCCAUAUCCCUGUACAUAAUUUUUACGUUGAAUUCGGAUACGGGUUCGGAUAUUAGUCAGAUGUUAAAAUUCAAAUCCAUAUCCAGUAAAAAAUAGAUUCAGAUAUGUGUCGGAAUGCAACAGAUAUGGAUAUGAAUUGGAUAUUUAAUGAAUAUUUAAAACAAAAAUAAAAAAUAUUUUCCAAUAUAUAUUUAAGCUACAUAAAAUUUAUAAAAUGUUAGAAACAUAAAGGAAAAAAUUAAGAAUUCUAAGAAAAUGUUAUUGAAUAUGAAGUAAAUAAAAAUGUUACAUAUUGAGAUUAUAUGUUUCUGAUUCUGAUAAUCCGGUAUCGGAAUCUUAAUCUGAAUAAGGAUGGUGAACCCAAACUGAUUCUGAAUCCAAAAAAUAUUUCUAUCUCGAGAUCCAAGUCUGAAUCUGAAUCCGAAUCGGAUAGUGAUAUCCCAACCCAUAUUUGAUAAUUUUUGGAUUCGGUGUUGGAUUCGGUCGGAUAAUAUCCUAUCCGUUUUCAUCUCUACUAUUUCAGAUCUGCUUUUAAUCUAGAACCUUGAAGUUUUGUUGCAAAUUGAUUAGCUUCUCCCUCUGAGUAGAUCGUUAGUAUGUUUAUUUUAGCAUUCUAACUUGAUUUAUGGUAUAUUUCUUGUUUUUUAUAUAGAUUUUAGGUCCACGGCUUGGGUAUCUGCCUCUAUUAGUACCGAUCAUAAAGGCUCAUUUCAGUAGCACACUUCCUCCGGGCACCGAUACUGUUUGGUUUGACUAUAAAGGACUGCCACUGAAGUGGUACAUAACUUUUUAUGAUUUUCGGGAUUUUUGUAAGCAACUUCACUUAAGCAAACUAAGUUUAGUUGAAUAUAGACCAAAAUUAAAAUUGCUACAGAAACCUUAAUAUUUACAGCUGUAUAUCAUUUCGUUUACCAUAAAAUCUUCAUUAUCUUUUCAUUUACAUUGAUAAAUUUGCCACGAUUUGUUACUUGUAGUUUUUAAUUCUUUUUAAUUGCUUUUACAGGUCUAUACCUACUGGAGUUCUUUUUGAUCUUUUAUGUGCAGAACCAGAAAGACCCUGGAACCUAACAGUGAGGACCUUAUAUCAUACAUAUUUAUUACUAAUUGCAUGUGCUUUAUUGUAUUGUUGUUUUGCUCUCUUUCAGUUUUCAAAAGAAAUGUCAAACUGUUUCCUUAUUUCUUUUUUCUUUUUUCGGGUGUUUUUUCACUUUAGGUCUUGAACGCUAACAAAAUGGAAGGGCUUAUUGUACAGUGCCUAUUGAUUUCUCACUUUAUCUGUUCUUUAGUUGUUAAUUUAAUUAAAAACUUUGGAAUAUGUUAAUUUAAUUAAAAACUUUGAAAUAUGUAAAGGCACUUCACUUUUGAGUCUAUCACAGGUUGGAGCUUAUUGCUAUGGCUGCCUUUUCUGUUACUGUAAUUAUUGCUUCUUCUGUUGUUGUUUUUGUUGUUUCUGCUGCUAUUGUUAUAAUUAUCAUCAUCAUCUUAAGUAUUUCCCUAUGAUUUAACUUCUCAAAUACUUGACUAGCGAAAUAAAGAAUAUAAAAGCAAAAGUAAUAGCUGGUUUUGGAUAGAUCCUUUUUAAAAGAGAUAGGUACUUUAUAUUAUUAUAUGCGGCAGUACCUUAUACAAUAUUUCGAGUCUGUUUACUCUAUUGGAACCAUACUAUGAUUUCCAAGAUGUGAGGCAUAUUAUGGUAUGUGAGAGUAAUAAAAAUUCAAAUGUGUCGAUAUGAGACGAGGGGUAUUAGAAUAUUAAAGGUUCUAUACUCCUUAGAAAUCAUAAGGAUUUCUAAUUAAUUACGCCUAUUCUCAUUUAGGCAACCUCCGAUUAAGCUGGUCAAUUAUGAUAAUUAGUAAAACAGAAUGUAUUUCUUUUAUUAUUCUUGUACAUCGGUGUACAAAAAUUAAUACAACUGAAAAAGAUAAAAAGCAACAAUUAUUAUCUCUCUCCUUCUCUCCUUUAAUGCAAUCAAUCGCAAACAUAUUAUUAGCGCCUCGUCAAGUCAUUUCUCAUGUGAGCCAUGCAUCAUGCAUAAACUGUCUUUGGUAUUUCAUCGAGCAUUUGACACGCACAUAAGUAAUACAUUAUGUGCAAACUGUCUUUGGCAUUUCAUCGAGUACUUGGCACGCGUACAUGAACAAUGCAUUAUGCUCAGGUUUUCUUUGACAUUUCAUUAUGUGCACACCGUCUUUGGCAUUUUAUCGAACGCUUAGCAUGCGCACAUAAGCUAUGCUUUAUGCACAAAUUCUUUUUGGCAUUUUGUUUAACACUUGGCACAUGCACAUAAGCUAUCCAUCAUGCACAAGUUGUUUUUGACAAAAAGCCAAUUAAAAAGAGCGGCAAUCAAUAAUUUGAUCAGCGCUUUCCGUCAACGACUAAGCGUCAAACGGAUGAUCGUCGUCGUAGUUGCCUUUCUCCACCGCUGACGGCUAAGCAUCAAGCGGAUCGUCGUUGCCGCCUUUACCGCCGAUGGCUAAGCAUCGAGCAGAUUGUCGUCAUUGUUGUUGUUGUCGUCGCUGUCUUUACCGCCGAUGGCUAAGCAUCGAGCGGAUCGUCGUCGUCGUUGUUGUUGUCGUCGUCGCCGUCUUUACCGCCGAUGGCUAAGCAUCGAGCAGAUCGUCAUCGUCGUCGUUGUUGUCGUCGUCGCCGUCUUUAUCGCCGAUGGCUAAGCGUCGAGCGGAUCGUCGUCGUCGUUGUCGUCGUCUACGCCGUCUUUACCACCGAUGGCUAAGCAUCGAGCGGAUCGUUGUCGUCGUUGUUGUUGUCGUCGUCGCCGUCUUUACCGCCGAUGGCUAAGCAUCGAGCGGAUCGUCGUCGUCGUUGUUGUCGUCGUCUACGCCGUCUUUACCGCCGACGGCUAAGCAUCGAGUGGAUUGUCGUUGCCGUUGUCGCCGUCUUUACAGCCGACGACGAAGAGUCAAGCGGAUCGUCGUCGCCGCCUUUACUGCCGACGGCUAAGCGUCAAGCGGAUCGUCGUCGCCGCCUUUACUGCCGACGGCUAAACGUCAAGCGGAUAGCCGUCGUCGUUGUCGUUAGCGCAGCAACAGCAGGCGGAUGGCCACCUCCUUAGUCGAUGAUGACGCCACAACAGCAAAAAGGAACAUGCACCACUCCGAAAUCAAUGACGACGGGGCAACGGCAGUCUGCAACGGUGUAGGAAUGGCGACGAGCGAUCGUCUUUUAUUGGUUGAUGAUGAUCCGGUGUAGUAGAGGUUGAUGACGGCAUGUGUAGCCCGGUGUGUAUAGAAAGCUCGAUGUAUGGAGUGCUUUGACUAGGAGAGAGGAGAGAGAAAAAUGAGAGUGAGAGAAUCUAAACCCACCUUUCUAUUGGGCUCUUUUUUUUUAUCCAAGUUUCCUUUCUCUUUUUUUUUGUGAGUAGAAUCCUCUUUUUUUUUGUUCACUUCUCUUUAUAUAGAGAGAGGGUGGUGGAGGUCUAUGGUGUAGAGAAGAGUAAAUAAUGGAGGAGUAGAGGGAAUGGUGGAGAAGUAGAGGGAAUUGUGGAGAAGUGUGGAGGAGUGGAGGGAAUAGUAGAGAAGUGGAGAAGUGAAGGGAAUGAUGGAGAAGUGUGGAGAAGUGGAGGGAAUAGUGGAAUGAUGGAGAAGUGGGACAAGUGGAGGGAAUGGUGGAGAAGUGGAGGAAAUAGUGGAAUGAUGGAGAAGUGGGAGAAAAUGGUGGAAAAGUAGAGGGAAUGAUGGAGAAGUAGGAGAGGAACGGGGAGAUGGUGGAAUGGGUUUAGUGAAGUGAUGGAGAUGUGGGUUUAGUGAUGUGAGAGAGAGAAGUGAUCUCUCUCUCUCUCUCUCUCUUUUUUGUGUUAACAUGGUAGAUAUCAAGUUUAAGUUGAUUCUAUCUUCUUGUUUAGUACCUUUCAAAAUGUAAUUUUGUGGUUUCUAUCAACACUCUAGUCGAGUUACUGUUCUUUUUUGGUGCAAAAUAGACAUUUUUCGUAUAUGCAGUAAAAGGUUUUCCAUUGUGAAAUGGUUGAAAAUACAGGUUUUUGUAUAUUUGUUUCUAUAAAAAUUUGAAGAUCAAUUUCUAUUUGGUUUUGGUUGGUUUAGGAGAGUUCAGACGAUUUAGGUUUGCACAUUAAAACAUCUUGAUGAAAAGAAAAAUCUACAGACGAAGACCUGGAGAACAUAAUUUCCCUAUAUCUGUUUUUCAAAUGGACUCUUAAACUCAAUAAAAAGUUUUUCUGCCUGUAGACAUCUAUUAAGAUAUAUACAAAAAUUAAGAAGCUAAACAAAUGGAGUAUUUAUAAGAUUUUCCUAACAGUUUUUAACACGCUAUAUGUGUGAUUUUGUGAAAAUUUGGAUUUAAAUAAAUGUUAACUAACAUACACUGCGUUAUAGUUAGUUUAUAUGUAAUAUAGAUUUUAGGACUCAAAUGCCCUAUAUUUCUCCAACAACUGAAAAAAAAGUUCUAAAUUCUUGAGCAUUGUCUCUUUUUCUAUAUUACCUAAAUUUUUUUAACCUCUUCUUUGUCUGAUUUAUUUUCCUGUAAUGCAACUGAUCCAUUUGAAAUACUCACAGGUUCAUUUUAGAGGAGGACAUCCUGGAGAUAUUUUGUCACCCUGUGAAGGUGAAGACAGUGUGAAAUGGAGUUAUAUUAAUUCAUUGAAAGAGGUGUGGGUAAUAAAGGCAUUUUACAUGAGAUUUUGGGCUCUAUGGCCUUUUCCAUUUCUUUUACUGCUUACCAACAAAUACAUUAUGUAGCAGCCAUCAUUUGUUGCUUCUUUUUUCUCCUGUUUUUGAAUCCUUUUCUUUUUUAUUUUGAGAUAUCUGUGCCAAAUGAAGUUGGCACCUGUAAUAUCAGAUGAUCUUCCUUUCCCUAUUGCCAAAAUUAAUUGCACAGUACCUGCACAAACAAGAAAUUACUUGCCAGAGCUGACUAUUAGACUCUAGUUCCAUAGGGACGUGAACUGUUGGAAUAUGGAAUUUGCAAUGACAUAGAAAUGAGCUAGAUUUUGAUGCAAUUAUUUUCCUGCAAACAUCUUUUGCUUCUUUUUCUCUUUACCUGAUAUAUCUUCUUACGUCAGUGGUUUCUUACAUAUAUGUUUUUGCAGGCUGCCUACAUUAUAAAUGGUAACUGUAAGAACGUCAUGAAUAUGUCCCAAGCUGAUCAAUAUGACCUAUGGCAAUCAGUGUUAAAAGGUAUAUAUGCACGGUAAUAACGGUGCAAAGUUUUUAAGUAUUCUAUGAAGAUGCCCUCUCUUUGCACUGCAUCGGCACUUAAAUGAUAAUUCCAAUGAAUAAUUUAGAAGUGAUUAUCUUAUAUACAUUAUUGUUAGUCUCAAUGUUGGGGAAUGUAAACAGAUUGGAAGGCCUAUCUCUCACUUACAUAAGCAUGAUGAUCAACAGAAACGUGGUCUAUUUCAGUGCAUUCAAAUAUAUUCUCUGACUUCUCACUCCUCUACCAACUUCAAUUUGUUUUUGAAAUUUGCACUAGGUAACUUGGAUGGGUAUAUUAAAAUCUCAUCGAGGCUUAAGCUUGGACCAUUCAGAGAUGAUUCCUUGGUGAGACCAGCUUCAUCCCCAGCACAACAUCAACAACAAGCUACUGCUGAACAUGAACCUACUGGAUCAGGCAAACCAUGUUAGUCCCUUUGCAUUUAAAUUGUAAUUUCAGUUUGCCAUUACAUAAAAUGCUAGAUAUGAAUAUCUAUAACUGGGAUUAUUGUGGUGUUCAACAUUCAAAAAAGUUUGCAUGUUCAGUGGCUUGACUUUUCUAUGUUGAUGCUAGCCUGUUUUACAAAAAAGAACUAUUUCUGGUGAAUCUGUAAUAUUAGAAACUGCUAAAUUAUCAAUAAACAGUAUAAGGGAUUUUGUCAAGAAAUAAGCUACAGAAAAAAAAACCUAAUAACUUUGUCCAUUCAUAAUUUGGUAAGGUGAUUAUGGCUGAAAAAGAACCCUUUAGAUGACAUAAAGUAAAACUCUUUUAUGCUUAUUCAAAUGUACAUAGUACACCAGAUUUUCCAGAUUAAUUAACAAGUAACAAUAGACCUUAAAGUCAGUUUUUCCAAAGGGAUCUUACUUAUUAUAACAGAGUGUAUUCUAUAAAUCUUCCUCUGUACGUGGUCAGCUAUUUCAAUUCUUUGUCCUUACAGUUAUUAUUACAACAGUUCAGGAAUUUCCCUCUCAACAAUUGUAUAUAGAAGGCUUCUACUUGUUACUUAUAUAUAGUGACAAGCGUACUUCUCUUUCUUACUUACUGUUGAUCUCUUUGGUCAGGCAGGAUUCCUGUGCGGUUAUAUGUGCGAAAUAUUGGUGAUGAUCUCGAUGACUUGGAAGAUGCACCUAUAAUUGAUAGUUGGGAAAGAAUAUCUUACAUAAACCGGCCAUUUGAGAUUCACAAGGAAGAAGGUAUACAUGAAUCUCUUUAAGCAUCGUAUGGCAAUUGUUUUCUCUCUCGUCUUUCUUGAUGUUGCAGCGUGUUGCCUUUCACAUUUUCUUCAAACUUAAGCUCCCCAUAACUUUUAACAGUUCUGCUAAUAUUGUUUAUUAACUUCUUUCUUGGUAUAGUUACCAAAUUGGCCCCUGAAGUUUUAUCUAGAUUUCAAUUGCAUCUUCAGAAUUGUAACAAUAAAUUACUUGCUAUUGUUCGUCUACUGUGGUCCAGAAAAUGAAUUGUAAUGUUAAAGCUGAUGCGGCAUCUUUGUUAGGCAGUAUACAAAUGGAAGAGCUUAAUUGUUCCUAUCAGACAAACUUCAUGGACUAAUUUGUUAAUAUUGGAAUGUGAGGACCCAGUUUGAAUGAAAUGGGGUUUGAAUGUUAACAACUAAGUUCAUAACUAACCAAUACUGUGGUUAAAAUGAAAAGUUUCCUGGUUUUCUUCAUCGCAUUCGUCACUCAAGCUAAAUGAAAAUUCAUAGCUAUAUUUUCUCACUUGUUCUGAUCCUUUCUCUAUUCCGACACUCUGAUCUCUUAUCAUUUUGUUGUCUCGGCAAUUUAGUGUUGCUUCAACGAAGUAUUCAUAUGAUGCUUUAGGUGGGUAUCUGACUUUGGAGCAAGCCGUGAAGUCUCUACUACCGGAGAUCUUCGAUUUCAAACCCCCGUUUGAAGACACUCGUGAAUUGAAAAGCAAGGAGAGUCCUGAUUCAAGUUUGACGGACGCGGAGAUCGUCGACACUUCGAAGAGCGUUGAAGAAGAGCAAGCGUCAUCGGUCGCAGAAUCCGAGGUGCAUCCUCCCAAUAGGUUGAAAAUAAAGCUGAUUCGAGUGCAGGGAAUCGAAUUGGAAUCAGAUAUUCCCUUCUAUUGGGUGGCUAACAACUUAAAGAGCACCGAAUUCUUCCUCCACAUGUGCGUAUUUCUCACAGGUCCAACGAAACAUGCGAAAAUGAGAUGAGAUUCGCAAGUCAUCAUCACCUUCAUUUCCUCUUCUUUUAGUAAAUCAAUUACUUUUCUUGUAUAGGUUUCAUAUUUCAUAAUUUCCGGUUUCGUAAUUCGGUUAUCAUUGUAAAGUGUAACAUAGCCUUGUGGGAGAUGCUGAAUGUUUUAACUUGGUGCAGUUGUUUUGUCUUGCAUAACCGAUAUACAGUAAACCAGAAAAUGGCUAAUUCUGCCUAUGCAGGAGCACCGAAAAAGUUGAUUCAACUUUCAGGGACUCGCAGAUUGUGACAUUUUGUGAUCCGGAGAAUCCAUUCGGUGCAUCAAAUUUGGCGAAAAGUAGCACUGUUUCCUGAAGCUAGUUUGGAGGGAGCUUCUGCAGAAAUCAUGCAACCCUAUUUGAGUAGAGCUCUUUCAUUUUAACACCACCAACUUGGUAAAUGUCUCUAACACCUUCUAACUGCGGCAUAUGGUUUUGGCUUCAUGCUUUUGGUUAGGGGUGUUUGGUUUGCGUGGUAGGAUUCUGGAAAACAAUUUUCUGGCCGGAAAAAGUAUUUUCUAUCUAUUUGGUUCACAGAAAGAGUAAUAUUUCUGAAAAAAAAGUUUUUUUUUUUCUAGACUUCAUGAAAAAUUAGUAUUUUCGUUUUUCAGAUCUUUAAUUCGGAAAACUUUUUUUUUUUUUUUAAAACAGUUUUUCACGCAUUUCAACUUUCUAUCAAAUUUAAAAUUUCGGAAGCCCAAAAGGCGCAAAAAAAAAGAAGAAAUAUUGUGGACCUUUGUUCUUUUGGAAAAAUUAGAACAAAGUUGAUUUUGAUACCAUCAAUUCGUCUUGUUUUCAUUGGCCUUUCGUUUUAGCUGCGUUCGGUACAAGCAAUGCAUAACACUUUUCUCUUUGCUAAGGCACAGGGAUCUUUGUGUAGAUCCACGUGGAUGAUUUUUUUCCUUUUUUAAGUUAUGUUAGUUUAUUUUAUUAUAUUUCUUUUUUUUGCCUUUGUGCGCAUCUUAAAAAGCAAUAGUAUAAAGCUCCCCUCGCUCGUAGAUAAUUUUGAAAUGAUUCUCCCCUUUUUCUUUUUUUUCUUUUUUUUCUUUUUUUUUUUUUUCUGUAUUGCACUGUGUCUUUCUGCCUGUCACUGCAUGUGUUUGUGUCUUUGGCCAAAUGAAUAAUAUCACUAGCAUAGUAGCCGGUGCGAUACAACAGUUAGAUAAUUAGAAAUAAAGUAGAAAUCAUCGAUAAAAAAAAAUGGCGAUAAAAAAAAAGCGAUGAUGAGGGGUGGGAUUCAUCUUGCCGAUGAACGAAAGUAACAGUCGAAGGAAGAGAAAAAAAAAAGGAUUUGAGCUAGUUCGGAGUGGAGCCCACAUUCAACUAUGAAGGAAAAGUUGUCAUAUGGCAAUUUUGGAAAAAAUAAUAUAUAGGUAAAGAUAAAGUUGUACUAAAUUGAAGAUUUACGAAAUUUAUGGGUAAUUUCAUUGAAUUUAACUCUUUCAAUCAUUUUUUUCAAAAAAUAUUAGAAUAAUUAAUACUUACUAGUUAAUAGAGCAUCAUUUUUUUUAAAAAAUAAUUUACUAAUUAAAAAAUUAAAUAAAAAAAAAAGUUAAGGCCUCGUUUGAUAUUGUUGUCAUUUUUUGUAUUUUUAAUAAAAUUUCUACAUUAAAUAGUAUAGGAGAGAAAGAUAGGUUCCUUACAAUCCUUAUAUUUAAAAUAUUUACUCGAUAAUAGUAAAAAAAAAAAAAAAGCUUUCAAAAUCUUUUAAAAUAAAUUGUCAUCUAUUGCUUAGAUAAGAAAUGUAUCACAAGUAUAAAACAUUAUAAUAAUAAGGAAAAAUUCUUUAUAUUUUAUAUUGAAUUAUAUAAAAUUAAUUUAUAAAAAAUAAAAAAAUGACAGAUGCCAAACGAGCCUGAGUGAGUUAAUUAUUUUUUUAAAAAAAAAUAAAAACAAAAACCCUAUGAAGUGUCGUGGAUAGUACGCGUGGAGAUAUCUUCUUGUUGGGCCGAAGAAGUGCAUUAGGUAUCCUCAUGGUGGCUUUUAGUGGUGGAAGCAAGAAUAAUUAAAAGUGUAAAGUGGAUUAGAUAUGAAUCGAAUAGUUGCUAAAUGACAUUCCUAUUUGCAUUGUUUUUAGUUUUACUUUUACAUACCACCUUGAGUAUCUUCCAUCAAACCCCUAACUAAUUGUACCGGAUAUAAUUGAUCAUUCAUAUUUAUACUUUGUUAGGAUAGUCACAUGUAUUCUUCUGAAAUAUCAUGUAAAGUUUUAUUUUAUUUUAUUUUUUUUCUGUAAAGCUUAUAAAUAUACAUAUGUAUUCCUGCAAGCUUACCGUCAUUUAGUUGCUCAUUAAAUUUUUACCAUUUGAUCUAUUAUGCCCUUACUAAAGAAAAAGAUUUCUAAAUAUUUUUUUUGUUAUGUAGAAUGAUACAAAAGUAAGGAUAAAAAAAUUAAAAAUGAUAUAUAAUAUUAAAUUUAAUUAAGAAGAUAGUAAUGUUAAAUUUAAAUAUUUUUUUAGUUAUAGUCACGUGAUUGUUGUACAUUUUUGUAAAGAUUAGGACCCUUUAAAGGGUGAGGUAAAUUCAAAGGUGUGCUAGUAAUUGCUCAUUUUCAAAAGAGAAAAUUGUACAGCAAUCAUGUGUACUUUAGCUCUUCUACAAAUAUGCCAUAAACAUCUAAUUUGGCCAAUUUGAUUUUCUAAAUUUUAUAAAAUAGCGUAAUAAGUAAUGCUACAGAUACACCUAAAAAUGGAUGUAGAAUUUACACCAAUUCCAUCCAAGGAUAGGGUUCCCUCGAUCUACUAGUCACAUCAAAUGACUAGCAGGCACUUUCUAGCCCUUGGAUGGAUAGAGAGUAGGAUGUAUAUUCGUCUUUGGGUGUAUAAAUAUCUUUUUUCUAAUUUAAUUGGUCUCUCUUGUAAUUCUCACCUUCGUCUCCACCGAGGCUACAUAGCGAUUCUUCUUUUUUCUCUCCGAACCUCCUCCACUGCCUCUGUGGCCCUUCGCAAUCCACCUCCACCUCCACCGCAAGAAAUUUUUCACCCACCAAACUCAUUUAUGGGAACUCGCUGUCCUCACCACCACCGACGACGACGAAAAGGAGGCGCUUCUCGGCACUAAGAAACUCGCUAGUAAGGGAGGGGGCACGCGACCCACUGCGCCCAUCCGACGCCGGCGACGAGCGAGGUGGAGACGAAGAGGAGUGUGACGACGUCGGAGAAGAGGGCGGGGUGGCGGUGAGCGUGGCGUCCUAGAGGGCAGCAGCGAGUGCGACCUAGGCAGGGUUGAAGGCAAAGAGGGCGGGGGUGCACGAGAGCAUUUUUGAUCAAGCAUUUUUGUUUACUUAAAACAAAAAAAAAACUUAAAAUUAAAAACUAAAAAAUAAGAAAGAAGAACUAGAGAAGAAGGAAGAAGAAGAUGAAGCUCUACAAUGUUAAAAUAAAGUUACAUUGUUUUACAAGAACGUUACACUAUUAUAGACGUAAAUUACACUCUUUGAGAUAUAAACUGCACCCUUUAAGAUGAAAAUUAUACUCUUUAAAUAAAAAUUACACUCUUUAGGAAACAGUUACACUAUUUCUCCUCCCAAAGAGUAUCCUUUAAGAUGAAAAAUAUAUUUUUUAAAUAAAAAUUGCACUAUUUGAAAGAUAGUUAUACUAUUUCUUCUCCCAAAGAGCACCCUUUGAGAUAAAAGUUAUAUUCUUUAAAUGAAAAUUGCACUAUUUGAAAAAUAGUUACACAGUUUCUUCUUUCAAAUAGUGUAAUUUUUAUUUAAAGAUUAUGACUUUCAUCUUAAACGGUGCAGUUUAUAUCUCAAAGAGUGCAACUUACAUAUAUAAUAGUGUAACGUUCUUCUAAAAUAGUGAAACUUUAUUUGAAUAAUGUAAUUUUAUCUUCUUUUUUCUUCUUCUCUAGUUUUUCUUAUUCUCUAAUUUUUGAUUUUUAGUUUUUUUUGGCUAAAUUACAGAAAACCUCAUUGUCAAAACCCGAUUUUUCACUUUCCCCCCUUGUCAUUUAAAACCUACACUUUGACCCCUUGUAAAAUAAAAAAUGUUCACAGGGGAUACGGUGUAAACUGUGAUGAUAAAAUGACCAUUUUACCCCUCAUCAUAUUCACAGGAGAGAAAGCUGAUGGCAUUUUUGGCAUAACAAAAAUAUAAUAAUAUUUUAUAAAUGGAAUCGAUUACUAACAGCAGGGGGCGAAUUGAACAUUUUUUAUUUUACAAGGGGGGAAAAUGUAGGUUUUUAAAUUAUAGAGGGGGAAGUGAAAAAUCGGGUUUUGACAGAGGGGGUUUUAUGUAAUUUAGUUUUUUUUUUAUAUUUUAAGCAAACAAAAAUGCUUGACUAGAAAUGCUCCCGUGCACUCAUUGCCUUCCUCGCCUCUGACCCCGUCGACACCGUACUCGUCGCUGCCCUCUAGGACGCUACGCUCGCCGUCGCCCCGCCCUUUUCUCCGGUGUUGUCACGCUCUCCCCCAUCUCCACCUUGCUCGUCGUUGGCGCCGGAUGGGCGCGGUGGACGGCGUGCCCCCUCCCUUGUCAGCGAGCUUCUUAGUGCCGAGAAGCGCUUUUUUUUCAUCGUCGUUAGCGGUGGUGAGGACUGCGAAUUCCUAGAAGCGGGUUUGGUGGGUGAAAAAUUUGCUGCGGCGAAGGUGGGUCGCGAAGUGUUGCGAAUACGGUGGAGGAGGUUCGGAGAAAAAAAAAAAGAAGAGGAUUGCGACACAGCCUCGGCGGGGUUGGAUGCGAGGAGGGUGGGGCGUGAGCGGGCGCUAGUGAGGGCGCAUAGGGCGGAGGUGAGGAGAGACGUCCCAAAGGGCGGCGGCGAGCGCAGCCUUCGUGGGAUUAGAGGCAAGGAUGGUGGGUGGUGCGCAGGUGAGGGCGAGGGCGCGGUGGGCAGAGGCGAGGCGAGCCCCCCUACGCCUCUCUCUUCAGAGAAGAAAAAAAAAAGAACGAAGAGAAAAAAAAAGAAGAGAGAUGAAGGAAUAAGGGUAUUUUGGUUAAUUUUUUGAAAAUUCAAUUCGAAUCUGUAAAAUUGAAAAAGACGGCUCAAUUUUGUAAAAGCUCAAAACUUAUGAAUUUUUAUACAAAUUGACCGUGCAACAAUUACUAUCAGUAAAAUAUUAUAACAAUUUUUAAUAUUAUAUUAUUUUAUAGUUUUUAAUACUUAUUAAAUAAUACGAUAUAUAGCCAAAUAUUGUAAUAUUUUUAUUUUUUUAAUAGGGAAAGAACAAAGAAAAAAAAAAAAAAGAAAAAGGAGAGGAUAUUGACGUCCCUUUCUGUCCCUCUUCCUCCUCCACUAUCCACACGUCGUCGUUGUCGCAACCUCAGCCUCUUCGACCUCUGCCUUACCAUCGUCAAGGGGAAUCCCUCCGAGAUCCCUCGUGUUUGUAUCCCCGUACCAAAUCCGCAACGACAUCCACAGAGGAGGAGAAAGAAGAGGAAGGCAGUGUACGAAAAGGAUAGAGAGGAUGGGAGUGAUGACGACGUCGAAGAAAAUGAGCGAGAUGAGACAAAAAAAAAAAGAGAAAGGAAUAAAAAUAUUUUUAUUAUAUUUUAAAAUUUUGGACAAAAUCUGUAAAAUUUUAAAAAAUAAUAUGGUUUUGUAAAAAAUGUAAAAUUAAUAAAUUUUUUUAUACAAAUUAAACUAAAAAACAUAAGAUGCCAAUAGAAAAAAGGUUAGGGCAAUUUUGUAAUUUCAAGCUUUUUCGUCUGAUGUGGGGAUCAUUGGAAGCUGUGGGCUGGCCCACGGUCCAUCCACGCACGUCGAACCAACGGUCACGCUUCCGACACCCUUGCCCGUGGAGCCCCCCUUAAUUUCGCGACACGUGUCCCCCCCAACGGUGGACCCCUCCACGGCGCCUUCAUCGUCCGCCUCGAAAAGCGUCAUAUCCCUCGGCACAUUCCGUUAUCUCUAACGGAGAUCGUCGCUCCUCCGUUUCCUAUAAAUACCAUACCCCCAACACACCACUCGUCGGUCGUCUCCUCUCCUCAGAUCCCAUCUCCACCACCAACACCUUUAAAGCUAUCUCCUCCGCGCUUUCGAGAAGCCUCUCGAUUCCUCUCCCUCUACCCUCUUCUCCCUCUCCUCUAGGGUUUCUCGAUCGCCGAUGGCGACCGUCGCUUUGAACCCUGUAGCCGCCGAGGAGAAGCUCGGGAAGCUACGCUCUGCUGUUGCUCAACUCGAUCAGAUCAGGUAUGUCGCCGUGAAACCCUCGCUGAUUUUCGUGCUUUUGCUUCUUGAUUUCGCCUUUGGAGCUUAUCGAUCUCUGAUCUCGUGCGAUUCUUGCGAUAUUUUUCCCUCUUUUUGCAGUGAAAAUGAGAAAAACGGGUUCAUCAGUCUCGUCGCUCGCUAUUUGAGGUAGGUCUGAUGCAAUUUGAGUAGUUUUUUUGAACUGAUCCGACGCUUCUUGCAUGAGUAGAUAUUCGAUUACUUUAUCUUCUUAAUUCUUGAUGUUUGAGAGUUUUUUCCCUUAAAUCUUUGGUGUUCUUGAUGUGAUUGAAGUGGAGAGGCGGAGCAGAUCGAGUGGAGCAAGAUCCAGACUCCGACUGAUGAAGUCGUGGUGCCUUAUGAGGCCCUCGCACCUCCUCCGGAAGGUUUGUUUUCAAUUUAAUUAUGAAUUUCGGAGCCACUUGUCCUAGUUCGGUGACCUUUAAUGGAUCUCGCUGAAUAGGAAGUUGCGUUUGUGUUUCGUAAAUUGCAGAUCUUGAAGCAACUAAGAAGCUUCUUGACAAGCUUGCCGUGCUGAAGCUCAAUGGAGGACUGGGGACGACAAUGGGAUGCACUGGACCGAAGUAAGUGAAAGAAUCUUAUUGAAUGAUAUGGAUCUUUCGUAAGAAUCAAAAAAUUUUCUUAAUUGCUCUUCUUUUCUAGAGAAAUAUGUUGCGUGGUUAGCUGAUCUAACAUUUCCUUGUGGAUAAACAGUGGAAUAUUAGGAAUGAGGAUCCUUGAUUUUACGACCUUUGUAUAACACUAUCAGUGAUGAAUAUAUUGAUUGGUUACUUCUAUUCCAACUCACUCCAACCAUUACUAGAUUUACAUUUUGCCUUUCAUAAGAAAGGCGGAUACUAUUUUUUUUGGUUUUAACUCUAACUAAUAACGAGGCUAAUGGAUAAAUCCAUCUUGGUAGGGGUGUAAAUUAAAGGAAUAGCAUAUGCUUUCAAAAUCCACAUUAAUCUUUUGUUUGUAUAAGAAAUCCUGUGUAAUGAUUUUAUAGGACUCUGCUUUUGCUUUUCCUUUUAUAUUGUACUGUUAAUGCAGACUGCUGAUGGAACUUCAUUGGGAAAGAUUUUGAAAACCUAAUUUACCUAUUUAUCAUUUGUUGUUUCUUAUUAAACACAAUGAGCUAAACUGUCGAUAAUUGACUGUUCAAUGCAUGGGUUUAUAAGUUUCUUCAAUUUGCAACAAUUGUCAUUGAGAUUCACCUAACAGAUGAUUUAAUGUUGCAGGUCUGUCAUCGAAGUUCGGAAUGGAUUCACAUUCCUUGACUUAAUUGUUAUUCAAAUAGAGGUACUUCUGGCAUCUAUUGUUUCACUCAGUGAGGCCAUGCGUGCGUGCGUGUGGGCGUGCGUAUGUUUAACUUCGAUCAUGAUCUUCAUGUUUUAGUUUCAUUAAUUGGUAACUUACUCUAUGUUAUACAGUCUCUCAACAAGAAGUAUGGGUGCAAUGUCCCUUUGCUUUUGAUGAAUUCGUUCAAUACUCAUGAUGACACAUUGAAGGUAACUUUCUAUGCUUCUACUUUUUGGAUAUAAAAAGUGACUCGUAAAUAUUAUUUCUGUUUGCUCACAAAUUGAAACAUUUAUGAAGAUUGUGGAGAAGUACACCAAUUCAAACAUCGAGAUUCAUACAUUCAAUCAGGUCAUGCAACCUGCGCUAUGUGUUCUACGUGAAUUUGAAAUUUUGGUCAUUUCGCUAAUAGUAUAGUCUAUAUUAAUGACUGUAGGUAAUACUAACACGGCUAUUCCUAACUUAUGCAGAGCCAGUACCCUCGUUUGGUUGUUGAGGACUUUAUUCCCUUGCCGAGCAAAGGGAAAGUCGGGAAGGAUGGCUGGUUAGUUGUGUUGAAUACUGAUUAUCCUGUAAGAUGUAUAGAGUUUCAUACAUUACUUUCAUGCAAUUUUUUCAGUUGUUAUUAAUGUAAUCCGAGUCCUAUCUUAGAAAUGAGUUGUAAGGAUACGAUAACCUCAAUCUGUCUCUCUCUUGCCCCUUUCCAUACGUACUUCUAUUGUUUUGUACACUCCAUAGUCACUAUAGUACUAUCUACAAAGCACUGCCAAGUAUCAAAUGAUUUUUUGCCCAUUUGAGUUAGGUCUACUACGGUUGACUAGACUUGGGUGCAUAAUUAAACAAGGAAGGAAAUAAUAACAGAUGUCACUCCAUGAAGUAUCUGAUAUUCUAUUAUUUGGAUAAGAGCUGAAACAUGUUGAGACAAGUAGAUAAAGUUUACGCUCAUUUUCUUGUGUUUCAACGUAUUGAGCUUAGAAACGUCGUUGAUUCGUUUGUACUAUCUCAUCUGAUGAUUGGAACUCUCAAGUGUGCUUGAUGUGGACUCUAAUAAUAUAGAUUGUUUGGUCUGUUAUGUAGUAGUCUGCCCUUGUUCUUUCCUCCAGUUUCUUCUACAUUCACUUAGUAAUUUCUUCUAGAAUUGCAGUUAGAUACAUUUGCAGUUUAUUUAUGGAAAAAAGCCAUUUAAUGUGGGAGGAGUUCAAUUGUAGAAAGAAAUCAAGUUAGACAAGGCCUCGUGUUGAAUUGUGUCAUUUUUUGUUCUGUUUUUUUAUUAAAUAGAAUUUAUGCAUGGAAUAGUGUUGGAGACAAUGACAAAUUGUUUGUAAUCCUUACAUCUGACAGUCUGUUUGGCAACAAAAUUAAAAGCUUGGAAGCAACUACUUAUUUACUGGAAAGAUCUUUUUUGAAGAUGUUGUCAUCCAUACUUCGCACGGGCGCAUUGCAAGCUAACCAAUCAUAACAAGAAGAGAAAACUCCUUUUGUUGAUAUAUCAAAUUAUAUAGAAUGUGUUGAAAAGAUAAAAAUGGCAAUGAUACCAAUAAAGGCCUAAGUUUUCUAAAUCAAAGAUAAUCUGGAAAAGGAAAUGAAAAAAUGAUUAGAAUUAGAAUGAUAUUAAAUGGGAUCCCAGCAAAGAGAAAUCUUAGGUGUACUUUACCGUUUGCUCACUAAUAUCCUUUGUAUGGUAUUGAAUCAUUUCAAAUGAGAGAUGGGCCGUAUGAGCCACUACAGUAAGAUUAGGUGCCAUCUUUGGUAAUUUUGGAAUUCAGGGCCAUGAUCCCUGCUAACCCGUCUCCAUUUCUGUUUAUAUAAGGAAGGUGAUUGAGCCAAAAGAACGCUAAAUUUUGUAUUAUUGAUGCACAAGUGCAUCAAAAAGAAGAGCUGCAUAAUGAAAAAAAGUCCACCCACAAUUGAUAGGCACAGUUUCCUUGCCCAGCGAUACUCUAUAUACCUAAUUUUGGGUUUUGUUUCCAACUUAUCAUAGAGUUGACUUUUUGGCUGAUUUCUAAGUUCAGCCAUAAUAAACAAAAAAAUGACAUAAUGUCCUUUUGCUUAUGUGAUAAUGGAAUUCAACACAGGAAAAGAAGGAAGUUGUUAUCUGUUUAUAUUAGGUUAUCAGGAAUUGGAAUAAGGUCAGUUUUUAGGACCGCCAAAUAUAUGAAGUCAAGUUAUCUUCCCAUUUGUAGCAAAGCUUAUAUACUUCCCCGUAAUUAUUUUUGAUUUUGGAAGGAAAUCAGUCUUCAGAAACCAAAUAAAGUCGUAAUACAAGCAACAAUUAGUAUGAUGAUAUCGGUCGACAUUGCCUUGUGAACGAAGUACUUACCUACAUUAUUCCACUUCGCCGCCAGGGUAAAAUAUCAUGCUCUGCAUGUUUGACCUUGUUAAGAAUUUAGCAUUUAGUAAAUAAUACAUUCAGGUAAAAUUUCUGUGGUAGGUGCUAAACUAGUAUCUGAUGGUUCAUUAUCAUUCUGUACCUGCAGAAAGGGCAACAAAGGGAACAUCGGACUGUCUCUGUCUUAAGUCAUAGGGGGACCAGACUUGUAUUGAUUAAAAUAUUCUGUAGAAAUGAGUAUUCAUGACAGCCAGCAUUGCUAAGUAAUAUACGAAUGUCUGUGGGCUGCUGUUUUGCAAGAGCUUAUUCAGAUGCUCCUGGAGGUCAACUUUGAUGUUGGUCUUUUGAUGGUAAUUAGCUGUUAUUUUAGUUAAUCCAAGCAACUUUGACGGGCUCUCUGUUUAAUUAAGCAGCUAAAGUAAUUCUGUCAACGAGAAGUCACCAUCAGGAAGAGAGAGCAUGGCAAUGAUAUGUGCCAUUAGCAAUUACUUUACUCUUUUAAAUAGUUUCCUUCAAUAGGAACUUCAAAUUUUAGAUGACCGAUUUGCCUUAUUUGAUUCUUAUCUUGAUCUGGUGCCUUAUGCUGCCAGGACUUUUUCAAUGAAUAUAGAAUUGACAUUCUGUGUUACAAGGAUUGACAUGUUUAUUUUACUUUGUUCUGUGAUGUAUUAAAAAUGCAUCUGAUUUCAGGUUUAGUAAAUCUUUGCCCAUGGACAUAAAAAUCAAUGUUUUGAUAAUUUGGAUCAGUAAAUUAAGAGGGAAAAAAAACUAAAAUAUAUGGACGAAGGCCGUUUUUCGUUUUCUAUUGCUGUAUUGACUAGUCCUGUUUUAAGAUCUGAAUCUUCACAUGUUCACUUUGAAAUUGAAGGUAUCCUCCUGGCCAUGGUGAUGUAUUCCCAUCAUUGAUGAAUAGUGGGAAGCUUGAAGCCUUACUAUCUAAGGUUAGAAUGAGAAAGCAGAAUAAACCAUGUAAAACUUAAUAUUGCUUCUUGUGUAGCCUGUACUUUCAAAUCAUAUAUUCUAUCCAGUAAUAUCUUUUAUAAGCUACCGUCUAUGUUCACUUAUUAAUAUAUUUAAUGUUUCUAUACAAACCUCUUUCAGGGUAAGGAGUAUGUCUUCAUUGCAAACUCUGACAACUUGGGUGCCAUUGUCGACUUAAGUAUCCUUAUAAUAAUUGUGGUUGUGCACUCAUGAUUAUUAAUCCGAGCUUGCCUGGUUUUUAACUUUUAGUAUGUUAUCUGGAUUGUUUAUUUUGUGUAUCAUCCUUGACCAACCAAAACAGAAAUCUUAAACCAUUUGAUUAAUAACCAGAAUGAAUAUUGUAUGGAGGUAUGUUCUGAUUCGUUUAAUUUAGUAAUAUAAUUUGUUAGUCCCAUAUUCAAUUCCUCUAGUGCUGCUCAGGUUACUCCAAAAACUUUGGCUGAUGUUAAAGGUGGUACACUGAUCUCAUAUGAAGGAAGACUUCAGGUAGUUGGGAAUGAAUUAUUCAUUUUGCUGACAUGGAUUCGCUAUUCAUCCUUUUAUAUUCCACUUUUAUUAUUGAAGCCGGCUUAGAUGUUUGAGUUGUUGCAGUAUGUCUUGUAAAUUUUAAUGAGGUUAUUACAUAUGCACCUGCAAAAUUAUCUUUUACAUCCCAGCAAUAUCUGAAUUUUCACGUAUGCUUUUCAAAACUUUAUUUGUCACACAUAUAUCCUUGUAAUUGUUAAAAUGCCCGGAUACAAAAGAGCUUUUAAUACAAAAACCAGCUUCCCACUAAUUGAAUGGCCUUCAACAUAAAAAAGUUAUUGCUGUAAAAAUUUCACUGCUGGGGGGUUAAGGGAAUAUUGACAUAAAUAGAUAAUUUUGCAGGGAUACGUAUAUAAGGGUCCUAAAUUUAAUUGAUGGUGAAUUAUUUUGCUAUUCUCAUUUAGCAGCCACGUAAUUUAUCUACCUACAAACUACUUGCUGAAACUUUUGCAAUUUGAUUCUGAAACUUCCCAAUCAUUGAUCUACAACAGUGUGAUUUCAGUAAUUAGUUACUUAAGCAAAAGAAAUUGUUACUAAUGUUCAAAACUGAGAACUGUCAAUGAAUGAAUUUCCGUGAAGUCAUUUGUCACUUCGACCAAUGAGUUAACAACUGGUUGAAGUAAUGAUAUCACAUGAUGUCAGAAUUGUAGUAAACUGCAUGUAAACUAAAAAUCGACUUGCAUUUAGACAAUGAGGAAAACCAGAAUAAAGGGGUGAAAAAAUUAUCCAAACCCCAAUUUAUGGUAUACUGAGUAGGUUUAUGCUUACCACUUGAGCAUCCAUAUGUUUAUGUCUGCAUUGUUGCAUGAUUAUAAGCAUGUAGUUCAGGCAAUUGCUGACCAACUAUACUGCCAUAUAUAUGUAGAAUUGGCGAGUUAAACCAUUUCAGCAGGAAUGAGAUACUCGAACUCUUAUUUUAUUUAAAGUCAUCAUGGCGUAUUGUUGUUUACAAUUCAACUUCUGUAUACACAAUGUUUACCUACUGUUGACCAAUUCUUCUCUGCAUAUGCUGAUUAGAGCUUCACUGCUUUCUGUUUGUUGCUUUUCUGACAUUUUCAUGUACAAAAUUUUUGCAGCUUUUGGAGAUUGCACAAGUUCCUGAUGCGCAUGUAAGUUCAGAUAUGAAAUUUAUGUUUUGCUUAUCAUUUAUAUAAUGUCUCAAUAAAGUUCUACAUGUCUAAAAUCUGCAUAUCUAUGAAUCAGAGCAAUAAUGACUAAUAUUGACAUGAAUAAUUUUCUGGUGAUGCAGGUGAAUGAAUUCAAAUCAAUUGAGAAGUUCAAGAUUUUCAACACCAACAACCUGUACGUUAAUUAAGAUUUCAUAGAAUUUUGGAUUUAAUCAUCUUGGUCUGAUCGAAACAAUUCUGGUUAACACAACAGAUGGGUGAACUUGAAGGCCAUCAAGAGGCUUGUUGAAGCUGAUGCUCUGAAAAUGGAGAUUAUUCCAAACCCCAAGGUAAUUAUCCAUUGUAGCUUAUCUUUAUCAUCAUGAGAAAAUGGGAACAAUGCUGACAAAAUAUUAUAUAUAGGAAGUGGAUGGCGUGAAAGUUCUUCAAUUGGAAACAGCAGCUGGAGCAGCCAUUCGGGUAUUUACCAGACAUCAUUUUUUUUCCUUUUAAAAUUUUUUUUUGCUAUAGUGAGAAAUUCUUACUUUUUAACACAUAAUCAGUUCUUCGACAAUGCAAUUGGUGUUAAUGUUCCUCGAUCCCGCUUCCUCCCAGUGAAGGCAACGUCAGAUUUGCUUCUUGUGCAGGUUUAGAUUCUCCUCCUGAAUAUGAUAAGCAAUUCGUUGUGAGCAUUCUUUGUCUUUCUAAGACGUGUCUUUAUGCAGUCCGAUCUUUAUACCUUGGUUGAUGGCUUUGUUAUCCGUAACAAAGCUAGGACAAACCCGUCAAAUCCCACAAUUGAACUGGGACCUGAGUUUAAGAAGGUAAACUCAAAUUUAACAAACUUUUUAUUUACUAGAUCAAGAGCACUGAAGUUUAUUCCAAUGCUGUAGGUUGGUGACUUCCUUAAACGCUUCAAGUCCAUCCCCAGCAUAGUUGAGCUCGAUAGUUUAAAGGUUUCUGGUGAUGUAUGGUUUGGUGCUCGCGUUGUCCUUAAGGUAACUAUGCACUCACCUGUUCUUGUGUUUUUACCAUCUCUUAUUGGUCAAAUGUCUUAUAUCCUUUUCCUUUUUUUACCGUUUCUUAUUGGUCAAUGUUUUAUACUUUUUUACAUUUUAUCGUCACUACUGCCUGACAAGACAUCAGAAUUCAUCCCAACAAGAUGUAAUCGUGUUACUGCAUCAGGCAUAUAUAUAUGUAUACACACACACACAUACACUUAGAAUUUGGUAGUCAUAUCAAAUAUAGAGGAAAAACUAUUACUUCAGAUCAAAUCUACACUGAUUGACAUGUGCAUUGUCGUUAGUCAAGGGCCCACAAAAGCUGUGUUUCUAUAUUAUUCCUUUUAUUUGUACGCCUCUUUAGCUUCGCCAGAGCAAAAUGAGGCAGUAUACUUCGUACUUGAUGUUCUGCCACAGGGGAACCUACAAUUCAUGUUUGUUAUCCCACCCAUAGUUAGUUAAUUCGGAUUCGGCAAAAAUUCGGUACGAGUAUAAUACGUAUAAAAUUCGUUUUCUAAUUUUUAAAUUCGUUGAAAAAUUCGGCUUAAAAACGGAUUCGGUAUAAAAUAUAAAAUAUAAGAUAUAAGAUAAUUUAUAUUUAAAUAUAAAAAUUAUAUGUUUUUUAUUCAUAUUUUUUAAUAAUUCGGGAAUAAUUCGCGAAUUAUUCGGCGAGCCCAAAAAUUCGCGAAUAAUUCUAUCUUUGGAAAAAAUUUGUAAACGAACCGUUUAAUUCGGAUUUUCAAUAAUUCGUGAAUAAUUCGCGAAUUAACUAACAUAGAUCCCACCUGCCGACACUCUUUAAUGUAUCCAAAUUAAUCCCUUUUUAAUCUCAUUUACUCACUGGUUGAAACAUAUAGCUUGGAGACUUUGGGAUAAUCGAUCAGCAAGGCUCAACCUAGUUUCCCGUCUGUCCUUCCUGAGGCACUUGCGUCGAUGCAAAAGGCAAACGCUAGAGUCAACGCANAAUGUAUCCAAAUUAAUCCCUCUUUAAUCUCAUUUACUCACUGGUUGAAACAUAUAGCUUGGAGACUUUGGGAUAAUCGAUCAGCAAGGCUCAACCUAGUUUCCCGUCUGUCCUUCCUGAGGCACUUGCGUCGAUGCAAAAGGCAAACGCUAGAGUCAACGCACCUUGUCUUAGGGCUAAAGUCACUGUCUGUUUUUCUUGCCUCACCCAAGCAUCUAUGCAGGCUAGGCACUAGAGAAACCUUUUGCUGUUAAAAAGAAAAAAAAAAAAAACUGCGGCCGUAAUACAACUUGUCAGCUUUCAUCUAUCUAUCUUGUACCAAAGAACAUGCUCUUUAUUUAUAGUUACUCAUUUAGUUUUAUAACCCUGCUAUCUGCCUAAUACUUACCAAUCUAUUCUUAUCUGUAGGGCAAGGUCGUCAUCGCUGCAAAACCCGGUGUGAAGCUCGAGAUCCCAGAUGGAGUCGUGCUUGAGAACAAGGUAUUAAAGGAGAAUAUGGCAAAUAUUCUUUUUUUCCUUUGUCGAUGCCCAUAGAAGUUUCAUGCUCCUUUAUUAAGGUAAAUCUGUUUUGUUUGCUUAUUUCAGGAGAUCAACAGCCCGGAGGACAUCUAAGCAUAUGCUUGACCUUCUCCAGUUUUGUUUCAGUCAUGUUUCGCCCAGGUCUGAGGGUUUGUGUUAUCUCAUCUAUGCUCCAGGUUUUAUAUAUAAACAUGCCUGAGUAACCAUAAUAAUAAUAAUAUAUGUACUCUGUGCUCGCGCACCAUUUUUGUUUUGAGGCAUAUUUUUUUCUCUUAGUAGGAUUAGAAUAUAUGUCGUUGUAUGAAUAAUGAGAAGCACCCUACUUUUUAAGGAUCUAUUGAAGCAUUCAGGAUCAUAGGAAGGAGAAAGUAAUAUUUCAAUGGACGAACGCGUGUUGGUGUUAACCUUUUUACUUGGGUUAAGAUUCUCUUUACAGCGACUUUGAUAGUUAGUUAAACAAGAUUGAGUUUAGUGUUGUAAACUAGUAAAUUAUUAUUAUAAGUUUAAGGUUUAUUUGGCCUGAGGGCUAUCACGUCACUGACACGUGGUAUGCUGGUGUGUUGGCAUGGUCAGCACGGGCGGCUCGCGUUCCGCUCGCGUCACUGACACGUAGGGCUGGCAAACGAGCGAGCCGGCUUGCAUUCGGCUCGUGUUCCGCUUGAUAUUCGGCUCACUCGAGCUCGACUCGAAAUUAAAUGAGCUGAGCUUGAACAAAAUAAAAGGCUCGAAAUUCAUUUCAAGCCGAGCUUGAGUAUUACUCGGCUCGUUCGAAUUAGGCUCGAAAAGCUCGAAUAUAUAUAUAAGUCCGGCUACUAUACUUUUAUGAGUAUUGGCUCUCUUAUACUCAUAAGUUUUCGGCCCUUAGAUUUAUUCCCUUGGUCAUUUUGAUCCGUUAGAUCAUACUAUUCAACCAAUUACCCACUCAACUCUAGGAGACCGCUAUCAUUUUAAGUGGAGACCACUAUCAUACUAACCACACAUCCCAUCAAUCAACGGUUAAAAAUUUAUGAGUACAAGGGUGUCUAUACUCAUAAAAGUAUAGAAGCCCCAUAUAUAUAUAUAUAUAUAGUUGGACUGGGCUACUAUUAGUAGCAAAAUUCCAUUGUUGCUACCAGUUUUUUAGCCUUUGGAUCAACUCUUUUCAUUAUUUCUAACCAUUGGAUUAAAUACUAUAACCCAGUGGGGACCACUCAACCCUAGGGGGACCACUCAACUCUAACUGACUAAUAUCAUCCUGACCCUAUAAUUUUUCAUCCAAGGGUUAAAAACUUGAUAGCAAAAAGAGCGUUUUACUAUUAAUAGUAUUCAACCUAAUAUAUAUAUAUAUAUAUAUAUAUAUAUAUUAUUAUAUAUAUAUAUAUUAUAUAUAUUAUAUAUAUAUAUAAUGUGAGGCUACUAUGCUAUCGAAGCAUGGACCUUCCGUGCUUCCAGCUUAUUUUCGAUGUUGCGACUUUGAAUCGUCGAUCGGCUCCUUUAACUUGAUCUAGAUUAUUUGAAGUAUCUAGAAAAUAAUUUUAUGAUUUACGAUAUCAUUUGCCUAGUAAUGAAGGGGCUCAAAAUCAACGGCUGAAAAUAAAAAUCUUACAAAAUGUAAUAAUAUGACAUUGAAAUUUUAAAUCAAAGAUAUUGAUCUUUUAUAUAGUAUAAAGAAUUUCUAUCAAAAUUUCACAUGAUUUGGAUAUUUCUGCACCGUUAAACUUGCAAACGGCUCACUACGGCCAUUGAAAUUUGUUGAUUUUGAGCGCCAUUCGAUCACUAGGCAAAUGAUAUCGAAAAAUAAUAAAAUUUAUUUUCUAGGUACUCCAAAUACUCUAGAUCAAGUUUAACGGAGCGAGAUCGACGAUUCGAAGUCGCAACAUCGAAAACGAGCUAGAAGCACGGAAGGCUCCAUGCUUCCGAUAGCAUAGUAGCCUAUAUAUUAUAUAUAAUAUAUAUAUAUAUAUAUAUAUAUUAUAUAUAUAUAUUAAUAUUUAUUAAAAAUAAUGUAUUUAAUUAUAUAUAGGCUUUAAUUUAAUUUGGGUCAUUAUUGUUGGCCAUAAAAUAAACCCAACAAGUACAACGUUGCAAUUGACCAAACUCUAAAUUUACAUAACACACUCUCUUUUUCAGACUUUCACUGUUGCACAUAACUCUAAAACAUGAUAACAUUCAAAUUUCUCAAAUUCUAAUUUUUUUCCCUCUUCUCUCUCUCUCUCUGACCUCACCCAGUCAGGCAGUCACCUAAGCUCACAUUUCUUACAAUUAUUUUGUUUUUGAACUAUUGGACAUGUUACAUCAAAUUAUAGGUAAUAUUCUAUAAAAAUUAAAUAUUGAUUAUAUAAUGUCGAGAAUUUUCAAUCGGCUCGUUUAGAGUCUCGAGCUCGCUCGUACUCGAAAUUAGGCUCGCUCGAGCCGCGGUCGAAUUAUUUCAAGCCGAGCUUGAGCCUAGAUUUAGGCUCGAAAUUAAUUUCAAGCCGAAUUUGAGCUGACAUAAGCUCGCUCGAGCUCGGCUCGUUUCCACCCCUAAAUAGCCGUCACUUACAUAUAAUAUUUUCAAAAUACACUUGCAUAUAAUAUUUUAGCUAUUCAAUCUUCUAAAUCUCCUCAUCCAUCUCCUGAUCCUUAUCCUAGAAAUAAUGCCAAAUACAACCGUUGAAUUAUAUUUGAUGGUGUUGAGAAAAAAUUUAAAUUCUAUGGUUGUAAGUAACUUAUUUUAAAAAAGAUAGAUAUUAAUUGAAAUAGAGUGGAAUUAACCUAGAUGUGAAUGACAUUUUUGAAAAAAAUAAAAAUAAAAAUAAAAACUCACUCUUUUAUAAAUAGUAUAAUUAAUAGAGUGUAAAUUUUUUUCAAUUUGUAUGAUUAUUGUAUUGUUCGAAUUUUCAAAUGCAAUGUUUUUCAAAUCUAUGAAAUUGUUUGUUGUUUCGAUUUUUAAUUUUAUUUUACAAACCAAGUAUACAUCAUUUUCUCAAUAUGUGUACUUUAAAUCAUAGAAAUUUUUUUUUUGAAUCUAUGCACUUUUUUUAAAUCUUCUCCUUUAUGUAUAGUAAUAUAUUUUGAUCAUAUUAAUUUUUAUGAUCUAUUUAAAAUUUAAAGGUUGUUAAUAUUUUUUUUAAAAAAAUUUUAGAAAAAAAUUUUAUUAUUUUUGAAUAAAUAAAUUGUGUAAUGCCUAUAUAUAUUUAAUCAUACGUGAUAUUUAAUCAUAUGUGAUGUAUGGCACAUUAAGCUAUUCCAUUUAUUUUGAUUUUGAAUUAUUAUAUUAUUUUGAAUUUUUUUUAAUAUCAUUUUAAAGAAUUUUUUAAUUUGUGAAAAUUUUUUAAUAUUGUUUGGUUUUUAAGUUUUCCUGGGAUUUAAUUUACGUCUAUUAGAAGUUUGAAAAAAUUAAAUUUCUUUAGAAAAUUAAAAGUUAUGUAUUUAGUUUUUCAAAAAUUUUAAACAAUAUAUUUUAUAUUUUUACUAUUUUAUGCAACGUGUAUUUCACGCGCACUUAGCAAGUAAAUCUAAGUUAGAAACUAAAAUGAAGAAUUAGAUAUAGAUUGAGAAUAUCGGGUAGAACCAAAAUAUCUUUUCAAUUGUCCGAUGAGUAGGAUGACAAUGAAGUACCGGCAAAGGUGACGAUGACGAUGUGCUAGCGAAUGCAACGAUGAUUGGUGAAGGUGACGACGAUAACAUGUUGCCACCGAUGAGGACAACAAUAAUUAAUGUGUCCGAAGAACGAUAGCUUGCGUAAUUAAUAUGAGAGAUAAAAGAUCACGAAGAUGCAAAUUUAUUAGUAUUUAAAAAUUUUUAAAAGUAAAAUAAAAUAUACGAAAGAAGAAUUAAGUGGGAAAUUAUAUUAUGACACUUUAAAAUGAAUUAGAUAUCUUUUUCAAUGAAGAAUUUAUAGAUUGAGAAUAUCGGGUAGAAUCAAAAUACCUUUUCAAUUGUCAGAAAAUUGAUUGUUUCGGUAAGUAGGAUGACAACGAAGUACUGGCAAAGCUGACGAUGACAAUGUGCUAGCGAAGGCAACGAUGAUCGGUGAAGGUGACGACGAUGACAUGUUGCCACCGAUGAGGACGGCAAUAAUGUGUCGAAAAAACGAUGACUUGCAUAAUUAAUAUGAGAGAUAAAAGAUAAUGAAGAUGCAAAUUUCUUCCGACUGACUUGCGCAAUUAAUAUGAGAGAUAAAAGAUUAUGAAGAUAAAAUUUAUUAGCAUUUAAAAAUCUUUAAAAGUAAAAUAAAGUAUACGAAAGAAUAAUUAGAUGGAAAAUUAUAUUAUGACACGUUAAAAUAAAUUAGCUGAGCCAAAAUACCUUUCUAACUGCAGCAAAGACGACCGGGGAUGACUAUGAUGAAUGAAUAAAAUAUUACUAAAAUAAUAUAUGUGAGAAAACAAAAUUAAUAUAUUUCAAAAAACGUAGUGGAAAUGGAAAAGAUAUAGAUAGAGAUGAGAAAUUAUUAAAAAAAAAUAUACUUUAUGCAUCGAUAAGUAUUAUGAUGAAAUAAAAUUGGGUAGGAGAGAAAAAUUUCAUAUGUGAGGGUAUUAAGAUAUUUUUUGUAUUAUGCGUAAAUGAUGGGCAGGUAUUACACAGAAGAAAUAUUUAUACAAUAUUUUUCAGUUUCUUACGAAUUCAAAAUUUAAAUAUAUAUAUUUUAAAGUAAAAAUAUUAAAAUUUUAAUUAUAUUUAAAGUUAAAAUUUAAUUUCAAUCCAAUUUAAGAUUUAAAUUCGAAAAAAUUAAAAUUUUAAAUUUUAAUUUUGAUUCAUUUUAAGAUUUAAAUUAAAAUGCAUGGUCGUGGAGAUAUUAUAUAUUUUUGAAAAAUUCAAAAUUUAACGAAUUAUUUGAAAUGAAUAGUUCAAAAUUUUUGAUUAUGAAAAAAUUAGUAGAAAAAGAUAGAAAUAUUUUCAGAAAGAAAUUCAUGUUUAAUUUAAAAUUCAAAUUUUAAUUUUGAUUCAUUUUAACAUUUAAAUUCAAAUACGAUGGCAGUGGAGAUAUUAUAUAUUUCUAACGAACAAUGAGAAAAAGUUAGAAUUCUAAUGAGAUGUUUGAGUUAGAAUUCUAUGAGAUGUUUGAGAAACGCGUAGAUAUUAUGUAGAUAGUGGACGUAUAUGAUAGGUGGAUUAAUGAGAUAUUUGAAAAAUUUACAGAUAUUACGUUAAGAAAGUAUUGGCUGGUACGAAUAUUACGCGUGAGAAAAAAAAUAUUUAAGAAAAAUAUUUGAGAAACUCGUAAAGAGAAGAUAUGAUAUAAAUGCAAAGGCAUUAUUGUUAUUUGAAAUGAUUAGUUGAAAAUUACUGAACAUGAAAAUAUUAGUAAAAAAAUAGAGUCAAUUUUAGAAAGAGAAAAAUUAUUAGUAUAGGUAAUACCAUCACAUAUAAUAUCUUCCAAUCUCUCCAAUCUUCCACUAUCUAUUAUUUCAUCAUAAUACUUAUCCUAUCUAUUAUUUCAUCAUAAUACUUAUCUUUUCUUACGCCAAAUACCAGAGCAUAUCUAUGAGCAUAUAUUGAUAGAUACCCUCGCAUCAUUGCAUCCGCUGUCCAAUCUUCUCAAAAUCUACUUAUCUUUAUCUCAAUCUGGCAUAUACUUAUUUUUUUUCUAAAACUAGUUAUAGUAGGCAUGCGAUACGCGUCACAUUUAAUUAAAUUAAAUUUAUAUUUAUAUUUUAAAUUUAAAUAAUUAUUGGUGAUAUAAAUUUAUUUAUCAAUUUUUUUUUCUAACUUUAAAUUUUUUUUAAUGUGUAUCCAAAUUUUUAAAAAUUUGAAGUAAUCUAAAUUUAAAAUAAUAAAUUACAUAUUAAAUAUAUGAACAAAACUCAAAUUUUAAAAUUAAUUUGAAUUAGUUAAAUAUAAAUAAUUAUUAGAAAUACGAUUUAUUUAAAUAUUUUACUUAUCUUUUUCAAAGUUUGAUAAUAUUUUAAAGUAAUUAAUUAUUUUCAAUUUGAAAUACUGUUUACCCACCGAAAUAUUAAAAUUUAAUUAAUUUCAAAUGUUGAAUUAAAUAUUAAUUUACAUUUGAAAUUUAUGAAAAUCAAAUUAAAAUUUAAAGCUGAUGAUAAGUUUAUUUAAAUCAUUUCUAUUUUCAAACAUAAUUUCUUUUAGUAGUUAAAUUGAGAAACAGUGAUACUAAAUAUUUUCAAUAUUUUUGCCUAGUGAUUUGAUGAGUAUGGAAUUUUUUUUAUAGGCGCUGUGAAAAAUAUUCUACAUCAAUAUUCUUUGAUUAACAGACAAUUUGAAUAAGUAUGAAUUUUUUUUUUUUUUGCUCUUGUAAAUAGAAUGCAGUUCUGUCAACAACUAUUUUUAAUAAUUAUCUCAAAUUAAUAUAAAUUUGUGAAUCGAUUUAUCUCUAAAUGAAAAUUUUAAAUUGUAAAUUCAUAUUUUAUAUUUUUAUGAAAAAUAUUUCAUAUUUAAAUAUGGCCAAUUUGCAUAAAAAAACUACAAAUUUUGAGCUUUUGCAAAAUUGGGCCCAACCUUUUUCAAUUUUGAAGAUCCGAGCCCGAAUUUUAGCCAUCGGAUGAAAAUACCUCUUUUCCUUUCUUUCUCUUCUUCUUUUUCUCUUUUUUUUCGUUCGUUAUUUUUUUUUGCUCGGCGCACCCUCUCUCCUGCACCCCCGCGCCGACGCUCAUAUUCGCCUAUCUCUAACUACCAGCCCGCCUCCCACAUUCUGCCUCUCUCGUCCGACCCCACCGCGCCCGGAUCUCCCCUUGACCCGCCACUCGUGCCGCUGCCACCACCGUGCCGUUGCCAGCUGCAGCAUUCACCUUCUCCGUUCCGCCGCGCCGCGCUCCACUGCCGCUUUGCCCCCGUCCGCGCUCCCGCCGCAGUCGCUGCGGUCCGCCGCCAGGGCCGCAUCCCACACGAUGCCGGCGCCACCACCCGCGCUGCUGCUGGCCACUCGCGCCUUUGCCGCUGCCUGCAUCCCACUUUCUCCAUCCGCCGCGCCAUGCUCCGCUGCCGGCCAGGGCCCGCAUCCUACCUUCUUCGUAAGGCAAGGAGGGGAAGAAAGAAAGAGGAAGAAGAGGAAGAAAAAAAAGUGUAAAUUGGAGAAGAAAAAACAUAGUGUAAAUUUCACCUUAGUGAUGCAAAAUUGGGCAAAAUUGUCCAAAAUUGGGCCAAUUUUGGUGAGAGUUGCACAAUUUUGCACCAUUUUACCCAAUUUUAUACCAUUUCAUCCAAAAUUGCACAUAUUUCACCUUCUCUUCCUCUUCUUUCUUCCUUUUUUACACCAUUACAUCAAGCCAUUUUUUAUACCUAAAAAUACAUUUUUUGGACACUCAUCUCCCUCGCCGGAGAGUAGUCCUUGAGGGAGACGACGGCGUCCUUGUCUCAACGCCAAUCUGUAGCAAAAAGAACGUCGCCGCGAGAAAUCGAAAGAUCAUCCCGAGCAUGAGGCCGAUGGUGACGAUGGUCUUGAGGUGCCUGCGGAGGCCGGAGGUGAGAAAUCGCCACCGGAGAGAGGAGGAGGAGGGCUUGGAGGAGGGCUUGGAGGAGGGGAGGGGAGGGAAAGAGGAGGCGAUGAUGAGGCGAGCAUGGGCGAAAGGGGAAGGGCGAGGCGCUCGAAGGCGAGGAACGAAGGAAGGAGGAGGCGAGCCAUCGCGGAGGAGGCGAGGGAAGGAGGGAGGGGCGGGAGGGCGGCAAGAGGAGGCGGCGGCGGCUCGCCGCCGUGAGGGUGGAGGGCAGGAUGGAGGCGGCGGAGGGAGGGCGGAGAAAAAUAACGAAGGAAAAAGAAAGCGAGAGAGAAAAAGAAAAGAGAAAGAAAAGGAAAAAAGAUAUUUUCGUCCAAUCGCGAAAAAUUCGGCCCUAAUCUACAAAAUUGAAAAAGGUUGUCCAGUUUUGCAAAAGCUCAAAACUUAUGAAUUUUUAUGCAAAUUGGCCUUAAAUAUUAGCAGAUAAAAUUGAGAUAAUCUUUAUAUAUUCACCUUUUAAAAAAAAUAUGAUUAAAUAUUAUAUAUGCGGAUUAGAUUAUUUUUAAAAAAUAAACUUAUUUAAAAUAAUAUGAUUAAAUAUUACGUAAUUGGAUAUUAUGUAGCUAUUAUGUAGAUGUGUAGAUAUUACGUUGACAAAAAAAAUAUUUAAGAAAGAGAUAGAUUGUGAAUAUUAUUUGUGAUAAAAUAUGAUAUUAUAUAGGCAGCAAUUAUUAGGAAUUAUAGUACCAUAUAAAAAUGAAAUUUAAUGCUUACUAUCUGAAGCAAUUUAGGUAAAAAAAAAUAAUUAUACUUCGCCGAUUAGAUCAAUGACUAAGAAUUAAUAUAUUUUAUAAUAAUUUAAAAUAAAAUAUAAAAUUAUACGACUGUGAUUAGAAAUAGACUUGAUCUACACUAUUAAAAAUAUUUGGAAACUAAAUUUCAUAAUUUUUGACGUCAUUUACCUAUAAUAAAAAUUAUGAAUUUAAUUUCCAAACAACUUGGUAGCACGGAGGCUUUCCACGAGGCUUUCGUGCUACCAAUAGUAAUACAAGCCUAGCCAAUAUAUAUAUAUAUAUAUAUUAUAAUAUAUAUAUUAUAUAUAUAUAUAUAUAAUAUAUAUAAAGAGAGAGAGAGAGAGAGAGAGAGAGAGAGAGAGCGCGAGUGCUAGGUUUAUAUAUAAUAUAUAUAUUAUUGGAGCUAGGCUGGUAUACUAUCGAUAGCAUGGAGACCUCCGUGCUACCAAGUUGUUUUCAAUGUUGCGGCUUCCAAAUCGACGAUCGGCUCCAUUAGACUUAAUCUACACUGAUUAAAUAUUGGAAACUAAAUUCAUAAUUUUUCGUCAUUAUUGACUAGUGAUCAAAAGUCUCAAAAUUGCGAAUUUUAAUGAUAAUGUUAUGGCGUUGUGAUUUAACGAUUAAAACAAUCAAAUCUCAGUAAAAUUUUUAUAGAAAAAUUCUUUUUAACUAUUUUAAGCCCCCUUCGAUCACUAGCCAAAUGAUAUCGAAAAAUCGCAAAUUUAUUUUCUAGGUACUUUAAAUACUCUAGAUCAACUCUAACGGAGGCCGAUCGCGAUUCGAAAAUCCGAACAUCGAAAACGACUUGAAGUACGGAGGCCUCCGUGCUUCCAUAACAUACCAGCACAACACUCUCUCUCUCUCAAUCUCUCAUCUCUCUCUCCGUCUCUAUAUAGAUAUAUAUAUAUAUAUAUAUAUAUAUAUUAUAUAUAAGAGAGAGAAGAGAGAGGAGAGAAGCAGGGUUGCUGUGCUCUCAGGAGCACGGAGGCCUCCGUGCUCUGAGCCGUUUCGAUGAUGAAAUUUUCGAAUCGACUAUCGCCUCCAUUAGACUUGAAUCUAGGGUAUUUGAAGUUUCUAGAAAAUAAUUUUUGCGAUCUUUUGAUAUCAUUUACCUAGUGAUCGAAAGAAUUCAAAAUUAAUAAUUUUUAAUGGUUGAUAUCUGCCGUUUUCAAGUUUAACAAUGUAAAGCAUUCAAAUCAGAUAAAUUUUGAUACAAAAUUCUUAUACUAUCUACAACAAGAUCAAUAUUUCUGAUCUAAAAUUUUAAGUGCUAUAUCACCAUUUUUUAUAGAAUUUUUUUAUUUUCAGGCCGUUAAAAUUAUUGAUUUUGAAUUCUCUCGAUUGCUAGGUAAUGAUAUCGAAAAUUGCAAAAAUAUUUUUCUAGAAACUUCAAAUACGCUAGAUCAAGUCUAACGGAGCCGAUCGUCGAUUCGGAAAUUCCAUCAUCGAAAACGGCUCAGGAGCACUUAGCCUCCUGCUCCUGAGAGCACAGCAGUCCUGAUAUAUAUAUAUAUAUAUAUAAGAAGAGAGAGAAGAGAGAGAGAGAGAGAGUAGGAGCAAUACUUGUAAAAGUAUCACCCAAGUGAACUUUUGUGUUUUUAGCCCUUGAUGAAGAAUGUGAGGUUGAGAUGAUGGUGGUAGGUAGUGUAGUGGAAUAGUGUAUGAUCCAAGGACUAUAGUAAUCAAACAAAUAGAUCCAAUGGCUAAAAACACACAAGUAUCACUGGUGAUACUUGUAAAAGUAUUCUAGCCGCUACUCUCUCUCUCUCUCUCUCUCUCUAUAUAUAUAUAUAUAUAUUAUAUAGAGUCCGACUACUAUGCUAUUAAUAGCACGAAGCACUUAGUGCUACCAAGUUUUCGCGGUUAGAUCAACCCUUUUGAUCAUUUUCACACCGUUAAAUAUCAUAUUAUUCAAUCAACCACCCACUUAACCCUGGGGGUCACAUUAUCCUAACCAUACUUUCUUAACCAAUGGCCAAAAACUUAGUAGCACCAAUGACUUGGUGCAAUUAAUAGUAUAUUAGCCUAUAUAUAUAUAAUUAUAUAUAUAUAGAGAGAGAAGAGAGAGAGAGAGAGAGAGAGAAGCGCGAGUGCUAGGUUUAUAUAUAUAUAUAUAUAUAUUGAAGCUAGCUGGUAUACUAAUCGAUAGCAUGGAGGCCUCCGUGCUACCAAGUUGUUUUCAAUGUGCGGUUCCAAAUCGACGAUCGGCUCCAUUAACUUAAUUCACAUAUAAAGUAUUGGAAACUAAAUUUCAUAAUUUUUCGUCAUUAUUGACUAGUGAUCAAAAGUCUCAAAAUUGGCAAUUUUAAUGAUAGAUGUUAUGCGUUUGUGAAUUUAACGAUGUAAAACAAUCCAAAUCAGAUAAAAUUUUAAUAGAAAAUUCUUUCACUAUUUAAGCCCCUUCGAUCACUAGGCAAAUGAUAUCGAAAAAUCGGCAAAAUUUAUUUUCUAGUACUUUAAAUACUCUAGAUCAACUCUAACGGAGCCGAUCGUCAAUUCGAAAUCCGAACAUACGAAAACGACUUGAGCACGGAGCCUCCGUGCUUCAUAAGCAUACCAGCACAACACUCCUCUCUCUCUCUCUCUCUCUCUCUCUCUCUCUCUAUAUAUAUUAUAUAUAUAUAUAUAUAGAGAGAGAGAGAGAGAGAGAGAGAGAGAGCAGGUUGCUGUCUCUCAGGAGCACGGAGGCCUCCGUGCUCCUGAGCCGUUUUCGAUGAUUGAAAAUUUCGAAUCGACAUCGGCUCCAUUAGACUUGAUCUAGGGUAUUUGAAGUUCUAGAAAAUAAUUUUGGCGAUCUUUGAUAUCACUUACCUAGUGAUCGAAAGAAUUCAAAUUAAUAAUUUUAAUGGUUGAUAUCUGCCGUUUUCAAGUUUUAACAAUGUAGAAGCAUUCAAAUCAAUGAAAUUUUGAUACAAAAUUCUUUAUACUAUCUACACAAAUCAAUAUUUCUGAUCUAAAAUUUUAGUGCUAUAUCACCAUUUUUAUAGAAUUUUUUAUUUCAGCCGUUAAAAAUUAUUGAUUUUGAAUUCUCUGCGAUUGCUAGUAAAUGAAUGAUAUCGAAAAAUUGCAAAAAUUAUUUUCUAGAAACUUCAAAUACGCUAGAUCAAGUCUAACGGAGCCGAUCGUCGAUUCGGAAAUUCCAUCAUCGAAAACGGCUCAGGAGCACAUUAAGGCCUCCGUGCUCCUGAGAGCACAGCAGUCCUGAUAUAUAUAUAUAUAUAUAUAUAUAUAUAUAUAUAUAUAUAAUAUAUAUAUAUAGAGAGAGAAAGAAGAGAGAAGAGAGAGAGAGUAAGCUAGAAUACUUGUAAAAGUAUCACCGAAGUGAUACUUUUGUGUUUUAGCCGCUUGGAUGGAGAGAUGUAGGUUGAGAUGAUGGUGGUAGGUAGUGGAGGUGGAAAUAGUGUAUGAUCCAAGGACUAUUAUAAUCAAAAAGUAGAUCCAAUGCUAAAAACACACAAUAUCACUUGGGUGAUACUUGUAAAAAAUAUUCUAGCCAUACUCUCUCUCUUCUCUCUCUCUCUCUCUAUAUAUAUAUAUAUUAUAUAUAUUAUAUAUAUAUAUAUAUAUAGAGUCUGACUACUAUGCUAUAAUAGCACGAAGCACUUAGUGCUACCAAGUUUUCCGCCGUUAGAUCAACCCUUUUGAUCAUUUUCACCCGUUAAAUCAUAUUAUUCAAUCAACCACCCACUUAACCCUAGGGGGCUCACAUUAUCCUAACCAUACUUCCUUAAUCCAAUGGCCAAAAACUUAGUAGCACCAAUGACUUGGUGCAAUUAAUAGUAUAUUAGCCUAUAUAUAUAUAUAUAUUAUAUAUAUAUAUAUAUAUAUAUAUAUAAAGAGAAGAGAGAGAGAGAGAGAGAAGAGAGAGAAAGAGAGAGAGUGGGCUGGUAUCUUCUGGAAGCAUGAGCCCAACCGUGCCUUCCAAGUUGCUUUCGAGUUCAACUUUCGAAUCGACGAUCAGCUCCGUUAGACUUGAUCUAGAUUAUUUGAAGUACCUAGAAAAAUAAAUUUAGAGAAUGGGUUGGUAUGCUUCUGGAAGCACGGAGCCCACCGUGCUUCCAAGUUGCUUUCGAGUUCGACUUUCGAAUGACGAUCGCUCCGUUAGACUUGAUCUAGAGUAUUUGAAGUACCUAGAAAAUAAAUUUUGUGAUUUUUCGAUAUCAUUUGCCUAGUGAUUGAAGGACUCAAAAUCAAUAAUUUUAAAGGCCGUUGUGAGCCGUUUGCAAGUUUAACGUAUAGAAAUAUCCAAUCACAUGAAAUUUUGAUAGAAAAUUCUUUAUAACCAUAUAAAACAAGAUCAAUAACUUUGAUCUAAAAUUUAAUGUCAUAUCAUUCAUAUUUGUAAAAUUUUUAUUUUCAGCCGUUGAAUUUUGAGCCACUUCGAUCACUAGCAAAUGAUAUCGAAAAAUCGCUAAUUUAUUUUCUAGAUACUUCAAAAUACACUAGAUCAAUUCUAACAGAGCCGAUCGUCGAUUCGAAGUCCGAACAUCAAAAACAACUUGGAAGCACGGAGCGCUCCGUGCUUCCAGAAGCAUACCAGAGCGCGCGCUCUCUCUCUCUCUUCUCCUCUCUCUCUCUCUCCUCUCUCAUCUCUCUCUCUCUCUCUCUAUAAUAUAUAUAUAAUAUAUAUAUAGAUAGAAUUAGGCUACUAUACUAUUUAUAGUAUAGUAUAAAAUAUAUAUAUAUAUAUAUUAUAUAAUAUAUAUAAUAUUAAUAUAUAUAUAAGAAUUAGGCUAGCAUACGAUUUAUAGUACUGGAGCUCUGAUAUUAUAGUCUUGUUUUCAAUCUUAGGGUGUUCAAAUUAACGAUCUACACCGUUAAAUAUGAUCUAGGGUAUAUGAAGUUCUUAGGAAUAAAAUUUUAGUUUUUUUCAAUAUCGUUUACUUAGUAAAUAAAUUAUGUCAAAAUAGACGGCGGAAAUUAAAUAAUCUUUAAAAUUUGAGCAUAGGACUUUUAAAUUCAAGAUUAAGAAUGUUAACCUUAAUCUAAAUAGUUUAAAAGUAUUUUCUAUCAAAAUUUGAAGAAAUUUAGAUUCUUCUGCACCGUUAAACUCCAAACUCACCAUAGUAGCCGUUGAAAAUUGACAAUUUUGAAAUGGUUUGAGCAUAAAGUAAACUAUGUCGAAAAAAUAUAAAAUUUUAUUUCUAAAAACUUUAAAUAUCCUAGAUCAGUUUUAACGGUGUGGACCGUUGAUUUGAACACCCUAAGAUCGAAAACGAAACUAUAGUACUGGAGCCCCGGUACUAUAGAUAGUAUAGGAGACUAGCUAUAUAUAUAUAUAUAUUGGAACUAGGCUGGUAUGUUAUCGGUAGUACGGAGACCUCAGUGCUACCAAAUUGUUUUCGAUGAUGCGGCUUCCAAAUCGACAAUCGACUCAGUUAGACUUCAUCUACACUAUUGAAAAUAUUUGAAAACUAAAUUUCAUAAUUUUUCGAUAUUAUUUACACCUUACGAAAUAAGUAAGAAAAAUGCUCGGUCUCAUCUUACUACAUCUGCUAAGAUGACGAGCUAUCAACAAAUAUCUUUGAAUGAAAAAAGGGAGCCUUCAUCUAAUACAUAUUCUUAAUUUUAAUUUAGAAGGUAAGUAGCUUAGGAUAAGUAGGUAAAUAGAUAACGUGGUUAGUACGUAAGUGAGAAACACGUUGGGUCUCACCUAGCACAUUUGCAAAUAUAAUAGUGAGCUAUGAACAACUUUAAGCGAGUGAAAAGAGCCUAACUCUAUUACCUCUUCUAAAGUAAACAAAAACCGCUACAUGAACACACCCCAAUAUACUGGGGUGUAUUUGUUACGAUCCAAGAGUUUUACAUAACCCUUUCAGACUUUAGUGGAAAAAAAAAUACAAGGUAUAUAGGUAAUAUGGGCCACAUGCAGCCUAACGUUUUAAGUUUUAUGCCUAUAUGAUAGGUAUACAGGUAGCAUUGCUCUUAAGAAAAUUAGCAGAUAAGUAAAAGGUAGAUAAAUAGGCACAUAAAGAAGCAGGUAGGUAAGUAGAUAAGCAAGAAAAUGUUGAGUCUCAUCUCUUACAUCUACUAACAUAGUGAGGUAUUAGACAAGGUAUUGACAGAUAUCUUUAAAUGAAUAUAAAAAAGUUUUCAUCUAUUACAUCUUCUGGAAUAAGUUGGUAAGCAGGUAAGUAGGUUUGAAAAGUAGGCAUGCAAUAUGUUGGUUAGUAACUAAGGUAAGAAAGGAGGUAGGUAACUAAGAAAAAUGUUCGGUCUAAUUUAGCGCAUGUCCUAACAUGAUGAGCUAUGAACAUUUCUAAAUAAAUAAAAGGGUAAACUUCAAUUUGCUCAUUGUGGUUUACUUCAUUUUUACUUUGUUACCUUAUAAUUCAAAAAGUUGCACUUAGCUGCCCUUUGAUUUUAUUUCUAUUUGUACAUAAAAAAAUCUACUAUCAAAUAGGAUAGCACAACAAAUUUUUUUAAAAAAUGACAAGAUAAUUAAGUGUAACUUUUUGAACCGCACGGUGGUAAAAUAAAAAUGAGCUCAAUUAUAGUGCAGUCAAAUACAACUUUUUGAAUCAUAAGAUGACAAAGUGAAAAUGAGUUAAGCUAAAGUUUACCCUAAAUAAAAAGAGCCUCCAUUCAUAAAAUCUUUUGAGCUAAGUAGUUUAGUAGGUAGGUUAAGUAGACCUUAACAUAAAAGGUAACCAAAGUACUAACAAUACCUAGAGAGCUAGGUGCUGCUUCGACACUCUGCUAGAAAUUCCAAACCCUUGCACUUGCACUAUGGCUCUAAAUAGUCUGUAACAAUUUGAUAAACACUUACUAAACUUGUCUCACUACUACAGACUGCUAAAUUUCAAGGCAAAAUAAAUUGGUGUUGCUGCAGUUCAAGAUUUACCAAAAAUUAGGCACUAAUCUCCAGUCACAUGUUUUCAGAUAGCGGAAAGCAGUGCUUGUGUAAUAAGAUUUAAUGGCCAUUUCUAGCAGACGCACGUGCAGUAUGGCAGUUGAAGCUACAUUUUGCGUCUAUCCCCUAGUGUAUAACCUAAUUCAAGCAUCAAACAUCUUCCAGAUUAUAAAGAUGAGAAAAGACAAAACAAAACCAUAUGAAUAAUGCAGCAAUAUCCUUCAUAACUAACAAACAUUAGUUGAAUAUACAUCCACAAUUCAACAACAGGAGUAUUAAAGCUCGACAAAUAUCUGGUGAAAGAGAAAGCACAAUUGCAAGAAAAAGAAUCAAACAUUUGCAUAUCUGGUAAAAGCGAAAGCACCAUCAGUGAUUGCAUGAAAAAGAAUCAGUUAUUCGCUUAAGGUAGGCAAUAGGACGAGCAAAUAAUCAUUGAUGGACAACAAUGCACAUUUAUGCAAACAAUUCAAAUUGCAGUCCGGAUAGGAGAUCGAACUCACCAGUUUGAUACUCAGAUCAGAAGCAAUGAUAAUUUUCUUCUCUGAUUCCAUUCACCAGCCGGCCAUCAAUAUUCGAGAAAUCUCUCAGCGGCUUCAAUUUUAUUUCUCGGAAGGAAACUAAUGCAUAACAAUCACGAGUGCAAAUGAUGGUCCACAUCAAAGCUAUGCAGAUCGGAUGGGCUGGCACCUGGCCUGUUGAACAAAGCAAAGAUCGAUUAGGGCUUCCGAACAAACAUAAAAGGGCAAGAAAAUACACAUUUCUUGGGGAUCAUACGAAUCUCUCUUCCAAAUAGUCAUUAUAUUUUCAAUUUCAAAAGGAAAUCAAAUUACUAGCUACUUCUAACUCAGCAAGGAUGUUAUCCAGGUGAAUCACUACUUUGACCUGGCAAGAGGUUCAACAUAAGCAGGAAGAUUUUUUUCUUUUGCAAAGCAUACCAGAUUAUCAGUUGCUGCAGUUAGAAAGUUUCUAUAUAUAAAACCUGUAAUCAAAAUCCCUAUUUCACCAGGUGAAAAUAAUUUUCACAGUUUUCAGUUUUCAGGCUGGGGCCAACUUGGAUAGCUCCUAACAAUUAAUGAAUGGCAAGUGUUGAAAAUUUUUUUUUUUCCCUUGUAUUUUAUCCCGCUUCCACUUACCUUUUGUUUAUGGUGCAAUAGUGAAACUUGAUAUUUCCAGAUUUCAUAUCUUCCAUGUACUGCAACCACAAUACAAAAAUUAUAGCUCAUAUUCGCAACGUAUGAUGACACACACACACAUACACACACGAGAGAGAGAGAGAGAGAGAGAGAGAGAGAGAGAGACUAUGUACCAUCUUCAAGGUAACAACAAUUGAUGAGAACGCCAAUGAGUGAAAUGGUACUUCAUCCAGUGCAAAAAGUGCACACUCUAGUGACUCAGGGCCGGGUGAAAAUUUGGGCGUCUUUAGUUUCGCUCGGAAAAUGAUGUAACUCUGUACUGCAAAUCAGAUUGGAAACCACAUAAAGAGCUUAUAUAAGGUGAAGAUUUAAAGUAAGGUAGCACAAAUUUAACAUUUUCAAAAGUAGACCUUUUGGGUAUCAGCAAAUGUCCCAUGAAAUGUUAUUAAUGUGUAAACAUUGUUUAACAUGGCAGUUAGUUACUAGUUUAGCUUUCUAAAUUUCAAAGACAAUACCUGACUAGACAUCAAGUCUGAAAAAUUAAACCACCCACUAGCUGCCAUAGGCACCAGCUUUGUCAUCAUCAAGAGAUUCUUAGGUGAAGAUUUAAAGCAAGGUAAAACAAGUACAGUAAUUUAAAGAGUAACCCUUCAUGUACCUCCAAAUAUAUCACUAGUUGUUGAUGAGGAAACAAUGUACAUGGCAGUUGGUAACUAAAUUAGCCACCACAUGACAGAGUUGACUCAUUAACAGUCAUCCUGAGAUAUAUUCCGAGUUAAAUGAAGCAUUACACUUUUUCUCAUCUAUAACUAUGCAUUUUCCUCACUUGGCCAAUCCGUGGAAUAUCUAACUGAGCAAAAGGUGAAAGUAUUUCAACUUCUGCACAUGCUUCUUCCAAGGUUUCUCGAGUGGCCCCCUCAGCAGCAGACUCCCCAACCUCCAGAUAACCAGCAGGAAGAGUCCUGCAGAGAGAUAGCUGGUUAUUAUGUAGCCCUACUAGAGUAUAUUUUUCGAAGAUAAUGAAUAGAAGAGUUUUUUCUUUUCUUUUCUUUUUUUUUGGGUUUACAUCUAACGUGACGCAGUACAUCAAGUCAUUGUUUUGCUUAUUUGUUGACUCGUCAUUUAGACUUUUAUUAGUGUACUUACUUAUGGGUUGUUUGCUUCAAUACAAGCAUAGUUUGUUAGAGGAGGUAGAUUGGCCCAAACCCUAAUCUAACCCAAACAUACCUAAAUCUGAACCUAAAAAUCCAAUAAAACCAGCCCAUAAUAAACCCCAAUAGACUCAAACCCUAAUCUAAUGUAAAUAGGCUUAAACCUGAAACUAAAAAUCCAACAAAACCAGCCCAUAAAAACCAAACUUGAACCUAAAACCCAACAAAAUUCGGCCCAAAACUAAACCAAACCUGAACGGAAUCUUUUUUUUUUUAUUUUCUGCCAAUAGGUGUGGCCAAACAAGAUCGGUGGAGCCCACAACCUUCUCCAACAUCUUAUUCUUAUGUAGGAGGCAUCUUUAACAAUUCAGAAGCCACCAUAUGGCGAAGGAAAGAGAAGAAGGAAGCCCAAAAGCCACCAGCCCCUCUUUUGUUGUGGGUGGCUCCUAAGGAGCCACAAGCAAUGUUUUUUCCCCCAAGGCAGAAACAAAAAAAGAGAGAGAAAAAGAAAACAAAAAGAAAUACAUACUCUUGGGGUCUUUUGGGGGACAUUUUGGGGAACUAUCUGACACUACAUACCCUCCUCUUUCUCUCUUUCCCCUAUAGAUUAGACAACAAUUCUCCCUCAUGCCGGACCAAUCUCUUCUUCCCCUCCAUUUCUUCGGGAUCCUCCCUGUCUUAUUCCUUCUCCUGCUGGAGAUCGCCGAGCAGCGAUGCCGUAUGCCUUUCUACAUACCCCACAAUUCGUAAAUUGCUUCACCAUCCUUCCUUCAUCCGCCAAGGUAUAGGAAUUAACCCAUUACCAUCUCUAGCCUUCCAGUUUAUUAGCCUAUCCAAAACUCAUCUGCCCUUUUCUAAUAUCUAAGCUCGGAAAAAAUCAAUCCCUUCAGUGUGGAACUAUUAUAUCUACUUGACUGUGGUUCACUAAAUUUCAGUGUUGAAUUACGCUACAAGUUGUUUUGGUUGAAGUUAUGAGUUCUUAGCUCCUUUACUGCUGGAAUUAUAUUCUAUCUCCUGGAUUGUGCAUUGAAGGUAUCUUCAUAAGUCCUUGAUCUAAACUUUCAAAUUUGGAAUUGUAUUCAAGUCCUCAAACUGAAAUUUCAGCACUUUGGAUUGCAUCAAAAUGCCCAUGCAAAAUCAUUCAUUUACAUAAAUACCCAUGUAAAAACUAAAUAUUAAUAUAUACCCCUUGAAAGUGCAGUUUCUUCCAAAACUACUCUAAAGUUGAGGAUUCACCCAAUUCAUGAAGGAAAGUUGAUCUUGUAUAAAAAUGUUUGUCUUAAAACCAGAUUAAUAAGUUAAAAACAGAAAAACCAAAUAGAGCAGUUUCUUUUUUUGAAUUGCGCUACCAUAACACACAAAAGAAGCAGCAUCGAGAAACCAACAUAAGGAAAAAAGGACAUGAAUGAAAGAUAUUUACCAAAGCCCAUAAGACGGUUCAAUCUUCCUUUUGCAUAGUAAGACCUUGUUAUCAUGCUCCACGAGGCAUCCAACGACCUGUCAAAAUGGAAUCCCAGAAAAACCAGUUAGUGAUGAAAACAGAAGUGGGGAAAGAGAGUAACAAGAAAACUUUAAACUUCCUGAGCUAACUUAGUUAAAGUUUCCCAAUAUAUAUCAAAGCACAAGGAUUCAUAAUCAUUGCCUCAUCUCAAAUAGGGCAUAAUAAAUGUAAACAGAAAGGCAAUAGGCAUGAAAUAAAAUUUAAAAAAAACUGUAUGCUUCCAGACUCACAUAACAAAUAAAGAGGCAUAUACAGAGUAGAAUCAUUGUUAGAAAUAAUAAAUAACAAAACAAUUAGAGGAUCUGUGAUACAGUAACAUAGUGUAAGCAUAAAGUAGUAAAGAAGUACGUUAGAAGAAUAUCUUGCAAUAGAUUGGAUAACAUGAAAGAAUUAUUCAACUUUUUUCAUCUUGACAGUUCAGAGGGUAGACACAUUCACAGUUGUUUAGGGUAUAGAACUUAGACAUCAAAAUUCUUGUACUAGAAAAGAUAAGCUUAGAACAGGAUCCAUAUCAGGGCCAUCAUACUAUAUUCAAGCAUUUGUGCCUGAAUUUGCACUGUACAUAUCUCCGCCACAACAACAGUUGAGUCAUAUCAGACUUAAAUUUGUUAAUUGCUUAAAUAAGCUUGGUAAAUGCGAAGAUCAAGCUUAGUUUAUUAAAGAGUCAAUCAAGCUUUAUGCCGAUAUCAAGCUGAACAUCAAUGCAAGCUGCUCAAAUCAUUUGUUAUCCUAUAAUUUUCCCCAUAUGUUAAUAAACCAUACUUGUAGGAAACACCAUUUGGAGAGCAUGGUAUCAGUAUCAUGUGCUUAUAAAGCAACUCCGAAAACAUGAUUUGUCAGAAUAACAAGCACUUAGAAUCAACAGAAUUAAUGGUUGUCAAGCUCCAAUCAUUGGAGAACCAUGUUAUUUAUGAAAACAGAACUAAGAUUACACAGAAUCACUAUAGAGAGAAUUAAAUUAUCAAGAGAGUCGAAAAAAGGCACCGCAAAUAUUACAAAUGUCAAACAUUAAAACCCAAGAAACACAUAAAUGAUGCCAAAUGUAGCAUCAUAUAAGCAAAAUAUUUCAUUGGCACUAUCAAGAUUAGAUACAACGAAUAGAAAGCAAAGUAGUACCAUUUUGGGAUUUUCAUAGUGGAUUUUCCCACAAACUGUACAAACAGCCCUGAGUUUUUCCUCUCCCUCUGGUACAACUUGUUUCGUUGGACUUCCACAAGCUUGGCAAAAUCGAAUUUUGCUCUUAUGUACCUGCAACAUUUAAAUACUUAGCAAUCAAGAAUAAAGGCUAGAAGGUAACUUGAAUUCUGCUAAAGUCAAGUAAUAUUCUUUUGCUUAAUUUUCACUAACGACCUCUAGUAAUUGGUAUAUAUAAUUUCAACUCUCAAAAAAUGCAGAAAUAACGUCCUAACAGAUUGUACUUGAUAGCAAUCAACAAAUUGAUUAUAUGCAAGGAUUUAAGUGCCGUGGCACGGGGUCGUGCCGGAAACUUGCCGGCACGGUACGGCACGGUGCGUGCCGAGCCGUACCUUUGUAUGUCGGUCAAAAAAGUUCUUGUGUGCCGACACAUAAUACACGAAAUAUUUAUUUUCUUUAGCAACAAAAUAUUCUAACUAUUUAUUAUGUCUUUUUAUCACAUCUUUUGAACUUUAUUGAGAAAAUUACUUACUAAUUUAAAGAAUAGAGGGUUUUGAGCUGUGCCAUCGGCACGGGGUCUAUAUCGUGCCGGUAUCUUAUUGGCACGGUACGGCACGGUGGAUACGGCCCGUGUCGACGGGCACUUAAAACCUUGAUUACAUGGAUAUACUUCCUUUGGAGCAAAUAAAUUGAUUAACACAAUUAAGUCAACAAAAGCAAAAUCUGCAAAGUACAUAUCUAGUUCCAUCCAACAAUACAUUUUCACCAACUUUGUCAUCCUUUAUCAAUCUAAUCUUUAGGGGNNNNNNNNNNNNGGGGGGAAUUCCAUUACUUUAGACACCUAAAUCUAAUCUAAUACAUGUACUAUGCAUUAGAGAAGAAUCAUUAACACCCAAGAAGUUGUUUAACUUUCAUAAGUGUCCCAUGGCACAGCAUUCUUUGAUCAGCCCUUAUCUUCUAUAUCUGAUAUUAGUAUAUAAUUAGAGAUAAGACAUGAAUAAGGAUAAGCAAAAAUUAUCUUGAACAAUAAUUCUUAGGAUAAAAUGCAAAAAGAAGACAAUAACUACACAUCGAAGUUUAAAACGAUGCGCUCUGUAACAAAUUUGUUAUCAGUUACAGUAUUAUUAUAACUCGAUAUUUAAAGGAAACUAAUCAAUUGGAAUUAUAUGUGUACUGCAAGUUACAAUAUUACCAAACCAAAAUUGUUGAGGGAAAUAUAACACUGCGUCUUUUUUAACAUUUAUAAUCUUUUAUCUUUUUGUAAGUUAAAAUUAUACCUUGAUAUCUCUAAAAUUAUCUCAAUUAUUUAAAUCAUUCUUUUACAUUCAUAUACCUCAGGUCAAUCAAUGUCACCUGCAUGAGGGUUUUGGUUAUUUUCCAAGAAAUCAAAUACCUAGUUUCUAAUUAGUCAUCCCAAAAAAUAAGAAAAAAAAAAACCAUUGAACGACCAAGAACAGAUCACGAAGGACUACCUAUACAUACAAUUUCAAGAACUACUUUCAUCAUGCAGAGUUCAUAAACCUGCCGCAUACAAUUCCAAGCACAUAGCAUCAAAAUACAUAAUAAUUAAACAAAACAAGAAAAUAUAUAAUGCUUAAACAAAACAAGAACGAUGAACUAAUCAUACACGGUCAAGAAUCUUCCUAACAUAUACAUGCCUUUACGUCCAAUCAGCUCUAUUCAUACCAAUCCUCCCCAAAGCUCGGGCUAAUUCCGUCGAUUCCCCUCGCAACCUAAACGCCUAGCUUUUAAAAACCUAAUUUCCCCUGAUCUCUAACCAGUAACACCGAUUGGAAGAGGAAAAAAAAAAAGAAAUAAAGAAUCGAUCGAGGAUCAGAGAAGCCCUCACCGGAGGCGGCGCCACUUCAGCGGCGGCGGAGGCGGAGGCGACGUCCGCGUCGGGGCUCAUCUCCGAGCCCCCCGAAGCCAUCCGGAACGCGCCGAGAACGCGGCGGGGGGGCCGCAAACGCCAGGCGAGGAGGACGACGAGCUGCGGCGGCGGAGCGGCGGCGGCGGCGACGGCGGCUGAGGAGGAGGAGAUGGAGGCGAUGGAGGAGGGGAAGCGGGGGCGGCGGUGGGGGAGGGGGGAGAGGCCGAAUCCGAGGAGGAGGAGGUGGUGGUGGAAGGAUCGGAGCAUCGCUCCGUGGGGUUCGCUUUAUAACGUCUAGGGUUUUAGAGGUGGCUGGGGUGAGAGUAGGGGGGAGGACGACGAGGAGAGAAGGGAGAGGUGGCGGUGCUUCGGCCACAUCGCCGCCGCGUGAAUUCGUGGCUGAGAAAUAGCGAGAGGAUACGCGAGUGAGAGAGAGAGAGAGAGAAAAAAACAUAAUAGAGAGGGGAGAAAGAGAAUCGGAUUGGAUAAUUUUAGGGAAAACUUCAAAACCCCGUUUUGAUUUCGCACUUUAUCACUUGAGUGCCCUGUAGUUUGAACCAUAUCAAUUUGGUGCUAUGUGAUUUUAUUUUUAUCUUUUCUAUAGCUUUUUUAUUAAUAUUUUAUUAAAUUAUACAUAAAAAAACUUUAAAUAUCUACUUAGGUUUAUCGAAUAUUCGCUUUAGUAUUUUUUAAUUUUAGCUUUGUCGCUGAUUUAAGGGAAAAAAUAGUAAAAUUGAUAAUAAAAAACUAAAAGUAAAACCACAGGAUAUCAAAUUGAUACACUUUAAACCACAGGGCACUCAAGUGAGAAAGUGAGAAACCACAAGGGGUUUAUUUUUUUUUUGAAGAUUUCCCAUAAUUUUAGGUAAAAAUGCAUGGAGACCCUCAACUACAGUCUAUUUUGAAAUGAACCUCCCUCAUUUUAUUUUUAUUUUUUAAUUAAGAUCUCUCAAUUUUUUUAUUUUUUAUUUGAAUUAUUUGAAUUUUUGUAUUUAGUUUAAGUUAAAUUUUUUUAGUAAAUUUAAUAACUUUAAUAGUUAUUAAACAUUAAUUGGUCUAAUUUUAUUUACUAAGAAUACUUAAAAAUAUUAAAUUUGAACAAAUUAUUAAUUAAUUUGAUUAUUUUUUAUUUUCUUUUUACUAUAACUAAUGAAUUCUAAAUAAUCAAAAAUUAAAGAGGGUUCAAUAAAAUUAAAAGUUAAAAGGGUAAUUUUAAAUUGGCCAAUAGGUGGUGAAUCCAUAUAUUUUUAUCUAAUUUUGUACUAUUAAUGUCACUAAGAUUGAAAUCUCUCUCACAAUUAUUCCAUAUAAAAUUUACAACAUUCAAUCAAAUCUUUUCAUAACAUAUAAAAGAUUAAAAUAAAUUAAAAAUUAUUAUUUUAAUGCGUAAAUAUUAUAUUAUACCUAAAAAAAUGAAAUGAUUAAUUUAAAAUAUCUCGUGUUACAGCUCCUGCAAGGAAGAUUUUUAUUUUUAUUUUUUUUUACAACCUCGCGACACUCGAUCAUUAUUAUAUGUCGGGGCAAUAAAGAAGCAACGCGGACAACAUAAGAGAAGUUACAAAAAUGGAAGGUGAAAAUGCAUGGAGGCCCCCUCACUAUAUACUAUUUUCAAAUAGCCCGUCAACAUCUAUUUUUUUCAUUUUUUCAGUUGAGACCUCUUCAGUUUAAUUUUUUUAAAAAAAAAUUAAGUAAUUUUAUCAAAAUAUUUAGUAAUGUUAUCAAAUUCAUCAAUAAUUUUACCAAAGUAUACAUGCAGUGCCCGUGUAAUGCAUGGGGAUCGAACAAAAGCAGCAGCUGAGAAGGUUCUCAUGGCCCUUUAAGAAUUUCAAACUCAACAAAAUAAAGCUAGUGUCUUUUACACUUGUACAGUGUUAAUCAAUGAAACAACCUAAAUAAGAAUAAGAAGGGCAAAUGAUAAUUAUCCUAACCUUGAGAACAGGAUAGUUCAGCUAAACUUACUAGUCUUGAAGUUUAACUAUUGGCCGCGGCAACUUCAACUAGAUGUGUUAAUCUUUAUAAAUCUUUGGUUUAAAACAUUAUAAAUUUUUAAUAAUAGUUCAAGUAGAAUUCUCAACUUUUUACUUGCCAGUAUUUACUUAUUGGAAAAAUUUUAUCUACAAUCUGAAAGAGUCAAACAUUAGUCUCAAUAGUUUGUAAUAGAUUUAUCAUAUUUCUUAAAAGAUAGUUUUUAAGUUCGUUAAACCUAACGAGAUAUGGCAAUUUGUUCAUUUGCCGAGUAUAUCCGGCAGUUUUUAACAGCUAAAAUGCUGUGAAACUAGUGAUACAUUUAGUAAUAAUUUUAAAUACUUUAAAUCAAAGAUCUAUAAAGUUUAUGAGAUCUAGUUGAAGUUGCCGAGGCUAGUAGCUAAGCCUUAAAGCUAGUAGUUUUUAUUAAACUAUCCUGUUCAUGAGGAUAGGAUAAUUAAUCGUAUAUAUAUAUAUAUAUAUAUAUAUAUAAUAUUGUACGCCUUCACUUGACUAGAAAAGAGACCUGCUCCUUGUUAGUGUUCUAGUCCUACAAGGGAACGACAAAAAAAAAAAAAACAANNNNNNNNNNNNNNNNNNNNNNNNNAGAGAGAGAGAGAGAGAGAGAGAGAGAGAGAGAGAGAGAGUUGAGCUAGAAUACUAUCGAUAGCAAAUGGGCUCCGUUGCCACCCAUUUGUUUUCUUCGAUGGAGCCUCCAAAUUGACGAUCGGUACCGUUGAACAUGAUCUAUACCACUUGAAGUGUUUAGAAAUCAAAUUUCAUAAAUUUUCGUUAUUGUUCUCUUAUCCAUCGAGUGGACACAAAAAUGAACGGCUGAAAAUGAAUAUUCUUAAAAAAAUGAUGAUAGAAGUCUUGUAAUCAAGAUCAAGAGUAUAGAUCUUGUUUUAAAUAGUUUAAAGAAUUUUCUAAUAAAAAUUCAAUUGAUUUAGAUAUCUUUACGCCGUUAAACGAAAAAACGCCUCAUAUCGACCAUUAAAAUUACAAAAUUUGAAACCCUUUGAUCAUUAGGCAAAUGAUGUCGAAAAGAUUUAAAAUUUAAUUUCUAAACACUUCAAGUGGUAUAGAUCAUGUUCAACGGUGCCGAUCGUCAAUUUGGAAGCUCUAUCAUCGAAAACAAAUGGGUGGCCACGGAGCCCGUUUGCUAUCGCUAGUAUUCUAGCUCAACUCUAUAUAUAUAUAUAUAUAUAUUACUAUACUAUCGAUACUACCAAACGCUUGGUGUUAUUGAAUUUUCGGCCGUUAGAUGAAAAAAUAUACAGUUAGGAUAAUAAUGAUACCCUAAAAUUGAGUGGUGGUUGAUUGAAUAGUAUAAUCUAACGAGUUUAAAUGAUCAAAGGUAGAUCUAACGACAGAAACUUCGACAGUAUCAAGAGCUUGCUAAUAUCGAUAGUAUAGUAGCCGGACUCUCUCUCUCUCUCUCUCUCUCUCUAUAUAUAUAUAUAUAGUGGGCAAAUGCGAAUCAUGUCUCAUCUCCUAGCCGGAGGUGUCACUUGCAGAAGCUCAAUAUUGAGUUGGAAUUCAGCUCCAGGCUGCAAACCAGGAUAGAAUACAUUGAGUUAGAUUCUUACCGGACAUCAUUAUAGGAUCAUCUGAAAAAUAAUUACGAUAAUAUUGAUAGAUGAAUAUGCUCAGUCCAGGUAGAAUACUUUUGAAAGCACAGACACGGAUACCUCCGUGCUUCUAAGUUGUAUUCGAUAAUGAAAUAUCUGAAUCAACAAUUGACUCCAUUAGACAUGAUUUAUACUAUUGGAAAUCUGGAAACUAAAUUUUAUAAUUUUAUCAGCAUCAUUUGUCCAAUGAAUAAAUAAUCUCAAAGUGAAUGUCUAAAAAUGAAAAUCUCAUAAAAAAAUAAUGAUAGAAGACCAAAAUUUCAGAUUAGACGUGCUGAUCAUGACGAGACACUCGAAUCGACGAUCGGCUCGUUAAACAUAAUCUACACUGUUGGAAGUAUUUAGGAACCAAAUUUUAUGCUUUUUUGAUAUUAUUUGCUUCGCCAACAAAUAAACUAAUUUUCAUUAAAAAAAUAAGGGAAAACUUCAAAAACCCCCCUGUGGUUUCACACUUUUUCAUUUUAGUACCCUGUGAUUUAAAGUGUAUCAAGUUAGUACCCUAUGGUUUCUCACUUUAUCACUUUAGUACCCUAUGGUUUAAAGUGUAUCAAGUUAGUACUCUAUAAUUUUAUUUUUGUAUCAAGUUAGUACCCUAUGGUUUUAUUUUUGUAUCAAGUUAGUACCCUGUGGUUUUAUUUUUGUAUCAAGUUAGUACCCUGUGGUUUUUAAACCAGAGGGUGCUAAAGUGAUAAAGUGCGAAACCACAGGGUACUAACUUGAUACACUUUAAACCACAUGGUACUAAAGUGAAAAAGUGCAAAAACACAGGGUACUAACUUGAUACACUUUAAACCACAGGGUACUAAAGUGAAAAAGUGAAACCACAAGGAAGGUAUUUGAAGUUUUUCCAAAACAUAAUGAUAGAUGACUUAAAUUUUAGAUAGUGUAAAAAAAAUAUAUUAUCAAAAUUUUCACCUAAUUUGCACCGUUCUGCACCAUUAAAAUUAAGAAAGUAUCACAUUGGCCCUUAAAAUUUAUAAUUUUUAGACAUUUUGAUCACUCGACAAAUGAUGUCAAAAAAUUAUAAAUUUUAGUUUUUAGAUGCUUCCAAUAAUGUAGAACAUGUCUAAUGGAGCUANCAAACACACCAUAUCGGCCAUUAAAAUUAUAGAUUUUGUGACUCUUUGAUCGUUCAGUUAGUGAUGCCAAAAAAUCAUGAAAUUUGAUUUUUACACAAUUUAAAUGGUCUAGAUCAUGUUCAACGGUGCCGAUCGUCGAUUUGAAAACACUAUCAUAAAAAAUAAAUCGGUAGUAAACUGAGCAGUUUACUACCAAUAGUAGCCUAGUCAAACUCUAUAUAUAUAUAUAUUACUAUACUAUCGAUAGUACCAAACGCUCGGUAUUAUUAAAUUUUCGGCCGUUAGAUGAAAAAAUAUACAGUUAGAAUAAUAAUGAUACCCUAAGAUUGAGUGGUGGUUGGUUGAAUAGUAUAAUCUAAUGAGUAUAAAUGAUCAAAGGUAGAUCUAACGCCAGAAAACUCGACAAUAUCAAGAACUUGCUACUAUCGAUAGUAUAGUAGCUGGACUCUCUCUCUAUAUAUAUAUAUCGGGCAAAUGCGAAUCAUGUCUGUCUCAUCUCCUACCCGGAGGUGUCACUUGCAGAAGCUCAAUAUUGAGUUGGAAUUCAGCUCCAGGCUGCAAACCAGGAUAGAAUACAUUGAGUAAGAUUCCAACCGGACAUCAUUAUAGGAUCAUCUGAAAAAUAAUUACGAUAAUAUUGAUAGAUGAAUAUGCUCAGUCAGGUAGAAUACUUUUGGAAGCACGGACACGGAUACCUCCGUGCUUCUAAGUUGUAUUCGAUAAUGAAAUAUCUGAAUCAACAAUUGACUCCAUUAAACAUGAUUUAUACUAUUGGAAACAUCUGGAAACUAAAUUUUAUAAUUUUAUCACAUCAUUUGUCCAAUGAAUAAAUAAUCUCAAAAGUGAAUGUCUAAAAAUGAAAAUCUCAUAAAAAAAUAAUGAUAGAAGACCUAAAUUUCAAAUUAGACGUGCUGAUCAUGAUGAGACACUCGAAUCGACGAUCGGCUCGUUAAACAUAAUCUACACUGUUGGAAGUAUCUAGAAACCAAAUUUUAUGCUUUUUUGAUAUUAUUUGCUUCGUCAACAAAUAAACUAAUUUUCAUUGAAAAAAUAAGGGAAAACUUCAAAAACCCCCCUGUGGUUUCGCACUUUUUUAUUUUAGUACCCUGUGGUUUAAAGUGUAUCAAGUUAGUACCCUGUGGUUUCUCACUUUAUCACUUUAGUACCCUGUGGUUUAAAGUGUAUCAAGUUAGUACUCUGUGAUUUUAUUUUUGUAUCAAGUUAGUACCCUGUGAUUUUAUUUUUGUAUCAAGUUAGUACCCUGUGGUGUGGUUUUUAAGCCACAGGAUACUAAAGUGAUAAAGUGCGAAACCACAGGGUACUAACUUGAUACACUUUAAACCACAGGAUACUAAAGUAAAAAAGUGCAAAACCACAUGGUAGUAACUUGAUACACUUUAAACCACAGGGUACUAAAGUGAAAAAGUGCAAAACCACAGGGUAGUAACUUGAUACACUUUAAACCACAGGGUACUAAAGUGAGAAAAAGUGAAACCACAAGGGAGGUACUUGAAGUAUUCCUAAAAAAUAAUGAUAGAUGACUUAAAUUUUAGAUAGUGUAAAAAAAAAUAUUAUCAAAAUUUUCACCUAAUUUGCACCGUUCUGCACCAUUAAAAUUAAGAAAGUAUCACAUUGGCCCUUAAAAUUUAUAAUUUUUAGACAUUUUGAUCACUCGACAAAUGAUGUCAAAAAAUUAUAAAUUUUAGUUUUUAGAUGCUUCCAAUAAUGUAGAACAUGUCUAAUGGAGCUAACCUUCAAUUUGGACAUCCCAUUACCGAAAACAACUUGAAAGCUCGGAGGCAUUCGUGCUUCUAAAAGUAUUCAAGCUUCGACUCUUUUUUUUCAAUAGCUCAUACUACGAUCUAAUCAUUACCGGAAUUUCAUUCAUUCCCUUUUUCCCAUAGCCAAGCUCCGGCGGGACGAUCACCGUUCUCUGCGCAAAAAAAGACAAAUCGACCCAGUUAAUUAAGGAGAGAUUAACUGCAGAAACUCUCACAUAACUUGCAAGUUAGAUAAGAGUCGCAAAGUUCAGAAAAGAUGCAGAUCCUUUUGCAAAAUGGCCAAAAGAUCUCUAGCAUAGUGAAUUGUUUCGAAAAAAGGUGAAAAAAGCAGAAGAUUAGAGAAUACCACAUAUAUUUACCUUUCCUCCAACCUUCAUUCCUUCAGUUAUUGUGUACAUAGCGGGCGGCGGUUUAGGCGCAGACUGCGCUGAAUAAAGUCCAUUUGCAUUAUCUACGAAGUCGCGCUUCCUCUCUUUGCCUGGUGGCGACCCGACAGUGAAUUCAUAAGGCUACAAUAACAUAGAGAGAGGAGCUUUGUCAAAGAACAAUAAGCUUCUUUCUUGUUUUUACAAUAUCAAACAAAAACAGCAGUUUCAAUCCAUAAGAGGGUGUAUGGUUUCCCAGAAAUAGACCAGAAAAUAGUUUUCUGGUUGGAAAACUGUUUUCCGUCCGUUUGGUUCCUAGACAAGCAGUUUUUCUCGAAAAUGUUUUUCUAGAUUUUAUGGAAAACUAGUGUUUUCAUUUUCCGAAUUUUUAAUCUAAAAAACAAAACUGUAGGAAAACCAUUUUCUAGAAAAACAGUUUCCCCACUUUUCUGCACAACCAAACACCCUAUAAGUGAGAGCAAAAAAUCUUUCUUGAUGCUAAUAGAGAGAUAUCUGAGAGAAGCAUGUGCUUCAGCCGAGAAAUUUUGAUUUCAGUUUUUUUUUUUUUCCAAUUACUUUAUACCCAUAAAGUCUGUUGUAUGCGCACACCGAUACAAGUAAAAAUACUGCAAUUACGUAAUGACAUAAAGAGAAGCUUUUAGAAAUAAAAGAAGAAUCUGUAAACUCAUGAAAGAUAAUUACCCUACAUUCUCUGCAUAUUGGUUUGCUUUUAGAAAAGAAUGAUAGCAAGCAAGAGAAUACAUUCUCCAGUAGAUUAGUUGGCUGAACUUCAUAAAGGAAAAUAUUUGGUAAUACUCUUCAUGUGAGACACAAAAUAUUGAAUAAAUUAUAUAAAUGGACUUCCAGGAUAUCCUUCGGAUUUUUAUAAACAAAACUAUCCUCAUUUUAGUUAUGUGAGUCAGGUUCACAAAAAUAACCUGUGCAAUGCUGCGAUUGCCUGCUAGGAGUUUAGAUUCCCUACUUGAUACAGCGGUAAUGCCGCGAUAGAUGCAGUCGAAAUGUACCUACAAGAAGUUAGCACAAAAAUGUGAAGUAAUUUCCAUAAUUUGAAACUGCCUCUACGCAAGCUCCUCUUAAUGCCCCGGUUAGGCUUGCCUACUGGAGCAGCUUAUUCGCUCCAAUGAGUAGAUGAUGCAAAGUUUGGAGCUUUAACUCCAGCCCGAAUCUAAGAUGAGCUCGUGAGCCACAAAAAUAGAAGCUAAAAUUCAUAACCACUGUUUCUGCUGUAACAUGAAGCCCUUUUUUUUCAUCCGGGGGGAGGAGGCAGUUAACGAAAAGGUUACUAUUUCAAACAACUCUAUUAAUAACUUUCUUCAAAAGCUCUAGCUGAGCCACAAAGGCCCUCAAUACCAAAAAACAAAAAAAAGAAGAAAAAAGAGGCUACUAAACUAACCUGCACAACUGCACCCCUCUCAGCUGUUGGGCCCCUACCAUCGAUAAUAUCGUAGUACUUUAACCCAUCAGCUGUUCACAAUAUUUACAUUUCAGAUCGUCUGAAGAAAAAAUGGCAGGAGUAAUUUGUUCAUAACAAAUUGCAUGAGAACAAGAGAGAGUCUGUUCACCUGGAAGUCAAAUUUACUACUAAUAGUUCAGAAGUAUCAAUGCAAUGAAUGUGUUGAUUCACUAAGAUCCCUCUUAAGGGGGCAAAAAUAAGGCAUUAUCUAGGCCAUCGAAAAUAAAACUACAACAAAAAUAUGAUCAAUUUUUGUAACUCAUCAUAUUUACUGUAAAUCCUACUAUGUUAGCACUUACACUAUGGAUUGUCGGUUUAGCUGCUUGAAUCUAGAAAUCAAACCAAAUAAAAAGAAAUAGUUAUACGUACAGGGAACAAGAGGUCGAUGACAACGACUUCAAUAGAACUCGUAUCUAAGGAUGAAAGUGUGGUGGGUCACAAGCAAAGUAUAGUGUUUAACAAGUAGGUGUUACUGUUGAGUUCUACGAUGGCAAACUUAAUGGAGUAAGUUAUUCUGAUUCUGCUAUAUCUAUAGACUGGUACGGCAGUCGAAUCCUACCUCGACCAAGAUCAGUCAAGUACAGAUAUGGCUAUCUGACUCAGGUUCCUAUCCAUGUCUGAAUAUAUUUAUCCAUAUAAAGAGAUGGGUUGAAGUAUUUUAUCCAAAUAUGCAUCUCUAUAUUCAUACACAAGAGUCCGGCUACUAUACUAUCAAUAGCACCAAGCAGUUGGUGCUAUCAAGUUUUUCGCCGUUAGAUCUACCCCGUUGACCAUUUUCACCUGUUAGAUCAUACUAUUCAACUAACUACCCACUCAACCCUAGGGGGACCACUAUUCAACUAACUACCCACUCAACCCUAGGGGGACCACUAUCAUCCUAACAUCACAUCUCUUCAUCCAAGGGUUGAAAACUUAAUAGCACUAAUGACUUGGUGUUAUUAAUAGUAUAGUAGCCUAGUUCCCAUACACAAAAUAUCGCUAAAAUAUAACAUGAAUCUUCAACAAUAUGUAUAAAUAUUAUAUUUCAUUAUUUUAUGGUAAGCUUGUAAGCUUUUUAUCCUCUUAAAACAAAUGCGGAUACAUGCGAAAUCUACCUCUAUUUGAAUAUGUAUUAAGUAUAUAUGAUUUUUUUUUUAAGUAUCCUUUGAAUAUCGGUAUCCGCAUCAUAUGUGGGAAACAACAAGGAUUGUCCCUGUUCAAAUGCCAAGCACUGUAUGUUCAAUUCUUCAUAUAACUCCCCCUCAAGUCAAGAACUUACUAACCAAAAUUCAUGGCUGCUUUAAUUUACUUGAUGGAACUUCAAACACAAAUGCUGGAUUAAAUAAUAACAAUAAUAAUAAUAAUAAUAAUAACAAAUUGCAUAAAUAUUUUAGCCCCAAAAUGCCAAUUUUACCAAAUGAGCCCCAAAACAAAAGGAACAUUUCAUAAAACAAGGAUAAAGAUUUUCCCUUGAACCCUCCCUCAAUUCAUAAACUUUAGGGAAAACCAUAAACUUCAAUUUACCCCCUCAAAAAAGUGCAAUUUUUUAAACUACGGGAUGAGAAAGGUAAAAUGCAGUAAACCACAGGGGGGCGUAUUGAAAUUUACCCUCUCAAACUUUAUAGCCAAAAAUUUUCUACAGCAAUUCAGAUCAAAUCUGAGCAUAAAAAGCUAAAUGUAAAAGCACCCGAAUCCAAUUUUACCAAAAAUAAACACACAAACUUUGAUGGAACAUGGACGACGAGGAAGAUGAAUAGGGCAAACGCGAGGAUAAAUUAGGGUUUGGGGAGAAGGGAAACUCACGGCUAGUUGAAUACUCCUCAGGAGCGAUGGUUUUACGCGCCCUCCUCUCCCUAGCAUGGGAGGGGAGUGCGAGAGCGCUCCAAUUGAGGGGGAGAAUAGAGAUCAAAAGCGCUUCUCGUCGUAAAAUGGGGAGCGGAAGGAGACGAGGAAGAGAACAACUCGGGCGAUUGGCUCCAGCUGCUUCUGCUUCUCUGGGAAGCACUUUUGGGGCGCUUCUUGAAGAAGCCAUAGCCGUUGGGGUGCGAAGGCUCUGCAGAGAAGCCAUAGCCGUUGGAAUGGAGAGGAGAGAGAUGAAAGAGAUAUAACGUGGGAACUUUUUCUUUCUUUCUUUUUUUUCUUUUUUUUUUUUUUUGAGAGAGAUAUAGGUGGAUUUUUUUUAUAAAACAACCCUCUAACAUUUUAUAAUUUGCGAAAUAAUCCUGCCAAAUUUAUAUUUGGCAAACUAACACUCUUUUCGCCACGUAAGAGUCACGUGAGAGUUUUUUUUGAAAAUUUCACCAUCAAAUUUGAUUUGGGUGAAUUUGGAGAUAAUAAAAUUUUAAAAAUUAUUGGGUGGAAAUUUGAUGGUGAAAUAAUAAAAUUUUAAAAAUUGGAUUUGGGUGCUUUUACAUUUAGCUUUUUGUGCUCAAAUUUGAUCUGAAUUGCUGUAGAAAAUUUUUGGCUAUAAAGUUUGAGAGGGCAAAUUUCAAUACGCCCCCCUGUGGUUUACUGCAUUUUACCUUCUCAUCCCGUAGUUUACAAAAUUACACUUUUUUGAGGGGAUAAAUUGAAGUUUAUGGUUUUAAAAUUAGGUGAAUUUGGAGAUAGUAAAAUUUUAAAAAUUAUUGGAGAUAAUAAAAUUUCACCAUCAGAUUUGGGUGAAUUUGGAGAUAGUAAAAUUUUAAAAAUUAUUGGAGAUAAUAAAAUUUCACUAUCAAAUUUCCAUAUAUUGGAGAUAAUUUCACCAUCGUAUAUAUAAAAUAAUAAAAUUUUAAAAACUAUUUCUCAACUGCAUAUAACCAAACAAAUUAUUUAUAGUUACAGCGCUUUCUACUACAUCCAACUAAAUAGGAUGCAUGUAGUUGCAAUUGCUGCAUUUUUAACCGUAUGCAUUUUUAAUUACAAUGCAUUUAUAAUUACAUCUAACCAAACGGCCCCUAUGUGAUGUUACCUCUCGCUUUUAAAUAGGCAACUUUCACCGAAACAAACAACUAAAAGAAGUUGACUUUAAAAAGAAACUUAAACUGAAUAAAGGGAUAAUUAUAAGCUGCUGUGUUGUUAAAUUUUCUCAACAGUUGAUAAAAACAUAAUCAUAUCUUUUUUCAGUCCUAUAAAAAAAACAUUAAAAAGGUGAUUGCACAAGAUUACACAAGACCACAAAGGAUGCUUCAAUAAGAUGGAGGGGUCUCGACAAUUUGUGACUAAAAUGAAAAAAAGUAGUAGGGCAUAUGAUUUAUAGCUAUCAAACCCAUCUUGAGUUCCCUCAAUAAAGAAUCUAGUAAUUUGCUCACUUCGUUGUCACAAUUCUCCAUAUCGAUCUCGGAGGAGUCUCUGCAAUUAAUGAAGAGAAAUCACUUAUGAAACUUUUGAAAUAAAAGAAAAGAUAGUGAAAAAGAUAUCUGAAAGAAGAAUCAGAAUAGUAAAAUAUCCGCUAAAAUUUUCAGCUCAAGAAACACAAUCUUAGGUGUAAGGACAUUUUCAGCUCAUUUAGAAAACAAAAGAUAUUUGUUAGUAUUAGAAACAAAUAGAGCUGAAUAUACCUUGUAAAUCAACAAUGCUUGCUAAGAUCUUUGCAAAGAGCCUUGCUAACACCGCCUGCUUCUAUAGAUCCCUUUUUGAUCCACUCAACCAGCUGCAAAAGGUAAUGAAAAUGACUCCAAAUGAAAAUCAAAAAGAGUUUUAUUGAACAGCUUCAACUGCUAAGGUUCUACAGAAACCAUAGAUUGCUAAAUUUGAUUUAACAAUGUGUAGAGCUGGUGUUUGUAUACUUUAUUCGACGACACAAUCGUAUUGUGAGAUCUUUGCAUAUGCAUUGGUACUAGAAUUUAUGAAUAAAAUAAUCUGACUCACCUCAUCCACAGUUUCCUCCAACAACCUGCAGCCGUGAACAUACCAAGCCAGAGUCUCUCAAGAGUUUAGGACAACAAAUUUAGAACCCAGAGAAAAACGCAAUGAGCUUUACUGACCUUCAGUUAAAGUGAAACUUCUUAGACAUCACUGUAGACCUCUAGGCUCUUCUUUCAAAGCCAGAAGUUUAUAUUUGCUCUAGACAAAGUAGAUAAUAAGAAAGAACAGUAAACUAAUUGCAUCAGUGAAAGGUAUUGAUAAAAUAAAGAAAAGGUUUCAGUAUGGCAUUCAUGAAGUCUAGGAUGUAAGAGAUGAAACCAAUAUUGCUUAUACUUGUGAAACACUCGAGUUACAACUAAUUGACGUUCUCUGUAAUCUAGAUGAUAUUGAAAAGGUACUACAUAGUGCAUAUAGAGGCAUUCAGAUCAACACGAGAAAUCGUGCCCUAAAAAGGGAAAGUGAUUAAAGGAAAAUAAACAAAAAGGCGAAAAAAAGGCAAAGAAAAAAGAAAACAGAAAAGGAGUUGUGGUUAACAAAACACAAUAGUUAACAAAAAAAGAACAGAAAAGGACUCGUGUUUAGUCAUCCUCUGAAUGAUGACAAAUAAUAAAAAGAACUAAAAGUCCAAAACAAUAGUUAACAAAAAACAGAAAAAGGACAAUGCAUCACCAGUUAACGAGUAUAAAUGAACAGAUAUCCCAGCUAUUGUUAAUUAGAAAUUGUGGUUUAAUAGCAAAACAGCAAACCAGUCAUUAUACAACAAACCAAGUGAAUUUAACCUUCCACAAAAUGUGGAUAAAUCCUUUGAGUAGGCACAAGCUUCCUGCUUAUCUACAAAACAAAACAAAUAUUUUUGAAGAGACAUAAUCUUAACUAAUCAUGGCUAGAAGUAAGUUGAUAAAUGCUGCUAUAUUCACUGAUAUAAACUAUAGAUCAAUAAAAGCAAAGAAAAUCAUCUCAAUCAUCUUUGAAUCACUAGACUGAAAGACCUACUUACUCAUUUCUUUAUCAUACAUCAGCAAUGUUAUGAUUGAUAAAUGUCAUUCAUUACCCCUAGCUUUAAAGGACUUAUCAUUUGUGUGUGCUAUUCUUUCCGAUUGAAUAGGUGUCAAAUAUCCAGGGGGCAAAAUCACAGUUUACCACUAAAAGUAAAUACUUCGAAUUAUUGUCCGAAAUGAAUGGCCAAUAAUAUUCUGAAAAGUUUAAAACGUUUCACUACGAAAAUAUAUCAGCAAUUAAAGUUUAAAAGAGUUCCGGCAAAAUAUCUUGAGAGAUAAAGACCAAGAGUUGCUUAUCAAAAGUCAAGAUAUAGCAACAUUGUUGAUUACAGCUUACCAGUUUAAGACUGUCCCAGUCUCUUACUUUGACCCAUGCUCGCUCGCCUGAUUCCACCUGCAAAACAGCCAGGAAUCAACCGCUCAAAAUUUAGUCGUGCAGCUACAUGGCUAAGCCCGAAAUUGUAGCUUAAGACAUUAAGAAUUUAAAGUCAGGUGCAUAUUUAUAGCAAAAUGCAAGUAAUGCAGAAAUACCAAAAGGAUCAGACGGUAAAGUGGGAUGAUGUUUACUAGAACAAUUCCACAACUAAAAUUCUUAAUUAAUUCAAUUGUAUUUAUAUACCUUGUCUAGAGUAUAAUCCUGCAUUUUUUCGCAGAGACCAUCAAGUAACUCAACAACUCUUAGUUCACUGACUCUGACGAAAAGAAACGAAGACACAAUAUAGGCAUCAGAGUAAAAAUAAAAGGCAAAACACUAAGACGAUAUACUGAAAAAGAAUCAAAUUACUCAACUACAGUAAACCUCUUUUAAACAUGAAAUAGUUCAUGCUAAAAACCAGCAAAAAUAGCUCAUUUUUGGGACUAAACAGCCAUCACUCUCAACAGGUAUUAUAGUAAGUCAGAAACAACUUAAAUAAAAGUAUGGAGAAGUUAUCAGGAAAGAUGCAGCAUUUAGCAGUUAGGUAAGACAAUAAAAUAUUAUGGUUACAGAAUUUUCAAAUGAUUUCAAAGAUUUGUGAAAUCUAACUUCACAGCAAUGAAGACAUCCAGGUUGUAGGGAGUAUUUCCACCAAUUCUAGUGUUAGUAGUUUAGAGUUUUUCAUACACCAUAUCACAAAAGUAGAUUCCAAUUUUAUAGAUAAAAGAAUCAAAAGCAUAUGAUUAGCAUGUAUCAACAGACAAUACUGCAGUAUUAUGAUCUAAUAUCAGUACUUUCGGCUUACAGUAGCUCACUCCAUUAAGCAUCAGAUAUGAAAAGUCUGAUGCUGAAUUGAUUUGAGAAACUUCGCAACCGAAUUUAUAUGUGAUACCGGAAAACUAGAAGGAAAAAAAGAUGAUUAUUAUUUGUUCUUCAUGCCACAAUUUGAUAAACAAGUUCGUUUGAGGGAUUAACAUAAGAAUUUAAUAGUAGCAAGGACAGAGGUAGAUUCGUCCUUCUCUGAGUCUCUUUUCCACAAAGACAGAUGAUCCUGAUACGAAGUUUAACUCAGAUGGACCACCCACAACAUAAUUUAGAAGCUAUGACAUGUAGGUCCAAUACUUUGUAUUGAAAUUCUACUUCUAAGAUUGCAAAAAGUAAAGCUCUUCGUUUUGUCAGUGAACCAAAAUUUUUGAUAUUGUGGACAAUAAAUAGUACUGGCUAGUGAUAAGUCUCAAAGACUCCAAAUUCGAACAUACAAGACAUGAAAAUAAAUCUAAGGAAUGUUAAUUGACAGCAGGUGUCAUUGGAGACAUCAAGGUGAUCCGAAUAGACACUGAUAAUACAAAUACCCGUAAUCAAGUACUUUACCCUCAUGCUGCCCUUUGGAAUCCAAACGGUGGCGCAUGUCUAAGUGGUUUCUUGGCUUCUCCUGCAUCAAAAUUAAAGAAGAAGAUGCCAAACUUUACAAUUUCAUGGAGUGAUUCCGAUUAUAAGCUCAUAAUGAAGAAGAAACAGACAUUAGACAGCUGUUAGUCUAUGCAGGAUACUACACUAAACUUAGAAAUUUCUUUCUGAAGCACUGAGAAUAUAAAGCAAAUGCCUUUAUUAAUUCAUUGAUGACAAUAACUGGCAUAGUAUUAUAGGGAAAAGAGCAUGUAGAAAACUUUCACUAGAGAGUCCAAGUUCUAUUUCGGCCUGCAAAUCAUUCAGCAAAAUAAUCAGAUCUAAUAUAGUUGACGGGCCAGAAUAAAAAAAAAAAGGUAAACAUGUAUAGAACUUAACUGAACCUUCAUCCAUUUUGACUCAACAAAAUUUUGAUUUUGGUAGCCAACCUUUUAUUUGAUUUAAGCCAUUUGAUGGUUCUUCAAGUACAAACUCGAAGCUCAUUAAUUGCUUUAAUGAAAUUGUAUUUGCAUAAAUUACGGAAAAUAUGCUAAUUAAGCCCGCAAAAACAAACAAUGCAGUCAAAAUUUUGAGGUGUGAAGGUCCUUAAAUGGCUGAAAUCCAGAUGAAUCAAAAGGUUAUGUAGAAAAAAAAAAUUGAAGCUAAAAUAAUUAGAUCAAAAUGGUCAUAGUUCACUAAGUUCCAUACAUUUUUACUAAAAAAACAAACGAAAAAAAGACAUUACACGGGGGCGCAAUGUGAUCUUAUUGUAUCGAUCCCUUUCCAAGUCAGACUUUGCUUCACCUCCUGUUCUAAGUUUCUGCUAAUUGCAAGGUGUUCCCUUUGAAAAUUUCUUUUUAAGAGGUCACUUGGCUUUUUUUUUUCUCUUCCAUAUUUUUGACGCAUGUAGUGUUUACUUUUACAUAGUGAAAUUUUGAAGAAAAAGAAAAUUUCACUUUAUUGUCAUAGAUUAGCUGAAAUCGACCUCUAUCCCUGCAGUCUUUGUUAUUAUCACCAAAGCCACUGCCAAGACGGUAACAAGCUUCCACCUGUUCUAGUCUUAAGACCACGAAUCUCAAAGGCUCUGAACGUUUCUCAACUGCAUCUCUUCAAAGUAACACAGUUUGAAGGCUGCCUUUUGUGACGUUUGGUCUUUAUUUACUUUUGGGCAAUUCUGCUUUCUUGAUAUUUUGGGUUUAAGCUUGAUUUCUGCCCAAUUGCAGUAUGAGGACAUAUAUCAGGGACAUUGUGAAAAGCCCGGCUGACAUACAAGUAAUUUUCCCUCACUUCUCUACAUCCAAAAGUUCUUCUGGUGAAACUGUACAAUGCUCUACAGAUAUCAAAUGAUCUGCUAACUGGCAUAGAACAAAGUAUAUAUCAGUAGAGCUUUCAUGUCUCAUGUCUUCUACUAAAAACUCAUGUAGAAUACUAUUUAUCUCAAUUGAACUAACUCCUGCAUCCUUCUUUAUCCCCUUUUCUCUCAUGACUCUCCUUAGUGUCUUCAUCUUCUCCCACCUGUGGUUCUCACAAUACAUAUUUGAAAUCAAAACAUGUAGUCCUCCACCACUCAUUUCCAAACUUAGUAGGUGUUUCAUCACCUGCUCCCCAAUCCUUGCAUAUCCGUGAAUUCUACAAGCCCCAAGUAAUGCACCCCAUAUCACAAUAUCCGGCUUCAUAGGCAUACUUUUAAUUAACUCCACGGCUCUUUGAAUCAAGCCUCCCCUCCCAAGAAGAUCAACCAUGCAAGCAUAAUGUUCAAUUUCAUAUGGAACAUUAUAAACAACAUUCAUAGUUUCAAAAUAAGAUUGUCCAAUUUCCACUAAACCACAAUGACUACAUGCAGAUAACAAACCGACGAAAGUGACCCCAUCCGGUAAAAAGCCCUCUUCAAUCAUUUGGUUAAAGAAAUCAACAGCAUCAAAUGCCCGGCCGUGAAUUGCUAAGGCCCAAAUUAUCACAUUCCAUGAGAUUGCGCUUUUACUAGGCAUCGUACUAAAGAGAUCUAAAGCAAUUUCUAUUGGACCACAUUUUGCAUACAUGUCGAUAAGGGAGUUAAAUAGAGCAAUAGAGGGUUGUUCAAUAUUAUCUCUAAUUUGAUAGUGAAUAUUCUUCCCAAAUACCAAAUUGCCAUUUUGGGCGCAAGCCAUAAGAACAAAGAUAAGAGUUACCUCAUCCGGCGUUACCUUUGAAGCAUGCAUCUGGUCGUAAAGAUCUAGGGCUUCAUGAGAAAGCCCAUUUUGGACGUAGCAAGAGAUCAUGGCAUUCCACGACACUAUGUUCCUUUCCGGCAUUCGAUCGAACAGAUCCCUAGCCACUUCAAUCAAACCAUGUUUCGCAUGAGCGCAUACCAUCGAUGUCCACGAAACCACAUUCUUCACAUCCAUCGUAUCGAAACAUCUCUGCGCCAUAAGCAAUCUGCCACACUUCCCAUACAUAUCUACCAAUGCAUUCCUCACAAUCAGAUCAAAUUUAGCCCCAGAAACCUCUAUAUAUUGAUGUACGAGCCUACCCAACUCAAAAUUUUCUGCUUGCGAGCAUGCAGAUAAAAGAAUAACCAGUGUGAACUCAUCAGCCACCAAACCACUUUCUCUCAUCAUUUUAAAUAGGGAAAAUGCUUCUUUGCAAUCACCCAAUUGAGAAUACCCACCAAUCAUAGAGUUCCAAGACACAGCAUUUCUACUGGGAAUUUCGUCGAACACCCUGCGGGCAAACCAAAUUGGCCCACAAGACGAGUAAACAUGGAGGAGAGCAUUCAUAACAAAGAUUUGCGACUCGAAUCCGAGCUUUAUGAUCAGACCAUGAAUCACUAAUGUUUCUUCUAAUGCUGAAGCUUCGGCACAUGACUUGAGAACGAAGGGAAGGGUGAACUGGUUGGGCAAGAGGCCAUGGCGAAGCAUUCGGCGACAAAGAAAGAGGGCUUCUUUAGGGCUAUGUUGAUUGGUGUAGCCUCUGAUUAAGCUAUUGUACAUGAAUUUAUUGGGGUUGGGAGCGUGUUCGAGGAGUUUGCGGCCGUAGCAGAGGUUGCCAGCGGGGGAGAGGGAGCAAAAGGAGAUGAGCUGGGCUAGGGUUAGGGUUUCGUCGAGGAGGGCGGCGGCGAUGAGGUGCGCGUGGAGCUGCUUGAGGUGGUUCAUGGAGCGGCAUCUUGGGAGGAGGGAGUGGAGGAGUUGGUGCGCGGGAAAUUUGAAUCCGGGGAGGGGAAUGUGGUGGGGUCGGGGUUUUGGCGCGAAGCUAACGGCUAUGCGUUUGAACAUAGCAUGCACUCGUUGGGGUAGAGCUUGAAUCUAGAAACCACACCCAAAAAAUAAUAAUAAUAAUAAAUAAAAAUUGUUAGACGUCCAGUAAAUGAGAGGCCGAUGACAACUACUUCAAUAGAACUCAUCAUAUAGUGUUGAAUAAUAGAGUGUUUGGGAAUGACAUUCUGAAAAUCUGAUACUUCGUUUUAGAAUCAAAAAAUUGAUUUUGAAGACUCCAGAAUCAGAAACAGAAAAAAACUGUUUUUUCAAAACUGAUUCUGAUUUUGAACUCAAACUUCUAAUUUUUAUUUUUAUUUUAGAUUCAAAAUAUAAAUUUAACAUUAAAUUUAAAUUUUUAAUUUUUAAAUUCAUAUUUGAAUUUUUAAAUCUCAACUUUUCAAAUUUAAAAUUUAAAAUUUACAUUUAAAAUUUUAAAUUUAAGUUUCAAAUCUCAAAUUUUUAAAUUUUAAAAUUCAAAUUUUAAAUUUUAAAUUUUAAAAUUUUAAAUUUUGAUUUUGAAUUUCAAUUUUCAAUUAUUCAAUUUUCAAUUUUCAAUUUUCAAUUUUCAAAUUUUAAAUUUUAAAUUUUAAAUUAAUUUAAAUUUAAUUUUAAUUUUUAAUUUCAAUUUCAAAAUUAAAAUUUAAAAUUUGAAUUUGAAUUUUAAUUUUUAAUUUGAAAUUUUAAAUUUUAAAUUUAGAUUUUAAAUUUAAAUUUUUGAAAUUUCAAAUUUAUUUUUGUAAAAGUUUGAAACUUAAAAAUUAUACUUUUAAUUAAAUUUAAGAUUUUAAUUUAAAUUCAAAUUUUAAAUUAUUUUAAAAAUAAAAUUUAGUAAAAAUAUUAAUAUAUGCAAAUAUCAAAAAAUUUUUGCCAAACUACCUUAGAAAAUCACUUCAGAAAAAUCACUUUUUUCUAAAUUCAACUAAACGCUCUACAGCUUUUCACCAAAAUCAAUUCUCCAAAUCAAAAUCACUUUUACAGAAAUCACUUCUUCAGAAGCUAGGCCAAACAGGCCCUAAGUAGGUAUUAUGUUGAAUUCUGUAGUGGUAAACUUAUUAAUGGAGUAAGUUAGACCCAGUUUGGCCUAGCUUUCUGAAAGUGAUUUUGGACUCAAAAUUAUUUUUUGGGCUCGGUAGGCGCUUGUCAACGAAAGUUGAAACUUUGGAUUUUGCUUUUCAGAAUCUGAAAACUGAUUUUGAAGGCUCCAAACUUAGAAGUAGAAAAUAGCUGGUUCUUGAAAUAUGAUUUUGAUUUUGAACUCAAACUUUAAAUUUUUAAUUUAAUUUUAGAUUCAAUGUUUAAAUUUAAAUUUAAUUCUAAUUUUUAAAUUUUAAAUUCAUAUUUAAAUUUUUAAAUUUCAACUUUUUAAAUCUAAAAUUUAAAAUUUAGAUUUUAAACUUUAAAUUUUAAAUUCUAAUUUUAAAUUUCAAAUCUCAAAUUUUAGAUUUUAAAAUUUUAAAUUUCAAAUUUCAAAUUUAAGAUAAAAUUUAAAAUUUGACAUUUUAGAUUUUAAAUUUUAAACCCAUCGUCUAUAUUCAUACACAAGGAGUCCGGCCUACUAUACUAUCAAUAGCACCAAGCAGGGUUGGUGCCUAUCAAGUUUUUCGCCGGUUUUUUUUUAGAUCUUACCCGUUGGACCAUUUCACCUGUUAGAUCGCAACUAUUUCAACUAACGUCAACCCACUCAACCCUGCGGGGGACCACUAUUUCAAGUAACUACCCACUCCAUACCCUAGGGGGACCACUAUCAUCCUAACAUCACAACUCUUCAUCCAAGGCCGUUGGCAAAACUUAAAGCACUAUAUGAGCUUGUGUUAGUAAUAGCUAUAGUAGGCUAGCUUCCCAUAACAAAAUAUCGCUAAAAAUAUAACAUGACUUUCAACAAUUAUGGUAUAAAUAUUAUAUUUUCAUUAUUUUAUUGCGGUAAGCUUUGUAACGCUUUUUAUCCUUCUUAAACAAAUGCGAUACAUGCGAAUCACACCUGCUAUUUGGAAGUAUGAUUAAAGUAUAUAUUGAUUUUUUUUUUAAGGUAUCCUUUGAAUAUCGGUAUCCGCUUAUCAUAUGUUGGGAAACAAUCAAGGAUUGUCCCUGUUUCAAAUGCCAAGCACCUGUAGUUCCAAUUUCUUCAAUUAACUACCCCCUUCAAGUCAAGGAACUUACUAACCAAAAUUUCAGGUGCUUUAAUUUAGCUGAUGGAACUUCAAACACAAAUGCUGGAUUAAUAAUAACAAUAAUAAUAAUAAUAAUAAUAACAAAUGCAUAAAUAUUUUAAGGCCCCAAAAUGCUCAAUUUACCAAAUGAGCCCCAAAACAUAAAGCGAACAUUUCAUAAAACAAGGAUAAAGAUUUUCCCGUUGAACCCUCCCUCAAUUCAUAAACUUUUAGGAAAACCAUAAACUUCAAUUUACCCCCUCAAAAAAGUGCAAUUUUUUAAACUACGGGAUGAGAAGGUAAAAUGCAGUUAAACCACAGGGGGGCGUAUUGAAAAUUUACCCUCUCAAACUUUUAGUAGCCAAAAAUUUUCUACAGCAAUCAGACAAAUCUGAGCUAAAAAGGCUAAAUGUAAAAGCACCCGGAAUCCAAUUUUACCAAAAUAAACACACAAACUUGAUGGAACAUGGACGACGAGGAGAUGAAUUAGGAAACGCGGGAGGAGUAAUUAGGGUUUGGGGAGAAGGGAAACUCACGGGCUAUUGAAUACUCCUUCAGAGCGAUGGUUUUACGCGCCCUCCUCUCCCUAGCCAUGGAGGGGAGUGCGAGAGCGCUCCAUUUCGAGGGGGAGAAUAGAGAUCAAAAGCGGCUUCUCGUCGUAAAAUGGGGAGCGGAAGGGAGACGGAGAAGAGGAACUAAACUCGGGUCGAUUGGCCCAGCUGCUUCUGCUUCUCUGGGAAGCACUUUUUGGGGCGCCCUUGAAGAAAGCCAUAAAGCCGUGCUGGGGUGCGAAGGCUCUGCAGAGAAGCCAAGCCGUUGGAAUUUGGAGAGCGAGAGAGAUGAAAGAGAUUAUAACGUGGGAACUUUUCUUUCUUCUUUUUUUUUCUUUUUUUUUUUUUUUGAGAGAGAUAUAGGUGGGAUCUUUUUUUUAUAAAACAACCCUCUAACAUUUAUAUAAUUUGCCGAAAUAAUCCUGCCAAAAUUUAUAUUGGAAACUAACACUCUUUUCGCCACGUUAAGGAGUCACGUGAGAGUUUUUUUUGAAAAAUUUCACCAAUCAAAUUUGAUUUGGGUGGAAUUUGGAAGAUACAUUAAAAUUUUAAAAAUGUAUUGGGUGGAAAUUUGAUUGUGAAAUAAUAAAAUUUUAAAAAUUGGAUUUGGGGUGCUUUUACAUUAUAGCUUUUUGUGCUCAACAUUUGAUCUGAAUUGCUGUAGAAAAUUUAGUGGCUAUAAAGUUGAGAGGUGCAAAUUUCAAUACGGCCCCCCUGUGGUUUACUGUUAUUUUACCCCUUCUCAUCCCGAGUUAAUAAAUACACUUGAGGGGAUAAAUGAUAUAGUUUUAAAAUUAGGUGAAUUGGGAGAUAGUAAAAUAAAAAUUAUUGGAGAUAAUUAAAUUUCACCACAGAUUUUGGUGAAUUGGAGAUGUUAAAUUUAAAAAUUGGAGAUUAAUAAAUUUCACUAUCAAAUUUCCAUAUAUUGGAGAUAAUUUCACCAUCGUAUAUAUAUAAAUAAAAAAUUUUAAAAAUAUUUCUCAACUGGCAUAUAACAAACAAAUUAUUUAUAGUUACAGCGCUUUUACUAUCAACUAUAAUAGUAGUCAGUAGUUGCAAUUCCUGGCAUUUUUUAACCGUAUGAUUUUUAAUGUACAAUGCAUUUAUUAAUUACAUCUAACCAAACGGCCCCAGUUGAUGUUACCUCUCGCUUUUAAAUAGGCAACCUUCUCACCAAAACAAACAACUAAAGAAGUUGACUUUAAAAAGAACUUAAACUGAAUAAAGGGAUAAUUAUAAGCUGCUUGUUGUAAAUUUUCUCAACAGUUGUAAAAAACAUAAUUCAUUAUCUUUUUUCAGUCCUAUAAAAAAAACAUUAAAAAGGUGAUUGCACAAAUUACACAAGGACCACAAAGGAUGCCUUCAAUAGAUGGAGGGGUCUCGACCAAUGUGACUAAAUGAAUUAAAAAAGUAGUAGGGUCAUAUGAUUUAUAGUAUCAAACCCAUCUUGAGUUCCCUCAAUAAAGAAUCUAGUAAUUUGCUCACUUCGUUGUCACAAAUUCUCCAUAUCGAUCUCGGGAGGAGUCUCUGCAAUUAAUGAAGAGAUAUUCACUUAUUAUAUAUUUUUGAUUAUAUAAAAGAAAUAGAUACGUGAAACAAGAUAUGAAAGGAAGGAUAUUUAUGUUAUGUAUAUAUAUCUGUUAAAAUUUUUCAGGCUCUAUGGAAACACAACUUAGGUUGUAAGGACAUUUUCCAGCUCAUUAGAAAACAUAAAGUAUAUUGUAGUAUAGAAUACAAAUAGCUGAAUAGUACCUGUAGAAGUCAACAAUCUUGCUAAAUUCUUCAAAACUCUACACCGCCUGCUCUGAUAGAUCCCUUUUAUCGCACUGCGAGAGCCGAAGAGGGUAAUGAAAAUGACCCAAAUGAAAAUCAAAAAGAGUUUUAUGAACAGCUUCAACUGCUAAGGUUCUACAGAAACCAUUAGAUUGCUAAAUUUGAUUUAACAAUGGUGUAGAGCUGGGUUGUACUUUAUUCGACGACACAAUCGUAUUGUGAGAUCUUUGCAUAUGCAUUGGUACUAGAAUUUAUGAAUAAAUAACGACUCACCCUCUCCACAGUUUCCUCCAACAACCUUGCAGCCGUGAACAUACCAAGCCAGAGUCUUCUCAAGAGUUUAGGACAAAAAUUUUAGAACCCAGAGAAAAAACGCAAUGAGCUUUACUACCUUCAGUAAAGUGGAAACUUCCUUAGACAUUCACUGUAGACCUCUAGGCUCUUCUUUCAAAGCCCCAGAAGUUUAUAUUGCUCUAGACAAAGCUAGUAAUAAGAAAGAACAGUAAACUAAUUGCAUCAGUGAAAGGUAUUUGAUAAAAAUUAAAGAAAGGUUUUCAGUAUGGCAUUCAUGGAAGUCUAGGAUCGUAAGAGAUGAAACCAAUAUUGCUUACUUGUGAAACACUCGGAGUUACAACUAAUUGACGUUCCUCUGUAAUCUAGAUGAUUAUUGAAAAGGUACUACAUAAGUGUCAUAUAGAGGCAUUCAGAUCAACACGAGAAAUCGUGGCCCUAAAAACGGGGAAAUUGCAUUUAAAGGAAAAUAAACAAAAAGGCGAAAAAAAGGCAAAGAAAAAAAGAAACAGGAAAGGAGUUGUGGUUAACAAACACAAUAGUUAACAAAAAAAAAGAACAGAAAAGGACUCGUGUUUAGUCAUCCUCUGAAUCGGAUGACAAAUAUAAAAAGAACAAAAGUCCAAAACAAUUAAGUUAACAAAAAACAGAAAAGGACGAAUGCAUCACCAGGUUAACGGAGUAUAAAUGAACAGGUACCCCAGCUUAUUGUUAAUUAGAAAUUGUGGUUUAAUAGCAAAACAGCAAACCAGUCAUUAUACCAACAAACCAAAGUUGAAUUUUAACCUUCCACAAAAUUGUGGCAUAAAAUCCUUUGAGUAGGCACAAGCUUCCUGCUUAUUACAAACAAAACCAAAUUAUUUUUGGAAGAGACAUAAUCUUAACUAAUCAUGGCUAGAAGUAAGUUGAUAAAUGCUGCUAUAUUCACUGAUAUAAACUAUAGACUCAAUAAAAGGCAAAUGAAAAUCAUCUCAAUCAUCUUUGAAUCACUAGACUGAAAGACCUAUCCUUACUCAUUUCUUAUCAUUACAUCAGAAUGUAUGAUUAUAGAAUGUCAUUCAUUACCCCAGCUUUAAAGGGACUUAUCAUUUUGUGUGUGCUAUUCUUUCCCGUUGAAUAGGUGUCAAAUAUCCAUGGGGGCAAAAUCACAGUUUACCACUAAAAAGUAAAUACUUCGAAGUUAUGUCCGAAAUAAUUGGCCAAUAAUAUCUUGAAAAGUUUAAAAAGCGGUUUCACUUACGAAAAUAUAUCCAGCAAUUAAAGUUUAAAAGAGUUCCGGCCAACAAUAUCUUGUAGAAUAAAGACUCAAGAGUUGCUUAUAAAAGUCGAAGAAUAGUAGCAACCAUUGUUGAUUACAGCUACGCCCACUUAAGUUAUAAGGACUGUCCCAGUUUAGAACUGGCUGCUAGCUCUUGAACCCAAGUGUCAGUUGUUCGUUUUCUUUUCUACAUAGUUUUGGGAGAUCAUUUCAUAGAUGAAUGCAAUGUCGCUGCACCUGCAAAACAGCCAGGAAUCACCCCUUUCAAAAUUUAGUCUGCAGUGCUACAUGGCUAAGCCCGAAAUUGUAGCUUAAUGAAUUAAGAUUAUAAAGUCAGGUGGCAUAUUUAUAGCAAAAUGCAAGUAAUGCAUGAAAUCAAAAUGAUCAGGACGGUAAAGUGGGAAUGAUGUUUACUUAGAACAAUUCCACAACUAAAAUUCUUAAUUAAUUCAAUUGUAUUUAUAUUACCUUGUCUAGAGUAUAAUCCUGCAUUUUUUCGCUAGAGACCAUCAAGUAACUCAACGAACUCUUAGUUCACGUAGCUCUGACGAAAAGAAACGAAGGACAUCAAUUAUAGGCAUCAGAGUAAAAAUAAAGCAAAACACUAAGACGAUAUACUGAAAAAAAUCAAAUACUCAACUACAGUAAAACCUCUUUUAAACAUGAAAUAGUUCAUGCUUAAUAAAACAGCAAAAAUAGCUCAUUUUUGGGACUAACAGCCAUCACUCUCAAGGUAUUAUAGUAAGUCAGAAACAACUUAAAUAAAGAUGGAAAGUUAUCAGGAAAAGAUGCGAGCAUUUAGCAGGUGGUAGGUAAGACAAUAAAAUAUUAUGGUUACAGAUUUCAAUGAAUUUCAAAGAGUUGUGAAAUCUAACUUCCACAGCAAUGAAGAAUCCGAGAUUGUGUAGGGAGUCCAAUCCACCAAUUCUAAGUGUAGUAGUUUACGCAGUUUUUCAUUAACACCAUAUCACAAAGUAGAUUCACAUUUGUAUAGAUAAUAAAGAUCCAAAGCAUAUGAUUAGCUGUAUCAACAGACAAUACUGCAGUUAUUAUGAUUAAUAUCAGUACUUUCGGCUUUUACAGUAGUCAACCUCCAUUAACAUCAGAUAAUGAAAAGUCUGAUGCUGAAUGGAUUUGAGAAACUUCGCAACGCGAAUUUAUAUGUGAUACGAAACUAGAAGGGAAAAAUAGAUGAUUAUUAUUUGUUCAUUCAUGCCACAAUUUGAUAACGAAGUUUCGUUUGAGGAUAUUAACAUAAGAAUUUAAUAGUAGCAAGGACAGAGGUAGGAUUCGUCCUUCCUCUGAGUUCUUUUCACAAGACCAGAUGAUCCUGAUACGACAGUUUAACUUCAGAUGGACCACCCACAACAUUAAUUAGAAGCUAAUGAGCAAUUAGGCAUACUUUGUAUUAGAAAAUUCUUACUUCUAAGAUUGCGCAAAAAGUAAAGCUCUUCGUUUGUCAGUGAAACCAAAAUUUUUGAUAUUGUGGACAAUUAAAUAGUACUGGCUAGGAUAAGUCUCAAAGACUCCAAUUCCGAACAUAACAAGACAUGAAAAUAAAUCUAAGGAAUGUUAAUUGACAGCAGUGUGUCAUUGGAGAAUCAGGGUGAAUGCCGAAUAACACUGAUAAUACAAAUACCCGUAAUCAAGUACUUUACCCUCAUGCUGCCCUUUGGGAAUCCAAACGGUUGCGCCAUGUCUUUAAGUGGUUUCUUGGCUUCUUCCUGCAUCAAAAUUAAAGAAGAGAGCCAACUUUACAUUUCAUGAGUGAUUCCGAUUAUAGCUCAUAAUGAAAAAGAACAGACUUAGACAGCUGUCUGAGUCUAUUGCAGGAUACUACACUGAAACUUAGACAAAUUUCUUUCUGAAAGCACUGAAAUUAUAGAAGCAAAUGGCCUUUAUUAUUCAUAUGAGCAAUAACUGGCAUAGUAUAUAGGGAAAAGAGCAUGUAGAAACGUUUCACUAGGAGUCCAAGUUCUAUUUCCGCGCGCAAAUCAUCAGCAAAUAAUCAGAUCUAAUACUAAGUUGGGGCCAGAAUAAAAAAAAAAGGUAAACAUGUAUUAGAACUUAACUGAACCUUCAUCCAUUUUGACUCAACAAAAUUUUGAUUUUGGUAGCCAACCUUUUUUGAUUUAAGCCAUUUGAUGGUUCUUCAAGUACAACUCGAAGCUCAUUAAUUGCUUUAAUGAAAUUGUAUUUGCAUAAAUUACGGGAAAUAUGCUAAUUAAGCCCGCAAAAACAACAAUAGUAAAAUUUUGAGGUUGUGAAGGUCUUAUAAUGGGCUGAAUGCCAGAUAAUCAAAAAGGGGUGGUAUGGGGGUAUUAGUAAAAAAAAAAUUGAACUUAAAAUAUUAGAUCAAAAAUGGUCAUAGUUCACUAAGUUCCAUACAUUUUACUAAAAAAAAAACGAAGAAAAAGACAUUACACGGGGCGAUCAAUGUGAUAUCUUAUUGUAUCGACCCUUUCAAGUCAGACUUUUGCUUCACCUCCUGUUCUAAGUUUCUGCUAAUGGCAGAGCGUGUUCCCUUUGAAAAUUUCUUUUUAAGAGGUCACUGGCUUUUUUUUCUUCUCUUCCAAUUUUUGACGCCUGUAGUGUUUUACUUUUACAAGUGAAAUUUUGAAGAAAAAGAAAAUCAUUAUUGUCAUAGAUUUAGCUGAAAUCGACCUUCUAUCCCUGCAGUCUUUGUUAUUAUCACCAAAGCCACGCCAAGACGGUAACAAGCUUUCCACCUGUUCUAGUCUUAAACCGACGAAUCUCAAAGCUCUGAACGUUUCUCAACUGCAUCUCUCUUCAAAGUAACACAGUUGAAGGCUGGCCUUUUGUGACGUUUGGUCUUUAUGUUAUUCUUGGGGCAAUUCUCUUUCUUGAUAUUUUGGGUUUAAGCUUGAUUUCUGCCAAUUGCAGUAUGAGACAUAUAUCAGUGGACAUGUGAAAGCCGGCUGAACAUACAAGUAAUUCCUUCCUCACUUCUCUACAUCCAAAAGUUCUUCUGGUGAAACUGUACAAUGCUGUACAGAAUCAAGAUGACUUGCUAACUGGCAUAGGAACAAAGUAUAUUAUCAAAGUUAAAGAGCUUUCAUGUCUCAUGUCUUCUAAGCUAAAAACUUCAAUUAGAAUACUAUUUUCUCAAUUGAACUAACUCCGCAUCCUUCUUUAUCCCUUUUCUUCCAUGGACUCUCUCUAAGUUCAUUCAUCUUCUCCCACCUGUGGUUCCACAAUACAUAUUUGAAUCAAAACAUGUAGUCCUCACCACUCAUUUCCAAACUUAGUAGGUGUUUCAUCACCUGCUCCCCAAUCCUUCGCAUAUCGUGGAAUUCUACAAGCCCCAAAUAAUGACACACCCAUAUCACAUAACCGGCUUCAUAGGCAUACUUUUAACUAACUUCCAGGGGGGGGCCGCUCUUUUGAUCAAGGCUCCCUCCCAAGAAGAUCAACCAUGCAAGCAUAAUGUUCAAUUCAUAUGGAACAUUAUAAACAACAUUCAUAGUUUCAAAAUACAGAUUGUCCAAUCCACUAAACCACACAAUUGACUACUGCAGAUAACAAACCGGACGAAAAGUGACCCCACUCCGGUAAAAGCCCCUCUUCAUCAUUUGGUUAAAGAAAUCACGAGCAUCAAAUGCCCGGCCGUGAAUUGGCUAAGGCGCCAAAUUAUCACAUUCCAUUGAGAUUGCGCUUUACUAGCAUCGUACUAAAGAGAUUAAAGCAAUUUCUAUUGGACCACAUUUUGCAUACAUUGUCGAUAGGAGUUAAAAUAGAGCAAUUAGAGGUGUUUCAAUAUUAUCUCUAAUUUGAUAGUGAAUAUCUUCCCAACAUACCAAAAUUGCUAUUUUGGGCGGAAGCCAAUAAGAACAAAGAUAAGAGUUACACAAUCAUCCGCGCUUACGCCUUUGAAGCAUGCAUCUGGUCGUAAAGAUCUUAGGGCUUCAUGAGAAAGCCCCAUUUUUGGGACGUAAGCAAGAGAUCAUGGCAUUCCACGACCCUAUGUUCCUUUCCGGCAUUCGAUCGAACAGGAUUCCCUAGGCCACUUCAUCAAACCAUGUUUCCAUGAGCGCAUACCUACUGGUAUGGUAGUUGAAUCCUACCACGACCAAGAUCAGUCAGGUUCGGAUAUGCCUAUCUGGCUCGGAUUCCUAUCCGUUUCUGAAUAGCUUUUUCCAUAUAAAGAGAUGGGUUGUAUUUUAUCCAAAUAUGCAUCUCGAUACCCAUAUAUCAAAAUAUCAAAGUAUAACAUGAAUACUAGUUAGAGACCGCGCGAUGCUGCGGGUAGUUAUUUUAAAAUUUAAUUUUAAAAAUUAGCUAUAAAAAUCAAUUUCGGAAUUUAAAUGGUGCAAUAAGUACAUCAAAAAAUUUUAAUAAGCAUAGUAGUCCCCCAUUAGCUAGUGAAAUAAUUUUAGUAGGUAUCGUAGGCCCCAGUAGUUAGUGAAUAAGAAGAGAAAUCAUUAUUUGUGAUUCUCGCAAUUAAUUUUUAUCAAAUAUAAAAUUAACUUAAGCUGCAUCAAUUUUUUUUAUUUUUUAAUGUAUAAUUUAUAUGUGAAUGCUCAAUAUUACAAAAUUAAUAUUUAUAUUUAAUACCAGUAAUCUAAAUUAUUUAACAUUUAUUUAUAUAUUUUAUAUUUUAUAAAAAUAAAUAGUAAAUUAUAUAAUAAAUUAUUAUAUAAUAAUUACUAUAUAUAAUAAAUAAAUAAAUAUUUAUAAAUAAAAUUUUAUAUAUCUAUACUAUAUAUAAAAGCGCGUAUUUCAAAUUUCGGUCUGUCGACGGACCUAUUUUUUGGCGGGAAAAAAAUUGAUUUCUCUUUCCUUACGUAAAAUAAAUAACAGAAUUAAACAAAUUUUAAUCUCUAUAACAGAAAAAAAAAAUUAUGCUUAUCCAAAUUUUUGCCAACCGAAAAAUAUUUACUAUGAAUCUAUAUUUUAAUUCAAAAUUUAUUUAAUUCUUCGUUAUCUCUAUCUAUAAUAUUCUAUAAUAUAUAUAUAUAUAAUUGUUGUUGACAACAGCUAUUUAAAUUUAAAUUAGAAUAUGACGGAUAUUUUCUAAUAUUNNNNNNNNNNNNNNNNNNNNNNNNNNNNNNNNNNNNNNNNNNNNNNNNNNNNNNNNNNNNNNNNNNNNNNNNNNNNNNNNNNNNNNNNNNNNNNNNNNNNNNNNNNNNNNNNNNNNNNNNNNNNNNNNNNNNNNNNNNNNNNNNNNNNNNNNNNNNNNNNNNNNNNNNNNNNNNNNNNNNNNNNNNNNNNNNNNNNNNNNNNNNNNNNNNNNNNNNNNNNNNNNNNNNNNNNNNNNNNNNNNNNNNNNNNNNNNNNNNNNNNNNNNNNNNNNNNNNNNNNNNNNNNNNNNNNNNNNNNNNNNNNNNNNNNNNNNNNNNNNNNNNNNNNNNNNNNNNNNNNNNNNNNNNNNNNNNNNNNNNNNNNNNNNNNNNNNNNNNNNNNNNNNNNNNNNNNNNNNNNNNNNNNNNNNNNNNNNNNNNNNNNNNNNNNNNNNNNNNNNNNNNNNNNNNNNNNNNNNNNNNNNNNNNNNNNNNNNNNNNNNNNNNNNNNNNNNNNNNNNNNNNNNNNNNNNNNNNNNNNNNNNNNNNNNNNNNNNNNNNNNNNNNNNNNNNNNNNNNNNNNNNNNNNNNNNCGCGCCGCGCCAGCGCCCCGCACGGCGCCCGCUCCCGCUCGCGGCUUCGCCCAUGCCAACGCCCGCGGCCGCCCGCGCGCCGCGCCCUCGCCCCCGCCUCGGCCUCCUCGCGACACGUGUGCAGUUAUUGAGGAAUAAUAUAUAGUUAUAGAUUAUAGACUAGUGUAAUGGCCCGCGCUUCGCGGCGGGAUCGAGGUAAUAACGCGGAAAGGAGAUGAUUAUUUUAUUAUAUAUAUUUAUUAAGAAAUACAGAGAUACAUAUAAUAUUCACAUUAUAUAAGAUAACUAAAUACAUAAUACAGAUAAUCUAAUAUGAUAUAAUGUCAUUUAUAAUACAAAUAUAAUUGGUAAAACAGUUUCUAGAUUAUGACCUAUCUGUUUCAUUUGAUUUCUUGUGGGUAUUAAUUUUGCCUACUAGGAGCCGGGUGAAAUAUUCUCUUAAAGGCUGUGAACAUUUCAUUGCCUAUCAUUUGCUGUCUUUCCCUUACUACAAAUUAUUUUUUUUUAUUUUUUAUAUAUAAUUCUAACAAAAAGUGAGGCCAAUUAUUGAACUUGAUUGCUAAACCCGUGAACUUUGAUCCUCCUCUUCCUUGUGUUUGCCUACAGGUUCAGUAGCUUCCCAGAAGAGAGAAAAAUCCAAAACAAAUCAAAAGCAAAGAAGAGUAGCUUCCCAGAAGAGACAGAAAAAUCCAAAACAAAUCAAAAGCAAAGAAGGGAACAACCAAACCGUAUCAAAAGCAAAGAAGGGAACAACCAAACCGUUUCUGCAUCCUUUCUCGCUCUUUUUCCCUCGUCCUUUGCUGCAGCCGCUGUCCCCGUCCCCAUCCCCGCCCCGAUGUAUUUUCCCUCUUCAUCAUUCUCAAUUCCCGUAGCACACUCGUCGCUGUCCGUAGUCAUGCUCUCCGUUGUAGCCUCACCUUCACGAUCUGUGUCAUAUCUAAGCCACCAUCGCCGUCAUGGAUGUCGGUGGUAUGCGCGAGGUAGGAGAGAAGAGGGCGGGGUCAACAUGAGGUCGGUGAUGGAGGAGGGUGAUGAAAAGCGAGGAGAAAAACUAAAGGAGAGAGAGAGAGAGGGAGAGAGAGAAAGGAAAGAAAAAGAGAAAUAAUAUUAAUUUGAUCAAUUUACUAAAAAUUCACAUCUCAAAAUUAAAUAAAAGUCUAUUUUGUUAUAAAAAUUUACUAAAAAUUCACAUCUCAAAAUUUUAAAAAAAGUCUAUUUUUUAUAAAAAUAUAAAAUUAGGAAUUGUUUUUUUUGCAAAUUGGUAAAAAAAAAAACCUAAGAAAAUUAUUUCAGAAUGGACAAAUUUAGUUAAUUGAUUGUCGAUGUGCCGAGGAUGUGUCGAUGCCAUGUCAUUUUUAUUGUUGACGCAUUACUUUUAUAUUAAUAAUAUGUUAUCAUUAAGUCAACUAAUUAUUUUAGGAAACUUAAUUUGAAUGAUUCAUAAAGUUCAAACUAAAAUUUAUAACAAAUUAAAGUUAAAGGAUGAAAGUGUUACAUUCCCUAAUAGUUUGAGAAUCCUGCGUGCAAUUUAGCCAAAAAUAUUAUCCCAUGGUAGAAUAAUUAUUUUGUAGAAAGAUAGUUAAUUUUUAGCCUGUUAAUAAAUGAGACGUACAAAUGUAUUUUACGAAUUAUACAACUUUGGCGAAAUAUUUUUAUUUGCUAAGCCCCAUUUGGUUCGGAGAUAAAGCGGUAUAUUAUCCUCGCUAUUCCGUCAAAUAAAGUAUUUUUUACUCGGAAUAAAAUAUUUCAGUCAAAUAUUACUAUUUUCAGUUAUCUCGAGAUAGCUCGAGAUCAACUAUUCCAUCCUUUUAAUAGAAUAAUGUUAUUUUAAAAUUUAAUUUUAAACUUUGUUAAUAUUAUAAAUUAAAUUAAAGUAAUUAUUUGGACAAAAUAUAUUACAAAUUGUAAUAAAUUAAACUAAAUUAUUAUAAUAAUUUGUUUAUUAAAUUUAAGUUUAAGUGAAAUUUGAAAAAUAGCAUGACAUUUCAAAUAUUUUUCUAUAUAAUAUAAUUUUAUAUCUAAUUUAUUACGAAAUAUUAAUCAUAUCUUAUAUCAAAUUCAGCCAUUAUAUUUUUUUAACUAUUCUAUGUUAUUACAUAAGAUUAACCAAAUACAAAAAUAAUUCUUUCCGAAAAUAAUAAUAUUGUAAAUUAAAAAUAAUCUAGUUUUAUUUUUGACUAUUUCAGAAUAGUAAACCAUUCUGAGAAAAAAAAUUUUUCCAAUGUUCAUUGCUCUUAAACCUGUUGGUUUAAACAGGCUAACAUCUUGCCUUGUGGUUGGAGGCCAGAUUAGCCUGAGUCAUGCUCGAAAUGGCAGAAAAUUAGAUUGGACCAAGUCAUAUUCAAAGUGGCAAGAGUCUUGCUGGGCCAAGUCACAAUCGUGAGCCAUGGAUUCUGUGUCAAUACAUUUAAAUAAAUUGAUUGUAUCUUUUUAAAACGUGAAUUUUUAGGAUUAAUAUAUAAUUAAUGCCAACGAUCCAAUAGAAAGCUUGGCCUAGGACUGUAAUUUUAUUAUCUUGUAAGGAUAAAUUUAUAAUGGGUUAAUUGUAUACAGUUUUCUGUAAACAUAUCGAAUAUUAAAUAUAUUCCUAAAAAGUUCAAAUUUUGUUUUUUAUCCAUGCAAAAGUUCGGUGAUAUUCAUAUUUGCCACUUUGAUUCAUUAUCGCUAGCGUACUAUUUAAUUUUUAAUAGCAACAAGUAAAAUGUUAUUUUUAUCCUUACAAAUAUAUUUCUUCAAAAGCUCCAAUUGUUACAAUUAUGUAGAAAUGUUCUCUCAAAAAAGUAUUUUAUCGAAUAAUAAUAAGAGAGUGAAAAGGUUAAUUUAACUCAUUUACUAAUCAGGUUAACUAUAUUUUUCUAACGAAUUCUAACAGCAAAAAUAUAUUUAAAAAUAUUAAAAAUUUUAUAUAAAUAAAAGUAAAAAAUUAAACUUUAUAAGAAUAUAUCAGUUACUCGAUAUAUUCACUGGAAGCUAUGUGUGUGCAAUUAACCUAUUUGUAAUUAACCCAAAAAAUUGAUUCACAGAGACCUCUCAGUCCGAGUCUGAAGCCACAACAACAGGCAAAGCCCGGGAAACUCCUCUUUCUCUCUCUACUCUCCUCUCUCAUUUUUCUCUCUCUACUCUCUCUCUCUAUACUACUAUAACAAAACAGCGGCUCAGAAGCGAAAAAUUCUAGAAUGCAACGGAUAUAUUAGUGACGUGGCGUAACAAACCAAUCAAAUUAAUCCUUUUAAAAAUAUAUGUCCCAUCAUGAUUGUAAAAAAGUAUUUUUAUUGUAUUUUUGUUUGAAAAGAAGAAAUGUGAUUGGCUUGUUACUGAUGACGUGGUGCAAGUGUGACAGUGUAGAAUUCCUCCUCAGAAGCAGACGAGCAUCGGUACGAUCGAAAAACCAGGGUUUCAGAAAAUAGGAACAAAAAAACCCCCUACAAAUAGAACCAAAAUCGAAGUAACCAGUAAGAAAUUACUCUUUCUCUCUCUCUCUCUCUCUCUCUCUCCGAUUCUAUUCUCUUCGCUAGUGUAUGAUUCUGCGUCGUUUCUUUCCCGCAUUGGAUUCUGCUUUUCUUUUUUCUUAAUUUUUUUCUUUUUUUUCGGUUUUUUUUUUUAUAUAUAGUAGGAUUUGAAGUGGAAUGAGUAGGAUUGGCCCGAUUGGGUGUUUGGGAGGUCGCCGUUAUUAUUUUUUUAUUUUAUUAAUAUGAAAGGUCUGAUUUUUGUGGAGUUUUUUUUUACUAGGCAUUUCGUCUAGCGUUUGGCAUUUAUUUCUUUCUCUAUUUUUAUCCUUGGAUUUGCAAUUUUUUUCUAAUUAUUUGGUUGAAUCUUCUAAUUAUGGAGAAAAAGGAGGCCUUUUCCUUCACAAUUUUGUUUUGGUUCUUAUUAUUUUGUGCAAGUAAAGCCACUCAAUUAUAUAUAUAUAUAUAUAUAUAUAUAUAUAUAUAUAUAUAUAUAUAUAUAUAUAUAUCAUCACAUACGGCUGCUGGUGGUCCUGGGGCCCAUCUGCUUGGCCAUGUAAUGCGGCAUCCGCUCCCUGCACCACGUGAUCACCUCCUUUGCUGUCGGCCGUUCUUGCUUCUUCUCCUGCUUCUCCUGUUUCUUGAGGCUGACGAAGGCGCAGGGGGUCUCCCCCCAGAACUCGUAGGGGGAGCACACGCUGUCCACUGCAAGGGUGAUCGCCACAGCCGAUCACCUCCAGCUGCGAUUUUCUCCCUGUUACUUACUACUCAGAAUAUUUAUUUCUUGUAGCACGGAGAUUAUGCAUUUCUUCUUAGUGUAUACCUUAGUAUUAGUUUUUCUUACCAAUCUAGCACUCACCGAAUGUAUUAAGCUUGGAUUUUCUCUGUUAUAAUAAAGAGAGCGUAUUGUUGUAAUUUAUCAAUUAGAAAGAAAUAUAUUUUCUUCAUCCAAUUGAUUUUGUUUCAUGGUAUCAGAGGCAGACUACUUUAAAUCGCAGAAAGCUCGUCCGUCACAAGCUAGCGUCGUGAUCUCUCAGACUAAUUCUGUAUCGACAUUCCGCACCUCCAUCAGUGCACGCAUGUCAAGGUUCGUAUCACGAUACCGCUCGCAAUAUCGCGCCGCCUGAUACAGAUUCCGCACCGGGCUAUUGCCAGCGUUCGAUGUUUAAACUCUGCGAAGGCAUAAUUUAUCGUGAAUGUCGGUGUCCACUCUACCUUGUGUUGAUGCCUCGAUGUUACUGACAUAAUUGAUGGUGCUUCUGGUCCACCGCCACUAUGACCGAUUGUGGUCUCUUCUUUGGUUCAUGAUUGUAUGAAGCAGUAUAGUUAUUGCUCAUCAUAUCUUAGUUUUCUAUACGAGAUCUCUCAUAGUCUUCAUCUCAUAUGGUGAGCGUUAGUAUCUCUAAGAGGUUUUAACAGUUUUAUCAAGGCUCUAGUCCGUCAGUGGAUCCAUUUGUAUAAACCUUUGGUGCACUUGCUCAGUCUUGUCAGUGUAUCUGUCAACCAAAAGUUAGGUCGUGAUCAACAGACAAUGUCCUGUUUUAUGCGCCUACAGAUUGAGUUUGAAGCUUGUACGUGGCACUACUCCAUCGACUCCUUGCGCCUACUUAACUGAUGUGGCUCUCGCGGAAUUGAUUGCUGAGGAGACACGUCUUCGAGUUUUGAGUUCCUCUUCUUCCGCAAUGCCUAACGUUCUUGCUGCUCAUGGUCCUGCAAGUCCACCUCCCGUGCCAGCGCCUACUUAUCAUCAACCGCCUUCUAGUUACAUUCCAAAUCCUGGUACUAGAAAAGACAAACGAAGCAUUCAAUGUCGUUACUGUCAUCUUUGGGGUCACUCAAUUCAAGAUUGCCGGAAAAAGAAAUGGGCAGAUCAGCAUUUACGAUCCUCUCGUAAUAUGCCUACUGUUGCAUCUGCUCCUUCUGUUCCUCCGGUCAACAACGCGUCAUCUACAGAGCAGCAACCUUCAACUAUUCAAUUGAGUCUUCCUCAACUACUGCAGAUGUUUCAGCAACACCAAUUGAUUCCAUCCACUUCGUCAAGGCAGUCCUCCUCUAUCUUUUCAUCUACGCCAUCAGGUUUUGGUAUGACUGGUCCUGGAGGUACUUCGGAACAUUCCUGGAUUUCAAACUCAGGCGCAUCAUUUCAUAUAACACCACAUGCUUCUUUACUUUCUUCACCUUCACAUAUUUUUACUGCUGAUGGUACCUCUCUUUCUGUCAAUAAUAGUGGCGUUGUUUCACCUAAAUCUGAUACUUCAGGACGCUUUACUAUUCCCUCUGUCCUACAUAUACCUCGACUCUCUCUUAACUUACUAUCUGUCAGCCAAAUUACUGAUCAUGAUUGCACAGUGACCUUUGAUUCUUCUUCUUGUCUUGUGCAGGAUCGUCGGACCGGGACUUUGAUUGGACAGGGCCAUAGACGUGACUGCCUGUACUACAUGGACUAUCUGCAUCUUCCUCCUAAAAUUAAUUCAGCAAAUAUUGCUACAACUUCAAAUUCUGAUCUCUGGCAUCGUCGUCUCGGUCAUCUUUCUUCUGAUAAGUUUACUGUUUUAGUUCGUAGUGGUGUAUUAGGUCCUGUUUUUAAUUCCGAAUCUGUUUCUUGCAUUGGAUGCAAACUUGCUAAACAUUCCAUUAAACCUUUUCCUGUUAGCAAUUCUAUUUCAAGUGCACCAUUUGAUCUUAUUCACUCUGAUGUUUGGGGACCAGCACCUAUAUCAACUCGUGUUGGAAAUAAAUAUUAUGUUAUUUUCAUUGACGAUUACUCACGCUUUACCUGGGUUUAUUUUAUGCAUAACAAAUCUGAACUUUUUCAAUUGUAUCAAAAUUUCGCUGCCAUGGUUCAAACUCAAUUUGGUGCCACUAUUAAAACUUUCCGCUCUGAUUCUGGUGGCGAGUAUCUUUCAAAUGAAUUUCGCCAACUUCUCGCUAAGCAUGGUACUUUGCCGCAACUCUCUUGUCCUUAUACUCCUCAACAGAAUGGUGUUGCUGAGCGUAAACACCGACAUAUCCUUGAAACCGCUCGAUCUCUUCUAAUUGAUGGGUCAGUGCCUAAACAAUUUUGGAUAGAUGCGGUUUCUACCGCAGUUUAUCUGAUUAAUAUUAUGCCCUCCAGUCUUUUCUCUGGCGUUUCUCCUAGUGAGCGAUUGUAUGCUAAAUCACCAUCUUAUACUCAUUUGCGUGUUUUUGGAUGUACUUGUCUUGUUCUUUUGCCUCCGCAUGAACGAACCAAAUUAACUCCAAAAUCGUCAAUCUGUGUUUUCUUAGGAUAUAGUCUUGAGCAUAAAGGGUACAGAUAUUAUGAUCCUACUGCUCGCCGCAUGCGAAUUUCUCGAGAUGUCAUUUUUCUUGAACAUGUAUCAUAUUAUGCUCAAUCUAAGUUAAGCGUUGAUACUUCUGCCGUUUCUUCACCUUCUGUUAUUGAUCUUUCAUUUCUUGUUAAUUCUUCGUCGACCACCACAUCUUCUCCCAAAGAGCCCCAACGAAUUGUCUCUCAGCCCACUGAAUCUUCGUCUUCUGCAGAAGUUUCUAUAGUACCGGCACCACAUGACGACCCACCAAUUACUGUUCCUUCCAACGAUCAGACGACUGCUGAGCGCCGCUAUCCACUGCGUACUCGCCGCCCGACACAAUUUUUUGGUUGUCUUGCCUCUCUUUCUUUUUCUCCACGAUAUCAUGCUUUCUUUGCAGCCAUUUCUAAUAUCCAGGAACCCCGUACAUAUCGCCAGGCCGUUUCCAUUCCUGAAUGGCGAGAUCCAAGGACCACAGAACUUACUGCCCUUCAUCGUACUGGUACUUGGGAACUAGUUCCUCUCCCGCCGGGCAAGACUCCAAUAAGUUGUAAGUGGAUUUAUAAAGUCAAGACAAAUUCUGAUGGCUCAAUUGAUCGCUAUAAAGCCCGUUUAGUUGCUCGAGGGUUCUCUCAAGAAUAUGGCAUUGAUUAUGAGGAAACAUUUGCCCCUGUUGCUAAGAUGACCUCUGUUCGCAUCCUUAUUGCUCUUGCUGCCUCUCGUAGCUGGCCUCUUUAUCAACUUGAUGUCAAAAAUGCCUUCUUACAUGGGGAUCUUCAUGAAGAAGUUUAUAUGCAACCACCUCCUGGUCUUUCCCAUUCAUCCGGUCAUGUUUGUCGGCUACGGAAGGCUUUAUAUGGCCUUAAACAAGCUCUCCGAGCUUGGUUUGAAAAAUUUCAGUCUGCUAUUCUUUCUUUUGGAUUUCAUCAAAGCAAAAAUGAUAAUGCCUUAUUUAUUCAUACAUCUUCUCGCGGGCUCACUGCCUUACUUUUGUAUGUUGAUGAUAUGAUAAUUACUGGUGAUGAUCCUGAUUAUAUUCGUUCCGUUAAAUCCUAUCUUCAGCAACAAUUUGACAUGAAGAAUCUUGGUCCUCUUCGAUAUUUUUUGGGGAUUGAAGUGGCAUAUAGUCCUCGAGGAUAUAUAUUGUCUCAACAAAAAUACAAUGCUGACUUGCUAUCUCGUGCUGAGCUCACUGAUACUGACACUGUGAGUACUCCUUUUCUUACCAAUUCACAACUCACCAUGUAUUAGCUUGAUCUCUGUUUAUAUAAAGAGGUCUUUUGUAAUUUAUCAAAUUAGAAAGAAAUAUAUUUUCUUCUCCAAUUAUUCUUUGUUUCACUCCCCGCCGCUGAUGAUCACGUUUUGGACCGAUCCUUGAUCUCCAGGUACCCGUCCGGGUGCAUCACCCCGACGUCGCCCGUGUAGAACCACUCGUCCCUGCAGAUUGCCUGCGCCGUCGCUGCCGCGUCUUUUAGGUAGCCGAGCAUGACGCAGCCGCCGCGGAGGACGAUCUCGCCCAUGGUGGCGCCUCGCAGGGGACGGGCCGGCCCGUGAUGGGGUCGACAACGUCCACGGCCUCGAUGGCCGGCUUGAUACACUUUAAACCACAAGGUACUAAAGUGAGAAAGUACGAACCACAGGAUACUAACUUGAUACACUUUAAACCACAGGGGUACUAAAAUUAGAAAGUGCGAAACCACAUGGUACUAACUUGAUAUACUUUAAACCACAGAAUACUAAAGUGAGAAAGUGUGAAACCACAGAGUACUAACUUUGUACAUUUUAAACUACAGAGUACUAAAAUAAAAAAGUACAAAUCCACAGUGUACUUCUCUCUCUUUAUCUCACUCUCUCUCUCUCACAUCCCCAUCCGCCGACGCCGUUGUUGCACAUGCCUUGGAGACUAGUUCUCAUUUUCCCUCUCUAAUUCUCCCAUCGUCCUUCCAUCUCUCUCUUUUAUCUUAUCCUCUCUCACACUCCAUUCGCUGGCAUUGCAAGCGGUGAAUGAUUUAUCAUUUUUAAAAGCGAUAAAUUAUUCACUGCUUUCAUAGCAGCGUACAAAUUUGUGUGAAUAGCGUAAACCAUGUACCACUUUAGGGUGCAUGGUUCGCCGCAUUUUUUUUCUCUCUCUCAUACUAGCUCCCGCAUGAUGCAAUGAAAAUUAUAUUUACAAAUAAAAUUUUGAUGAGUUAAAUUUUAGAAUAAACUUUUGGAGAGGUCUAGUGCACUAAAAUCUCUAGCCAUAGAAGAUCAGAAAGAGAUGAAGGGAAUAUAAAAUAUGUAAUUUCCAGAAGAUUUAAAAUUCCACAGGCAUCCCCAUAUUCAAAAAUAAAUAAAUAAUAGUGACUCAUUUUGCAUGGACCGCGUCUACCACAUCUUUCCUCAUACCUCAGAAAUUAAAAUGCCACGAACGGUGGUCUAUGAGUACAUUUUGUAUACCGCACCCUUUAGAAAAUCAAAAUUUAAGUGGACAUGAAUUAAAUUAUUAAUUUAAUGUAUGCGUGCAUCGCGCCGCUUAGAAAACAUAAAUUAAAUUAUUGAUCUUUCUCUAUCAUUUUUUAUUAAGACCACUCAUAUAUUUUAAUAAUAAACUAGUAUAGUGGCCCGCGCGAUGCAAGAAAUAAAUAUAUUAUAAUUUUAUAAAAUUUAAAAUUUAAAAUUUAGAUCUUUAUAUUUCUAUAAAUUAUUUUGUAGAGAGUAAAACACAUUUACUUUAAAAGUUUUAGUAAUUCUAAAGUAUAUUGAAAAGUAUGCAGAUUUUUUUUUUAAUAUUUUAAUUUUUUACACUAUCACGAUAGGUAUCAAACCACAUCUAUUUCCGACAACUUUAUAUAGAUGUCAGCAAACAAAUUCCAACAUAUCGAUUAGAUUGCACUAAAUAUGGUGUUAGGUUGCGUAAUAAUUAAUCAUUUUAAAAAUUUUAAACCCUAAUAUAAAUAAAUUCAUCAAAAUUCUCAACACAAUUAAAUCAUUAUAUAAUGGAGACAUUAUGAUUUGUAAAUAAAAAUAAAUAUAAAAAUUUAUAACAUAGUAAUCAAAAUACUGAAAAUAAAUAUUAAAAAAAUAUAGAAAUUCUAAAAAAAAUUUAUCUUAAAUUGGAAGAGUCGAAUCCCACGUAAUUUAAAAUAUACUAUAUGCUAAAAAAAAAUCUGAGUAAACAAAUAAAACAUCAAAUUCAAAUAAAAAAAGAACCUUUCAAAUAUAGUCAAUCGUUACAGGUAAGAUGCGGUCAAUUUUUUUGAGCCAAAAUAAAUAGUAUUUAGUAUAUCAUUUCUUAUUCAUCCAAAAUGAGCAUGAGUACAACCCUUUAUAUAGACUCUAAUAAAUUGACCUUUCAUAUUUUAAGAUGACUUUUCAUUUUAUUCUAUUAAAAUAUAUGAUUUUUCAUAUUUUCUAACUUUUUAAAUUCUUAGAUAUAUUAAAUUAUCAAACCUUUCAACUUCUAAUUAAUUUUAAAAAAAUAAUAAAAAAAUUGGUGAGACCCACGUCCUUAAUUUAAAGGGUAGUGGAGCCGCAUCUCCAUAUUAAAGGGAUAAUAAUCUAUCCAUAGAAAAAAAAAAUGAUGAAAGAAAAAAUUUAAUUAAUUUGAAAAAAUAAAAAAAUUGAUGAGACCCACACCCCUAAAUUAAGGAGGUUGGGCCACAUCAACUUUAAUGAUUGAGGAUUCAUAGUUUUGCAUAGAUUUUUAAACCUUGUAAAUUUUUGCCUAUACUUUCUAAAUGGCAUAAAUUGGGCACGGUGCUGAGAAGUAAUGCUUCAGUAUAAGCAACAACUAUCUACAUAAAGUUAUUUUUCUAUAAGUUAUCUGUACAUAUGAAAAUUUUAGUAUUAAAUGAUUUUUCAUAAAAAGAAAUACUAACAGUACCCUGAAAAACCCUAUAACAAAAUAGUAAAGUUUUAGUAUAACAAAUACAUGAAGCGACGCUACCUCACUUACAAGCUAGCAACUUUCAUGGAAACAAACAACUAAAAGAAGUUGACUUUUAGUCUUCGUUUGGUGGGAUAUAAAUAAGACUGUUUAUUUCCGAAAUAGAUAUAAGUUUAAUUAUAUGCAGAAACUAAAGUAAAUUUUUAUUUGGAUAAAAAUUAGACUGUUUCGGUGAAUAAAAUAAAUAAUAUUUGAAUGGUUAGAUUGAAAUAGCAGGAAUAAAAGCAAUUAUAAUUUUAAAUUAAUAAUACUUAUCUAAUUAAUUAAUAUCAAAAUAUUAAUUAAAAAUAAUUUAAUAAUUAAAAAUUUUAUUAGCUAUAAAUAUUGAAUAAGAAUAAAAAAUUUAUUAACUAAUUAAUUAUUUAAUUAAUUAUAAAAUAUGACUUAACUUUUUAAUUAAUUAGUAAAUUAUUUAAUUAGUUAAAUGAUUCGUUAAGAAAUUAAUUUAGUUAGCGGCCAGUACAAAUAUUAGUUGUUAGAUAAACAUAUUAAAUAAUUAAUUCUUAAUGAGCUAAUUAACCAUAAAUAAUAAGUUAAUUAAUUACUUGACUAUUUAAGCAAUAGAUAAUGACUUAAAUACAUUAAUUUGAUUAAUUCACAAGUUAAUAUAAUAAUUAAAAUUAAAUUUAAAAUUUAAUUAAGCUUGUUCCCACUAGAGAACAUGCUUGUUUGAGGGAGAGAAUGGAACAGCUGUUGCACCCAUAUUCCCCCUUAUUCCUAAUCAAGGAGAACUACAAUUUUCAAAUGCAAAAAAUAGCGUUAGCGUACAAGGAGGGGAAUAAGGCUUAUUCCCAUCCUCAUACCCAAACCAAACGCUACGUACCAAAGAAACUUAAACUUAGUAUAAGGAUAAUCAUAAGCUGUUGUGUUGUUUAACUUUCACAACAGUUGAUAAAAACAUGAUUAUAUCUUUUUAGUCCUAUAAAAUAAAAGGGUCAUUGCACAAGAUUGCACAGGACCAGAAAGGAUGUUUCAAUAAGAUCCAGGAGUUUCAACAAUUUGUGACAAAACAAAAAAAAGGGGGCAUAAUUUAUAGCCGCCAAACCCAUCUUGAGUUCCUUCAAUAAAGAAUCUAGCAAUUUGCUCAAUUUAUUGUCACAAUUCUCCAUCACCGAUCUCGUUGGAAUCUCUGCAAUUUGACAAAGAGAAAUCACUUAAAACCUUUUGAAAGAAAAAAGAAAAGAAACACUAAAAUUUUCAGCUCAAGAAACACAAUCUUAGGUACUAGGACAUUUUCAGCUCAUUUAAAAAACUAAAGAGAUUUGAUAGUUUUAGAAAAAAAUAGAGCUGAAUAUACCUUGGAAAUUGACAAUGCUUGCUAAGAUCUUUGCAAAGAGCGUUGCUAACACUGCCUGCUUCUAUAGAUCCCUUUUUGAUCCACUCAGCCAGCUGCAAAAGGUAAUGAAAAGGACUUCAAAAUGAAAAUCAACGAGUUUAUUGAACAGAUUUCGGCUGUUAAGGUUCUACAGAAACCAUAGAUUGCUAACUUUGAUUUAACAAUGUGUAGAGCCAGUUUUUUGUAUACUUUAUUUGACAUAGUCAUAUUGUGAGAUCUUUGUAUACGCACUAGUACUAGAAUUUAUGAAUAGAAAAAUCUGACUCACCUCAUCCUCAGUUUCCUCCAACAAUCUGCAAAGUGAACAUACCAAGUCAGAGUCUCUAAAGAGCUUAGGACAAUAAAUUUAGAAGCCAGAAAAACGCAAUCAGUUUUAUUGACCCUCAGUUACAGUUAAACUGAUUAUUGACUGAAUAGUGAGCUGAUCCAUCAGAUAUAGCAUAUUAACUGUAGAAUAAAUAAAAUUUCCGGAUCCAAAAUUAGUGCAGCACUAGCAAUGCAUAUAAACUGUAGAUAUAAAUAGAUUUUCGAGAAGCAAAUUAGGGAUAAUUUCAGCAGUAGCAGGGUUCUGUAUAUCAUGACUUUAUCAUAUUUAGAUAUUUUCACAAAAAUCCAGCAAACCAGAAUGCAAUAUGACAAGCUGACAAAACUGUCUAAUAUAUUAGGUCAGAAAUUUAAAUGUUCACAAAUAAACAACAUUAGAUCCUAUAAGGAUAUUAGGAUCCUGCAAUAUAUAGAAUCCAGUUUAAAGUAGAUACACGGCUUUAGACACAUUACAGCUGCUAAUUCAGGGCUUGCAUUAAAUUUCUUGCGGGUUGAGCUAAGAGAAAUUAAAAGAAAGGAUGAUAAGCCUAGUAUAGGUCAGAAACGUUCUCCUUUAUGUGGUCAAUAGCUAAAAAUCAUUGCUUAGGAUUAAAGGAGCUUCAACUUUUUAGACAUCACCAUAGACCUCUAGACUCUUCUUUCAAAGCCAGAAGUUAAUAAAUAGAUAAUAAGAAAGAACAGCAAACUAUUUAUAUAGGUGAAAGGUCUUGAUAAAUAUAGAAAAAGUUGGUGUGGCAUUCAAAGUCUAGGAUGUAAGAGAUGAAACCAAUAUCGCUAAUACUUGUAAAACACUCGAGUUACAACUAAUUGCCAUUCCCUAGUCUAGGUCCGUCCAUCUCUGUCCAUAUUGAAAGAAGCCUACGAAAGCAAAUGACUCUAUUACCACAAUCUGGGAUUCAUAGAACUAGAUGAUAUUGAAAAGGUAGCAACAGCAUAAAUUUUGUCCUAGAAAGAGUUGGUGAUUAAAAGAAAAUAAACAAAAACAAGAAAAAGCAAAAAAAAAAAAAAAGGAAAAAAGAAAAGGAGGGUCUGAGAGGACUACAAAAAAUAUGGGUUUAGUCAACCUUCGCAUGAUAACAGAUAACUAAAGGAACCCAAACAAUAGUUAACAAGCAAGACAAAAAGACAAUCCAUCACCAGUUAAACAAGUGUAAAUGUGAAUAGAUAUCUCAACUAUUAUUACAUAGAAAUUGCGAUUAAAUAAACAAAACAAUAAACCCUUCACCAUACAACAAACUAAGUGAAUUUUACCUUCCACAAAAUGUGGAUAAAUCCUUUGAGUAGGCACGAGCUUCCUGCUUAUCUGCAAAACAAAACAAAUAUUUUUGAAAAUUAUUUAAGGUACCUAAAACAAAAGGAGACAUAAUCCUACCUAAUCAUCAGUUCAUAAUUGAAGUAAGUUGAUAAAUGCUGCUAUAUUUAUUGACAUAAACCAUGGAUCGAUAAAAGCAAAAUGAAAAUCAAAUGGAUUCCCUCUAAUCAUCUCAAUCAUCUUUUAGUCACUAGACUGAGAGACCUACUUAUUUAUUUCUAUGUCAUUCAUCAGCAAUGUCAUGACCGAUAAAUGUCAUUCAUUAUCACUAGAUAAAAAGCACUUAUAAUUUUUAAGUGCUAUUCUUUUCUGAUUGAAUAAGUAUUAAAAUAUCCCAGGAGGCGAAAUUGCAGAUUAGCAUUAAACAAAAAAUAACUUUCAAAUUAUUGCCCAAAAUGAAUGGCCAAUAAUAUUCUGAAAAGCUAGUAAAACAUUUCACUACCGAAAUAUAUCAGCAAUUAAAGUUUAAUAGAGUUUCAGCAAAAUAUUUUGAGAGGUAAAGACCAAGAGUUGCCUGUUGGAAGUCAAGAUAUAGCAACAAUGUUCUAUAAAGCUUACCAGUUUUAAGACUGUCCCAGUUUCUCACUUUGACCCACGCUCGCUCACCUGAUUCCAACUGCAAAAAAAAAAAGAAAAAAAAAAGAAGCCCAGAGAUCAACAGCUAAAAGUUUAGGUCGUGCACCUACAUGCCUGGACCCGAAAUUCUACAGUAAGAAAUUAAGAAUUAAAAUCAGGUGCAUUUUAAGAGCUAAAUGCACAUUAGUGCAGAAAAUACCAAAAGCAUUAGAUGGUAUAGUCAGAUAAUAUUCACCAGAACAAUCGUGCAACAAAAAAUCGUAAUUAAUUCACGGGUAUUUAUAUACCUUCUCUAAAGUAUAAUCCUGCAUUUUUUCACAGAGACCAUCCAGUAGCUCAACAACUCUUAGUUCGCUAACUCUGAAGGAAAAAAACACAGAUUCAAUGCAGACAUUGGAACAUAAAUAAAAGACCAAAGUCUAAGACGAUCUGCUGAAAGGAAUUGAAUUAUUUAGUUACAGUAUACCUCCUUUAAACUUAGAACAAUUCACGCUAAAAGGCAGCAAAAAUAGCUCAUUUUUCAGAUCAAACAGCCAUCACUCCCGGCAGGUAAUAUAGUUGGUCAGAAACAACUUACAUAGAAGUACAGAGAAGUUAUCAGGAAAGACGCAGCAGCAUUUAGCAGGUAGUUAAGCUGAUAAAAUAUUGUGGUUACAGAAUUUUCAGAUGAUUGCAAAGAAUUGUCACAUCUGACUUCACAACAAUGAAGAAAUCCAGGAUGUUGGGCAUAUUUCCACCAAUUAUAGUGUUAGCAGAGUUUUUCAUUCACCACAUCACAAAAGUAGAUUCCAAGUUUAUAGAUUAGAUAAAAAGAUCAAAAGCAUAUGAUUAGCCAGUAUAAAGAGGCAAUACUGCAGUAUCAUGAUCUAAUAACAGUACUUUUGGCUUAUAAUAGCUCCCUUCAUUAAGAAUCAGAUAUGGAAAGUCUGAUUCUGAAUUGAUUGACAAAACUUCUCAACUGACUUUACAUGUGAUAUUGGAUAACUGGAAGGACACAAGAUGGCUACUAUCUUUUCUUCAUGCCACAAUUUGAUGCAUUGAAGAAAAACAAGUCUGUUUAAGGGCUUUACUAAGCAUUUAAAAAUAGCAAGGACAGAGGUAGAUUUGUCAUUCUCUGAAGUCUCUUUUCCACAGAGAUGAUAUCUAUUAACUGAUACAAAGUUUAACUCAGAUGGACCAUCCACAACAUAAUUCACAAGAUUUGACAUGUAGGUCUUAUCCUCUCUAUGGAAGUUCUGCUUCUAAGAUUGCAAAAAGCUAGGCUCUUCAUUUUGUUAAUGAAACAAAUUUUUUGAUAAUGCAGACAUUAAAUAACAAUUGUAAGUGAUAAGUCCCAAAGAACAUACAAGACAUGAAAAUAAAUCGAAGGAAUGUUCAUUGAUAGCAGGUGCCAUUGGAGACAUCGAGGUAAUCCAAAUAGACUCUGAUAAUACAAAUACCUGUAAUCAAUUACUUUACCCUCACGCUGACCUUUGGAAUCCAAACGGUGGCGCAUGUCUAAGUGAUUUCUUGGCUUCUCCUGCAUCAAAAGUAAAGAAGAAGAUGCCAAACUUCACAAUUUCAUAGAGUGAUUCUGACAAUAAGCUCAUAAUGAAGAAGAAACAGACAUUAAGAUAGGUGUAAGUCAAUGCAGCAUGCUAGACAAAACUUAGAAAUUUCUUUCUGAAAUGCUGAGACCAUAAAGCAAAUGCCAUUAUUAAUUCAUUCAUGACAGUAACUGGCAUAAUAUUACAGGGAAAGGAGAAUGUAGGAAACUUACACUAGAGAGUCCAAGUUCUAUUUCGGCCUGCAAAUCAUUCAGCAAAAUAAUCAGCUAUUUAUCUUACCAAAGUUGGGAUAUCACUCAAAAGAAAAUAGUCUAGUGAUCUAUUUUAAAAUAAUUUAAUAUAGUUGACGGACCAAAAUUAAAAAAAAGAAGGUAAACAUGUAUAGAAUUUAACUGAACUUUCAUCCAUUUUGACUCAAUUUUUUUUUAUUUUGGUACCCCAACCUUUCUAUUUAUUUGAUUACGGUUCUUCCAGUACAAAAUUUAGGCUCAUUACUUACUUUAAUGAAAUUGUAUUUGCAUAAAUUACAUAAAAUAUGCUAAUUAAGCCCAUAAAAACAAAAAAUGCAGUCAAAAUUUUGAAGUGUGAAAGUCCUUUAAAUGGCUCUAAUUCAAAUGAAUCAAAAAUUUUAAAGGUAAAAUAGUUAGAUCAAAAUGGUCAUAGUUCACUAAGUUCCAUACAUUUUUACCCAAAAAAAAAAGAAAAACGAAAAAAUAAUUGCGUUCUCAUAUUUUUAGCUUUCACAAACUAAACCAGUACUAGUACACUAAAAACUAGGGUAAAUUAAGCUGAUUCUACAAUUAAAGAAAAACCUAUUUUUCAGAUCAAAACAAGCAAAAUUCACCAAGCUUCAUUUCCCCAUGGUAACGACCAUUUCUGCGGUCGAAUUAAAGGAAAAAAGAAAAGAAAAAGAAAAAGAGCUCGAUUCAUCGAAUCAAAAGGUAUUAAAUGGGAUAGUGAUCCAACAAUUAGCGAUCGGAGAUUGUGAGCAGGAGAGAGGGGAGGAGGAAGGCGCACCGCGACGGCGUAGCAAGCGGCGCAUUUGUCGUCGAUGGAGGAGGUGAGGGGGGCGAGGGCGACAACAAUGGCGACGACGAUCCACAUCGCGUAUCUAGGGUUUCCGCUUCGUCCCUUUGUCGUCUUCGUCUCCAUUUCUUCGCCACUCGCGCUUCCCAAACUCUCUCUCUCUCUCUCUCUCUCUCUCGCUCUUGCGUGUCGCACAGUUCCCUUCUCGGAGUAAAUUGCUCUAGUGGUCCCUGAUGUUUUCAAUUUUCAUUUUGGUCCUUUUAAAAAGGUCAAAAUGCACGAAACCCCCUCUCUAUAAGCCAUUUUUAAAUAACCGCCCUCAUGUUUAACUCUCUUUUAUUGAAACUACUUUAACUAUCCAUUUUUUUGCGAUCGAGUUAUUCUAGUCAGUUUUGUAGAAACUUUUGUUAAACUUAAAAUGUUAGAGCAAUGGUAUCUAAGUGCCCAAAAGUGAGUGUAAUUCUUAAAUUUUUUAUACUUAAAGGUCAAUUUUUUACACUAGUCUUAUCACACUCUUAUUUUUACAGUACUAAAACCUAAAGAUGUGUCUAAACUCUUAGGCGGAUUAGAUAUAUAUAAUUUAUGCCGAACUUUUGACUUUACAAAUAGUAUGAGGCUACUAUGCUAUCGGAAGCACGGAGCCUUUCGUGCUUCCAGUUCGUUUUCGAUGUUGCGACUUUCGAAUCGUCGAUCGGCUCCGUUAAACUUGAUCUAGAGUAUUUGGAGUACCUAGAAAAUAAAUUUUAUGAUUUUACGAUAUCAUUUGCCUGGUGAUGGAAUAGGCUCAAAAUCAACAAAUUUCAAUGGCCGCAGUGAGCCGUUUGCAAGUUUAACGGUGUAGAAAUAUCCAAAUCAUGUGAAAUUUUGAUAGAAAAUUCUUUAUACUAUAUAAAACAAGAUCAAUAUCUUUGAUUUAAAAUUUUAAUGUCGUAUUAUUACAUUUUGUAAGAUUUUUAUUUUCAGCCAUUGAUUUUGAGCCCCUUCGUUCACUAAGCAAAUGAUAUCGUACAAUCAUAAAAUUUAUUUUCUAAGUACUUCAAAUACUCUAAAUCAAGUUUAACGGAGCCGAUCGACGAUUCGAAAGUCGCAACGUCGAAAACGAGCUGGAAGCACGGAAGGCUCCGUGCUUCCGAUAGCAUAGUAGCCUCACUCUUUCUUAAAAUAUAGUUGAUACAUUGACAUUCAUGAUACGGUGGACUCACUAUUUAUUGUUACUUCAAUUGCGACUCAUGGCAUUAACGCAAAAAAACUACAAUAAAUCAGUAGACGAUCACCAAAGAAAACUUGUGUAGGCCAUAAUUAUUUUACCUUCAUGUCCCGUUUGGUUUAUGUUAUGUAGUAUUAUAUCGGUUAUUUCAACAUAACUGGUAAUCUGACAUAUAUUUUACGCUGGACUUACCAUUUAUGCCUAAUGUUGUAUUGCUCUAUUAGGUUUAGUACAGUAACCUAAUAUUGGAUUACUAUGUGUAUGUAAUAUUGUUUAAAUUUUGAAUUCAAACUUAAAUAUUUUAAGUAAAUAAGAAAUAAAAAGUGAAAUUUAUUUUACAUAUAAAUUCGAAGUAAUUGGGGAUGGAGAGGGGUAAUUUUAUAAGUUUACAUAAGUUGCGGGAAAACCCGCAGUCAGUGAUGCAAGAUACUCACCCCCUCCCAAGUAAUAUAUUGGAAGUUAUCUAAUGCUAUUAAUAAUGUCACAUUAGCAAUCUGAUUACUUGCGAAUGAACCAAAUAUAGUAAUCUGAAAAGAUUCUUACAGGAUACUCAGUAAUCCUGUCAGAAUAAUGCGAACCAAACGUGGCGUUAAGGGCAUGUAUUAAAGUGCUAAUAAAAGGAAGUAUUUGAAGAAAGUUUAGACGGAGAUUAGUAACAGUUAAAGAGUGUAAAAGAGUCUAACAUAAGACUUGUCGACAAUGACUAGUUAGAUUUAUCCAGCAAAAUUGUGUGGGAAAUUGAAUACCAGAUCUGGUGAGCUCGGCCGAAGAUGUGUUUGUUUCCUUUCCAAGUUAUCAAGCUAUGUGCUAUCAGAUCUGAAACACAACCAUACAAAAGUGAAGAAAUGAACUGAUUUAAAGAAAGAGCUUUAAUUAUUUGGUCUUUUUUAAUAUACAUUCAGGAACUUACCUACUUUCGUUUUAGCCUCCCUUGUCCAAUUUUUAGUACCUGUACAGCAUCAGCUGAAACAUAGCAGAACCGUCGAAGAAAAUUGAAAUUUUUGAUGCCCAUUAACUGCUAGUUUGCAACCAACUAACAAAAGAAAUACAAAUACCGAAGUAGCAAGGGUGAAAUGUAUGGGUAGCUCUGUGCUGUUCCGAUAUUGCCACUUAGAUUUUAACUUAAACACUUAGUCUCUAAAUUUUCUUAUAUUUUGCUUUCAAUUCUGGCACGUCAGAAUAAUUUAGCUUUUCCGGUAAAAUAACCAUUUCGCCCCUCCUGAAAGAUGACUUCCUUGUGUCAUAUUUCAUGAGGCAAGAUUUAAAAGUUAUUUUACAGCAAAAGUCAAUGGAUUUCAAAGUUUUUUUGAGUACUGCAAUAUAUGAGAAAGUUCAGGAAUAGAAGUGUUUAAGCAGAAAGUCACAGACCAACUCCAAAUAUCAAAACAAUGCAGCAAGUAUCUGUAGUGGAUUGCUUUGGUUAUGAUACAGAUCUUACCUAUAAGACCACUGCCACUUUUAUAUAUUAAGGCCUGCUGGAGAACAGAGUACCGUGAAGGCCUGAAGAUAGGCUUCGUGGUAGUAGCCACCUCUUUGAUAAGAGACUUGCGAGAGCAGCUAAAACAGUUAGUUAUCUUAAUGCAUCUUUAUGUGGCAGCUACAGUAUAAAGAAACAUUACAUAAGGACUCAAUGUGAUCUUAUUGUACCGAUCCCUUUCCAGUUCAGACUUUGCUUCACCUCCUAUUCUGAGUUUCUGCCAAUUGCAAGGUGUUCCUCAUGAAAAAAAAAAUUUUGAACGUCGCUUGGCUUUGUUUUUCUCUUCCAUUUAUUUGACGAAGUAGUGUUUACUUUUACAUAGUGAAAUUUUGAAUAAAACGACUGGAAAAGAGAAGUUUUCACUCUCAUUGUCAUGGAUGAGAUGAAAUCGACCUCUAUCCCUGUAGUCUUUGGUGUUAUCACCAAAGUCACUGCCAAUAAAGUACCAUGCUUCCACCUAUUCUAGCCUUAGGAACACAAAACAAGCUUCGACCGAUUCUAGUCUUAGGACCACGAAUCUUGAAGACUCUGAAGGUUUCUCAACUGCAUCUCUUCAAAGUAAACAUAGUUCGAUGGCUCCAUUUUAUGACAUUUGGUCUUCAUUUACUUUUGGGCCGUUCUGCUUUCUUGAUAUUUUGUGUUUAAGCUUAAUUUCUGCCCAAGUGCAGUAUGAGGACAUAUACCAGGAACAUUGCGAAAAGCCCAGCUGACAUAUAAGUGAUUUUCCCUCACUAUCCGACAUCCAAAAGUGCUUCUGGUGAAACUGUAAGAUGCUCUACAAACAGCAAAUGAUCUAUUAACUGGGAUAGAACAAAGUAUAUAUCACUUGAGCUUUCAUGUCUCAUGUCUUCUACUAAAAACUCAUAUAGAAUGUUAUUUAUCUCAAUGGAACUAACUCUUGCAUCUUUCUUUAUCCCCUUCUCUCUCAUGAAUCUCCUUAGUGUCUUCAUCUUCUCCCACCUGUGGGUCUCACAAUACAUAUUUGAAAUCAAAACAUGUAAUCCUCCACCAUUCAAUUCCAAACUCAGUAGAUCUUUCAUCACCUGCUCCCCAAUCCUCGUAUAUCUAUGAAUUCUACAAGCCCCAAGCAAUGCACCCCAUAUCACAUAUCGGGCUUCAUUGGCAUACUUUUAAUUAACUCCACGGCUCGUUGAAUCAGGCCUCCCCUCCCAAGAAGAUUAACCAUGCAAGUAUAAUGUUCAAUUUCAUAUGGAACAUUAUAAACAAUGUUCAUAGUUUCAAAAUAAGAUUGUCCAAUUUCCACUAAACCACAAUGACUACAACAAACUAAUGAAAGUGAUCCCAUCCGGUAAAAAGCCCUCUUCGAUCAUUUGGUUAAAGAAAUCAACAGCAUCAAAUGCCCGGCCAUGAAUUGCUAAGGCCCACAUUAUCACAUUCAGUGAGACUGCGCUUUUACUAGGCAUCAAGAUCUAAAGCAAUUUCUAUUGGACCACAUUUCGCAUACAUGUCUAUAAGCAAGUUAAAUAGAGCAAUAGAGGGUUGUUCAAUAUUAUCUCUAAUUUGAUUGUGAAUAUUCUUUCCAAAUACCAAAUUGCCAUUUUGGGCGCAAGCCAUAAGAACAGAGAUAAGAGUUACCUGAUCCAGCAUUAUCUUUGAAGCACGCAUCUGGUUGUAAAGAUCCAAGGCUUCAUGAGAAAGCCCAUUUUGGACAUAGCAAGAGAUCAUGGCAUUUCACGAUACUUUGUUCCUUUCCGCCAUUCGAUCGAACAGAUACCUAGCCACUUCAAUCGAACCAUGUUUCGCAUGUGCACAUACCAUCGAUGUCCACAAAACCACAUUCUUCAAACCAUCAUGUCGAAACAUCUUUGCGCCAUAAGCAAUGCACCACACUUUCCAUACAUAUCUACCAAUGCAUUCCCCACAAUCAGAUCAAAUUUAGCCUGGGAAACCUCUAUAUAGUGAUGUACAAACCUACCCAAUUCAAAAUUAUCUGCUUGCAAGCACGCAGAUAAAAGAACAACCAAUGUGAAUUCAUCAGCUACCAAACCACCUUCUCUCAUCAUUUUAAAUAGGGAAAAUACUUCUUCACAAUCACCCAAUUGAGAAUACCCACUAAUCAUAGAGUUCCAAGACACUACGUUUUUACUGGGAAUUUCGUCGAACACCUUGCGGGCAAACCAAAUUGGCCCACAAGAUGAGUAAACAUGGAGGAGAGCAUUCAUAACGAAGAUUUGCGACUCGAAUCCGAGUUUUACAAUCAUACCAUGAAUCACUAGUACUCCUUCUAAUGCCAAAGCUUCGGCACAUGACUUGAGAACGAAGGGAAGGGUGAAUUGAUUGAGCGAGAGGCCCCGACUAAGCAUUCGAUGUCACAAAAAGAGGGCUUCUUUAGGGCUAUGUUGAUUGGUGUAGCCUCUGAUUAAGCUAUUGCUCAUGAAUUUAUUGGGGUUGGGUGCGUGUUCGAGGCGUUUGCAGCUGUAGCGGAGGUCGCCGGUGGGGGAGAGGGAGCAAAAGGAGAUGAGCUGGGCUAGGGUUAGGGUUUCGUCGAGGAUGGCGGCGACGAUGAGGUGCGCGUGGAGCUGCUUGAGGUGGUUCAUGGAGUGGCAUCGUUGGAGGAGGGAGUGGAGGAGUUGGUGCGCGAGAAAUUUGAACCCCGGGAAGGAGAGGUUGUGGGGUCGGAGUUUUGGCGCGAAGAUAACGGCUACUCGUUUGAACAUAGCUUGCGUUCGGCCGUUCGCUAGGGUAGAGGUUUAGGCUUAGUUGGGUAUUGCGGGAAGUUUGUAUUACAUGCGAUAAAAAAGUACAAUAUAAAAAUAUUUUAUUUAUUUUUGUAUGUAAUAUUGUGUUUCAUAUAUCAAGUCGAUUACGAUAUAUUUUUUACGAUCCCACAUGAGAACGCAGAAACAUAUCUUAUAUACUUUUACCCUAAUUCCAUUUUAUCUAAUAGCGUCAGAUAAAUCUCAAUAUCAAACUAAACCUUAACGCACAGGAUAUUCAUUAUAUGAACAAACAUUUGGUGAGAAAGGCGAUCACAUCCACCGUUCAUCUAUUUUGAGAUUUGUAUCCGUUUUUGUUAUGAACGGUAGAUAUGAUGGCCUUCCAUUAAAAACUAUCUCCACCAAAUAUUUGUCCCACAUUAUACAGCUCCAAGAUUUCUUUUUUUUUUGUGUGAUGCGUUUAUUUUCACACCUUUUAUGAAAUCAUUUGGAAUCGACAAUUUUUACAGAAUUUGAAAUCAUUUUACGUCAAUAAGUUUUUAAAUAUCUAGUCGGAAAAAAAUUAUUUAAUGUGAUUUUUUAAAAAAUUUGCAAUGAUUGUAAUAAGUGCAAACAAAUCUAGUAAUUUAGGAUCUCACAUGCAAUGAAAUCGACUAUAUGACUUUCUAAAAGUAAAUCUAUUACUUUAUCUAAAAAGUACUUUUUUGAGAGAAAGCUAAUUAACCUAUUAUUUGUUUCGUUUAUUUUUUUAAAAUUAAAUUUUAUUAAAAAUAUGAAGUAACUAGAUUUCAAAUUUAAAACCUCAAAUAUCAAUCAUUAAAUUUUUUAUCACUUACGCAAAGGACAAUUUGCAGGGUAGUUGGAUAGUUAAGUUUUGUACUUGUAUAGCAUUGCUCUUUUCAAAUAUUGUAGCCAGUGCUAGAGUACCUAAGGCCAAUUGGAACAGUUGUUGAUGUUAAUACAUAUAACUAAACAGUGAAUUUGAAUUUGCAUAUUAUUAUUCUAUUAAAUUUACAGUAAAACAACAACUACAUGCAACCAAACUGUCCCUGAAAUGUAUAAAUUACACAGUAUUAUAUGUUUGGAUGCACAGUGAACCUGGUCUAGACAGUAAGUACUCCUAUUUUAGUCCUUCUUGUGGGUGUUAAGUAUCAACUAACAACAGCUAUUGUGUUGUGACUUGAAAUUGUUGCAUGUACCCGGUUCAUCCAUACAUCUGUGCACCGCUCAUCUAUCAGCCAUUCAUCUCACCCCACACUUGAUCUAUACCAUCCACUAGUAUCAUCUUCUCUUUUGUUCAAUAUUGGACGGUCCGAUCAAAAGUAAGUAAAUUGUGUACAGAGGCCGAUAGGUUGGCGGUGUACAUAUGUUACAACGCACAUGGUGCACGCAAUAAUUUCUCGUCUAAUUUGGUAUACUUUCCACAAUUGGUAGGUGAACCCCAACGUGCUUACUUAACCCCCCUUUUUUUUUUUUUUUUGGGUUCCCUUUUCCCACCUCUAAAAUUAAAACAUUCAAAUGUUUUCUAGUGCUAGUAUAAGAAGAGAGGUAACAUACUUGUUUAGGCAUUUGUGUCAUUGAUAGCAAAACAGAGAGAGAGGAAAAACUAAAAAAAAAAAGAAGUGUAAGAAUGGUGGUAAAGAUCUACGGAACAGGCACAGCCGUGUGCUCGCAAAGGGUUAUGCACUGCCUGGUCGAGUUAGGGGUUGAGUUCGAGCUCGUGGAGGUCAAUCUCGAAAAAAUGGAACACAAAAAGCCUGAGUAUAUGGCUAAACAAGUAGAUCAUCCAUCGAUCUAAUUUCUUUGUUUUUUUCAUAUUUGUUUUUUGACUAAACAUAAAAAUCUCUUUUCUAGAUUUUUACUUUACCUUGUUGUCUUGUUUACUCUUAGGCGCUUAAAAUUACAUUUAUUUUGACUUGCGCUAUCUGAAAUUGCUUUCAAAACCCGGGUUGAAUGUUGGAAUUUAGAAGAAGAACUUUAGUAGAAUUCAUUGAAAUAUCAUGUUUUAUAUCUAAAUAUUUAUACAAAUUAUAUCUUAUUAGAUAGAAAUAACACUAGAAAAAGAGAUUUUUUGCUUGUUAUACCAUAAUCAAUAAAUUAUUUAACCAACUAAUUUUGAUAACGAUGACUGCUAAAUUAAUUUAAUAAUUAUCUUAAAUUUUUUACCUCUAUUUGAGACAAUUUUAAAAUGUAGGGUUAGAAUAAAUGCAAAAUUUUUUAUAUAGGAGAUUAUUAAGAAAUAAAUUUCUUUUAUAAAGCUUUUUUUUUAGCCAGAUCUAUGUUCAACUGGAUUCUAAUAUGUGUUUUCUUUUUCUUUUCCUUUUUUCUUUUUUUUUUCCUUUUUGGUAUCUUAUUUCUUCUGCUUGUAGCCAUUUGGACAAGUUCCUUACAUUGUUGAUGGAGACUUCGAACUCUUUGGUAAGUUCAUUUAAUUGUUUAGAUUGAAAAUAUGAUUAUCCAAAAUUUUCAAUUUACAAAUUGCCAAUUUCAAUUUCAACUUACAACUAAUAAUUAUCUUAUAUUAGCUUGAUUGUACAAAACAAGAAUUAGCUAAGACAAAUUCGUACUACUUACUUUAUAGCCACUACUCGCUAUUAUUACUUAGAACAUAUAAAAAGAUACGCAGACAAAAUAAUAAAAAUUGAAAGUUAAUUUAGUUUCUAUUGUUCAUCCUUUAUUUUAUUCUUUGGAAACUAAGAUUAGAUAGUUGAUUAUAUUUUGGGAAAACUUCAAAAACCCCCCUUGUGGUUUGGUAGUUUCUCACUUUGCCCCCCUGUGGUUUAAAGUGUAUCAAUUUGCCUCCUGUGGUUUCGUUUUUAUCUUUUCGGUAGCUUUUUCGUUAAUAUUUCAUUAAAUUAUAUACAAAAAAACUUCAGAUAUCCACCUAGAUUUAUCAAAUAUUCACUUUAGUACCCUUUAAUUUUAACUUUAUUACUGAUUUAAAGAAAAAAAAUAAUAAUGAAAUUGAUAAGAAAAAGAGAAAAAAGAAACCACAGGGGGGCAAAGUGAGAAACUACGAAACCACAGGGGGGUUUUUGAAGUUUUUCCUUAUAUUUUGUUAGCACGCUCUUCAUAUAAGCCAGACUCUUUAAUACCGAGUUAAUUUGUGAAAUUGUUUGUAGAAUCAAGAGCAAUCGUGAGGUACUAUGGUGCCAAGUACGUAGGGAAAGGACCGAACCUAUUAGGUCGAACACUCGAGGAGAAGGCUCGGGUCGAUCAAUGGCUCGAUGCGGAGGCCAUCAACUACAAUCCCUUGGUGUUCCCUAUAGUCUUCAACCUUUUCGUGCUUCCCCGCAGUGGUGUUCCCGGAAAUAAGGCCGAGGCCGAGGCUGCCGUCGAGAAGCUCGACAAGGUGCUCGAGAUUUACGAGCGACAGCUAUCGAAGACCAAGUACUUAGCUGGAAAUGAAUUUACUCUAGCCGAUCUAACUCACAUUCCAGCCACACGGUACAUUAUUGAAAACUUGAAGAGCGCAUAACUUUAUAAUUUGAUUAGACUAGGAUAGGCGACUAACCUCUUUCUAUUUGCAAUUUGACCUACGAACUUUAAUUGAUGCAAAAUUGCGCAUAACUUGCUUUUAGUUUCAAAUUGAUCAACAAAGUUGGAGUCGAUAAGAAAGAAAUCAGUAGUUAUCUAAUUAAUGUCGCAUAUUAGUUACGGUGCAUAAAAUUCUUCUUGCAUCAAAAUAGAUUUUAGUGGCUAAGUUAUUAAUUUCCAGUUUCCGCCAAUCCAAAUCUAGUAAACUAAGAAAAAUAGUGAGUUCUCUUGGCACCAAAUUAGAGAUUGUUGGGUCAAAAUGCAAUGUGAGAUAAAAUAAGUGGAUUUUUAAAAAAAAGUUUCACCUCCUAUUAUAUUAUGUGUAGUAUUCUUUCUUGCAUGUUAGAAUUAUAAGAGGGGGAGUUAAAAUCCUUGCUAUGAUAUCAAGUAAAUUUGAGUACAAGGCCUUAAAAUUUUACUUUAAAUAUUUUUAUAUUUAACACUUUUCUUCAUAUCUGGACUUGUGACUUUUUGCUCAGCCCAUGACAUGGACUUAAAUUAAAUAAUAAUGCUAAGAGUCUGGCGUGACUUGAACUUAGAAUUUUCUGCUCUAAUAUCACGUUAAAUAAUACGAAACAAUCAUUGUACUUUAAAAACUUAAGUUGAUAGAGAACUGUGUUUAAAUAUUUUUAUAUUUAACAUUUUAUAGGUAUCUAGUCGAGAACUGCAAUAUGGAUCACCUAAUUACUGGGAAGAAGCAUGUAAAGGCGUGGUGGGAGGACAUCACCAGCCGACCGGCGUGGAAGAAGACAAUGAGCUUUGUGGAAUCCAGGGUUUCACACUUUUAUCCAUGAGGAUUAGUACAACAAAAAAUUAUAGAUUAAUAAAUUUAAGUUUGAUCAUCGUCAUCUAAUAAAAUUAUGUGUAUGGAGGAGAUCUAUGCAAGAUGCAUAAUUUCACAAUAUAAUGAUGCGUUUAAAUGUUUAUGAAUGUACGAUUCCCCACUGGUUUUUUAUUUAGUUUUUGUUUGAAGUGUCAAAUGAGUUUUUUUUUUUUUUACGGCUUUGAUAGUGUGUCAAAUAGAUUCGUAAAUUUUUAAUUUUGAUAACUAAAUUUUUGGAACUUCGUCAAAUAAUCCGACAAAUCCUUCUUCUCAGGCAAAAUCAUUAAUUAAACAGCCACUCUCGACACAAUCUUAUACGUAGAAUUGUCAAAUAGAAUUACUAAAUAUAUGAUUCUCUAACAACUUAAGUUUUUGAUUAAAAAUAAAUAUUUCAUAUAAUUAAACAUGAUAUCAAAAUAGGGGUAUGAGUUCGAGUCGCACCAAAUGUUUCAUAUAAUUUAACAAAAUUUUUGUAUAAUUUUUAAAGCAUGUUGAAAUAUGUCUUUUAUAUUCUAACACUUAAAAGCCAUUUAUCUUAGGAAAAACUUCAAAAACCCCCCCUGUGGUUUCGUGCAUUCUCACUUUGCUACCCUGUGGUUUAAAACGUAUCAAUUUGCCCCCAUGUGGUUUCGUUUUUAUCUUUUUGUUAUCAAUUUUAUUAUUAUUAUUUUUUUAAAUCAGUGACAAAGUUAAAAUUAAAGGAUACUAAAGUGACUAUUCGAUAAAUAUAGAUGGUUAUCUGAAGUUUUUUGUAUAUAAUUUAACGAAAUAUUAACGAAAAAGCUUUCGAAAAGAUAAAAAUGAAACCACAGGGGGGUAAAUUAAUACGUUUUAAACCACAGGGUAGCAAAGUAAGAAUGCACGAAACCACGGGGGGUUUUGAAGUUUUCCCUUUAUUUAUUUUUUCAUCAUGAUAAAUUUAUUUCUUCUGUGACAAGAGAAGAACCAUUAGGGCUCCUACCCAAGUCCAUUGUCCGAGGGUCUAGCAACCCUUGGACAGCGGCCCAACGGCUCAAUUAGCCGUUGGUUGAGUCCUUUUUUUUUUUUUUUUUUUGUCUUUCCUGAAAAAAAAAAUAUUUUAUUAUUACUUUUUUAAAAAAUGGGUUCAAAAAUUAAAAAAAGAUGUUUUUUUUAAUUAAAAUGACCACAAUGCCCUCACUAAUAUUAAAAAAUUUGACCGUUAGAGAUGGCAUUUUGGUCAAAAACUAAAAAAUAUUUUUUUAUAUUUUUUUAAAACUAUUUUUUAUAUCUAUAAAUACUACUACAAACAUCAAAAUUCAUCACAACAAAUAACUCUUCAUUCAUUUUCUUCUACAAACACUAAUUCCUCCCACUCUUAAACUUUCAAUCUAAAAUUUUUUCUCUCUCAAUUCUCAAGUUUACUUUGCAAAUAUUUUUAAUUUUUUCCAACAAUUUUUUUUUACAAAGUCUCUCCACAAUUUCACAAUACAAAAUUUUAUUUUCAACACAUAAUUAAUCUCUUUUUAAAAAAAAAUUUAUUUAAUUAUUUUUAGUAUUAUUGUGUUUAUUUUUUAUAAUAAUAUUCGAUGAAUUUUUUCAUAUACAUUUUUCUUGCACUGAUUAUACUCCUGAGUAUUAUAUUAGUAAUCAAUCAGAAACUGGAGUCGGUGGUUCUACACAAGGUGGCGACAGCUCGCAACCUAAACCAAAUUUAGACACAAGUUCUAACAAAGCGUCUAAACGAAGAACAAGUGUAAUAUGGAAGUACUUCAAAAUCAAAGAAGUUGAAGGACAAGACAGGUGAGCUGUUUGUACUAUAUGUAGGCAUUAUUAUUCUUGUGAUAAUUCUGGUAGAACAGAUCAUCUUAACAGACAUAUACAGAAACAUCAGAUAAGAGAAGGUAAAGAGACAAAAUAAUCAGAAUUUGCUUUUACUUCUAGUAAAGUUAAUACAUUUCAAUAUUCUCAUAAACGUAAUAGAAGAGAACUUACAUUAUACAUUAUAGGAGCUGAACAAUCAUAUAUACAUUUGUCGAAUGUCCAUAUUUUGAACACUAUAUGAAAACAGUUUUAAAUCCUGCAUAUAAAAAAACUUCUCGAAAUACUAGUCGCAAAGAUUCAAUAAAAGCAUUUCUUGAAUAUAUACAAAAUUUGAUUUCAAUUUUAGAAAAUUUAAAUUCAAAAAUUUCACUCACUUUCGAUAUUUGGAUAUCAAGAAAUGAACAUAGUUUUAUAUGUGUUAUGUACAGGAUUGAUUCUAAUUGGAUAUUACAAAAAUGAAUUAUUGGUUUUCAAAAACUUGAGUUUCUAUAUAAUGGUAUUCAUAUUGCUCAGGUAAUUAAAAUGUUUUGCAAAUUUAUAACAUUAGCCAAAAAAAACUUUUAAUUAGUUUCGAUAAUGCUAGCAAUAAUAGAACCGCAGUUCAAAUUUUGAAAAAUAAUUUGCAUUCUGAAAUGAAAAAUUAUUGUAUAAUAAAUGUGCAUGUCAUAUUAUAAAUUUGUAUGUUUAUGAGGGAUUAAAAAUAAUUAUUCCACAAAUUAAAAAAUUAAAAGAUUAUAUUAUAUUUAUUCAUAGUUUUUGUUCAAGAAAUAAGAUUUUAAAAGUUUAUGUAAACAGUUUGGCCAAAAAUAUAAAAAAUUUAUUUUUGAUGUUCAACAUCGAUAGAAUUCCACAUAUAAAAUGUUGCAAUAUUAUUAUGAGUAUAGAAAUAUUUUAUUUAUUUUUUGUAAUGAGAAAAUACAGCAUAACUUCUAUAAUGAAGAAUGAAACAUUAAACAAAUUCUUAUGAUUUUUUUUGCAACCAUUUUAUAAGUCAACCAAACCAAGUAUUUGAAAUAGGAUUAUGCUGCAUAACAAUAUGAGUCAAAAAAAUUAUAAGAAUUUGUUUAAUGUCUUAUUCUUCAUUAGUUAUGAAAUUAUUCUGCAUUUUCUCAUUACAAAAAAUAGAUAAAGUAUUUCUAUACUCAUAACAAUAUUGCAAUAUUUUAUAUGUAGAAUUCUAUCGAUGUUGAACAGCAAAAAUAAAUUUUUUAUAUUUUUGGCCUAACUGUCUACAUAAACUUUUAAAAUCUUAUUUUUUUGGACAAAAACUAUGAAUAAAUAUAAUAUAAUCUUUUAAUUUUUUAAUUUGUGGAAUAAUUAUUUUUAAUCCCUCGUGAACACACAAAUUUAUAAUAUGACAUACACAUUUAUUAUAUAAUAAUUUUUCAUUACAGAAUGCAAAUUAUUUUUCAAAAUUUGAACUGCGGUUCUAUUAUUGCUAGCAUUAUCGAAACUAAUUGAAAUUUUUUUUUUGGCUAAUGUUAUAAAUUUGCAAAAUAUUUUCAAUCACCUGAGCAAUAUGAAUACCAUUAUAUAGAAACUCAAGUUCUUGAAAACCAAUAAUUCAAUUUUGUAAUAUCCAAUUAAAAUCAAUCCAAUGUACAUAACACAUAUAAAACUAUGUUCAUUUCUUGAUGUCCAAAUAUCGAAAGUGAGUGAAAUUUUUGAAUUCAAAUUUUUUAAAAUUGAAAUCAAAUUUUGUCUAUAUUCAAGAAAUGCUUUUAUUGAAUCUUUGCGACUAGUAUUUCGAGAAGUUUUUUUAUAUGCAGGAUUUAAAACUGUUUUCAUAUAGUGUUCAAAAUAUGGACAUUCGGCAAAUGUAUAUAUAAUUGUUCAGCUCCUAUAAUGUAUAAUGUAAGUUCUCUUCUAUUACGUUUAUGAGACUAUUGAAAUGUAUUAACUUCACUAGAAGUAAAAGCAAAUUCUGAUUAUUUUGUCUCUUUACCUUCUUUUACCUGAUGUUUCUGUAUAUGUCUGUUAAGAUGACCUGUUCUACCAUAACUAUCACAAAAAUAAUGAAGCCUACAUAUAGUACAAACAGCUCACCUGUCUUGGCCUUCAACUUCUUUGAUUUUGAAGUACUUCCAUACUGCACUUGUUCUUCGUUUAGACGCUUUGUUAGAAUUUGUGUCUAAAUUUGGUUUAGGUUGCGAGCUGUCGCCACCUUGUGUAGAACCACUGACUCCAGUUUCUGAUUGAUUACUAAUAUAAUACUCAGGAGUAUAAUCAGUGCAAGAAAAAUCUAUAUGAAAAAAUUCAUCCAAUAUUAUUAAAAAAUAAACACAAUAAUACUAAAAAUAAUUAAAUAAAUUUUUUUUUUAAAAAAAGAGAUUAAUUAUGUGUUGAAAAUAAAAUUUUGUGUUGUGAAAUUGUGGAGAGACUUUGUAAAAAAAAAUUGUUGGAAAAAAUUAAAAAUAUUUGCAAAGUAAACUUGAGAAUUGAGAGAGAAAAAAUUUUAGAUUGAAAGUUUAAGAGUGGGAGGAAUUAGUGUUUGUAGAAGAAAAUGAAUGAAGAGUUAUUUGUUGUGAUGAAUUUUGAUGUUUGUAGUAGUAUUUAUAGAUAUAAAAAAUAGUUUUAAAAAAAUAUAAAAAANNNNNNNNNNNNNNNNNNNNNNNNNUGGGCCCGCCGUCCAAGGGUCUGGCGGUCUGCCAGAACCUUGGACAGUGGACUUGGGUGGGAGCCCUAAAGGCUAGGCCUACCUACCCUACCCUUUUAUAGGCCUGGCUAAGUCAAGCCAUAUAGGCCUGGCAUUGCCAGGCCUAACUUUGAACUUGAAAUUAGCGGAUCGUGCCGGCCCGGCAGGCACGGCCCAUACGGGUCGUGUCGUGCCGGGCUGCGGGUCGAACCCUCGGCCCGACACGGUCAAGACCCAACACGUGCCGUGCCGAGCCGGGGCGACGGGCCGCAAAAUUUCGGCCCGACUCGUCACGACCCGCAUAUCCGGGCCGGGCCGGACCGGUACGGUUGCUACAAUAACCAUUCCAGGUCAUUACUGUAGCAAUCGCGACGGUGGGCAACCCGACCCGUUUUACACCCUUGCAUUCGAGUCUGCUUUUAGUACAGGUGAUAGAAUAUUGGAUGAUUAUAAAAUCCGAUUUAACGAGAAUGCGAUCGAGAUUUUAGUCUGCUUAAACUAUUGGCGAGCUGCAGAUGAAACAGAAUCAAAUACCUAAAAAUAUACCAACACUUGCGACAUGCUAGAGUACAAUCGUCCUGAUCUCUUCACUAUUGUCUAUUAGUCAUUGCGGCUCUUCUUUUUUAUUUAGUACCACUCUUUACUAGGUGUCUUUUUUUUAAGUGAAAAAUGAUGUAAUGAAGAAAAAAAAUUAUAUUUGAUUUUUUUUUCUCUACUGUUUGCUAAUUGAUUGUAUAAAUAAUAUUAUAUUAUUUUAAAUAUAUUUUAAAUUUUUUAAAAUUUUGUACUUUUUUCUAUGUAAUUAUAUAAUAUGAUUAAUUCAAAUCUUUAUAUAUUUUUUGUAAUUAUUUUUUUAAAUAUCAAUUUCUCUUCAAAUAAUAAAAAAUUAUUAAAAAUAUUUAAUAAAAGAGUUUUUAAAAGGUUGGGUAUAAUUGUGUAAAUUAAACACUAUAAGUCAAAAAUUUAUAAUUUAAACUCUUUUUUAAAAAAAUUUUAAAAAUACAUAUUUUAUGUAAUAUGGUUAAUACAAACUUUAUAUAUUUUUUGUAAUUAUUUUUUUAAAUAUCAAUUUCUCUUCAAAUAAUAAAAAAUUAUUAAAAAUAUUUAAUAAAAGAGUUUUUAAAAGGUUGGGUAUAAUUGUGUAAAAUAAAAACUAUAAGUCAAAUUUAUAAUUUAAAAAAAUCUAUCUCUUUUUCUGAAAAAAAAAAUAUUUCUUGAAAAAACUGAGUGAAGGAAUUUUUGUGAAAAAUCUGGCGGCACGGCACGGCACGGCCCGUGCUAGGCGUGCCGGGGGGCCGCGCUGGAUUAAUAGACGCGUCAGACAGUGCCGAUCCUUGACCCGAAGUGGCCUGAAAAAUGUGGGUCGUGCCGCCAGUCGCGGUCCACAUUACAUCCCUAGUCCAACUCCAACAUCUCCAAAACAACAAAAAAAAAUUGCUGGUGUGGUAAGCUGGGUUCACUUAAGAUAAAAACGUAUGGAAUAUGAAUCAGAGAGCCCUCAAUUUAUAUUUAUAUCAUUAUUAUCCACUGAGCCCUCAAUCCAUAUCAUUAUCCACAUUUUUAUAUCAAAUCCUGACACGGAUUUAGAUAUUGAUCCCAUAUUUAAAUUAAUAUUUAAAUUCAGUUAUUAAAUUGGCACAAAUAUGAAUAAAAUAUUUUUAAAAUAUAUAAAGGUAAAAGAAAAAAAAGAGAAAACUUAAAAAAAACCCCUGUGGUUUCGUAGUUUCUCACUUUGCCCUCCUGUGAUUUAAAAUGUAUCAAUUUGCCUCCAUGUGGUUUCGUUUUUAUCUUUUGCGGUAGCUUUUUCGUUAAUAUUUCAUUAAAUUAUAGACAAAAAACUUCAGAUACCCAUCUAGAUUUAUUAAAUAUUUAUUUUAGUACCCUUUAAUUUUAACUUUAUCACUGAUUUAAGAAAAAAAAAUAAUGAAAUUGAUAAGAAAAAGAGAAAAAAAAAAACCACAAGGGGGCAAAUUGAUACAUUUUAAACCACAGGGGGCAAAGUGAGAAACUACGAAACCACGGGGGGUUUCUUGAAGUUUUUUCAAAAAAACAGUGAUAUAUAUACGUAAGCUUCUUAAAUUUUAAAAAAUAUUUAAAAAUUAAAAAACUUACAAAUUUUGAAAAAGUAAUAUUUAUUUAAAAUGUUAAUUGCAUAUAGAUUUCUACAAAUAUAGUGAAUUACGAAUGUAUUCAUACAAAGUUCAACUUUCAUGUAUUGUUCCUGUUCUGAUAUUUUCAAAUAUGUUCCUACUGUUAGAUUUUGUUAGAAAAAUUUAAUUAAUUAUAGGUUAAAUACUUAAUCCUGAUUAGUUAACGAGGGGAAUUGGCUUUUUUACCCCUUUUCAAUUAACCGUUGAAAUUUUUAAGAAAAAAUAUUUGUGAUGGUAAAAAGGUAAUUUCACUAAUAAAAUAGAUAUUGUAACAAACUAGAAUGACAUAUUUGAAAAUAUUAAAAUUUCUGUAGGGACAAUAGAGAUAUAUUUAUAAUUUACUAUAUUUGUAGGGGCCUGUAUGAAAUUAAUACUUAUUUAAAAUAAAUAAAAGUAUAAAAUAUUUUGAAAAUAUAUAAAAACUUAUGUCAAAUUUAGAUACUUUGAAUAUAUAGUAAAUUUAAAUUUGAAUUCAAAUCUAAAAAAUAUUUCAGUUCGAAAUCCAAAUCCAAAUCCAAAUCCAAGUUCGGGUGGGAUAGUAAAACUUCAACUUAUAUCCAAAAGAUUUUAAAUUUCGAGUCGGGUCGGAUCAGAUAUAUUAUCCGACCCGUUUUAAACCCCACUUUCACUUCACCCGGUAAUUUCUCAAAUUUCCGAGUCCAAUACUCCUACUCUCAAAAAAAAAAAAAAAAAAAAAAAAUCCGAUUCGUACUAUUACUCUAUUAGGGGUGAGAUUUUUUUUUUUUUUUUACGAUUUUGCGAGCUCCGGAGCCUCGGAUUACUAAAACUAUAUAAAUAAAAGCAUAGAGUAAUAAUGAGAGAAAUUGUUUCUUCUUCUCUAAUCUCUCUCUCUCCCUCCUCUCUCUCUCCCUCUAUGCCCUCUCUCUUCUCCUCCUAGGGUUUCGCAUCCUCGUACCCAACCCCUCGAAACCCUAGGUCUUCGGAUCGAUCGAAGAGAGAGAGAGAGAGAGAACGAGCGAUUCUUGGCGAUCAAAUGAUCGAAAACAGAAAAGGGAGAGAUCGAAACAUCGUUGUUAAAUGUGUGUGUGCGAGAGAGAGAGAGAGGCAUGGAGACCCUCCCCUCCGCGGCGGAGAAGCAGCGGCUGAUCUCGUCCUUCCGCGAGAUCGCCGCCGACGAAUCCGUGGAAACCGCCGCCCAAUUCCUCCAGGUUCGGAUUCUCAUCGAUUCUAUUCGAAAAGCGCGAUUUCGAUCUUUUAUUUUUUGGGUGCCUUUUCUUGUUCGUGUCGUUCGGUCGAUUGAUCUAGGGUUUCCGUGUUCUGUAGGCGACGAGUUGGAAGCUGGAGGAAGCGCUUCAGCUGUUCUUCGUCGGGAACGAUGGUGGUGCUCUGGCGUCGUCCUCCUCGGCUCCGGCGGGGGUCGAUGAAAGCCCUAGGUCAGUUCAAGUGGAGGGAUUGUUGAGUGAUUGGUUUCAGGAUAGGUUUCAAUCCUUAACGUACCUUGAUUGUAGUGGAACGGUGAAUGAUGUUGCGCCUGAGAGCAGUAUUAAGCAAGAUGGUGGAGACGACGAAGUGCGUGCUCCAUUGCCGAUCAAAAGAGAUACUUUAUAUGGCGACGCCUCCUUUUCAGGGUAGGUUUUUGGUUGUCUUUUGGCAGAUUAUAAUAAUUUAGUACAAUGCCAUACCUAUCAAUUAUAGGUUUGUAUUAUUUUGUUACUUCAAAGUAAAAAAAAUAGUUGAAAAAACCGCAGGAAACAGCAACCUCUGUGAAGUUAUCAUCAAUGAUUUUAGUACACCUGAAUUCUACUUUGUAAGUGAUUUUGAUCUAUUUUUUGAAGAAGGACCUUUGAUGAGUGCUUCCUUCUAAUAAAAUUGGAAGAACGAUUGUAAUAAAAAAGGGGGUAAAAAAGGAGUUGGAACACUCAUUAGUUGAAAUUUUAUUAUUUUUAGUAGGUACAUUACAACUUGAUGUUGUAAAUAGAGUUUAACUAAAUACCUAUAUAGCCAAGAAGUUCGCGAAUCAAAUGAUAUGGCCUUUUAUACAAUUGAAAUUGGCAAAAGCACCAAUCAUAACGAGUAAUUAAUCUCCAAUGUCUUUUGAGUUAAGACUUAUCCGGACAGCUAUGUAAGUUAAGUACUAAAAGAAGGUUAAGUUUAAUUUUCACUUGAGUGGAAUCAAUUUAGACUCAAAUGAAGUUAAUUGAACCAAUCUUUCUGCCAAAUUGGGCUGGUGUUUCACUUCUGCCUAAAUAUCUCCCUUGGGAUUGCUUCAUGGUUGAAAUGAAAACCAUAUGAACAUGUGGAUAUUUAAAUUAAGUAAAUUGGAAAGUUCCAUUCUCGGUGGAGGGUGGAGCUUUAUUCUUUAUCCUAACUUUCUUUGUAUUUCCCUGUUUGUAACUAGCUUUAUAUUGAAGUUUGGAGCUGUUGGUAAGCACUAUAUUCCAUAUCAAUGUAAGGUGCUUUGGGUACAAAAUAAUAUUCCCCAUAAAUUUUAGGGUUUUGGAUACUGUUCCUCAUAAAGUGUGCAUUAAUUUAUUUUUGACAAUGAAUACUGUCUAAGCAAUGAUGUUGUUUAUUGUAUAAUUGACAGACCUUAUUCUUUAACUGGAAAAUGGCGGUGAUCCUGUUUUUUAUAAUUUGAUUCUUCUUAAGAACUUAAUUUUACAUUUUUUUGCAAAAUAAGUUAACUAUAUUUCUCGAUAUUACAAGAUCCUUUUACACAUGAAAUCUUAGUUCCUUCGUGUUGGUUUAUGGUAAAGUCAUGUACUUGUAAUUUACCACCAGCAAACUUUUGGUUGGUUUUAUUCCGAUUAGUAUUACUCUUUAUUGCUAUCACCAUGGAAGUGUGUCUCUUGUUGUUGACCCUAUUUUAUUCUGCAUCCAGACUACAACCUAGUUCGGUGGUGGCAUUUCGCAAUUUCGAAGAGGAAUCAAGACGGCCUGUUGUUUGGGAAUCUAAUCAAAAUGCUGCAUCAACAACAAAUGGCUCCCGCGAUAACCUUGCUUCUUUAUAUCGUCCACCUUUUGCCUUGAUGUACAACGGGCCCUUCGACAAGGUAUAUGUUUAUUUUAUCAUUAUUUUAUUCCUUUCUAUGCUCUGAGGUACAUGUUUAAAAUCCCUGGAACUUGAUUUGUUGGCAUGAUAUUAGAUGAUUUAGGUAAAGAAAGAAAAUAUUUUAUAUGACAUGUUAGUGUUGUUGUUUGCAAAGGUCCUUUGAGCAGCAUAUUUUCCACCUUCCAUUUCUUCAGCCUUUAAUUUACCAUUUGCAUAUGGUUACACUGACGGAAUAGAUUUUGACAAUCACUUCUUACCGCCGACUUUUUAUUUUGCUGUUUUUUUAAGGCCUUUUGCGGUUGACUUUUGAGAAAUCACAUGCAUGAUAUGCAAGGGCUUAGCAUAGGACAAUAUAUUUUAUUCUCCUUCUUUAUUCUUUGACAAUUUUAUCGCAGAUCCUAAUACACAAGUUCAUAAAAUUCUAACGUAAACUGACUGAAAUGAUGGAUGUUGUGUAUGUCUAGGCCAAGGUGGAGGCUGCUCUCCAGGGUAAGUGGUUAAUAAUCAACUUGCAGUCAAGAGAAGAGUUCAGCUCACACAUGGUAUGACUUUCUGCAAUCAUCUAUUAUCAAUUAUUCGAUCAUUAAAUUUCUGAACUAAAUUUUAACUUCUGAACUUGUUUAUUAUCUUUUGAAGCUCAAUCGAGAUACAUGGGCAAACGAAACCUUGGCAGAAACAAUUCGUACUAAUUUCAUUUUCUGGCAGGUUAGUCUUCUGAUUAUUUAUGAAUAUUUUUAUCGUGCACUGAUUUCCGGUUAUACUUUAUUUGCUUCUAAUCCUCGUGUCUUUACAUUUUUGAGAAUCUGUUUUUCUUGUCUCUUUAUGCUAUUUGUCUUCUUUUUUUUGCUUUUCUCUAUUGCCUAUUUAGUUUCUUCCCAAAUGCUUGUAAAAAUUAUUAAAAGCAGUGCCUCCCACACCACCACUCCUAAUUGAUUUCCCAUUCAGGUUUUAAUAUGAUUUGAUUGAUUAUUUCAGGUGUAUCAUGACUCCACUGAGGGAAAGAAGGUCUGCACAUACUACAACUUGGUCUCUGUUCCUGCAAUUCUUGUCAUUGAUCCCAUCACCGGUCAAAAGAUGCGUGCUUGGAGUGGGAUGGUACAACCAGAUCGUUUGCUUGAGGUACUAAAUGCUGUGAACUUGACCUUUCAUUUGGUGUUUCUUAUCUUAUAUAUCGUAGCUAAAACAUCUAUAGUGUCGAUAGUUCUGUAAAAAGUAAAAAUCUGGACUUCUAUGUAUACCCCUUGAAAAUUGCAGCUUCUUACAAACGUGGCCAUAUUUUAAGUUGGGGAGUCCAUCCACUUCAUCGCUGGAAUUUGUUUUUGCAUUAGAAACAGUUCUUAAAAAAAGAAGAAGAAAAGAGUAGAUCAUAUUUGUAAAUUCCAGGUUAUGUGAAAUUAAGUUUUGAAAGUACAGCUUUUGCAGGUUUAUAUAUAAAUAAAUGAUUCAAGUGUAUAUAUGUCAAUAUAUCUUUUUUCUUUUGCCUUUUAAGCACGUUGUAUGCAACACUUCAAGUUGGGCCCACAUGAAAAUCCUUGGAGAUCAUAGUCUUUUGUGGUAUGUUAUUUGGAUCUUUCUGUUAACCUUUUUUUAUAAAUUUUUUUGUAGGAUUUGCUUCCAUAUCUGGAUAAAGGUCCCAAGGAGCACCAUGCUGUUCUACCUCAGAAACGACCGAGAGAGCUUGCUCAAUGUUCUACACAGACUGUAAAUGGUAUGUGGUAGAUUUCCUGUUUGGUUCAUAUGAUUUGUUUUUUUGUCUUGGCAGCAGGUCAUGUGGAAGCUGAAUGUCUUUGGGUCUUAUCUCUAAAAUAAUGCCCCUUCCUGACAUGAACCUUAUUGAGAACCCAAUCAAAAAAUUUCGGAUGGUUUUGUUCAAUUAUGUUUUUUUGGCUAACAUCUUAACAUCUGAUAUUAAUCCAUUGAUUAUGAUUAAUCAUUAUGACUCCUAUGUUGCCAUCUAUUGACUUUAGAUUAUACAUAAACAUCAAGAUUCAAAGUGUAUAAAAUUUAUGAUGUACAAUUCGGUUUUUAUUUACACUUUUCAAAACCAAGCCAGAAUUGAAAAUACUGGGCCAAAUUAAAGCACUCACUAAACCAAACCAAAAUUGACCAAAUCACAGCAGCCCUGUUUGGCGAUUUUAAAAUAAAUAGAAAGACUGCAUGUAAACCAGACCAAAUAUCUACUUCUACAUGUAUUUCUAGAAAGACUGCAUAUAUGCUCGUAAAUCAUAUCAAUAUGAUCUCUUUGAGCUGCUGUAUUUUUAUUUUUUCGUUCUUUUCCUUUUCAGAUAAAGCAGUCGAAGAAGAAGAUGAAGAGGUUUCUCGUGCAAUUGCAGCUUCCUUGGCAGAUGCAAAAAGUGUUGGAGAACCAGAUGCUACCGAAGACGAAGCUGAACCUGAGAAAGAUGCUGAGGCUAGCUUGAAAGAAAAGCCUAUUUAUCCUCCCCUUCCUGGAGAACCUAAAGGAAGCAGGGAAAUUCUAUGUAGAGUGGCAGUUCGACUACCUGACGGUCGGAGAGUCCAAAGGAAUUUCCUAAAAUCCGAUCCAAUAAAGGUUAGAUAAUAUCAUCGAAAAGCUCGUACAACGUUUGGUUGUUUACAAAUUUAGUCCUGAAGUUUGACACUUGUCUCAUUCUGGUUCUUGUUGUUUCUGUUUGUAAAAUUAGUCCCUACAGUUUGUUUAGUCCUGUUACUCUCUAGUCUGGAAAAGACUAUUCCCACAUCACCUCUAUUUUUAGGGUUUGCUCUGUUUAAACCCACACGGUUGCGGACAAUUGAACUCUGGUGCUAACCUUAGGGGCCAAAUUUUAAAUUGAAACUUUGCAACAAAGUUUAUUCACUGAAGUAGUAAUUAAACCUAGAAUGGUUUCAUAUAUCUCCAUACAGAAGACUUACAUUGUACUUGUUGCCUUUCUACAGCUUUUGUGGUCUUUCUGCUGCUCUCAAGUGGAGGAUGCGGACAAACAGCUGUUCCACUUCACACAGGCAAUUCCCGGUGCAUCGAAGAGCCUAGAGUUUGACAGCAGUCUAACAUUCGGAGAAGCAGGAUUGUCGAAUUCGAUCGUUUCCUUGGCGUGGGACUGAGAAGUCCACUGAUUAAUCUCAAAUAGGGGCUUAAAAUAUGAGUUAUUAAAAAAAAAAAAAGAAAAGGACCUCAUAGUUCAUCAUCCUUUUGGUGUAAAGUCAAAAAUGGACUUUCGAGUUGCUGCUUGUAAACAAAUACGUAAGUUAUAGUCGAAUUAGUUUUUCUCGGUUUUUUGUUUGUGUAAUAGUGCAUUAGUUUGUUGUUAUUAAUCUAUCAGUAUUUUGCUUUGAUGAAAUUGGGCUCAGCUUUUUUUUACUUAAAAACCUUCUCCAGGAGCAGUUGAAAAUACUGUUCUCUCCUAUUUGGUAAUCUAGUUAAGAUAUUUUUAUAAUGUACAAAUCCCAUUUAGUUGAGCAGAUCGAUGCCUCUUGUAGAUCGAUUUACCUUGUGUGAUUAGAUUGGUCUUGUAGAUCGAUUUACCAUGUGUGAUUAGAUUGGAUAAAAUAAGAUUGAAGAUGAAGAUUCUUGCAUAGUUGUUGAAUUCCUACCUAGGAGUAAACAAGAUAGGGAUUCCAAACUGUGUCCACUCUUUGCCGGUUUUAAUCUCUUGAUGCAUCUGAGUAGUUAAAAUCUCUUUGCCUAGUACUGUAUGUAGAAAUUUAUGUAGAGCUGUUUGAAUUAGUUCUAACGAGCUUUUCUUUCAAUUCAUCCGGUCGGGGUGGUGCUACUUUUCUUUACUUUCUCACAUUGUAUCAUAUAAUUACUAUGAAAGUUUCCUAAAAGCCAAAGAAAAGAUAUGUGGAAACCCCCUAAGUUUAGCUUUUUUGUAGAAGUUCGUCUGAAUUUUAAGUGUGGGCGAUUGUACUUUCUAAACUUUAUUAAGAUCCCUCUUCUCACUUGCAUUUAUUAUGUUCAUAUUUAUUUUGCUGAUACGUCAUGUACAUAAUCUUGCAAAAUUUUAAAAUAUAAAAAAUUUAUUUUUUCUCUUUCAAAUUAAUAAUUUAGUAUACAAAUUUUAAAAUAAUCUGAACCGACUUCUGUUAUCUAUUUUGUUUAUUAGAAUAUAAAAAGUAAUUUUUUCUACGUUUGAAAGUUUUAUAAAAUUAUAUGCAAAAUAUCAAUCAAAGUAAUUAUAUAACUAGUUAUUUCUUUCAAAGCGUGAUAAAGCUGUAACCGGCAAAAUCAAAAGUUCUAAAGUCACGCUAAAGUUCAAGAUUCUCUUUUUUUUCUUUUUUUUUUCCUGAAAAAAAUGAUAACGAUUUUUUUUUAAAAAAAACUUCAUUUCAUUCUAAAAAAUUUUAUCAAACCCUACGUUUUGGAAACAACUACCGGCCACGACCAAAUUAAAGCAAAUCAAAUUAUUUAUUUAUUUUAUUAGCUCCGAUGCUUCACUCUUAAAAAACAAGUCUCCUUCCUCUUCCUCCUCUCUCUCUCUCUCUCUCUCUCUCUUCCUACGUCGUCGUCGUCGUUGUCUUCUUCUUCUCCUUCUUCUCCCUCUCUCAGCGCCUCCUAUGGCGUCCGCUGGUAAGAACAACAGCAUCAACGCCAAGCUCGUGAGUUCUCUCCCCUUCUCCUCCUCUUCGCGAUCCAACUCUCGAUCUUGCCGAUCCUUGAUCCCUUUCGAUGAUCGCAGGUGCUCCUCGGCGACAUGGGCGCGGGCAAAUCCAGCCUCGUCCUCCGCUUCGUCAAGGGCCAGUUCCUCGAAUUUCAGGUCUUUGAUCCCUCCUCUCGCUCAUCUAUUGGUUUCGAUCGUGUAUAUCGAUCCGUAUCUAGGGCGAAUUGUGGGGGGUCUGAAAUGGGGUUGUUAUUGGUGGUGAUCGCAGGAGUCGACGAUCGGGGCGGCGUUCUUCUCCCAAACCCUAGCUCUGAGCGAUGCCACGGUGAAGUUCGAGAUCUGGGACACGGCGGGGCAGGAGAGGUACCAUAGCCUGGCGCCGAUGUACUAUCGGGGAGCCGCUGCGGCGAUUAUCGUGUACGAUAUCACUAGCACGGUGCGAUUACUGCAGCGUCAUCGUUGUUUCUGCUCAUUAUUCUGGUUUAUGAUUCCGAUAGAGAGACUAGAAAACAAAAUUCUACUUGUAUAUUUCCUCUAAAAUUGAUGUUUGCAUAUAUAUUGUGUGACAACUUUCAAUCUUUCAUCUCCCUAAUACCUUGUUUUCUGCUUAAUAUCCCCCUUGAAAUAUUAUAUUAAAAAGGAAUGACCGCCAAUGAUCUCUGCAAAUAACUGUCAAUCUAAAGAUCAACUGAUGUCACUCAAAAGAGACAGAUAAUUCUCAUAAUUUGAGGGGAUGAAUGUGCUUGUAUCAACUUUAGAAUUGUAGAUGUGCAAACUUUUAACUUUUGCAAUAUGUGUCUAAUCCCCUAUCUUGCUUUCAAUUAUUGUUCUCUUUAUCUUCUUCUCUGAUUUGAAUUCUGUUAUUUAGGAGUCGUUUGAGCGAGCUAAGAAAUGGGUGCAAGAACUACAAAAACAAGGUGGCUAUCAUUCAGGCCCCGUUAUCUCUCUUUAUGUUUUAUUACUAUGUUUCAAACCUUGUGACAGCGUAGGGUUUAAUUGCUGCUUUUUCUUCGUACGUUGAGUUUGUAAGCGCGAAUGGGUUUUUGGUCCAGGUAAUCCAAACAUGGUGAUGGCUCUAGCCGGUAAUAAAGCUGAUUUGGAAGAGAAAAGGAAGGUUGCUACUGAGGCAAGUUUCAUGAAUCCAUUGCAAAAUUAUGAAUACAAUCUUGUAUGAAAAUUGAGGCUCUUAAUGUUUAUAUUUUUUGUUAGUAAUGAGUUUAUGUUUGGGUUUUUGGGGCAGCCAUGUAAUUGGGUAGUCAUGUUUGCUUAUUUAAAAAGUUCUUGGAUAAAUUAGGAUGUCUUAGAUAAUUCCUAUUACUCCAAAUAGAUAGGGAAAACUAAAGGUUGGUAUUUUAUAUAUUUUUGGGUAAUUUGGCUACAUUUUCUUCUGAUUAAUAAUACAGAUUCCUCCACUGUUUGGUGGUAGGUUUGCAUUUUUUUUUAAUGCUUUUUUGACCAUUUUAUGCUAUAUAGUUUGUUGACUUCCAGAUUUAAUUGGAAAGCUGUUUUCCCGUCAAUAGACUAGUCUGUCUAGCAUUGAACGGAUAUUAAGCAAAUUAUGGUUACUAAGGGUGCAUGCAGCCUUUUUAAAUCUUAGAUGUGUUGCUUGCUAAUUUGGGCUUUGUAAUGGUUGAUUAUUGAUCUUUUAUGCUGUUUUAAUUCUUAUCACAACUUCAGCUCUAGCGCAAUAAGAGUUGUAAUUCUUAAAACUUUGGCAUCUUGUAACUGUGCAAUAAGACUUGUAAUCAACCUAGGAUGAUAUGUCUUUAAAUUCUUCCAAUUAAAUUUAUCAUCUACAGUACCUGUGUUGCACUUUGUAGUGUGUUAUAGUGUUUCUUAGUUCAUGUUGAAUGUGAACGGUUAUGCUUGGCUUUCGGUGCUUAGGCCUCACAACUUUUAUUAGUCUCUGAAGUCGCUUUCCAUUUCAUGCAUGAGAUGAAAGUCAUUGGAAUGCAUAGAAUAAAUUACUUUUCACUCUUUAGCAGUUGAGUAAAAUUUGGGUGCCAUCAACUAAAAUGUUUAGGUAUACCACAGUUUCGCAAAAAUUGCCUUUCUAGCAUGGAAAGCUCGCAAAGAAAGUGGGGCAUGCACACAAGAUGGGCUAUUCCUAAUGAGAUAGCUGUAAAUGUAACCUUUGAGGGCUAGAAUGCAAAUAUAGGCUAUUUUAAGGGCAUACGCCAAUUUGUACUUUUGAGAGUUAUACAUGCAAUACUCUAUUUUGAGGGGUAUAUAUGCCAAAAUUCCAUUUCUUUAUUUUAUUAGGAGAUUCAUCGACUCUUGUUUGUGCAUUUCCUGGUCAUAUUCAUUGCCAUUGAAUUAAGGUUUGAAUUUUGGAUAUGUCGUGGAGGACACUAGAAUAAUUGAUUUAUAUUCGUAGUUGUGCCCUACUAUGGAAUGUCCCUUUGUUUUGAUGGCAUAGUUAUGAACUUGUCGAGCUGGUAACUGCAUCCUGUCUUGCCCUGCUCUUCUAAUAGUGCUAUAUGCUAAGCGAAUUGCAUGAAAUACUAGUUUUUGCCAUAGAUGAUGCGAAAGCAUGUAUAAAAUGUCCUUUUUAGUUAGGUCAAAUUUUCAUUUACUUCAUUUAUGCUAGUUGAUGAUGUCUGAUAUUGCAGGAAGCUUGCACCUAUGCUGAGGAAAAUGGCCUUUUCUUUAUUGAAACCUCUGCAAAAACUGCUAUUAAUGUGAACGACAUAUUUUAUGAGAUAGGUGAGUAUGACAAUCUCCAUCAAUUUGAAGCUUUCUUCAAUUUGAUUUUGAUGUUCGGCAUAAUACGCAGACUAGAGGUGGUUACUUUGGCAACCAUAUCAUAAUUGGUGGCUCGUUUUAUUGUACUGGUUUGCAUGAUUAACGGCCUUGUGGCGAGGUUGGAGCUUCUGCAGAAUGCUCUUUGAGUUGAGCUGCUUGAAAAGCACCAGCAGUCCAACAGUUUCUCUUUUCUGAAUCAUCCUAACAGCUCCUUCGGCAGUGGAGGUAGAAACUUCAAAUUGGACCUUUUGCUUUGGAGCCUAGAGAAGCUCAUUUCAGCUUUUUUGCGCAUCAAAAGCUCUAAGCCUCUAACCAUCUUAUAUGCCAAAAGCAUGGCUGCUGCCCUUUUAAAAAAAAAUACUUCUAGUUGUCAGCAUUAUUAAAGUGCAGUGGACUUAAAACAGCAAGUGAGAAGUUAGAUUACUUGUCCUUCCAACUGGUCUUUUAGUUCUGCCUCCUUUUUCAAACAAUAUUUUUGGGAAAUUUUGCAUACCUAAGCUAAAUUUAGUUCAAUAUCACAAUAUGAUCCGCUGGUUUGAACUGUAAAACUAUCCCGAGUUAUGCUGUUUCUGCUGCCGAUCAGCAAUUGUCAAUAAAUGUUGUUCAAAUUUAGUGUGUGAUCAUAACACGGCUCAUUGAAAAUAAAAACACUAUAACAAGGAUUUAGGGCACAUUUACCUGAUUUAAGGCACAUUUACCUGAUCAAUCUCCUAUGCACUAGAUAUCAGAACAUUGCCACAGGUGGUCUGGUAUUGUAGUUUUUAUUAUGGCAACCACAGGUGUUGUAAUGUUGCAGUUUAAAUUGUGGUCAUCAAGUAAAAGCUCAGGCUAUACCACGAGUGGUGUCUAUAGUCUUUCCUGUUCUUUAAUCUUUCAUUGCUUGCCCAAUUUAGCAUUUCUCUUAGCAGCUUUAUUCCUUUCCUAAUUGUAAACCAUUUGCCCACAAUAUGUUUCUUUGCAUGCAGCGAGACGGUUACCCCGUGCUCAGCCAGCUCAGAAUCCUGCAGGCAUGGUUCUCUCAGACAGACCUGCUGAGCGGCUGCAAACUUCGUCAUGCUGUUCUUAGGUUGGUACAAAAUUUAAAUAUAGCAGGUUUAAGUAUUUAUUGUAAAUACAAAAUGAGUCUUCUAGGAUUUAAAUUAGAUUGAAACAGUACUGUGUUAGAUGGAUGCAUGAAGUCCUCCUGAUGCAUACUUAAGAAUCUGGUGCAGGAGAAUUUCUCUAUUUUGGUAAAGAAACAAAAAGUUUACUGCAUUUUAAUGAAGACAAAAUCCAUCGAGAGAAGAUCAAAUGUGGAGAAUAGAACUCUGAGAUUUGAAAACUGUAUAAACACAUAUUUUGACCAUUAGAGUGUAUGUGGUGCUUACUAUAUCAUAAAUGCUGCUUGAUUUGGCUUCCCCAAAGCAUUUGAAUGUCUUUUCACCUCAUUGUUUAGAACCUAAGUCGUUGGUUAGUUUGCAAGUACAUUUUCUUAACAUUGUUCCAAACGGUGAAGCAAACAAACAGUCUCCAGUAUUUAGUACAAUUUUGUGUUGUCCCCAACCUUUCAACUCUUUGGCUUCAUAUUUCCAUUGCAUUCUUACACUUUCCAUAAAGCUUCUCGGUUAAAUUGGAUAGAAAGCGCAAUCCAAUUGCAAUAGUAAAAGUCCCAACAGUUGCUUCUAUGAUAGUUAGAUGAUUCCCGCAUGGAUGCCUCCGUCCAAUUUGAUGGAGAAUCUUCAGCCAAGAGUGUAAAAUUGCAAUAAAGUUCACAAAGGGUUUUUUUUGAGAAAAAAAAAAAAGGGGGGGACCAAACUUUACAAAGGUCACAAAGUUCACAAAGGUUAGUAACCUAAGAUUCAACAAUAAAGUUCACAAAGUUCACAAAGGUUAGUAACCUAAGAUUCAACAAUGGAAAAGUUGGGGACCAAACUUAAAAAGGGGUAAUAAGUAUAAGUACUUUCGAUCGAUAUAACCCUAUUUUCUAGUUUGGUUUAUCUUUUUAUUUGCGUUCUUAAAGUACGACUGUAAACUAAUUACUGAAAAAAUGCAGUGCAUCAAAAGUCAUGGCAAAGGCGGGGGACGGUAGAAAUUUCUGCAGGAUUCUUCUUCGGCGUUUCUAUCUUGAUGCUGUAAAUGGGCAAUAGAGUAUGCCAUCUAUGCGCAUGUUCAGUACAUUCCGAAUACAUUUACUCAGUGAUAAUUCCAUAAGUUCUUAAUCUUUGUUUGUAUUUAAUGUCAGAUCCUUACUCCAUUUCCGGACAAUUAUCGAAAGUUCCUGUACAUUUAUCAAAAUAUGAGACCUCAUCCCAUCAGUGAUUGAGUGCAAUUGUAAAUGCACUUUUCGAAACUCUUGGGCCAUAAAAUUAUUCUAUUGAUGGUUUUGCAAUUUUACAAACUUAGACUUUUCUUUCAAUUUUGUAGAUUCUGAGUUGAAUUUUUGAAAAAUUGAUGUAAAUACUCCCAUCUUCUCUCUCCCUUCUCUCUCUUUUCUCUCUUUCUCCUCUUCUUUCGCUCCCACGUCGCUGUUCUCCUAAUCCCUACCUCACGUCUCUACCGCCAAUGUCGUGCUUCCAUCUUUUACCUUGUUCCCGUAGGCAGCAAUGAGGCUGUUUGAGACGGAAAACUCGACGACGAGACUGCAGGAGGACAGCGUCUCAGAGCAGGACUGUGUUUGCAAAGCGGGCGAUGGAAGAGGCAAAGAGCGAGGAAGGGGGUGUCGUAGCGGGAGAGGAUGCAGAAGACGGAAGAAAAAUAAGAAGAGAAGAGCGAGGAAAGGGGUGUUGUAGCGGGAGAGGAUGCAGAAGACGGAAGAAAAAUAAGAAGAAAAGAAGGAAAAGAAAGAAGGAAGCAAAAAUAUAGUUUUUAUCAUGCGCCACGGCCCCUUCGGAAAAGACUAAGAAGUAGAAAAGAUGAAAAAGUUAUACGAUUUAAAACCAAAUUAUACUAUUUGUGCAAUUUCUCAAAUAGUACAACUUAAUUUUAAAUAGUAUAAUUUUUAUUUUUUUGAUAUAAUUUAGUUUGAAAUAAUUUUAAAUUAUGCAAUUUAGUCUCAAAUAAUAUAACUUAGUCUCAAACUGUGCAACAUAAUCAUUGUCGUCGUCGUUAUUGAAUAGGUCAUCUCCUCCACCACUAUAGUGAAGGUUGAGGCUAUCGAACACAUCCCGCACCUCCUUCCCUCGGCGGAGGCUGAGGAGUGACCCCAGGGUAAGGUGUUGUAGUGAUGGGGCACCUCCGCAAUCCGUAUCGUAUUCGAGCCCACGUCGUCACCAAAGGCGCUGGCGAAAGUAUGGGCGAGGUGUGAGGGAGGAGUGCGACAGCAACGUGAUGAUGGUGGAAGAGGAGAGAGAGAAAGCGGGAAGAGAAAGAGAAGAAGCAGCAAGAAAGGAUAGAAGGCCAAGGGAGACGAACGCAAGAGGAAAGAGAGAACGAAAGGAAAAUACGGAUAAUUUAAUAAGUAUACUAAAAAUUACGAUUGAACCUGUAAAAAUAAAAAAAAAAUAAUAUAUUUUUACAAAAAAUGCAAAGUCAAUAAAUUUUUAUACAAAUUGACCAAAUAUAAAACUAAGCCAAAACAAUAGUCCAAAUCCUCCUUUUUGAGGUCCAUUUUCUUAGAGGGGCCUGGCCCAAACAUCAUGGUAGGCCCAAGGCCAGGCCUUUUUCUUAUGUUUUAUUUCAAUUUUUUAUUUUUUAAAAUAUUACUAUAUAUUCCAUACAGGUCGUUAAAAAUUGUUAAAUUUGUGACCUCUUGAUCGUAAGGUAAAUAAUGUCGAAAAAUUAUAAAAUUUGAUUUCUAGAAGUUUUAAAUGCUAUAAAUAAUGUUUAAUGAUGUGGAUCGUCGAUUCGGAAGCUCUGUCAUCGAAAACAACUUAUGAGUACGGGGGCGAUCGUACUCAUAAUAGUAUAGUAGCCGGACCCUAUAUAUAUAUAUAUAUAUAUAUAUAUAUAUAUGAGGUAGGUAGUGAUAUAUAGGUUAGUAGGAUAUGAGGUAGUAGAUGAUGGGGUAGUGAGUAUAUAUCCUAAUAGUUUUAAUAAUUUUUAGAUAUUUAUUUUCAAAAUUCACUUAAAAUUUCAAGUUUUCACCAGUAAUUUUCUUAUUUUUGACAAAAAAAAAAAAAAAAAAAGGAGAAAGGAAUUGCAAAGUAUAUAAAUAAGUCUUAUCCUGGGCAAAAUCAAUCAAACCAUUCACAAAUUAUUUUUUUUUAAAAAAAAAGCCGAUUCGAACCGGCCUGGUCGGUUGAACCGGUUCGAUUGUCUUGGACCGGACCAUCUACUCCCUAUAAAAGGCGAAAGCGCCCUACAGAAAACAAUCCCCACUUCGAUCACAUCGCGCUUCCUCACACACGGUGUAUGCUUCGAUCCGUUCUCUUCCUCUUCCUCUCUGUUCUCUUCCUCUUCCUCUCUUUACUUUCUACAACAGAAACCCUAAUUUUCCCCCUCUUUUCCCCUUUUUUCUUAAAUUUCAGAAGCAUCUAGAAAGGAUUAACUUUGAAAUGUUUUUUGCUAUAAUCGUGGACUCAAUUUAGAAUUGAUUUAUUUUUUUUCUGGAGGGAUUUAAUCCCACUUUAAUAGCUCGAUUUUUUUUUUCUAAUAUUUGGAUUCUUGUUGUGAUCUACUCGUUGUAGAUUCUAAAAUCAGUGAACUAACAUUUAUUUUGGGGAAUAAAUGAGAAAUUUGAGUUUCGGAUUUAAUCGUAUUUUAAUAACUCGAAAAAUUUUCUAAUAAUUGGGCUCUUGUUGUGGAUUAUUUCGUUGUUUUGAUAUCCUUAUUUUUCUAUUUAAAAAUCGAUUAAUUAACAUCAAUUUUGGAAUUUAUUGGGCUAUAAUUAUGGAAUAAAUCAUAUAUUUUAGUUUCGGAUUUAGUCCUGCUUUAAUAAGUCGAGAAAAUUUUUCUAAUAUUUGAAUUCGUGUUGCAAUCUACUUGUUGUAGCUUCUUUUGUUGUUUUGAAAAAUGUCCGGAGAGGAGGAGGAAAAUGCUGCCGAACUCAAGAUCGGAGAGGGUAAGUGUUGCUUCUGCAUCCAAAUUAGGGUUUCUUUUUUUUUUUUGUUUCUAGAUUGUUUUUCAAUUCUAUCCUGGAGAAUCUUUGUGUAAUAUUGUUUACUUGAGAGUAAAUUGGACUUAUAACUAUUCAAAUCAAAAGAAAAAGGAAAAGGAAAGAAAAGAAAUAAGAAAACAUAAGAAGUUUUGUGUCACAAUGACAGCAGAAUCUUGCUCAUAAAGAUGUGAUCUCCGCAAAGAAGUGGGUUUCUUGAUCAUUUUUGUGUGAUUCUUUGCCAUGUUAGGCUAAAAUUAGUUGUGUGUAUAUCGAGCCUUUUGGGCCUCAGUUUUGAGUUGAAAUCCAUGAGUUGUUAAUUGGUUUCUUCAUAUAUUGGUUGUCGGCACUUAUAGAGCAACUAAGUGUGGAAAAAGAGAAGGCGCGCAUAGGCACGAAAAGUUGUUUUUUUAUCCUCCGCUUCUAAUGAGUGCUUCAUAUGCAUCUACUUAGCCAUCCCAAACAUCUAGUUUUUCGCUAUUCGACAAAGCAAGUCCAAGUUAUUUUAAAUGUGGAUAAUUACAUCUUUCGCUAAUAGCACUUUGCUGCUGUCUCAUACUUUCCUAAGCCCACGUCGAACGCAUACAUGGAACCUAUAUCCCUUUAACUGCUCUUGGAUUGAAGGAUUUGGAGAUUAAUUUCCUAUAGCGAAUGGAUCUACUACGGAGUAUGGAAGAGACCAAGGGUUCUAGAGCUUGCCAUUGGAAAGUAAUCUAUUAUGAAUUGGCCUUAAUACAUCGUGGAGCUAAACUUAUGGACCAAAAACUUGUCAAUUUAGUAUAUUCUUGAUAACAAUCUUUUUUAACGUAGUAUUUUCUUGCUAACAAUCUUUUUUAGCGUAUUGUGUAAUAUUAAUAUGUCAUGGUGCCAAGUUGAUUUUUCUAUUCUGCUUUGCCAUUUCAUGCUCAUGUAUGUAUUAGUGCCAUUUUUUGAAAAAAAUGAUCAUAUAGCUCACUUUUAUAUGUUUUCGGAGAUAAUUUCAUGUUCAGAAACACUUCAAGAUUCUUUAUCUGCUACAGAGCAGAUUUAGAAGAAACUGUGAUAGACGCACUUCUUAAUUUGGUUAUAUUUGAGUUUCACGACAUCAUAUAGAAAUUAUCAUCGGGAUGGAAUGAUCAAUAGUUCUGCUGCUGGGCAGGAAUUGUUAUUUCAUUCAUUCAUGACUGAAAUUUUCAGGGAAUAAGAGUUCUAUACGGGCAUACUGUUUAUCAAACUUCUGUAAUUAUAAUUUGAUAUGCCGCUUUUCAUUUUCCUUUUUGGAUUUUUCUCUUUCUCCAAAACAAUGUUUGCUUUUUGUCAUCCUUUAAUUGCCCUCACAGCUGUUUAAAGUUGUCUGUUGUCUUUUAUAGAGUUCUUGAAGGCAAAGUGUCUUAUGAACUGUGAAGUUGCAAUCAUCCUUGACCACAAGUACGAGCAGCUUCAGCAGAUGUCUGAUGAUCCCACGAACCAAAUUUCUCAGUGGGUGCUAACACUGUUUGAUGCCAUCUUUUCGUUGUGAUAUCCCUUUACCUCAGAAAAUGUUUUUUUUUUAAAACCCUUUUUUUGCCCUUUCUUAUUCAGGGUAUUUGAGAAGUCGCUGCAGUACGUGAAGCGCUUUAGUCGCUACAAGAACCCUGAUGCGGUGCGACAAGUUCGAGAGUAUCCUUACAUUUUAAAAAUUUUUGAACCUUAUACUUUAAAAGCUUGAACCUCGUCCUUCCUCUUGAAAUUUCUUAUUUAGAACCUUAAUUCAAUUAUCAGAGUCCUAAGCAGAUACAAGCUUGCUGAAUUUGAGGUAUGGGUGUGGUUUAUUGUUGAUUAAACUGUUUAUCUGGUUAAAAGAUGAAACUAAUAUAAAAUAUUUAUGUUUUGAGGUAUGGGUGUGGUUUAUUGUUGAUUAAACUGUUUAUCUGGUUAAAAGAUAAACUAAUAUAAAAUAUUUAUGUGGGAUGCAGCUUUGCGUGCUCGGUAACCUUUGCCCUGAAACAGUUGAGGAAGCUAUUGCUAUGGUCCCAUCAAUCAAGGUAAAUUAUAUUAAUAUACUUAUACAAGCUCCUGUCAUCUUCAUGGUUUAUACAUGCUUAAUAUCCUGAACUAGUCCUUUGACACUCUUGGGCACAUUUGGGAUAAGAAUAAUUUAUGCGAGGACCCUCUUUUUCCCCCUCCUAUAGAAUUACCUGGUCUGAAUAGUAUGGAGUACUUUUUGGGUUAUCAACCCUUUCCUCCCGACCAAACAACACCUUUAUCCCGUAUAGCACAUAGGAAGAAUAAGAUGUUGUAUCACUUUUAGUUACAACCCUGCACUCUAGGAAAUGUUGGUCGGUGGGCUCGCGGCUAAUGCAUGUUUCGCCAUGGUUCAUGAUACCCAGGUAAAAGUGUAUGGAGAUCCCCUAAACUAUAAGCCAUAUUUAAGUGGACUUCUCGACUUUACAUUGUUUGUUUUAUAUAAGUUGUUUUAUCAAUUAAAUUGGAAAUAACGCCUCAGUUAACUGCUUCGGCCCCCUUUUCUGCUGACGGACUAUAGCAGGCGAAGCCAUUAACUUCAACAGAAUGCCCAAUUCGGCUGACGAAUUAUGUUAUAAUCGAAACGGGCAAAUGGUGAGGGACAAUUAAGCAAACGAACAAACAACAAGAAAAAGUUCAGAAGUCUAUCUCAAACUGCCUAUAGUUACGGGGUGCUCCAUACAUUUUUCCCUAAUCAAAGCUGAGCUGAAGUGUUUCUUAACUCCCUAUAUGUUCUCACUAUGUAAAUUUGCCCACACUUUUCUAAACGUGCUGCUCUUUUGUGCUUCCUACGACAGAAUAAAGGGCGGAUUCAGGAAGAUGAUCAAAUUGAGAAGCUAUUGAACGACCUUUCCCUAAUAAAGAAGUUCGAGUAGCUCGUCUGUGUAUUCGAGCCCUUGAGGUGCUCUCUCGAUAAAUUAUGCAACUUAGUGCUAUACCAAUUUAGGUCUGUUUUUGUAUGUUCGCGAACACCAGCAAAGUAAUUAUCCAUCAUCUGAAUGAACUUGUGCUUGAUGUUUUGAAUGUUUUUUUUGUUAACGCUUGAAUUUAAUAAUAGCAAUUGAGUUGGUUGGGAUAAUUUAAUAAUAGCAAUUGAGUUGGUUGGGAUGAGAUAGUUGAUGCAUUAAUUACUAUGAAAUUGAUUUGUAUGAAAAACUUAAGCCUUCAUCAGUACAUGGGCUGUGCUGAGCCAACUGAAUCUUACUGUGUCAUCAAAUUAUCUAUGCCACCUCCAUGGAGACGGUGUGGCUAAAAAUCGUCUGUUUUUUUUAGAUUGUCUUUUAUCAGUGGCAAACACUUCCUUUACUAUCAAUAGAAUUCUAGUUUUUCUCUGCUCAUAGAAUGUUUUUCUUUAAAAACAUAAGCAGUGAACCCCCCACCCGUGUAAUGUUUGCUGCAGCACAAAAUAAAAGAUAAUAAAUCAAAUAACUCAGACAUUUAAAUCCGCUGCUGCAUGCAACUUGUUUUCUGUGUAUUACAUUCUGUAAAAAUUGGAGAGCGAGGGAGGAAAGAAAGCUCAAACUACCACAAUCAUGGAAAACGGAACAAAAACAGCUUUAAAGUAUUGUAUACUUUAUAUCCUGCUGCAACUCGAUGAAAUAGAGCCCACCUGGAUCGAGAGAGAAGAAUCAAUCUUCCACUUAACUGGAGCUACCAUCACAACAUAAUUAAUGGCGAAGGAAUUUGUUCGUCUUGAAUGCAUACAAAAAUUCCAUCAAUUGCCAAAAUCUGCAAUAGAAAGAAUAACUAAAUAAAUAAUAGAUAGAAUACUGAAAAAGGUAACUUUAAGUGCUGUACAACAACCAAAUAUGGAAUUUUAACUGAUUACUAGGAGUGGAUCAAACCAUUCAAUCCUCUUCCAUCGGAACUUCUGGGUAGUCCCAUCGAUCUUCCUCGAUCGGUUUGUUGACCACAGAAAUAGAAGGUAAGGCUCGUCAAGGAAAGAAACGUUGGAGAUUAUUCAUUUGACAACAAUUGUUUUAAAUGCCAAGGAAAGAAACAAAUUUAAGUAUCAAAUGGCAGUCAACAUAAAUGACUGUGACAAGCACAACUAGAGAACAUGCUAUCGAGAAUUAUAACUUAAAACUAAGCUGAAAUAAUAAGGUUGCCUUAAAAGUAGCUGUUUUUCCGACCCAUUAGAAGAUGGGAGCAUCAUCUUUAACUGAUAUAGGUAAUAUAGGGAGGAGGAAAAAACACUAAAGUAUAAAUUAUAAAAAAAAAAACACUUUGUUCAAGGAUAUAAAUUGACAUGAGAUCAUCCUCUUUUUCGCCUCGGUUGCGGCUGUUUUUAAGUUCUCGGCGGAUUUCAGGAGUAACCUAUCAAGACAAUAAGAUAAAAGGUAUCAUUAGAUAACUCAGAUAACUUUUCUCGACAGUCAAUUCAAGAAAGUAUUUUCAAAUAAAGCACAAUCACUCUACCAAAUAAUGUUUCUGAUGUUGCAUUAAACGUUCGAGAUUUUCCUUAUCCUUCUUUUCCAGUUCAUUCUUAUACCUGCAAAAGGUAAGUUAGCCACAAAUACGCCUAGACUAUGAGGAUUGUAAACAUUCCCAACAUGCCCUACCAAAAAAAAGAAAUUGCUCUUUAUCUCCAAGAGAUGAUGUUGCGUCUUACAUUAGGAAUAUUAUGGGACUCAACAAUUGUUAUAGAAUCUACAAACUGAUCAUACUUGCUUCAAGUAAAAUAGUUAGAUAAUUGGGAAGAACCAAAUGCAACACAAUAGAAAAUACAACAUACAAACCUUUGUACAAAUGCGAGAAGAGAUUGAUGCCAUAUGACAGGCAUGACCCUUUCGUCCGCGAGGAACCUCAUGAAAUGUGCAACUACAGCAUCAAGCACUCGGUAAGGUAAUGCAUACUUUUUGUCCAGAAAUAGUUUGAUGAAAUAACUGAAAUAAGAUACAGCAUGAAAAAGAAAAGUUAUGUUAGAUACAAAUCAUAAAAUUACUACAAGGUUUAUAGCCAACAAUUAGAAAGUUACAAUUGAACUAAUAAAAGCAAGAUUGAUAAUAGUAUAACAAACAUAAAAAUGGUGGACAUCCAAAUAGAACAAAUAGAUUUGAAAGGUGUUGAUCAUGAAUCAACAAAUAGUUAAGCACAGACGGUUAGAACAUGUCAAUACAAGAUGUCGUCAGCUUCAGGUUUAGCUGCCCAACAAGUUAAGAGCAUACAAAGCUUAGGACAAAGUUUAAAAUGUUAAUUUUAGAACAAGGGGUAUCCUGGCUGCAAAGGAGACAACAGAAGAGUUCUUCAAGGAAAGCUAUUUUUGAAAUUGUAAUUUUCUGAAGUUCGGUUAUCAAAAACAAAGAGUAAUUGACUUCUCAAUAUUUGGUUUACAGGAAAAGGAAAUAGAAAGCAAGAGAACAUAGCAAAAAAGGAAAUGCCCAUUGCUUUAUAAUCUUUAUCAUAAAGUUUAUCUGGAGCAAAAACCUGUUUUCUGUAGAAUCACAAUGACAACUUUCCAUGAAAAUGAAGAUAACGCCCAAAAAACGCUUGAAAGAUGAUUUUGAGAGAGGGAAGCUGUGAUGAGACCUACUUAAGAUGUAAACAAAUGAACUCUAGCUCCUAGACUUACGGUUUCCCAAUUUCAGCAGCUUUAGAGGUUUCUGUUUAGAUCUUAAUUCAUAUCAAACAAACUAAGAAUAUUUUUAAUAAAAGAAAUCUUUUAAAAAAAUAAAGAACCUGACACUCCCAUUUUAUAUUCCAAUUUCCAAUACUACAAUUUAGACUACUAUAUGAGUAAGGCAGCAGUACCUCAUGUUCAGGUACAGUGAUAAAGGAAAUAAAAUAUAUGACUUCAAAAUCAUCAACCCCAAUAGCCUAGUUUGCGCCAACCGAUACUCCAAAAUAUGAAGCAGGUUCUCUUUCAAACUCUAUUCAAAGAGCCAACCACUCACUCAACUAGUACACAAGCCUACAAGAACUGAAAAUGCCAUGCUCAUAAGGAUGGAAACGCAUUAGAAGGAUUCCAUUCAGAAACUGCAGUGCAGGUUGAAGACCAUCUCUAAAUAUGCACAAACAUAAGCAGUUCUUUCAGAACAUAGUAAAUUCAAUUAACACGAGCAUAAAUCAUAAUAAUUGACUAUUGGACCCUCAUAAGACUAAUUAGAUCUAGCUAGAUAAAAUACCAAAUGUGCACAGAAAAUAAACAAAUUUUCUACUGCAUUAGGCUCGUCGCAUUUAGAUUUGUAUUAAUAGCACUGCUCGGGUAAGCUGCUGGAAUAGCUUAACAUAUUCCAGCUGAAUCUACUGAGCAGGCUGAACUAAUUAAAUUGGGCCAAUUUAAGCAUGCUGUCCAAAGCCUAGUUAUAAUUAACUUCUCUGUGAUGCUUACGCUGGCUUCAAAUAUAUGGUUGAACAUACAAACAAGGCUAGCGCUCAACUUUGUCGACCAUCAUACUGAGCUCAAGCCAAGCUCCUUUUCUAAACAACCUUUAUAGUUACAACAUGACUUCCAACUAUAAUAGAUGUAUGAGACGUAGAACAUGAGUUUUGAAAGAUGAAUAUACGUUGAGACUAACAAAACUGUUAUCACAACGAUCAAUGACCUUGAUACCAUACAUAAUUAGUCAACAAUUUCACUUAUAGCCAAUGCUCAUAAAAGUUACAAGACAACAAAGAAAUUGAAAUGGAGACAAUUAUCACAAACUCCAAGUCAAACUACCUACCUUGUGGUGCCACAGUAGUCCAUCUCUGCCAAUUUCAUCAGUGCUGCACUGCGCAUCAAUGGAACAAUGAUGGAAAUUAAUUAUUUAUUUGGUAAACUUAGCUACUCUAAUUCAAUUACAAUAUAUAAAGAAUCUUAGAAUAUCUUUACAGGCACAUUACCUUGAGUGAAGGGAAGGAAUGGUGACUUUUUCGAUUAUGCUUCCAAUUAUAACUGCUUCUCUGAGAGUGCAAGUUCCUGACUGGGAAAGGAAAAUUUAAUGUUACAACGGCAAAUAUCUAUGAAUAGAAAAUACCCUGCUUCUCUCCUACAAGUAAAGCAUUGAGGAACUACUCAGCUGAAAAAAAUCAUAGCACAAAAGAUUUAUUGGCAGAAAAGAGUGCACAAUACAUGAUUAGAAAGUUAGAGAUGAAAGUUUCGUUGAAAAUACAAUAACUGUUAUAAAAAUUUGCUAUAAGCACUAUAAGAGACCUAAAUAAGCACAGCCAAUUAAUUUAAGUGCGCAUAUACAUGAAGGGAGAUUGUAUCAAACACUGGGCUCCAAUAAAGAGCUAGGCACAUGAUGAGAGAAGAAAGCUAACAAAAGAUGCCUGCAUAAAUUAUUAUAACUGAAAAUUUGCUAGCUUGCAUAAACAUUUUUAUUUUUAUUCAAAUGAAACCAACAAAAUAACAAGAGAAAAGUCUAAUAAAAUAAAUAAAAUAAAAUUAGAUAAAUGUUCUGACACUUCUUGAAUUUUUCAUGCUUUCCAAGAACACUGACAAGUAAGCGCCUAAUUUUAAUAUCUGCCUCCUUUUGUUUUAAACAACUAUCCUGCUAACUUGACCUAAAAAUGUAAACCACUUCUAUCUAAACAAAACUUGCCAAUUGCUUCUUGUCCCAUGUCUAUCAACUCUGCCUCAGCAGCUAAAUGGUUCAGCUCCAUAUUGAUGGCAAUUCACUAUUUUUAUUGAUAACGGAGGUGGGAAAAACAUGAAGUCAAGAGAACAUAACACCAAGCCCUAAUAAAGCUCUGACGCUAUUACUGCAUUAACAAAGAUCUCAUUGAUGUUCAUGUUAACUAGUGUUGAACAAGAGUUUGCACCAGUUAUUAAGUUUAAUAACCCGAUAAUCAUUCAUCUCAAUUAUUAUCAAAACCAAUAAGAGUGAUGUUCUUGUUUAAUGUUAUUAUUGCUAUUGUUGUUGAUAUUAUUGCUGUCAAGGGGUAUGUUCUGAUAAUAAGUGCCUAGAGAUCUAUAAGCAAAGAAGUGUUAAGUUAAAUGAUGUCGAUACAUCUAAACACAACUCAAAUUUUGACCGCACAAAAAAUGAGAUAUUAGGUAGCAUAAAUUUGAGAAAACCUCAGGCAUUUGAUACAGCUGGAUAAACAGUACGACGAUCAUAAUAUUUAGUUACACAAGUGUAUAUAUUGAUUUUUCCUUUUUCAGCGUAAUCAAUCUUUGCUAAAAAAUUCCAAAGUAUGUGAUACUAAAUGCUGCACGUGCAUCAAUAUGCAUAGAAAUACACAAACACACAGAGAUACACAUGAGAGAGAGAGAGAGAGAGAGAGAGAGAGAGAGAGAGAGGAGGCAGUAUACAAUUCAAAUUUCACAUAUAUUAGCAACAUAAGAAGCUCAAACAAGAACAAAAAUCUUCCAAAGUAGUGCAAUAACUUUCUUAAGAACAAGACUAGUACCUGACACAGUGGAAAAAGAAUUCCCUUGAAAAAUGCAGCUGGUUUAUACAGGGACUUCUUUAGUGCUUGGUAAAGAGCAAAGUGAAGUCUCUUAUUCUUUCUGAUAUCCUCUCUAACACGUGGGAGUAGCACAAGAUUGUAGAAACGCCGUGCCUUCUUGGAAUUCAUAUUUGAAGAGAAAAUUCGUGUUGCUUGGUACAUUGCAUUGGGGGACCAAUUUUCAGGCUCAGUUAAAUACAAUACAUCCUCCCAAAGUUCUAGCGCUGGAAUGUGUUUGAAUGCUUUGGGAACUUUCCCGGAUGUAUAUCGACUUAACAACUUGCCAACCCUGCAUAAACACGAUACAACAAACCCCUAUAUUAGCAUGAUUGAAGAUGUAAGGAUGCAGAGAACAUAGAAAAGAGGUAGCUCACAUACCCCUUAUAAAGGUCGAUGAUACUACUGUCCAAUUUAGGAACUGGCCGUGCUUCUGGGAACAUACAAAAGGCAAUUAGAGAAGGUACAGCCAUUUAGCAACUAAAUCAGCUUUGCAGCAAGCAGUAAGUCUUAGAAAAUUUCAUUUUCCCAAGUGUGUGACAAUUCUUACUAUAACUAAAUGUAAUUCCGGCUAGCACUUAAGCACGCACCAACUCACAAGAAAAAUUAAAUGGAUGUUGCCAAUAUCAACAACUUCUAUGGAGAAGCUCAAAGUCCUUGUAAAGUACUCAAAUAUCCUGUGACUUUAGAAGACUUUAAAUCAAAAUUUAAGUUUUCAAACAUUGCUAACCAAUUCAAUUCCCAUAAAAAGAUCUCAUGAGAUUUUGCUCAUUGGCACAAUUCAACGGAUGGGGCCAGACGGAAGAAAACAAUGCGGCAAAUUUAAAAGACGUAUUCGCACUCCAAUAGCUUUUGGAUGAACAAGAGAAAAGGGGGAAAAAAAAGGAUACAUUUUUAGCAUGAAAUUAAUGUAAUAACAAAAGAUCCUGCGAGAAAAGAUCCACGAAUCCAAUCUAAAUGGGCUAAAACAACACCAAUUACUCCAUUUCUUUAAUACUGGUUUUUAAUCAACAAACUUAAUAUACCAAGAAAUAAUUAAAUCAGUGGCAAAUAUCCACAAACAAAACCUACCGGAGGUAACAUCAGCAUCCUUCUCUUUGAUUUUCUGAAUGAUUAGAUCCGCCAAUGUGAGCUGCGGCGCGGCACCAUCCUGCAUGAAGGCCGCCAAAACCCUCUCGUCCUCCUCAUCGAUCUCCGGCUAAAAAAACACAUUACACCCCCCAAAAGAUCUUUUUUUUUUAACUAAUACUCGAAUAUCAUAAGACAAUUGAGCAUUGAAAGAGGGGAGGAAACGCACCACUGCAUCAUCGCACCGGCUCUGGGUAUCGGAGAACCCAUCGAAGCCAUCAACGUCGUCGUCGUCAUCGUCAUCCUCCUCCAAUCGGGGAGGAGGGGCGGAGGAGACGGCGGAGAAGGGAGUGGGGUGGUCAUCCUCCUCUUCUUGAAGGAUCUCCUUCUGCUGCUUUAGGGCUUCCCUCAAAAUCUUCGCGCUAAGGUCGGAAGACACCAUCUGAGAGAUCAAAGAUGCAUCUUGAGAUCGUUGCCAUGUAAACCCUACAGAGAGAGAGAGAGAGAGAGAGAGAGAGAGAGAGAGAGAGAGAGAGAGAGUUCGCGUGCCUUUUGUUCGCUUUGGUGCUGCUUCAGGGGGCGCGAGCGCUUCUUGGAGGAGACGACGCUGACGUCGUCGUCGAGGGCGGCGCGGCGCGGCGGCGGCGCCGCAGCCGUCGCCGGAGUCCCCUUCCUCUUCUUUCCCGCCAUCGCCACUCCAACGGUAAAAGGGGCGGAAAGAGCGAAAACGAGAGAGAGAGAGAGAGAGAGAGAGAGAGAGAGAGAGAGAAACCCUAGUUUACCGAGCGCGAGAGAGAGAGAGAGCGAGCAAAACCCUUGAACGUUACACAACGCUUCGAUUCGUUAAAAAGGCCGAACCGAAACUAGACUAAACACGGACCGGCCCAAUUAGAUGAAAAUGGGCGGGUUUUAAAAUUAGACCCAACAAGAAGGUUUUCUCAGCUAACUUUUUUUUUUUCAACUUAAAUUGUUUAUUUUUCCAAGUUUUAUUUGCUAAAUAAAAUUUAAAUAUAAUAAAAUCACAUAUGAAUUUGAUAAAAUUUUUAAUUUAAUUGAUAAAAAUCACUCAACUAAAAAAAUUAAAAGUUAAAAAAAUGUCAAUAAAAAAAAUAAAGUUAAGACGGCGGAUCUUGGUACAAUUUUCAACCACCAUUAUCAAUAAUUUAGAGUUAAUUCGGUGGAUAAAAAUGGAGAUUAAUGAAAGGAAGAGAUUAAUCUAUGUAUUUAUCUAAUUUCUCGCAGUACCAUUCCUACGGGCACUACAGUAUGCAAAAGGUCAAAAUAAUUCUUUUUCUUCUAACUUAAAGUAUAUAUUUAAAAAAACAAAUAAUUUUAUAAAGAUAAAAGCUGUUGCGAAUAGUUCACUAACAGAUAGUUCACUAACAGAUCAGAUAGUUCACUAACAGAAUUUCUCUCUAAGAGUAUAUUUGAAAUAACUUAGAACAUUAAAAAAAUAUUUUUAAUAUUAAUCUUCUAAAAAGAAUAAAUAAAAAAGUCGGAAACAUUUUAGAUAUAUAAGCAAUAACCCCUAAAUUAAAUGCAAUAAGUACAUAGAAUAGGUUCUCUGGUAUAGUAUAUUACAAGUCAAUUCCAAGAGCAAGUGAAAUCAAAUGCACUCACUGCUCCCAUACUAUCAAAUUCAAGCUUCUAAAGUUUGGGAACCACUAACACACAAUCUCCCAAAAUACAUCCAACAGAGCAGAGUAGAGCAGAGCAGUGCAGUUAUUUUUCUGUAAAUAGUUUCCACCAUCAUUCAAUAAUAAUAUAUGCUCAAAAGAGAUGGAAGAAGUGGGGCCGAAAACACUUCUGAGCACCUCAGUGGGUAGUAAAUAGGAGUAGCUGCCUCUCGCUGUGCUUCUGCGAUGGAAUCGUCGAGAAAAGCAAGUGGAGAAAUUAAUACUGCCGAAAGUUUACAGCUGUUAAGCUCCGCCUCGUCGAUUUAUGGCGAGCGUGAAAUAUAUGAGGAUCAUUGUCCCCAUGCUCGACCUGCAAAAAGUUGUUGCACCGAUAAAUCUACUUACGAGGACAGAAUAUAGGCAGAAAAUUAAAAAGGAAAGGAGAAUUUGCUAAAAUUUGCUAAAUUGUUAGUUAUUCCAAGAAUAAAUCCAUUAACUAGACAGUAAAGUCGUCGACAGGUAAAAAUAAAGGUUGAUGGUGUUCAUCAAAAACCUUAAUAAAAGCCCUACAACAAAACAUGCUGUAGUUAGAAUAAUAACCCAUGGUUUUACUUGCAAAAGUAGUGAAAAUUAGGGUUGUUUCCUCCUACAUUAUUAAAAGAGAUAUGCUGCAGUAGAAAUAACUCAAGUAAACCUCACUCAAUUGGAAACACAAAAGACUCGAAAGCGGUGCUCUAUGUAGGUACCGAAAUGAAGUGGUUAGAUCAUAAACGAUAAACGAUUCAAAUUAUCGUAUACAUCAGGCAUCAAAUCAACUCUAGGAUGAAUCAUGAUGAAUGAUAUGCCACUCUCCCUGCUAGUACAUAAUAGUGUUACUUUGGCCCAGUUCUCAAACAGCUUCUCUACUCGAAGAAGCAAAAGACAAGCGUUUGCCGUUUGGUGAGCAAAAAAAUCUAAAUUUUCUCACUUUGGCAAGAAGCUUAAAAGCUGAAGCUUCCAAUUGACACAUCUACUUUUAGCUACAGCAUAAAGCUGUUGGAUUGAUUUUAAUGAAACAACUGCUAGGGUUUUUUCAAAUAGCAUUUCUGCACAAACUCCAGCAAGACGCUUGAAAGGCCCUUAGCCUAUAGCUUGUUGCAUCCAUCAAAAGUGGCGCUUAUGACGGUGAUCGCAAAAUUUGUAUUGCUUAAAAGGUCAAGGUGCAAAUAAAAUGAUGCCAAUCAAAAGUAACAAAGUUCGCCAAGCUUUUGUGGUCAGGUUGCUCAAAAGACACAAUCAUUGUAGUUGGCAAGUGCUGGAAAGUGUCAUGAGCCUCCGAUGAAUCUACCAACUUAAAAAGACUGAUUGCUGAACAUGUACUGACAUCCCGACUGUUAUAUUCUACUUUCCCUUCACUAAUUUUGCUAAAAGGAUGCGAACUGGAGUGGUUGUAAUUUGCAUGCUUCAUGGAAAUCUCGAUCAAAGAUGUAAUCUGCAUAAUCCAGUAGGAUCGGCAAUUCAAUGAGACGGGCGUUCGGCCAUAGACCAAAAAGCUUUAACCCAAGUUGCUAUCACUAAUAGAACACUGUUGACCAAGCUGUAGGAACAGCUUCUCUCUACUAUGGAACACAGAAACAGUGCUCCAAAAAAAAAAGUGUUUGGCUAAGAAAAAGUCUAGAGAAUUUCAUGUGGGAAGAAGCUAGAAUAAGCUUUUGGGCCACAAAAACAGAAGUUCUCUAAUUUGAAGCUACUGUAUCUGCUACAGUAAAAAGUUGUUGAGGAGGUUUCAAAGAGAAAGUUGUUAGCAUUGCUCAGACAAUACUUCUGCCCUCUCAAGCGCCGGACCCAAACAGCUCCUAAGUUGAUAAUACUGCAAAAUCAGCUAUCCUUCAUAAACUCGAUAAAUACUGUAAAAGGAAGGUUCACAAGACUUACACAGUUGCAAACAGAAGAAGUAUUUUCCGGGGGUGGAUUGCUGUUAAACGAUGAAAUCUCUUGUUCCUUGCCUCUCCAGAAUCAGUUAUUACUGGGCUGCCUGCUGCUGGUUGUGCUGCUACGAGAGCUUUAUUUGGCACCAGCGGCAGCUUCAGCUGAUCCAGCUGAGAUGGCACGACUGCACAAAGAAUGACAAUCAAGACAAAAAAUGGCUGUAACGUACCAUAUUUACAGCAGAUCAUUUAAUGGUUUCAAUAUUACAUUUUUGGAUGUGAUCAGCGAGGUCUAGCCAGUACUAAAAACUCAAGAAUCUUAAAUUAACACAAGGAGUAGUUUUACAUUAUUGGUCUUUUAGUACAAAACUGCAUUGGUUUAGGACUAUUUAAUUCGGUAGUGGUCCAAAUAUAUACUUACUGUAUGUAAACAGUACAGAAGCUGAAUACCACUCUUUCCAUUCCUUUUCUUCCUUACGUUUUUUUUUUUUUGAGAAAAAAUGUGAUUCAUUUAUUAAAACCAAAAUAAUAAUACAAUGUGAUCAAUAAGGUCAAAAGUACAGUUAAAACAAAACAAAAUUAAGCCAAAUCAACAAAAGGAGCAGUUUCUAAUUAAUGGCCUUUCAAUACAAUAAACUGCGUUACAUAAGAAUGAACUUAUGGUUGGCAAAUAUCAAUAGCAAAUAGUUCUAAAAUGACACAAGCUUUUUCGCUGAAGAAAAUCAAGUAGCUAAUACCUUUAACUACAAGCUUCUUGGAUGCAUCAUCUGUUUCUUGCUCCUCCCCACUUCGUCUCUCCAUGCGAUUUGAACCCUUACGAGAAAGGGCUCUCUGCCAAUUGAAAGCUAUAGAUUAUCCACAGAUAGAAAACUUUAAGAAGAUUGAGAGCCAAAGAAAGCUAACAAAGAAGCCGAGACAAAAAAGGGUAAAAAUCAAACUCACGCUCAUUUUUGGGCUCCCAGUGCAACAUUUAUCCGGUGGUUGUGUGAGACUUUCAAUAUCCAAAACCACAUUGCCUGCUUUCUCCAUCAAUCCAAUUGGGCCCUGUGUGAAUUUAACAGCAAAUCAGAUGAUGAACAGCAGUAAGUAAAGGUUCGGCCUAGCUCUUGGAACAGGUUCUCCACUCCAAGAAGCAGCAGCCAUGCGUUUGGCAAACAAAGCUGAGUUUGUGCUUUGGCGGGACGCUGAAAAAAGUUAUUGGAACCCAGAGACAGAAGCUAUGAUUAGAAGCUUGUAUUCUUGCUACAAAAUGAACCUAUUGCGAAGACUUCAAAAAAGCUGUUAUUGCUUCUUCACACAGCUCUACUCAAACACUCCAGCUGGGCUGGACUAAAUCUGAUCUAUGAACCACACUAGCUCCGCUGAAAUAUCUCCACCCAUCUGUUCUUGUGACAAAUAAAGUUUCCCUUUGUCUAGACACCCAAAGUGAAUUACAAUCAACUUUAACAACCACCAUGCAUCAUCUAAUAAUUAGCCUUUUCUACAAAUAUCAUAUAAUCCAACUUCCCUUCUAUUACAAUGAAAAAGGGCAUCCCUUGUAAUAGCAAACUUCUUUCUUGCCAAAUCUACGAUAUGACCAAGCUAUGAAAUACUUCUAAUUUUACAUCCCAUUAAUACAAACCAUGGAACCAUCACAAGUGGUAAUUUCUCAUUAUAUUUCUUUCCCCUCAUAAUGUACUUUAUGGAAGUACUACCCUCACUGAUUUCAAUACCCAACCUCAAUGGCAUAUUUACAGUCAAUAAAUCUUGUAGGGACAUCUAACAUUUAAUUCCUAACAGAGAGCCAGGUCCAUUGCUAUAUAAACCAACAAACAGUGAGUGAGUUGCAGAUCCAAAAGCUAAGGAAAGAUCACAAAAUCAGAAUCUUACUAAUAUAAAAUUCUACCUACCUGCAGUAAAGCCUCCUCCAUUUCCAAUGGUUACUGAGUAAAAGAUCCCAAUAGUAAAGCAGUCGACGCCAACUACCAACCAACAAAAACAAUAUUGAUCAGAAGUAUUCAGAUGGGAGUAAAAUCUGGACGGUAGAAGCUAUAUUAUCAUAACAUUUACACAAAUCACGGAGUAGAGGGUUCUACACUCCACACUGAGGAACCAAUCACAUCAACCCGGAUCCUACUCUCAUCUACUCCAAAGAGCGUGCAUAGCAUUAUUCCACUGCUAAAACUCAACUAACUUAUACAAAUUAAAACCGACCGUCGCUAGAGCAAGUGGCAAAGGGCUUGGUGGUUGGUACCCGAGACCCAAGUUCGAAUCCUAGUUGAUUCACAUUUCCAGUUAAGUUUAUUUCUAAAUGAAAUAAACGAAGCGGAUAACGUGCUACCUAUCUCUCAAAAAAAAAAAAAAAAACUUAUACAAAUUAAAUAAAAGUGACAAAUAUAUCACUGAGCCAAUCUUCUAUAAAUUUAUUAACUUUUGUGAAACCCACAUUGCUUUUCUAAAACUGUAGCAGGUAGGACAAAAAUAUCAAUAAAUAGGAAAUGUUGUAGGGCUCAUUAGUUAGUUAGCAUGAUUUUUAAAUGCAUUACAGCUGGACUUACUAAAAUGUUGGUUCCUAAAUUAUCUUUUAAUUAAUCUCUCUCUCUUAUUUUUUAGGGUUCUUUUGAUCUUUUCUGAUGAGGGUGAUACCACCUAAAAUUGUUAUGAUAGAUGGAUCUGAUCUAAAGUACCUUCCAAUGCCUUUCUCUCUAAAAAAAAUUAUCGAUUUUUAGAAAUUGGUGGUUGAGACUCCUCCAUUCCCCAUAUUUCCAUCUUUUAGCACCAAAAUCCUGCAAUUGUGGCAAAAAAAAAAGAGAGUAAAAAUACACACAAAAAAGCAAAUUUAGAAAAUAACACAAAAUACUCCACAUUGGUUUUCUAUAGUUCCAAAAACGCUAAAAAAUUGUUGAAAAAAAAAAAAAAAACAAAAACAAAACUCUCUAGUCUAAAAUUCCAUGGCUUAAAUUCCUAGAACAUUAAAAAAAAAUUUGUGAAGGAAAAGGCCUCCAUUUUCUCCAUAAUUAGAAGAUUCAACCAAAUAAUUAGAAAAAAAAAUUGCAAAUCCAAGGAUAAAAAUAGAGAAAGAAAUAAAUGCCAAAUGCUAGACGAAAUGCCUAGUAAAAAAAAAAAAAACUCCACAUAAAUCAGACCUUUCAUAUUAAUAAAAUUUAAAAAAAUAACGGCGACCUCACAAACACCCAAUCCUACUCAUUCCACUUCAAAUCCUACUAUAUAAAACAAAAAAAAACAAAAAAAAACAAAAAAAAAUUAAGAAAAAAGAAAAGCAGAAUCCAAUGCGGGAAAGAAGCGAAACAGAAUCAUACACUAGCGAAGAGAAUAUAAUCGGAGAGAGAAAGAGAGAGAGAGAAAUUUCUUACUAGUUCUUUUUUGCCCUAUUUUCUGAAACCCUGGUUUUUCGAUCGUACCGAUGCUUCGUCCGCUUCGGAGCCGCUGUUUUUUUUAUAGCAGUAUAGAGAGAGAGAGAGUAGAGAGAGAAAAAUGAGAGCGGAGAGUAGAGAGAGAAAGAGGAGUUUCCCGGGCUGUGGCUGUUGUUGUGGUGGCUUCAGACUCGGACCGAGAGGUCACUGUGAAUCAAUUUUUUGGGUUAAUUACACAUGGCUUAAUAUUUUAGCAAAUUUAAAUAUUUUAAUUCAUAUAAAUUUUAAUAAAUAAUUUGUAGCAUUUCAGUAACUUUAAAAAUUUUAAUUUAUACAAAUUUUAAUAAAUAUUUUGUUUAAUUAACUAUAAUUAAUCAUAAUUAAAAAAUNAAAUUUUAAUAUUUUUAAAUAUAUUUUUACUAUUAAGAUUCUUUAAAAAAAUAUAAUUAACCUGAUUAGUAAAUAAGUUAAAUUAACCUUUUUACCCCUUCUAUUAUUAUUCGGUAAAAUACCUUUUUGAUAGAAUAUUUUUUAUAUUAUUAUAACAGUUAGGGCUUUUGAAUGGAUAUAUUUAUAAGGAUAAAAAUAUCAUUUUAUUUGUCUGCUGUUAAAAAAUAAUAGUACACUAGCGAUAACAAAUCAGAGGGAGAAAUUAUGAAUAUUACUGAACUUUUACAUGAAUAAAAAACAAAAAUUGAACUUUUUAGAAAUAUAUUUAAUAUUCGAUAUGUUUAUAUGAAACUGUAUACAAUUAACCCAUUACAAAUUUAUCCUUACAAUAUAAUAAAAUUAUAUAGUCCUAGGCCAAGCUUUUUUAUUGGAUCGUUGGCGUUAACUAUUAAUCCCAAAAAUUCAUGUUUUAAAAAUAUACAAUUAGUUUAUUUAAAAUGUAUUGAUACAGAACCUAUGGGUCACAUUUGUGAUUUGGCCCAACAAGAUUCUUGCCACUUCAAAUAUGACUUGGUCCAAUCCGAUUUUCUGCCAUUUCGAACGUUACUCGGACUAACCCGACCUCCAGCCACAAGGCAAGAUAUUAAUCCCUUUAAACAGACAGGUUUAAAAGCAAUGAACAUCGGAAAAUUAAAAAAAAAAUCAGAAUGGCUUACUAUUCCAAAAUAGUCAAAAAUAAAACUAAAUUAUUUUUUAUUUACAAUAUUGUUAUUUCCGGAAAGAACUAUUUUUGUAUUUGGUUAAUCUUAUAUAAUAAUAGACAAUGGUAAAAAAAAAAAAAAAAUAGCUGAAUUUGAUAUAAGAUAUGAUUAAUAUUUUGUAAUAAAAUAGAUAUAAAAUUAUAUUAUAUAGAAAAAUAUUUGAAAUAUAAUGCUAUGUUUCAAAUUUCACUUAAACUUAAAUUUAAUAAAAAUUUAUUAUACUAAUUGAGUUUAAUUUAUUACAAUAUGUAAUAUAUUUUGUCCAUAUAAUUACCUUAAUUUAAUUUAUAAUCUUAACAAAGCUUAAAAUUAAAUCUUAAAAUAACAUUAUUCCAUCAAAAGAGUGAAAUAGUUGAUCUGGAGCUAUCCCAAGACAGGACAACCGAAAAUAGCAAUAUUUGACUGGAAUAUUUUAUUCCGACUAAAAAAUACUUUAUUUGACGGAUAGCGAGGAUAACGUACCGAUUUAUCUCUGAACCAAAUGGGGCUUAGCAAUUAAAAAUAUUCCGCUCAAGUUGUAUAAUUUGUAAAAUACAUUUGUCUCAUUUACUAACAGGUUAAAAAUUGACUAUCUUUCUACAUAAUAUUUAUUCUACUAUGGUCCUCAAACUAUAGGGAAUGUGACACUUUCAUCCUUUAACUUUAAUUUGCUAUAAAUUUUAGUUUGAACUUUAUGAACCGUUCAAAUUAAGUUUUGUAAAAUAAUUAGUUGACUUAAUGGUAACGUAUUACUAAUAUAAAAUAAUGUGUCAACUAUAAAAAUGACAUGGCAUUGACACAUCAGUGGCAUACGGACAAUCAAUUAAUUAAAUUUGUCCAUUCUGAAAUAAUUUCCUUGCUUUUUUUUUUUUGCCAUUGAUCAAAUUAAUAUUAUUCCGUUUUUUCUUUCCUUUCUCUCUCUCUCCUUAGUUUUUCUCCUCGCUCUUCAUCUCCCUCCUCCAUAGCCGUCCUCAUGUCGACACCGCUCUCUUCUCUCCUACCUUGCGCAUACGGCUGACAUCCAUAUCGGUGAUGGUGGCUUGGAUAUGGCAUAGAUCGCGAAGGUGAGGCUACAGCGGAGAGCAUGAUUACAGAUAGCGACGAGUGUGCUACGAAAAUUGAGAAUGAUGAAGAGGGAAAACACAUUGGGACGGGGACGGCGACUGCAGCAAAGGACGAGGGAAAAAGAGCGAAAAAGGAUGCAGAAACGGUUGGUAAGAACAGAUGUAAAUCAUUAGGCAAAUUCUAUAGAGGUGGAUUUGGUUUGGUUGUUUCCUUCUUUGCUUUUGAUUUGUUUUGGAUUUUUCUGUCUCUUCCGGGAAGCUACUGAACCUGUGGGGAAACACGAGGAAGAGGAUCAAAGUUCACGGGUUUACAAUCAAGUUCAAUAAUUGGCCUCACUUUUAGCUAGACCGGUAUACUAUCGGUAGUAUGGAGCCCUUCGUAUCAUACUAUCAAGUUGUUUUUAAUGAUGCGGCUUCCAAAUCGACUAUUGACUUCGUUAGCCUUGAUUUACACCAUUAAAAGUAUUUGAAAACUAAAUUUUAUAAUUUUUCGUUAUUAUUUGGCUAGCAAUCAAAAAAUCUCAAAUUUGAUAAUUUUAAUAGUAGAUGUGUUAUGUUUGUGAAUUUAACGAUGUAAAAUAAUCCAAAUCUGAUGAAAUUUUUAUAGAAUUUAGUUUUCAAAUACUUUCAAUAGUGUAGAUCAAGUUUAACGAAGCCGAUCGUCGAUUUGAAACCUACAUCAUUGAAAACAAAUGNCUAAAUACUUUCAAUAGUGUAGAUCAAGUCUAACGAAGACGAUCGUCGAUUUCGAAACCGCAUCAUUGAGAACAAUUUGAUAGUACGGAGGCCUCCGUACUACCGAUUGUAUACCAACCUAGCGCUCUCUCUCUCUCUAUAUAUAUAUAUAUAUAUUUUUUCAACUAUUUGACACCAAAUUUAAAUAAAAUUGAAUAGAAUUUAAAUAAAAAAAAAUUCAGUUCGGUUUGUUCUACCAAAAGUUUUCAAUCUUUUCUCCAAGUUUUGAAACCUUUCAUAAGAUUAUAAUAUUUUAUUUAUUUUAUUUAGCAUUUUAAAUAUCCAACUCGUUAUAUUCAGCUCCUUGCAAGAAUAUCUUAUUACCGAAGUAUAGGAGGUAUUUGGUUGCCCGAAAAAUAUCAAGAAAAUAGUUUUUUUAAGUUGAAAAAAUGUUUUUCGUUUGUUUAGUUUUUCCAAAAAGUAAUUUUUCUAUUAAAAUAUUUUUUCUGAUUUUAUAAAACAGUGGCAUUUGAUUCCUUAAAAAUAAAUAAAUAAAUAAAUAAAUUCGUAGAAAGCUAUUUUCUGAAAAAAAAAAUCAUGAAAAAUAUAUGAGAUAUUUUUUUAAAAAACCCAGCCACCCCCGUCGGCCCGACGGCUUAAUGUGUUAUACUCUUUAUUACUCUAUCUGAUUACUACAGUCAUAAUUACAACCAAUUUACGCAUAGUGACAACUCUUGCUGUUGAAUUUUCUUAUAUAGUUUCAAUUAUAGUAAUUAAAUUCAAAUACAUCAAAUCAAACACCAUAUCAAUAUUGUAUUUAGUUACAAUAACAGUGCAAUUACAAUUAUAUGCAACCAAACAGUCUUUACAUCAAGCCUUAAAAAAGCUAUUUAAUCGGCCCAAGAUGAACAUCAGAAUAGGCCCAGACUCCAAAUGGACACGGAGGAGAGAAUGGGCCAAAAGUCCGAUAAAAAAUGAAACCGAAAGAUUAGAGACUUUUGAGAGGAUGUUGAUACGCUUAUUCAUCUGAUACUUUAUAAAGAACUCGGUAGCAAAGCCCCCACAAAAGCCGACUUUGAUUAUUACUCUGCAAAAUGAAUUCGGCGGGCGACGGAGCCCCUAAACUGCCCGAUUUCUAUUGUAGUCGGCAACGAGGAGCCUCCGCACGCCGACUACAAGAGAUCGAUUUGUGUAAAUGCGAAAAAAAAAAUGGGAGUGAGAAUAUCAGUUCUCGGUCAAACGGUCAGCAUUUUGGCGCCUCCUUUCGGAAAGCGCUCGCUCGCUGCCACGUCAUAGGGCGGUGCAAAAAGCCAAAACCAACCGCCAAAGCUUACGUACAUCUCACACUAGACCCGGUCUAUACACCCAACCACUCUCUAUUAACCUCCAUUGUCCGAGACUUGUUUUUUUUGGAAUAAUUACGUACACAUCUCUCAAAAUUUCUGAAAUAUUUUUAUAAUUAUUUAUUUUUUUUAUUUAAAAUAUACAUCUUAUAUUUUUUUCGUUAUUAAAAAAUAACUUCGCUGUUAGCAUCCGUUAAAUCAUCUUGGAUUAAACCUGGAUUAAAUUUUUACCGGGGUUAAAAAGAUGUCAAAAUUCUCCUUUUGUCCGUAACUUAAUGAUAAAUAAGAAAAAUUAGUAACAACAGAAGGAUAUAUUUGAAAGGCGAAAUGUCAAACUGUUUUUUUUUGCACCUAACUUAAGGGCAAAUAAAAAGUUAGUAAUAAUAGAAGGGAUAUAUUUAAAAGGACAAAAUAGUAAUUUUACAAAAAUAAUGUUUAUUUCCGACAUUCACUAAUAAAAUUUUACUCUAGAGAGAUAUAUUUGAAAAAACUUAGAUCUUUAGGAGAAUAUUUUUUAUAUUAGCCUUCUAAGCAAGGAAAAUAAAAAUGUCUGAAAUUUUUUUGGAGUAUAUAAGUGAUUAAUUUUUUUUAGCCCUUGUGUAUUUCAAAUUGCAUUAGAUAAUUUAAAUAUAAUUUUAUUUGAUUAAUUUUAUCUUACACCAUGUGAGAUAAAUAUCAAGAUAUUUUUAUAUAGCAUAGAUUUAUUUUUCUAUCUUAUACCUUGCUUUCUAUUACAAUAUUUUAUAUAUUUUCACAUAAUAGAGAUAACAAUUUUAAAUUUUACUAAAAUUAUACUAAUAAUAUUAUUAUAAAAUUUUUUAAUUUGUUAAAAUUUUUAGCUACGGCUAAAAUUUAGUAUGAAAUAGAAAAAGAAUAGAGUGUCUGAGAUCUAAUGAUAGUGAUGAAUUUGUCAUUUGUGUGAUUUGUUCAUGAUGACGUGGCACACCCGGUUCAUGAGAAUAGUUAUUACAGCUAAAGGGCAAAUUAUAGACCGAAAGAAACCACGCUUUUUUUAUUCAAUUCCUUCGAUCUCCUCCUCACUCUUCUUCUUCUUCUUCUUCCUCUCCCCUUUCCUUUUCUCCCUCUUCGCCUCAUCUCUCUCGAUUCAGCCCUAGCAAUGGCGAACGACGCCAUCCCCUCCUCCUCCUCGUCGUCGGAGGCCGCGGCGGAAGAGGAGGAGAAGAAGAAGAAGAGGCGUAGUGGCCGCGGAGGCGGCGGCGGAGGAGGAGUGGUGUCGCGCGUGUGGAAGGGGAUCUUCGGAGCGGGACAUGACUUGGAGAAGGAGCUUCGGCGCCUCUCCGUGGCGGAGGCCUCCGCCCACGCGCGGAUCAAGCGAAGGGCCCAAGCCACGCGCGCGAUGAGGACGAACCUCGUCGUCGUAUCGAUCGCUCUUGAGGUUUUGCGAUUUGAUUUGAUUUUAGCCGAAUUAGUUUUAAUUAGGUCGCUGGAAUUUAUCAAGUUGAUUUCGAAUUUAGGGUUUGAUGAGGUAGCAAGGUUGUCACUAUGUAUUGAAAUGAGCUUAAUAUUUGGUAGUUGUUUGAUAUUCUCAAAUCAUAUUAGGUUUGAUUGCAAUAAUUCAGGUAGUUUGAAUCACAAACUUCAAUAAUUAAAGUUUUGAUGAUCAAAUAUCAGCAACCUUUUAGUUCGAGGACUAUUCGUCAAAUUUGGCCUAUGAUUUAUGUGUGCAAAUGGAGCAAUACUGCUCGUUUAGUUUUACUUUUUUGUUUGUAGAAACAUGAUUUUUGAUGUUUAUAAUGGUUGCACAGAAUUGCGCCAAGUGAUUGAAAAAUCUGGUAUGAAGCUGUUCGUCCAAUUUAGCCUAUGAUUUAUAUGAGCAAAUGGAGUGAUCUUGCUUGUUUAAUUUUAUAUUAGUUUGUAGAAACAUGAUUUUUAGUGUUUAUAGUGGUUUCACGGCAUUGCGCCAAGUGAUUGAAAAAUCCGAUAUGAUGAUGUACUUCAACACAAUAUAUAUUAGAUUCCGUGUACGUCACAAAUAUAUCUUUCACCAGUUGUGUACUUCUAUAUCUUCUAUAAAAGUUCCUUGUGGUUCUGCAAGUGUUUAUUGCUUCAUUAUUGCUAAAACCUUCCAAAAAAUGAUUUAGUGUUCUUGGUCAUUUUCUACUAGAUCAUUUUUUUUUUGGUAGCAUGGUAUCAGAGCUAGCCCAAACCCCCCUCCAUUCCAAGAGGUCCUUAGUUUGAUUCUUUUAUCCGCCACUUUAUGGCAUCAAUUUCCGUCCUUUAUUCCUUUGUAUUUUCCAUUAUCUCAGACCUUUUGGCAUGGUUCGUUUGAUAUUCACCAUGCAUGCGAGUGGGCAGUGUUAAGACAAAUUCUAGGCCAUUUCCUAGUUGGUCAAUUUUUUUGUUAACACCUAUCAGAUAUUUCUCUCGGUCAAGACUCAGGGUUAUAUACUCGUUAGAAAAGCCUUGAUAAUUUCUUAGGAUAGUUGCUUUUUGAACUGAUUUCUAAUUGUUGUUGAUUUGUUUCACAGGGUUUGGCUGUUGCAUAUGCUAUCAUGACGACAAGAUCAUUGGAUUUGAACUGGCAGAUGAGGGCAGUUAGAGUGAUGCCUUUGUUUGUGCUUCCUGUUUUAGCUGUUGUCAUCUACUCGACACUUGGGAGCGUCAGAAGAAUGUGUAAAUAUCAUGGACUCUUUUCCUUUUAAAUUUUUUUUAUAACCCAGUUCUCAGUUUCUAUAAAUUUGCUGAUUGAGCUUUUGAUCUAUUAGUCUCUCUUUAUAGACGUUUAUUUGACUGUUCUUUCAUAUUUGAUUGGUCCAUUGAAUUUUUUUUAAUUAAAUAGAUAUUUAAAUGGAAAAAAAAAGAAGGGGGCCGUGGAGUAUAGAAGAAGUGAUCCUGGGUUGUACUCAGCUUUCAUCCCUAUUCAAUUAUGUUUUUGAUGGGAAUAUGGGACUUAUUAGGUGUAUCAGCAUUUUUCCAGCUACAAAUAAGGGGGUAUCAUGUUAAUGAAGUUCAUAGUUUUGUCUGGAGAAGGGAAAAAAAGAAAAUAAUGUGAUGGUGGGGAAUCCUUUCGCCACUAAUACAAAAAAGCACAUAUAAGAUGAACUGCCUCAAAAUUGAUUCUCUGAAUCUUUGAUGUUUUUCUUACAUGGUUGACCAUGAGCUUUUUAAAUUCCUUUUAGACACCUAAUGUGGGAGAAACUUUUAGUGAGAUUUGGGAAAAACAUUAUCCUGUUUAUAACCUGUCCUUCUUUUCUUCAGUGGAUAGCAAGGACCAGAAAGCGCUUGAGAGGCUCCGUGAAGAAAGGCAAGCGAAGAUAACUGAGCUGAAGGAGAGGACAAAUUACUACACUACACAACAGCUUAUUCAGGUAGGUUUUUCAUCUUUCUAUCCUUCAUCUAUAUAUCUACUAUUGGCACUUGAUCUUGGGCACAUCGUAUGUUUGGCGAGAAUUUUUCUCCCCAAAUGCAUUGAUAUCACUCUCUGUAGAGUUACAUGCCUAAGUGGUUCCUGUAUGGUCUACUCUUGUGUACCUGUCAAUUUAAUCACUGAGCACUUCUUUUAGUCAAUCAGGUCACUGAAGUCUCGACUAUUUGUGAAAUUCAUUAUUCCAAGUGAAUUAAAAGAACUUGUACUACCGCUUGGUCCAUAUACAUAUCAGUAAUACUCUUGAUUCCAUCCGUUUUUUAAGAAUCUCAGCAAGUGUUUAACCGUCCAUGUCUGCAAAGUCGAUGAUGUACACUUAUAAGAUGACGCUGGGAAUAUACCUAUUUUUUCCUCCUUUUUUUCUCUCUCCAAGAACGAGGUAUGGUUUAGUACAAUUUAUCACGAUCCUAUCAUAAUAACUCUUUUGGUAUCUAAAAGAGUUUAGGGUUCAAAUCUAUUUCUUUAUAUCUGUAACAUUGGAGGGAUAACUAAUAAUUUAACUUCUGAAGUUAGUUUAUUUAUCAUCAAGGAUGGUAUUAGUAAUUUAGCAAAGCUUUGAUUAGCGAAUUUUCAUCGAAAUGGACAUAGCACGAUAUUCAUGUAUCAGUGAAAGUAGAGUGACUAACUUUUAAUUUUUAUUCUCUGUAUAUGUUACUGAUUCUUUAUAACGAUUAACGCAGAGAUACGACCUUGAUCCUGCUGCCAAGGCUGCAGCAGCAACUGUUCUGGCGUCUAAACUUGGAGCAGAUUCUGGGUUGAAAUUUUAUGUUGGAGAUGAAUCAAAUACCAGUCCCUCAUUGGGAGUUAGCAAUGAUGUUAACCCGGCGCAACCUACUCAGCUCCGACACAGAAAACCAGCUUCUGGCAAAAGUGCUGCCGCAGUAAGCAGCCAAGAAGCUCACUUCUUUGAUGAUUCCUUAAAUGAGUACGACGAAAAUGCCGGGGAAAUUGCUUCUCCAAAUCAGAGUUUUGUUGGACAUAAUAAAGGUUCAGCUGGUAGUGACGGGGGAUGGCUCGCUCGAAUUGCAGCUUUGCUUGUUGGAGAAGAUCCGACACAGUGCUAUGCGCUGAUCUGCAGCAACUGCCAUAUGCAUAAUGGUAAGUGAUGUCUUUCGAAGUUGUUAUCAUGUCAAAUUACCUUUUUAUCCCUUUCCGCUCUAAAUGUGCUCGCCCUCGUGUUUAACCUCGAUCACAAGCAACAAAAUGCAAGAACUGACUCAACUGGCUAACUUAAUGUGCAGGAUUUGCGAGGAAAGAGGAUUUUCUAUUUAUAACAUAUUAUUGCCCUCAUUGCCACGCAUUAAACGGGUCUCGACAGCAAGCGGAAAACGAAAUGAUUUUGAAUUCUGAGAGGGAAACUCCGAUUUCUCAAGCUGAUGGUAAUGAUGCGUUCAACGACGCGAGCAAUUCGAGCUCGAUCACCGGCAGUCCAUUUGCAAACACUCCAACAGCUGCCAAAGAAAUGCCUCAAGGAGACAACGGCGACGAGGAAGGAAAUGAUGUGCAUACUAAUUAGAAAUUUGUAUUCAGUAUUAUAUGUAAUGCUUUUACAAUGAGAUAGCUUCUGUUGAAGGGAAAAUUCGUUUGUUUGUCGAUGAUUCCGCAUAAAGAGAGGAAAGGAGCAUGUUGUGUAAAAUAAUUACUAAUUCUUUUUGAGAGUUAUGGUAAUUUUUGGCCAUUUUGUUAUAUACUGUGAGGAGUGGAAGGUACCAUAAUGGGGUUUUUGGGCGACUACACUUAUAGAAUUUUUUUUAAUUCUAAGAAUAUAUAUGUAUCCAACAUUUUUAUUUGUAAAUUAUGUUGCACUAUUUUACAACACAUUGUACUGUUUGAUAAGUUAUUGUGAAGUGCUGUCAAGUAAUUACGCAAUAAAUUUUCAAGUCAUGUAACGUGUUUUUUAAUUGUUCAGCAACUUAUCACAUAGUAUUAUAUUUUUUUACUAAUGGUUUAAUAUUUUUAUUUUUAUUUCUUUGAAUGGAUAAAAAAAAAUGUAGAGAGAGCAUGACGAAACAAUAAAGAAGAAGAUAUAAUAGUGCAACACAAAUAUUGGUAACAAGCAUAAAUAUAGUAAGAAAAGAGUCGAGAUGAAGAAGGAAUAUAAUACACCACUUAGGCCUUUGUUAUCAGGGACGAAGCCAGAAAUUAAAAUUCGGAGAGGGGCCAAGAUUUAGAUUUAAUAGGAAAAAAAUUCAACUUCGGAUAAUAAGAAAAAAAAUUUGUCAAAUUCACUGAUCAGUUAUUACUAGUAACAAUAAUAACAAUAUACUCAAACAGAAACAAGACUGUAAGAGUUGAAGGGAAAUGACCAAGAAAUUUGAAAAAAAAAAGAGACAAAUUUUAUUAACAAAUUUAAUUUGGCCCCCUAAAAUUAAAAUUUAUAAUAUUUUAAUUUUUAUUACAAAGGACUUUUAUGUGAUUUUAAAAAAGUUAGGAGAGGCCAUGGCCACUGUGGGCCCCUCAAUGGCUCCGUUCCUGUUUGUUAUAUUAUUUAUAUAAAUAUGGCACUGCUUUUUUUUUUCGGACAAUAUUUAAUCUUUUAAUAUUAGUAAAUUUUUAUUUUUAAAAAAAUUUACAUAGCAAAUACUAAGGAUUCACGUUGGUGACAAUAGUUUCCAUAUAUUAUGAAUUAAGGUAGAUGAUUUGCACCAUUUAACUAUUACUUUUUGUCUAGAGAAUACGAAAAUUCAUCUUGCGCUAUGUACGAAUUUUGACUACAAAGACAAUUUUGUCAAAUUUUUGAAAAAUAGGAGCAAAUUGUAGAUUCCAAAAAAUGCAUUGGAUCUGCAAAAUCACAAAAUUAGUUAUUAUUUUUUAGCACUGCUAUGGUACACUGAAAAGGGGUACAAGUCACCCCCUCAUCUAAGGACCCUUAGUGGGGAGUUUUUAAUAUUAAUGGACUUAAAAGAAUAUUAUAAUUAUAAAAAUAGUUUUUAAAAAAAAUUAUUUAUAAAAUUAGUUUUAUGCAAUGAAUAAUUUACCAUAUUUAUUUAAAUAUAAUAGUUUAUUUAUUCUCAAAAUGUUAAAAUUAUUUUUACUAUUUAAUACUAUACAUCUUUUGAAGUUUAAAUGUGUAAAAUAUAUAAGUUCGGUAAAUAAUGAAUAAUGUAUCGUUUUUAGAACGCGGUGAGUCAUCGUUUUUUAAAAAUAGUAAAUAAUUCACUGCAAAAAUCUAAUUAUAUAAAUAAAAAUUUUAAAUGUCCAUUUUUAUAAUUAAAAAAAUUCUAUAGCAUCCGUUUGGUUCGGAGUUAAGGAGUGGAAAAACCCUUUAACCCCGAAGUUAUUUCCAAACGCCUAAUUUGGGGAUUGGGGUUAACUAACCCCACCCCACACCACUCCACCCCACCCCACUACUCCAAGUCUCAAACCAAACAAAACACUGUUUUACCAAUUAUCUUUCUUAUCUCAGCCACUCCAAUCAAACACUAUUUUAUUUAUAUCUGGACUAAACCUAAUUUUCAACCAAAUACAAAAUUAUUCUAAUCCCAUCUUAUUCCUGAACUUAACUCUAUUUCUGGAAUAACAAAUUUUUACUUAACCCAGAACCAAACGGUUGCAUAGGUUUAGUCGAUCUCAAAACCUUCUUAAUAGGUCCUUAUAUUGUCCCUUUUUUUUUAUACUAAAAACUUAAAAAUUUUUUUAAUAAAUUCUAGGCCGAAGUAAUGUAUAUCAUACAUGUAGCAUUUUUUUUUUCAAUCAAAAUCUAUUAAUUAAAGAAAAUAUAAAACUGAAGUUCUUAUUGCAAAAUUUCCAUAAUAGAGGGGUCUCUGUACAUUUUUAUGCAGAAAUGGGGCUUCGUUUUUUUGUUAACGACAAUACAGGGAUCGAAAACUCCAACUCUCUCUCUCUCUCCCCCUUCCCCAGAUCUCCUUCCCGGCGAAACCCUAGAUCUCAAUCCCAGGUAUGCUCUUUUCCCUUCCUCCCCAUCUCUCUCUCAAUCUCCGCAUCUUUGAUUCCAUUUCAUUUCGAAGCAUUAGAUCCGUUAGUUUUAGCUUACACUCUUUGAUCGAUGUGAAAUGGCUCAUUAAAUCGCUAUAAAGUUGAAGGUUUUUGCCUAAUAUUGGGCUAAUUGAUGUUACUUUUGUGGCCUAGGGUUGUAGAUCUACGAGCAUUGUACGAGAAGAUUCGAACUAAGAAAUUUUAAGUUUAAAACGAGCGUUCAAAAUGUUGUAUCAAUAUUGAGUUUUAAUACGAUGUUUUCUAAUGCAAGUAGUUCUUAGGGGAAUCGUGGAUCGAUGUGAAAUCACUUAUUAAAUCGCUGUAAAUUCAAAGGUCCCCCCCCCCUCCCUCCCUAAAAAUAGGGUUAAUGAUUGUUUUUUAUUGGCCAAAAAAAGAAUAUUGAUCUAUGAGUGCUGUGGCAAGAAAGAUUUGGAACUUAGAGAUUGUUAGGUCUAAAAUGAGUUUCAAAACACUGUAUCAACAUUGUGGUUUUGAUACGAUAUUGCGUUUGCAAUUCUUUGGGGAAUCUUGGAUGUUUAUGCACUUCAGAUAUUUUUUUUUUACCUUUGCACUAGCUUGGAGAGCGUAAAUUUUGUUCUGAAGAAUGUGCAUUUUCUUAUACAUUAAAAGAAUUUUUUGUGAGUUUUGCUUGUAAAGAACCAUGUUUUGUGGACUGAUACAUUUUGUAGAAUUAUCUGAUUAAUUGAACUCAUUAGAUCCAUUUAUAAGCCUCCCAAUUAAGAAUUGCGAUAGUUGACCAGACAAAAACUUGGUAUUCAUUCUGCCAUUUUGCUUGCAUAAUUUUUUUUUAUUUUUCUCUGAGAUCUCUAUUUUAGAAUACACUUUUUUUAUGCAUGAUAUUUUACUUCAUCUGUGCAGUUAUUCAGGUAAACUGUAUACUGAGCGAGGGAAGUGAUUUACUGCCUUUACAUAGAGAGCCAUUCUUAUUGCAUUUGUUUACUUUUUAGGUACUAGGCUUACAGAGAGAUAGCUGAAUCCUUCGGAGACACAUCUUUUGAAACUCGAGUUUGUCAGCAUGGUAUGAGAAAAGGGAUCCAUCUAGUCAUUUAUCUCCUGAGCUAUCAUUCUUGUUUCUUAUCAUGAAUUUGAAGGUCUAAUGGUACUUGAAUCUUAUAUCAAUUUGGUUAUUUACUGAUUCAUGAAAUGCGGAUUUUCUCAUUUACUAAUGUUCUGCUAUUUUCCCAUUGCCAAGAAUUUAAGUAGCAAAACAAGUUCAGUCAUAUCUAUUGGUUUUAUUUGGAAUCGAUAUCUUCCUCUUGCAAGUUUUUCUUUACUUUGUCAAGUUCAAAUCAAGUUCAGUCAUUUCUGAUUGAAGGUGUCUAGUUCAUGUUGGCUGCUUAUGUUUAUAAAUUUAUUUUCUUUCACGCAAUCACACCUUUCCAAUGUGUCUUCUCGGUAAAGGAACAAUAGGAACAAUAGAAGUUCCUUUGGCAUUGGAUAUCAAGUGGAAAUGUUGACUGUUGAGGAGAUAAGUAGAUGCUAAACAUGAUAAUUGGCAUAGAUAGGGAUUAGCAUGAGAACUACUUUAUAAAUAAGGUUCUUUUGGAAAAAAAUGUUAGUACAUUUAGUAAGACCUUUUAAUGUACUUAUUCUUGACUAUAUUCAAUUCAGAUGACAAAUGGAUAGAUUGUGUUUAUGUAUAUCAGUCUUCAUCCUAUAAUUUUAGUAAUUAAUGACUAUUCAAAGUCUGAAGGAAAUCAACUAAAAAUUUGCUAUGUUUUGUUCAAACAGGUGGUUCUUGCAGCUUCGAUCAUAACAAAGUCUGGAAAAGGUGAAUUUUCUCUUGAACACUAUUCUGCAUUUCUUUAUACAUUACAAUUUAUAUUUCUUUUUAUUUUAUCCUUUUCUGAUAAAUAAUGUAAACUUCAGUUUCUUUUGCGAACUUUAGCUAAGAAACAUUGCAUUUGAUCUGUCUACAUCAUGAAUAUUUUUAAUAUUUCUAAGUUGUUUCGUGUCUGUGUGAUCCAAUUGCCUUAAGUUAAUGCUGCAAAUAUGUUUGUCAUGAUACUAUCUUAUGAGAUAAUCUUACUUUCAAUACCAAUUUGCAGCUUAAUUUAGAUAAGAAUCCAAUGAUACUUACUGUUUUAUUACUUUUUUCCUCUGCAUGAAGAAGAUAUCUAUAUACUAUUAUCAUUUAAACAUUCUUUAUCUUCUACGUAUGUUAGCAACCUUAUAGUUAUCCAUUAUCGCAUUUGAUCUAAAAUUAGGGCUGCCAAUCUGCCAUCAAUGAUGUUUCUGAAAUGUGGUUAGUUUUAUUUUCAUUAUUAUUUGUCUCUUAUAAGUGAAACUUGGCAUUGGUCUAAUUUUUUUUUCAGUUCUCGAUUUGAUAGAUUAGAAUACUUGGAUGUAGAUCAUUAUGUGUAUGUUCUGUUGUUAUGCUAUUAUGUUCCAUCAUGUUGUCUUACUUUUUGAUUGCAUUCAUUCCCCUGUAACUCCUUUCAACUACGAAACUUUUCUUAGUAGUAUUAUAUUGGUUGUCAUUUUUUACAAAACUUCUAUUUGUCAGAUGUGAAUGAAGGAUUUGAAAAUCCAUCCUGUUCACAGUAGAACUGAAAGCAUAUACGUCCUUUUGAUUUUUGCUGAUGAUUCAUGUCUUUUUGUAUAUUGUGUAUAAACAAAAUGAAAAUGUUAUGUGAAGAUAAUUGUGUGUUUUUGUACAAGUGCAAAUUUUCAUGAUUAGUCAACCAAGUUUGCUAAUCCUCAAACUAUUUUUUGUACCACAUGACCAACAAUGGUCCCAUGCUGAAUCCUUGAGACUUGCAUCUCUAAUCUACUAAAACGACAAAAUACCUUAUUCUCUUAAGUUAUCAUUUAAUUGGAAUGAUCCAAAAUUGACGAAAAUGCAUCUUUCAUCUGCCUCUAUCUCGAAGAGAGGAUAUUAAUGCUCAAUUUUAAGUAAUUGUUCUAGUAACUCUCAUUCCUGCCCCUCGAAAGCUUGGCACAAAUAACCGAUAUUACACACUGUUAGCUUUGCGCCAUCUCAUAUUGACACACUUCAGAGAUCCAAUUAUUGGAUAUCUGUCUUCUUUUACCAUUUUUUACCUGCUGAAUGCCGGAGGAAAAUAUAUAGCACAGAUGAAUUAUAAUUCCUUAUAGGGAAACCUUGUAGACUAUUCUAGACUCUAUUUCAUAUUAAUGUUAUGUUUUUCUUAAUUUUGAUUACUAUGACUAUUCUAGUACCUUAAAUAUGGCCUGAUGAAAUAUUGUCCUGUCUGACAUAGGUCCGUUUUAGACUCUGCCUUUGUACAUGAACUGCUUAUCAUAGGGAUUACUACAUCCCAGUAUUCUGGGUGCUCUGUUGUUUAAUCUCAUAAGAUAACUCUUGUUUUUUCUUCUGUGGACUUGAUUACAGCACUUGUUUCAAGACAGUUUGUUGAUAUGUCUCGCAUAAGGAUAGAAGGACUACUUGCUGCAUUCCCAAAGUUGGUUGGAACUGGAAAACAGCAUACUUAUGUUGAGACUGAAAAUGUUCGCUACGUGUACCAACCAAUAGAAGCAUUGUAUCUGCUACUUGUUACAAACAAACAAAGUAACAUUCUUGAAGAUCUGGAGACACUGAGACUCUUAUCGAAACUUGUAUCCUUUUCUGCUUCAAGUCUUGUAAUUAUAGCAAAGUUACUGUUUCAAUUUUAGAUUUGUUCUUGCAUCCCUCUGGGUUUGUUGUUAUUUCUUUCUCUUUUUUUUUCUCAUUAAACGAGCUUUAUAUUAGUGUCUGGAAAUUUUGGUCAUGUUGAUUGAAAUUUUGUAGUGAUGGUUUCCUUAUACUGUACAAAGGUACCAGAAUACUCACCCUCUUUAGAUGAGGAGGGCAUAUGCCUGACAGCUUUUGAGCUGAUUUUUGCCUUUGAUGAGGCCAUCUCUUUAGGGCACAAAGAAAAUGUGACUAUUGCACAGGUUAAACAGUACUGUGAGAUGGAGAGCCAUGAAGAGAGACUGCAUAAGAUGCUCAUGCAAAGCAAAAUUAAUGAAACUAAGGAUGUCAUGAAGCGAAAAGCUAGUGAGAUCGACAAAAGCAAGGUAUCUUUUUUUUUCGCCCUCCUCUUGCUUCAUCUUCUUAUAGUGAAAGCAGUCUAUUGUGAAUGUGCAAAUAUACGACUAUUGCCUUUUAGUUUUAAUUGAAAUCCUUUUUCAUCUCUCAACUAUGUCUUUCACUAUUAGAUGGAAUCAACUGUAAUGCAUAAGCGUACGGUUGACUUAUAUAAACCUUGGAUACUUCAUUUUCAAUGAAUUUGUGCCAAAUUUACUUGGCUGACAAUUUUUACUCCUGGACUUAUAUAAAAACUUUGUGUUAGGACAUUGGGCUUGCAUUUCAGCAAUUUUCUUUUUUAAAAAUUUUAUGUGAAAACUGAUAUGCUUGAGACCUUUUUACUAUAGCAUUUGUUUAUUUACAGCUUUAAUCUCCCUUAUCCUUGUUGUCAGACAAAUUGCAGGCAUCUAGCUGGUGGAAGCUUAAAUAUUCAAUUUUUUGUAACAAGAAAUAGACUCACCGGUUAUAAGAUGAUAAGAAAUAUGGGUAAAUUUGACAUAUGAUAAACCAAAUAAUUUUGCUUGCUUGAACUUUCAUGUGACUCUAAAUAGGCAGAAGAUUUAAUUUUGAUAUAUAUAAAACUUAAGUCUGUAAGCAAUUGUUGAUAUGAUUUCGAGUUUUUUUUUUUUUUCCUUCUGGAGACAUCCACUUGGGUCAUCAGUUUUUUGCUUCAUGGAUGCUAAAACUUUGAACCAUUAAUCUCCGUCAUUGCUGAUUAUCCAUUUCUCUAUCUCAUUAUCAGUUUUCUUCUUCAAAUGCUAUUAACCAAAUAAACAAUAGGCAUGAUUAAUCUAGCUUUUGUUGGUUCUAUUAUGAAAUUCUUUAAUGCUUGCAGAUUGAGAAAGGCAGAGGGGACAAAGGAGGAUUAAUGUCGAUGUCUGGUCCUCGAAGAAUUGAAAGUGCUUUUAGUGAUAUGAGCAUUUCUAGCAGUGGUAGUGGAUUUGGAAGUGGUUCCGGAUUUGGACUGAGCACGGAUGCUGACUCUUCCUCCAAGCCCAAAGGUUUGUACCUCUAGAUGUCAUUGCCUCAUUACAAGCUCAUUAUAUCAAAUUUGGCUAAUAUCACUGUAAUUUGUUUCUAAUUCUUGAGAGAUUGAAUUAUUUCUUCUGGAAUCUAUAUCCUAUAUUCCUUCAUGUCUUAGUUGCUGAAAUCUUUUGUAAAGAAUGUGCAAUAUGUGCAACUCCCUUUCAAGGAAAAGUGUAACUUGAAUCUUUCUUUGAUUUAACUACCCUUUGAAUGGAAAUGGUGUAUACUUGAACAGUGGCAUUAUUAGUUACGUGGUACAUAGCAUCCAUAUCUUAUAAUUUUCCUUCUUUCAUUAGGCUAAGCAUCAUAUCUUUUUGACACAUUAUCGUGCCUAAAAUUAACGUAAUACUGUGAAACUAAGUGUGUAUCAACUUUAAAUAUCAUAAUUCGUCUGAUUGAGGGAGAUCUAAAUUUCUGGAAAAAGUUUUAAGGUACUUUUAUAAAUGUAUCAAUUUGUUACAUUUUUUUUCAUUGUAGUCAUUUCUUUAGCCCACAUUUGUACAGCUGUCAUGUUGGGAAAACAUACUCAACUUUGGCGUUCAAUUUCACUAGCUUUGGUCUUCCAUUUUGUGUUUUGUUGUAUUGUUUGUCUUGUUAUGAAUCUGUAGGUCGUCCACCAGCUUCUGCUACAGCUCCGCCAAAAGGCCUUGGCAUGCAACUGGGCAAAACACAGAGGACGCAUCAGUUUUUGGAAUCUCUAAAAGCGGAGGGAGAAGUGAUUCUCGAGGACGUUCAACCAGGUGCUACUCAGUCAAAGUCAUCUCUGCCACUAAGUGAUCCUAUAACGUUGAACAUCGAGGAGAGGCUUAACGUUACCGUUAAGAGAGAUGGAGGAGUCAGUAAUUUUGAUCUCCAAGGAACUCUUUCUCUUCAAAUUCUUAAUCAAGAGGAUGGCUUUAUCCAACUUCAGGUUCUGAUACAUUUCUCUCACACUAUGAUUUAUCAUUUCAUUUGAAAAUCCAUGAUUCAAAUGCAUUUGCUAUUUUUAUAAUGAGAAUGCUCAAGACACAAUAGAAUUCAGAAAAAAAAAAAACAGCUGUUAUUUUAUUAGUGUGAGAAGCUUAAUGAAAUAAUGAAAUUGCUAUUUUGCUUGUUUUUUCUUGUAUAGUUCUGGUAAUUCCCUGGUUUGAAAUUGAAUCAGAUGACCUCAUCUAUUCCUUAUAAUGGAUAUUUAUUCCCCUUAGAUUUAACUAGCAGUCUCAUCUUUAUAGACAUGCAAUUGGACCUUGGGGUGUACUAUAGUGUGAUUUCCCUUGCAUGGAAAUAUCGACUGACAGUCUGUGGAGUUACUUGCUAGUCUAGAAAUUUUCUAUUGAGUUUAGUGUAUCUCCUUUCUUCGCAAUUGGAGUUGUGUUCAAGAUGAUAUGUACUGAUCCAGUAUAUCUAUUUAGUAACUGAUGCAAUCUUGCCGAAUUCCGAAGCUUUAAUCAGAAUCAUUUGUGACCUGUUCUGAUUUUAGUUCCUGUAUUAGUAGUUUACGUUGAGUAUAAAAUAUGAAAAUAUAGUUCUCUACUAGCUUCUGCUUUUAGAGACAAACUGAUGUUUUACUUGGUAUUAUAGUAGGAGAUCCUGAGUUUAAAUCCACCACAUUCCUAGCAUCAUUUAAUUUUUCCCACAUCUUGGGCCUAGUGAAAAGUCUUGAUCAUAGAUAUGAUGGUCUGCUGAAUAUAAGAUAUUGAAAACCCUUAUUCUCUAAUAGCUUUAGCUUUUAGAGUUGUUUAUCAAUUUAUGCCGACUAUCCAAUAUUUACUGAGUACGGUACCAUUUCCUUCAUAUUUUUUUAAAUUCUUCCAAUGAUGUAUAAGAUGCUCUUUCUGGCAGUAGACUUGUACCAUCAUUGCUGCUAUGUACAUGGAUAUUCAAUGAUAUUUCAGUGCUGAUUCUGCCAAGGAUUGUUUGCUCAAUCUGUUCAAUGUACGAAAAAUAGAUUUGGAAUGAUAGAAUUUAUGAUAGUGGGCCAAUUUUAUCUAACAGAUUGAAAACCAAGAUGUACCAGGCCUUAGCUUCAAAACUCAUCCCAAUAUCAACAAAGAAUUGUUUAAUAACCAGCAUGUUAUCGGGUUGAAAGAUCCAAAUAGGCCUUUCCCCACUGGCCAAAAUGAUGUCGGUCUGAUGAAAUGGAGAAUACAGGGCUUGGAUGAAUCCUCUUUGCCAUUGACUGGUAUGUAUUGCUGUAGUAUUAAAAGUAAGAGAUAUUUACAUACGCAAUUCCCCUGAAAAAUAUCUAUUUCUAUAUAUCACUGCAGAAUCUGAGUUUCAUAUAUGCGCUUCAAAAACUUAGUUUUCUACACAUUUGCCCUUCUACUUACAAAAUGUCCCCUGUGAAAAAUAUUUUUUUCCAAUUCAAAACCAAAUUCCACACAUGACUGGAAUGGACAAACCUGUAAUAAAAGUGGCUUGGUAAUAAAUUACACUUCACAGGGGUAUAUAUGAAAUUUGGACUUUUCAGGGUUGUAUUGUAAUAAAUAAUUUUGCAGGGGAAACCCCUUGCAAUUUGGACUUUUCAGGGUUAUAUUGUAAUAAAUAAUUUUUCAGGUGACUUUGUGUAGAACCCCUUGAAAAUAUUGAUGAUUACUUUUAGACUGUCUUGCUAACUUGCUCAUCUGGUCUUGCAGUUAACUGCUGGCCCACUGUCUCUGGAAAUGAAACUUUUGUGAACAUUGAGUAUGAAGCUUCAGAUAUGUUUGACUUGCACAAUGUUGUGAUUUCUAUUCCUCUUCCUGCUCUUCGGGGCCCACCAACUGUGAGGCAGAUCGACGGAGAAUGGAGGCAAGCAUUUUAAACUUAUUGUUUUAUUGGAUCUUCUUGGAUGUCAUCAAGUAUGAAUUGCUUUUUUUAAAAAAAAAAAUUUAAUUAAGAAGGCAAAAAGGAAAAACCGUUGGAGUAUCCAUAAGCUGAUUGUCUAAUUGUUUAGAUGUUUGAAUUGCAUAAAAAUUCACAAAUUUUCAAUCUAGUAUGCUUAGUUGGGUUCUUCUUUCUGCUGGAAAUGUAAAUUGAGAACAGUGAGCUUCUACUUGAAGUUAUCGUUAAUUCUAUUUUGAAAUUUUAAUCUGAUUUGUAAUAAUUUAUUCACUGCUAAUUGUCUCUGAGGUCCCUCUUUAAUUUCACGUAUAGCUCACCCUUUUGGUGUUGUCAAAUGACUCUUUCCAAUAAUUCUAAUAUUUGUCUCUUUAAGCUUUUUGUUUUUCUUUGUAUGUCUCCUUUUCCAGGUAUGAUUCAAGGAACUCCACACUGGAGUGGUCUGUUCUUCUUAUUGACCAAUCGAACCGCAGGUAAGCUUUUAUCUAUUCUUCAUUAGCUAUAAUUACAUUCUUCAAUUUUAUUUUUUUAACAUAUAAGAGCGCUUCAAAUUGGCUAAUUAUUAUCCCCUUUUUUUUUUCCUUUUUCUUUGUAGUGGAUCAAUGGAGUUUGUUGUUCCUCCAGCGGAUGCAUCAGCAUUUUUCCCCAUCUCUAUCAAAUUUACAGCUGCUAAUACUUACAGCGAUGUGAAGGUUAGAUUUAUCACAUACUCAAAUGUUCUUUCAUUUUCUAGAAUAUUUUGAAUGCGGUAUGUGAUGGUCUUGUAAGUUCAUCCUUUCGUGAGUCUAUAUUUCAUACAAAGUGUAGGACACCCUGUUUCCUGUUUAGCAACUUUGCACCAUUUACUGUGCUUGAUUGAAAGCCGGUCAUCAAUUUAUUCAUUAAUUUAACGAGUCACAUAUUAAUGGGAAGAAAGUUUAUAAAAGAAUCUUAACCGAAUCUAUCUGUUGUCUUCACUUGCAAGCUGACUUAUUGUGAAACUGUAGUAGAUAGCAAAUAAAUAUCACAUUCUAUAAUGAUUUUUUGUCGUUCUUUGACCUCAUUUAUUACUACUUGAACCACAAUAUUCAUUAUUUACUUUGUGAAGCAUUUCAUGAUAAAUUGUUCGACAUCAACCUAAGUGUACUCAUCAUUCGACUUCUUGCUUAUGCUCCUUUUUUAGAUAAUGCUCCAUUUUGUUCUUUUCUAGUCUCUGUUAAACUUAUACCCUAUUACUAACAUGAUAUCCAAAAACUAUUUUCAGGUCGGUGGCAUCAUUCCGCUUCGAAGCGGUGCUCCUCCCAAAUUUUCACAACGGAUUCAGUUGAUUGCGGAUUCGUAUCAGGUGGUUUAAUUCUCUGAUGAAAAUGUUGCUUUACUACUAUUAAUAAAGUCACACUUGUGCGCAGUUCAAUUUGAAUGGAGUAAACUUUCUCUUUUAUUUUUGCACCCCUUUUUUUUUUCCAUAUAUUUAUAUCACCAUUUUAACUGAAGAAACAGCUGCACAGGAUUUUUUUUUUUUUUUUUCGUUUUUUGAUUAGUUGGCAGCAGUUAUGUCAUAGAAGUAUUUUUAAUAUUCUAUCACACAGUUAUUUUUGUGCCAGCUGAGAUAGUCCUGCAGAAUUUGAGUUUAUUGUUUGGAAAAUAUAUAUAUUCAGCUAUAUUGUUGUUCUAAGUUCUAUCUUUAAAAUGAGCAAGAUUUCUAUCAGGAAUAAAUUUAAGUUAUUAUCUUUUUUUUCCUUUCGGCGUGUGGAGAAGUUUGUACUAGAGUGCACAAAUGUGCAAGGAAGGAACGAAUUUUCUCUAUUCAAUUUCAGCUCUAAAAGUUCGCUUCAACAAAUUUCUCUAAUUCACUCUUAUCUGGUUCCCGUAUUAUCUUCGACAUGUGGUGGAUAUCACAAAUAAUAAAGCUGGGAAUCAAAUCCGUUAAAACUGAGUGUUUUUCUACUAUGAUAGUAGUUAGAGAAACCGUCCGUAAUGUGCAGAAUCCUCUAGUUUGAUAUCUGCUCUUUCGACGAAGACAUUUUUUUUUUUUUGAUCUUUUUGUAUUUUCUGUUGAAAAUCCCCUAUGCCGAAAAUUUCUGUUAGCCUAAACUCCAGUGGUUAGGGGGGAUUUCCGUCUGCACUGCCGACGUUGGCGUGUGUCGUGGCAGACGGUGCAAGCAUUCAUCUUUUCCGGCAUCUCUGGUCCAAACUGAGCCCUGGAUGGCCCUCUUGCUGGCAGCCACUACGGCUUUGCUUGCAAAAAAGUUGGGACGGCUGAAAAAAGUUAAAAAGUUCUUUGUGGAAUCCCAGUUUCCAUCUGAGGAGAGAGAUAGAGCACGCGGAAAUCAUUAGCUCGCCCAGAAGUUUCCCUGGAGGAACACUUGAACACUCCGGGGAUUUACACUUCAGCUAGUGUUAGCGGAGCGUGCGAGCGUAGAGGCCUGGCCUGGCCUUAAAUCCAAUUCUAUCAUCAGAAGCUGCUUGCUUUACCAAAAGCCAUAGUAGACAGAAACGAUUGUAGCAAUUUCAGUAGAGGAUUUUUUUGACAUUUAGUUCACUCAAAACUUUUUUUUUUAUAUAUAUAAAUAGCCUCGAUAAAAUUAUAUUUAUAAAAAUAAACCUCUUUCAACCAUAUUGAGGCUAUAUCCCGGAUAGGUGAAGGCCAUGAGCGUUUUUAAGUCGAACGUAAUAAUCUAAUCACCAAUGAUGACUAGAUUACCCUUCGUUAUUAUGUUUUUUCUGUGUUCCUUUUAACUUUCAUUAUCCCUAAAUCAAAGAAUAGAAACAAGGGAGUAGAUACAAUUUAAAUACGGUGAUUGGAUCACGGUAUUAAACUUAACAUAAUCCUCCACCAUCCAAAGUGGCACUCGCUUGGUCAGAAGAGGACCAGUUUUUACAAAUAUAAAUUUGCUGAAACCAUUAUACAAGAAAAUAUUUUCGAGUCUUAAUGCCAAAAAUACCCCCUAUCAAUAGCUGUGCAGGGUCGGCUGACCAAGUUAUUUCUUUCUCUAUUCAACAAAACGAAAAGAAACAAGCAUAUUUUCAUAUAUAUAUAUAUAUAUAUAUCUGAACAGAUUAUCCCAAGAUUACCUCAACUUUUUUCUCGCGUAUUCAUGUGCUAACACAAGUAAACAAUUAUUCAUGGCACCAAGAAACUUCAUCACCUGGUUGCACCCUCCGCAACACAGCGGUUCAGCAGAGAUGGCCCUCAGAAAAAAGAAGAAAGGGUUCUCCUCGCUAUAACAACGGAUUGGAUUCCGAUGAAUAAAUAGGUUACAUACAUUACGCCGAAUGGGAAUGGGCACAAAAAAACUAUUACACAAAGCUCGCUCACACGAACAAACCGCACAAGAAGGGCGAAAUGUAUGGAUAAUCCCUGUAUUGUCGCAAUAUUGCUGAUUAGUCUCCGAACCUUUCGCUCACACUUCAGUAUCUGAAGUGUUAUUAUAUACUGCCAACCCUAACCACCAGAAGAAUCUGGCACGCCACUUUCUCCCAUAAAACGGCCUUUCAAAUCGCGAUGAGAAAGUUUAGGAUGUAAGCAGCCGUAUAUAGUACAGGGGGCUACCCAUUCAUUUCACCCGAAAAAAAAGUGAAAGACGAAAUAAAAUUCUCAUCCAGCAGCUGUGGUGCACAACACGCACCGCAUACGAGACUCACCUGAUCGGGUUUCAUCGUCAUCCUCGCCGUCAUUGUCGUCGUCGCUGCUAGAUUUAGUGCUCUUUGCUUUCAUAGUUUCCAACCCAUCCAUGAGGCACGGGACGUGGUACCCGUGGCAGCAGAAGAACACGACAACCGACAGGUCACGGAUCGAGAAAGGGUCGAAGCAGAGGCAGCAUCGCCCUCCGCCCCUUGUCCUCGAUUUUAAUUCGAUCGUUCUUGAGCUUUGGAGUCUCUCAAUUGAGCGGGUGGAGGUACCGUCUUCCCUCUUAUUUUGCGCCUCUUCUUCUAUACUACCCAAGUACACGGCCCGGCGAGCCUCAUUGAAGUACUUAACCAAGAGGUUGACGCAAUCAGCCUGUUUAAGAACUUUUCAGUUGAUUAAUUGUUAUAAGCUACUUUGCACGACACUUGAAGUAUUGAAACCUACAUAUGGGUGUUUUGUUAAAAUGGGGUAAAAUAUAGGAUUUAAAAUUUCACAGUUCAAUGAAAAAUUGCAAUUUUACGUCGCAAUGUUUAUAGGCGGUACCCUACAAUUUCAGCCAAGUUUAGAAGAAAAGAUGCACCUUGAGGAUGUCAUUGCAUCCGUGUCUAAGCGACAUUUCGGUUCGGUAAUCGGUUAUAAUUUUGACAAGGCGGUCCCGUAACCUACAACAAUCAGAAGGAAUUAUCAGUCAUGCCAUUUCAGAGGAAUUUGACAUAAUAUUAAAAAAAAGUGAACAGCUAAAUGAUGGUAAGCCGACAGAGAAAUAAAAUACAUCCCUAUUUGCAAUAAUUUCAAGAAUAUUACAAGAAAUAACAUUAGCAAUUGGAAACAAAUUUUCAACAUGCCGUAACUGCAAAAUUAGCUAAAAAGGAUAAUUAAUGGACAUAGAAAGUUCAGCGAAAUGAGCUUCAUUUUGUUGAAAAACAGAAAAUGUGGUGGUUAAUUGGAAUAAAUAAGAUGCAGAAAAUAACAAAGUUGCUGCUCACCGAGGAAUUUCUAAUCCAUUGGGCACAACAUUAACAAUGUAGAGAGGAUCAAGAUUACCAACAGUGUGCUCCAACAACAUUCCUACCUGCUCAAAUAGUCAAAUAUACGGAAUAUACUGCAUAAAUAUAAGAAAAUGAUAGUUUAAUUUAAAAAUAUAUACAAAAUGAUGGUAUAAAUAUAAAUAAAAAUAUAAAUAAAAAUUAUAUAUAUAUAUAUAUAUAUAUAUAUAGGCUGGGGCUACUAUACUCUUAUGAGUAUAGACUCUCUUGUACUCAUAAAUUUUUAACCGUUGAUUGAUAGGAUGUGUGGUUAGGAUGACAGUGGUUCCCACUUAGAAUGAUAGUGAUCUCCUAGGGUUGAGUGGGUAGUUGGUUGAAUAGUAUCAUCUAACGGGUGAAAAUGAUCAAUAGAAUAAAUCUAAGGGCAAAAAACUUAUGAGUAUAAGGGAGCGAAUACUCAUAAAAGUAUAGUAGCCGGACUCAUAUAUAUAUAUAUAUAUAUGUAAAUGUAUAUUAAUUGCCCCUUCAUUGUACCAUUUCAGGCUUCUGAAGGCAUUGCCUGAUUAACUCCUCCCAUAGUUCAUCAUCAUGUUGAUCGGUCACAAAUUCUACAGCCUACAUAAAGUUAAAAUAUUCAUUUAUUAGACACCAAGAAGUAUAUUAUUAUCCAAUCAUAAUGCAGUAAUUACGAUGGAAUGAAAUGUUUUUGGUAAACAAGGACAAAAGAAAAAGAAGAAAACAACUGACACAAACAAAGUUACUUAUGCACACCUCCUGUAUGUCCUCCAACUUAUUUAUAAUAAUAGCAAGGGCCUGUUUUGCAUUUCCCAUCCUACCAAGGACAAAGACUUGCUCUCUUAUGAGCUCUUUCCUAGCACAAAUUUCAUAAGCCUGAAAGGUAAUAAAAUGUUAUUUAUUUAUUCAGUAAAUCUGAAAAAAUGUUAGCAAAUCAAGUCCAACCUUGUCUAGCCUGUAAUGCUGACUGGUACGAAGAAAAGGGAGUAGCAAUCGUGAUUCGUAAUCUGCAUAAAGCUCUACCUAUGACAUAAAAGGACAAAGUACACAACGAAUAAUUAAUCAAGAAUAAGUGUUAUUGCAUGCACAGCAAGUACUGAAAUUAUUCAAAUUCAAAAAGAGUAGAGCUCAGGGGGAAAAGAAAAUUGUACAAGGAAAAAUGAUGAUUGCCCACAGUAAUGACAAAUAACUAGAGAUAGGUAAUUAUUGUGAUAUGAUCCUGAAGGGAUGAAGAACAAAUAAAAUUCAGUAAGAAAACAGAUAUACCUGCAUAUCAUGGAACUCUUUUCCAGCAUUAAUGUCAACCUCAAAAAGGGAAUGCAAGUAAAGAUGCAAGAAAUAUCUCUUGUCACACUUUUUAUUGGACUGCAAAAGCUGCCCGACAACUUCAGAUGGAGGAAUUAUAUCACGGUGUUGGAUCAAUAAAAGAACUGUUCUUUUACUGUCAAGUAUCAUAAGAUCGACCACCUGUAUAAGAAAUAAUAGUAAAUAUAAUAUUAAAAGAAUUGCCUUAACGAUUGCAUAGAUGUACAAGUUAAUUCUAACAUUUAUUUGACAAUAAAUAUAAUUGCUAUCUUAGUAAUAUUUUGCUAAUAGGGACUAAAAGCAACAUGCAUAAACUUCAACACAACCAAUAAAAUGAGAAUGCAAUAACAUAUAAUUUCAUGAUAACUUGAAGCUCAACAUACAUUCCUUUCUUUCAGUGAGCAGCUGUUAAUACCUGUAGAUCAUAAAACUCUUAAAUGCUUACCGGUUUGGAGUGUAAUCAUCAUAGUGAAAGGGUCAACGUUGUACUCUGUUUGAAAUGCAUUUUGUCUAUUCUUAUCCUUCAACUCCUCUCUCUAGGCUUCAAAGUUUUUAAAAAACCUUUUUUGGAUAUAUAUGAAGACUAACACAUUUUUUUGAGUGAGAGAAAGCACAGUAUGCACAAACAAGAAACAGAGUCAUUUCAGCAGACUAUUCUUGUCAAGAUAAUCGUAAAAGGACCAUUUUGCAGAAAAGAAAUAGUAAAAAUUUGAACCAUAGAUUUUAACAAUGGUCAGAUGCAUGAGGAUUUUUACUCAUAAAGGAGAAACAACAAUAGGACAGAACUUUUCAUCUGAGCCACAAGAACAAACAACAGUAUUGUAUCCAAGUACUAGAAGAGGAAUAAACAAAAGCGUAUGCCGCAGAGCGCAAGGCUACUUUUAGUGUAGCCUCCACAGUAAUGAUAUACAACCUUACCCUAGUUAAUAAAAGGAUUUCCAUGAAUCAAACCAGCAUCUAGAGGUUGUAACAAAAGGAAUCACUACAGUUAUUUGCACAAGCAGAUAGCUAAAACGAGUGGGCUGUAAGCUUCAUAAGCAUACCAAGUAUGAUAGAAUAUAGCUCUUCCCAUGAAAGUAAAACUAAGAAAAGAAAGUAAUACUGAGAAAAGAUAAAAGUGAAAUUAUCGUCAACAUUAGGGCUGAUAGCAUACCUUGUCAUGAACGGCAUGAUAUAAACUGUGCUUUUCAAUAAAAUUGAAAACGUCAGGCUUCAAUACCUGAAAAGACAAAAAUGGAAAGAUGAAGUGGGAAGGUAACAUCAAUAUGCGAAUUAAGGCUUGUUUGGCCUGUUUGGGCUUGGAAGAAAUGCUGUUACUCAAAGAGCCGUUCAAAGCAGUGGUAAUAUUUUCUUUUUUUAACCGUAAGUUAUCCUCUACAGCUUCUCACUGCAGAAGAAGCAAAAUGUUCAAAUUGGAACUUUUGGUUUUGGGGCCUGAAAGACUAUUUUAGUCUCCCAACAGCAAAAGCUCGGGACAAUUUGCUAGCCAAACACAUGGUUUAUGGAAGCUUCCACUUCGUGCAUAGAGAUGCUUUUCCAUAAGCCAGGCCAAAAUGUCGCAUGAAGCGUAAGUACUUACAUCAGCAUACAAACCAAAGGCUUUCUCAUACAGUCCAUUGAUCACAUAUAAUUCAGCUAAUGCCUGUUACAAAAACAUGAAUAAAUAAAUAGGAGAUAUAGAACAGAUGUACCAACGCAAAAAUUCCAAACUAACCUCUUUCAAAUUAUCAGUCAUAGAGGAGGUAUUCAUUUGUGGCUCAAUGGCAGAAAUAACAGGUGAUACAGAAUAUAAUGUAGGCGGCCACGAUUUAACAGUUGACAAGAGAAGUUUGUGAAAUGGCGGGUUAGUAGCCAAUGCAACAAGGGCAACCUGUUCAUAUAAAGAAUAAUAUUCAGGAACUCUACAAGCUAAUGAUAAAAAUCUUACUCAUGAAGCAACAACUACAGAUCCAUUAUUUAUCUUACAGACCUCAUAUGCAGUAUCACUCAGCUGAGGAUAGUCUGUAGGAAUGUAAGGAACCAACACAGGAAGCUGGCGCAGAUGGGCAAAGUGAAAAACCCACCUAUUGAAGAAAAAGUUUUAGUUAACAGAGAAUUGAAAACUGUGAAAGUUAAAUUGUGGGCUUUUGCAAACCUUUCCCAUGCUGAAGCGGAUCCACGGAGUAACUUAGGACACAAAGAUGCAGCUUCUGCAUAUUUCCUUUCAACAAUUAGAUGAUCAAGGUAUCUUGAUCCCACCUGACAUAAGAAGAGCACAAAAUCAUUGACCAAAUGAAAUGUUCAAUGAAUCUAGAGAACUUGAAAUUAGUAGCAUGUAUUAAAGAAUUUAUAAGAAGGUAGCAAAAUCCUAAUAAGAAUUCCAGAAUAUAAAGAUAAACUAUUAUAAGAAAAUCAUAGUAGACAAGGCCAUAUGCCACUGAUGCUAUCUUAAAGAGAGCUUAUGACUUUCUGCACCAAACAGGAUGGGAAACACUGAAAGGUUAUUAAAUGAAUGAGAAAUAGCUAUUCCGCCUACAAUUCUUUUCUUGCCAACCCACGAAACCAGUUGAUAAUAGAUUUCAGUUUUUGACCAACAUUUUUAUUGCUAAACAAUCCCACUGGGCCAGGAUUAUAUGUUUCUUCAACCAGUUAUAUUAUCAUUGUACACCCAGUAACGAUGGCAAUGGGGAUAAAAUCAACAGUUAAUUGGAAGCGGAUUUUAAAUUGUUGCUUAAAAUGUCCAUUGCUAGAUUACAUAGUAUAAAGUGCCAUGCUGUUUCACAGCUCGCAAAAUCGAUGAGCUUGACAAUGUAGCCUUGUGCACAAACAAAAAAAAAAAAACAGAAUUCUGUUUAAUUUAAAUAGUAGGGUUGCUAUUCAUACAAGUACAAUAUCGACUCAAAAAAAAAAAAUCUUUAUGAUGGCAAAUGCAAUCACAGGCGUUACCAGCCCCUCCUUUAACUAACAGAUUAAUAGCAAGAAAGAGAAAGAAGCAGCGCCACAAUAAUCUCUUAAUCAAGUGCUUAGAGGGGAUGUGGAUCAGUAGAUCUCAUUUGCUACAACUGACCAGCGAGUAAGUACUACUUUUAAUAAUAAGUAAAUAAUGUGCAAUUGUUUGUCAUGGAAAAUAUUGACAACUGUUACGCUGGCAUGUACAUCCACCCAUAUGAUAUUGCACCAUUGAUAAUUAAAGGAAAAACAGCAGAGAUCUAAUGUACCUCAUCAAGAAGUUCAGUCCGUCCCUGUCCCGCUUCAACUGCAGCUAAUGCCUUUUCAUGCCAACCAUGAUGAAGAAGCCAAGCUAUGUGAUCUUCAGCAUCUCUAAUUUUCAUACAGAUAUUGGAUAGUUAAGAGCAUGGAGUCUGCAAUUUUACCGAGCUUCAAAAAUACACAUACUCUUGUCCAUGUUUGAUGACAUUUUUCAGAUCAAAACAAGCAAGCAAUUAUACAAGUUGAAAAUAUAUCAGAUGGUCAAAUCAGAAAUUUGCAGGAUUCCCUCCCUAGUUUAUUUCUAUCUCAGCCCAAACCCUUGAAACAAUUUAGAAAGGCCCAAUUUUAUUUAGAAAAAGGAGGAAGAGUAGGUACUUCCCCAAAAUAGCAAUUCAAAUCAUAACAUGUACAUAGAUAGUAAAAUGUAAUGGCAUGCAUACAUACACUAUAUAAGUACAUUGUGAACACCAAUGCAAAUAAGUCAAAGAUGCUGCUAAGUUCAAGGGGGAAAAAACAUAAAAUAUAGAACGAUGGUUCCUAGAGUAACAGCCUAACGAGUUAAAAGACACCAGAAAAAGCUUGAAAAAAAGAAGAAGCUAAAGUACUUAAAAUGAGUAUAAAUUCUACAAAAUCCUCAUAUACCUAGGCCUCGCAAUCACUAUGUCUUUGGGAGAUACGAUAUAAUAGAGAGGUUCAUCACCAGCAGCCCACUGACCACCAGCAUAGCUGCUUCCUAUGCAAAAGUGCAAAAGCAGUUAGAAGUUAGCAUUCCAAACCAUGCAACUACAGUUUACAUAUUAUAAACAAAAUGAUUAGGGCUGUUUGGUCUAAUUGUAGCUUAGCAGUUACUUCUACAAAUAGCAAUUUGAAGAAGUUAGUUUUUUUAAGCAUUUGUAACAAACCUAGUCCCUAAUGAUCAGGUUUCCAAUUUGUCCUCAAGAGUUUCAAUUGUAACAAUUUAGCCAUAGAAGUUUGACCAAAAUAUCAGUUUUGUCCUUUGAGCUUCCAUCAUAACAACUUCGUCUCCGAAGGCUAAUCCGGAUUUCAGUUUCGUCCUUAAUGUUCCAUUUCUAACAAAGCAAUAUCUAACUGCAAUGCUGACCUAGCCAAGUUAGAAGUAUAAUAACAAUAGAGCGACUUGCUCGUUAUGCAAAAUGAACUUCGAAGACUAAAGUACUAAAACUAUUGAGGAAAGUGAAAUCAAAAGCGAAGUUCAGGGAUGAAAUUUGUAAUUAACCCUUUUGAUCAAAAUCUCCUUUACAGCCUCUCGUUGCAAUAGAAGCAGAAUCUCAAAUGGGAGCUUCCGCUUGGGGGCCAAACCCCUUUUAAUUUCUUGUCCAAAGAAAAUUUUGAGCCUAUUUGUUAGCAAAAUAGCUGGUUUCUAAAGCUUAUGAUAGGGAAGCUAUUCCAUAAGACAGGCCAAGCAGGCAAUUCAAAUUGGUAAAGGGUGUUUGAAACCUGUGAAUGGAGCAUGUGCAAGAGCAUAAUCUUUUGCCUUAUAAUGUUCAUAGCCAUGAACAGGUAAAGCAUCAGUUGUUAGUUCCUCAUUUUUCCAUGUGACAAUUCGUAUUUCUGGCCUUUGUGCAGUUCCCUGUGUAAAAAUUCCACGCACAUUAAGAACAAGUACUUCUGACUAAUGUAAAAUAUUUCACAAGAGCUAAAGUCAGAGAAAUUUACAAUGUCCAAUGCAACCAGCAAACAGGAAAAAUUAUUGCCAGCACCUGUGCACCACAUCAGCCAGCGCACCACCCAUUCUCUACCAUUCAUCCAUCACAUACUUCUAGAUCAAUAAAUGCUAGGAAGUGGGGACUGAACAGUGAGAUGGGAUGAAGGGCGGAGCAUGGGCGGGGGCACAGGCUGACAAGAUGUGGCAAAUGCAGGCAAUAAUCUAUCCUACUUAGGCAAUCAUUAGUAUUACUAACUGCUCUGGAGCAAGACUUUUUGAAAGCACAUUGAUCAGAAAACAAAGAACCAUGUAGCCCAGUAAAUCUGGUUUGACCCUAGUUGGGAAAACAUCUAGCUUAGUGUUGCCAGCCAUCCAAACUCAUUUUGACCUUGUUCACUUUCUUAAAAUUUCAUACUUUGGUCAUAGCUAGUGCAAUUACAUAACUGUCCAAAAAUUUGAUCAUUAGGCAUGUUUUGGUAGAUAGCGUUUAGCGUGCUAGUAAAUGCAGGUCUGCAUUUAGACCUUCUAAAGGUGAGACAGACUUAUUUUUGUUCCCACAAUUUCAUAUAGCCAUAUAAAAAGAAAAACCACACAAAAGUCCAUAAACAAGAAAAAAGACUUUCAAAUAAUGUCAAAUGAGAUCACUGCAAUAUUAUACUUUUCUCUUUAACUCAUGGUUUCUCAAGCUUCCCAUAGCCAAAAACUCCAAGAUUUGCAAAAAAACCUGAAACUGGAUAUGAGACUAAGAUUUGGACCUAGUCAUAAAGUCACAAUAGAGUUGACAAUAAAGCAGCAUUUCAUUUUAGGGUAUUUCACAUAAGUAACUGCACAAAAUCCUCUAUUUGAUAAAUGUAUACACGCGACAUCAGAAUUUUCACAUAUACCCCUUGGCAGUGCAGUUUAAGAUAAUGCUCUCACCUUAAAUUAGGGUUACAAUUUACAGGGGAAGGGUUCUAAAAAUAACCAUCCAGAAUAUAUUUCUAAAAAUAAGCCCCUGUAAAAAAAUCUGAAUUGUCAGAUGCGCGUGUCCUUUGGAACUGCCGCUCAAAAAAAAAUGUUGUUACCCUAAACUAGAGAUCCAUUUUACAGGAAAGCUGGUUUUGUUCAGAUUUUUUAUUUUUUUGGUAUGUAGAGGAAGUUUUUUCUAAAACGAUGAGAUAUUUUCACUACAAGGAAAUAAUAUUUCGCAGGAUAUUAAGUAUAUAUGCAAUUAGUUAGUACUUUGAUAGAGUAUAAGUGAAAUUUGCUAAAUAUAGUUUGAAAAUGCUAAUGUUGUCAAUCUAAAAAAUCAUUCUUUAAGCUACUAAAUGAAAAUACCUGCCGUGAUGGGACAGUUGUACUGAAAUCCUUUUCUCCAUUUUGCUCCUCCGGGAUGUAUGCUAGUACUACUAAAGCAUCGCCGUAUGGAGCAAUACCAGAAAUGUAGUAACUAGUUUGAAAAGAGGCCACAAUAUCCACAUACUUAGUACUUGAAAUGGAAAUAUUUGUCCGUACACCAUUCACACCAUUGGGAGAAUUAGCUCUAAUGGCAGCAAUCUUUACACUCGUUCCCCAGCCAAUGACCAAGAGAGUGUCAUCCUAGAUACAACAAAUCUUCUUAGCAUGUGACAUAGAAAAUUUCCAGAUUCAACAUAGAAAGAGGAAAGAACCUGCAAUUGCUAUAAACCUUCUCAAAAGUAUUUAAGAAAAAAAAAGAGAAGAAGAAAACAGCCAUCAUUAGCUGAGUUAGGCCUGGCUAGAACUUUUGACAACUGCUGCAUAAUAGAGUUGUUUGGGGAAGCACAAGCAGCUUUGUCAUUACAUUUCAUUACAUUUCCCUAGCAGCUUCUCAAUAACCUAAUUGGAACAUCUGCUUUUGAGGCCCAAACACUCAUUUUAUCAUCUUGCCAUAGCAAAAGCUCUAGAGACUCUUCAUGACAAACUCCUAGUAACUGUUUCUUGAAGUAGAGAAGUUAUACCAGAAACUAAGCCAAACAAACAAAUUAGUGCCCAAAUACCCUCUAAUUUAUUCCUUUAUAAUCAUAAAGAGAGUAAAAUGCAAUAAUAAACAAUCAUGCACUUAAUUCUGCUACUGCCCAUGAUUCAUUGCUCCUCCAUCUUACCUCCACCCCAUCCUGAUAAAGUAUUAACAAUAAAAAUAAAAUAAAAUAAAAAUAAAAGAAGAGACUUCCAGAUCAGAUAGGUAGGCUUUUCGUUGGUAUUCAUUAUAUUCUCCGGUAGCUUGAGUUUCAAAUUAAUACUGAUUCAAAACUGUAGAAAAAUUUUUACUGCCGACCUUUUCAAUUGUCUUAUUUUCUGAUAAUUUAGUGGACUGCCAUCUGAAAUCUGAAAAAUGUUCACCAAUUUCAGCAAAUGGUAUAUCAUUAUUUCGACAUAAAGCAAUUUCCGGCCUGUAAAUACACCACUUACUAGGCUAAAACAAGGCCCAAACUCAAGAUAGCUGAAAUUCAGUCUCAAUAACACACAUAUGCGUGUUACUUGUAUUACUUUACGGGCCAAUAAGAACAGUAUCAUAUAUCUAUUUCUAUCAGUCAGGAACAGUAAAUCUCAAAAAUCUCAAAUGACUUAAUAUUUUGAGCAUGAUGAGGUCAAGCACAACAUUCUCUUUUGAAAUGGUUGCCUCAGCCAGACUACUUCAGAAUGAAAAGGGGAAACUUCACAGAAUAUAUUUUACCUGCCACACCAAGUGAGGAAGUAAAAGCUCUGGACGGGGGAUUCCCCUCGGUCUCUCAAUAAAAGAAAUUCGCUGAUGAUUUGCCAUGUCAUAAACUUUUACUCCUGCAUCAUUAGCCCAAGCAAUAAGACUUGUUCUCCACUUCACGGUAUGAAUUGGACCCUCACCGUCAUGCAGAAUCUGAGAAGAUACAAGGAUGCUGAAUAAUUAAAAUCUGACAAAUCUACAUAUAUGUACCCCCAAAUUACACAUUUAUAUACAUAUAUUCUUGUAAAAUCAGAAUUUAUAUCUUUUCAAAAGUGCAAUUCUUAUAGAAAUACUCGUUUUUAACCUGAGUCAUCCAAUUCAGGUGAAAAUUUGGCUUUGCACAAGAACAAAGCUUUCCAAUGAGGGGCAUUUUGUAAGUAGAAGGGUUAUAUAUUUAAGAAAUUAAAAUUUUGAGACGCAAAUAUGAAAUGAGUCUUGCAGGCGUAUUAGUAUAUACGUUAACAUCUCGAGACACAAGCGGGUACUAAACCGAAAUAUAUUCUAUAUCAAGAAAUAAGACAUACCUGCUUAUUAUAACCUAGCCAGUUCUUCAUGUUGAGAAAUAGUUGACCAGCUAAACCACCCGCGACAAACCUUCUUGAGGAUUUCCGUGAAUAGUCAGGGUCUAGAGCUAUUGCUUUCAUAGGCCGAUGAUACUCGAAUUUCAAUUUUUCAUCCGUAAAAAGGCUGCUUAUAACUACAGAUCCAUCAUCUGAGCAGCUACCAAUAAAUUCACCUUCUGCAUCAAAGCUAAGGUCGUUGACUGUAGCGGUAUGAGCAGCAAAUUCUUUGACCUGUAAAUAUAAAGUGUUGAGAACAUCGGCAUAUUUCGGCAAGAUAAUGGCAAGGAGUAGUAGACAACAGGGCAAAUCAGAAUAAAAAUGACAAGUACUUCUCAAAACAACUAAAAAUCUGGUCCAACCAAUAUGUCGGAACCUCAAAUAUCCUUAAUCUUCCUAAAGAUGAAAAAUCACGCCAUGCAAUCAAAACUACUUCAACUAUAUUGAACCUAAGUUAGAUUCAUCUAAGCACAAACUAGGGAUUGAGUAACUCUAAAGAAUAACAACUAACAUUUUAUACAGCUAUACGCGGUCAGCUAUAUAGGUCGUAUACUUUACAUAAGAUUCUUUGUGAAAUAAAUAUUAUCAUGUAUUUCCUUAUUAUGUCCUCCAGUGUUCAUUAUAAUAUUCCCUUCCCUCAUAAGGCAACUUCUACUUGAAUACUCUUUACUGACACCCCAAGUGGUCUUCUUUGUGCAUGUCCAAACCAUCUCAAUUGGUUCCGCGUGAUUUAACCAGUUGGGUGCUAUACCUAAUUUGCUACUUAAUAGAAUCCUUUCUUUACUUUAUCUUCCAUACUAGCCCCACUAACAUGACUAACUUUAUAGUUGUCUAAUAAAAUCUUCCUUCUACUUUCAGGGGUAUAACAUUAGAAGCACUUCUUUCACUUCUAAUCAUCUUAUGCUUCCGUGCUAGAGCAUAUGGAACGCAGUUUUUUACAAAUGAAACAGUAAAGAUAAAAAAAGAAAAAUUCAUGGUGGAUAAACAUAACUAAGAGGGAUUUCUGUCGUUAACUUGGAUACAUCCAAGUGAAAAAGAUGGCAAAUAGUCUAACAGUGCAUUCAAGAUGUUGAUAAAUCAUCUUAUGCUCCAGUCAUCAAAUAAAAGCUCAUCAUCCAACUACCAUUCAAGAUAACCUACAAAGCAGUUUAUAUUGGGAGCUACACACAAGCCUAUAUGUGCAGGGUAGGGCCCCUCCUUUAAAAAGCAGAUGAUACAAAGGCGUAAAAACAGGGAAUCAAUAUCUAACUUACAAGACCAAGAGAAUAAAAACAAAUGUGAUUGUUUCAAUGAUUGGCUCUCACAAUGCCUAGAUGGUGGAAGUAAUGCUGUAAUUAGGGUACACUAUCUACAAAAGAUAGGGGAAAAAAUAAAAAAACUUUAAUUACUUGAACAAAAAAGAACUGUUCUAAUCAAAAUUAAAAACUACAAAAAUUAAGGUCGAUCUCCCGAUCUUUAUAUUUGAACAUUGAAAAUUCUAAUUCAGUUUUCUUGACCAUAUUUCGGACAGCAAAUCCCCACAUCAACAAUAUUUCACUUCAAAACCAAUCUCAUGACAGAAAUGAUCAUAUCCGUUUGGGCGAUUAAAAAGAAAUUAUUUGACUACAGGAUGUGUCGAUCGCAUCAUAAUUCUACCUCCGAGUUUACUUUACUCAGAAAACCGAUCUAAGCGACCAAAAAUCGUUCUGAGGGAAAAAGAACGGAAUCGAAUCGGAAUCGACCUGAUUGCCCUGGAAAUCGAGGAUGUGGACGGUGCCGUCGUGGGUGCCGAGGGCGACCAUGCGCUCGGCGACGGCGAUGGACGCGGCGGCGUCGGUGGAGAGGAGGGGGGGAACGCUCCCCCCCAUUCUCUGGUACUUGAGCCUCGGCUCCUCCUCGUCCUCUUCCGCCUCCUCCUCUCCCCUGUUCUCUACAUGCUCCUCCUCCUCCUCCUCCUCCUCCUCCUCUUCCUCCUCCUCCUCGUCGUCGUCCUCCUCCUCCCUCUCGUCGUCCCCCUCGACCCCGUUCUCCGAGGGUUGGAGCUCCGACGCCAUGGCUGCUGCGCCGAGAUCCGUGUACAGCAGGAGCUUCGAGAAGCGCCCACGCGAUCGCUCUCUCUCUCUCUCUCUCUCUCUCUCUCUCUCUCCUUCUCUUUCUCUCUCUAGAUUUUUUUUUUUUUUAUCCUGUUUAAUGCUAAACUUCGUGCCAAUUUUAAUCCGGUUCGUUUGUCGUUACGAAAUUAAAAGGAAUUAAUACGAAAAGUCGGGGCGUUUGAUAGAUCCGUUAACCCGCUUAGGACUUAACGGGCGAAAAUGAGGAGCCCAUUAUUAAUCGGAUCGGGUAAUAUAUAUAGUAAGCUUUUUAUCGCCUUGUUUUGAUGCCCAAACAAGUUAUUCACAAACAAAUUAUUAUGACUUUAUUUAUAUACUAGUGUAGUAACCCGCGCGAUGCCGCGAAUAAAUGAUAGAAGAAAAAUUAAAAAAUAUUGAAGAGUAAGAAGAAAGAAGUUUGGAAAAUAAAAAUUCAAGUGUGUUUUAUUUUUUGGGUAGGAAAAUGUAUGAAUUGAAUUAACCAAUAUGGUCAUUGAAAAUCGAUAACUGCCCAGAAUCAACAUUCAAAAAAAAAACCCUACAAAAGUCGUAUGAAGAUGGAGAUAAUAAUGUUGCGAUGAUGACGACGAUAGCGAUAAAAAUCUGAUGAAAAUUUGCAGAAUUUUGCACCCUUUUGGACAUGGAAUGAUCAAAAGUUACGGGCCAAAACUGCCAUAUCAAUUAUGAAAUAAAAAAUAACCUCUAAAUUAAUCAAAAUAAUGCAUAUAAAUUAAAUCCUUGAUUGAUACAAUCACCAUACAAAAAUAAUGCAAAUAAAUUAAAUUCUAAAUGAAUACGUAGUAAGAAUUCGAGAUUAAAAUAAAGAAAAGAAAAAAUUAGGUUUAGGAUUUUCGUUUUCCAAACCUACCCCUCGAACCGUCUAUUAUUGCUCUCCAAUUAGCUUUCUCUAUUGAAAAAAUCGUUCGAUUACCUUCUUUUUCCAUAAUCCGAAGAGAUCGACAUUGAUAGAAACCCUAUAAACACUCUUUUGAUUCGGAGGGGGGGUUCGGGUCGAGUCGGAUUGGCACGGAUUAGGACUUGGAAGACUCCCUUGCUCUUUCCCAAUCUCUAGAUCUAUUCUCAUUUUUUAAUUUUGUAUGUAAGGAAUUGUUUGUGGAAGAAGAAAGGACUAAUUUUGAAGAGGAAACGUAUAAAUUAAAAUGCGUAUUGAUUACAUGCCAUUGAAUAGAGAGGAGGGAAGGAGAAAAGCCAAGAAUAAAAAUUAAUUAAAAAAAAUAAUUUUGAAGAGAAAACGUAUAAAUUAAAAAGCACAUUGAUUAUAUAUCAUUGAAUAGAGAGGAUGGGAGUGGAAAAGCCAAGAAUAAAAAUCAAUUCAGAAAAAAGAUUAGCGAGGGUGGAGAAAAACUUGCCACGUGGCAAAAUUAUUGAGAAUUCAUAUAGAGUAAUAGAUAAUAGAUAAUAGAUAAUAGAUAAUAGAAGUAAUAGAUAGAUAAUAGAUAUAUGAAAAUAAAUUAUUUAAUAAUAACUUAUUUGGUUUUUUUUUUGUGAUUUGAAAUAAAAAGUUUAAAUAUCUUUGAAGAAUCUUAACAUUACUGAUUUGGAAAGAGAUAACAUAUUUUAUUUACAAUGUAAUUUAUACCUUAUUUCAAAUUUAGUUCAUUGAAAGGUUUUGAGAAAUAAAUUAUUGAACUUCUUCUUUUUGCUUUUUUUUUUUGAGAGAUAGCUAAAAAUGUGAAUCAACUAGGAUUCGAACUUGGGACCUCGGGUAUCAACCACUAAACCCUUUGCCACUUGUUCUAGUGACGGUCGGUUAAAUUAUUGAACUUCAGUUUUUGUUUAUUAUAUUUUACUAAAUUCCAUGUAGUUUGUCAAACAAAAAGACAAACCGAUUUAUAUUCAGUAAUCACACUAUCUCUAGAGAUGGCAUGGCUAUUAAUUUAUCUCUUAAGAUCACUUUUACGUGCAAAUUGUUAAUUAGUUGUUAAACUAAGUAGCUAAAUAAAAAUAAUUUUGAGAUGAUAUGAUAAUAAUUUAAAAGGGUAGUAAUUAUUGCCACAUAAGUUUUUGAUGAUAACUUAAUUAAGUGCCACAACAUAAUGGAAUAGAAUUUAGAUUAUGUUAAAUUGAGAGUAUUAAAUAAGAUUCUCUUAUAGAUUCUAUAUAGUAUUUAACUUUGUCCUGUUUGAUUUAAAAUUUAAAAUAUGGCAUGUGUUGCAAUCAACAUCUAUCAUGAGUUUUAUUUAUAAUUUCUACUCUCAUAAUUGGGCCAAUAUAGACAAAGGUUAUCUCCAAAUCUAUACUACUUAUAAAAACGUGAGUUUUAAAUUUUUUUUCUUUCCAAAAAUGUCUCUAUCAUUUUUACUAAUAUUGUCAUGUCCAGUAAUUUUCAACCAUCCAUUUUAAAUAAAUAUUUAAAUAAUAAUUUAUUCUUAAAUAUAGAUUUUAAGUUUUCGCCAUUGGAUCUCAUCCAACGAAUAAAAAUGAAAGUAUCUGUCAUUUUUGUUGACAAAAAUACCCUCCAUAUCCGUUAUCUCCUAUGUACGCCGCGUUUCUUAAAUGACCAAUCAUUUAAUACGUAAAACUAAAUUUAUCUCUUAUCUAACGUAAUACGCGCCAAUCACGUAAUGCCUCCGCUAAUCACGUAAUAUGUAAAAUUAAAUUUAUUUCCUAGCCACACAUUUUUUCAAAUAUUUUUUCUUAUCAAACAUAAUACCUGUCAACACAUAGUAUUCAAAAUUAAAUUUUAAAUUUGUAAUGCCCGCCAAAAUUUAAUACCCGCGAAUUUGAUUUUUUUUUUUGGUAUUUUCUCAUUUUCAGCUGUACGUUUCUUAUAUAUAAAAUAUAUAUUUUUUUAAUAGUAUCCUUUUUUAUUUUUAUCUAUAUUUUUUUUCAAAUAUUUUUUUAGUAAUAUCUUUUCUCAUUUGUUACAGCGGUACAUCGUCAUCGUCCUACUCAUCAUCAUUGUUUGUGCCGGUACAUUGUCGCGUUCACCACCUUCGUCAUAAUUAAAGAGGUAUUUUAAUUCUAUCUGAAAUUUUUUCUUUUUUUUAAUAUGCCUUUAUACUGUUUUAGUUUUUUUUUUUGUUUUUUCUUAUUUUCAUAUAUACGUUUCUCAAAUAUAAAGUAUAUAUUUUUUAGUAAUAUAUAUUUUUAUUUUUAUUUAUAUAUUUUUUAAAUACUUUUAAAUAUUUUUUUUGUAAUAUACUUUCUCAUUUGUCCCCGUUGUCGACACUGGUACAUCGUCAUCAUUAUCACUGACGCCGACACAUUAUCACCUUCGCCACCUUCACCGCCUUCGCACAAUUGAAGAGGUAUUUUGAGCCCAUCUAAAAAUUUCUCUUUUUUUAAUAUAUCUUUAUACUGUUUUAGUAUUUUUUUAGUAUUUUUUAUUUUUACUUAUAUAUUUCACAAAUAUAAAGUAUAUUUUUUUAGUAAUAUUUUUUUUUAUUUUUUACUAUUAUUUUUCUUAAAUAUUUUCAAAUAUUUUUUUAAUAAUAUUCUUUUUUAUUUAUCUCCGUCGUCGACACCGGUACAUCAUCACAUUACUUACGUCUGUACAUAUCGCCUUUGCCAUAAUUAGAGAGAUAUUUUAAUUUCAUUUGAAUUGUCUUUUUGUAAUGUGCCUUUAUACUGUUUUAGCAUAUUUUUUUUAGUAAUUUCUCAUUUUUACCUAUAUAUUUUUCAAAUAUAAAACAUAUAUUUAUUUAGUAAUAUUCUUUUUUAUUUUUAUCUAUAUUUUUUUCAAAUAUUCUCAAAUAUUUUUUUAGUAAUAUUAUUUCUCAUUUGUCCCCAUUGUCGGUAUUAGCACAUCGUCAUCAUCUUCCUCAUCGUUAUAGCCGUCAUCGGCGCCAACACAUUGUCGCCUUCGUCACCUUCUAUACUACUGCUAAUUUCUAUAUAAUUUCAGUUUUCUUAGAUGUUGUAGAAAUAAUUGUCUAAAUCAAUCACUCUUUAUUUGUAUGGUGUUAAUCGUUCUAAACGUGAAGGUAAAGCGUUUCUCUUUUUAUCAUUUCACAUAAGUACAUAUUUAGUAAAAUCAUCAUGAAUAAUCAAAAUUAAAAAAAAUUAAAUUUAAUAAAGAAUUCAUAAAGUAAAUAAAAAUUUUUAGCUUGAUUGUAUUUCUUGAGUUUUUGGAAAUAGAUAGAUUAAGCACUAAUUUUAUUCACAAAUUUCUGCGCUAAAAUAAAUUGAUUCUAGAUAAAAUAAAUUUGAAAUACGACAGAAAAAUAAAAUUAAAAAGUUACAUUUAUUCAUAAUUACGAUAUUAACGUGCACUGUUUUAAUACACAACUGAAUUCAUUUGUUAAUAGCACUAUCUUGUCCUAAAGGACAAUUAAUUCGAUUCAUUACUUCAAUCCAUCCAAGAUAAUUAGUUAUUAUAAUGUUUUUCAUUGCCAAUGUUGUUAGCACUAUCUUGUCGCUGAGGAUUAUCUAAUUCGAAUCAUACUUAAUCCAUCCAAAUAAUUAGUUAUUAAUAUUUUUUCUCNNNNNNNNNNNNNNNNNNNNNNNNNNNNNNNNNNNNNNNNNNNNNNNNNNNNNNNNNNNNNNNNNNNNNNNNNNNNNNNNNNNNNNNNNNNNNNNNNNNNAAUAAAAGUGACAAAUAUAUCACUGAGCCAAUCUUCUAUAAAUUUAUUAUUUGUGAACCCACAUUGCUUUUCUAAAACUGUAGCAGGUAGGACAAAAUAUCAAUAAAUAGGAAAUGUAUGUAGGCUAAUUAGUUAGUUAGCAUGAUUUUUAAAUGCAUUACAGUGGACUUACUAAAAUGUUGGUUCUAACAUUUAUCUUUUAAUAUAAUCUCUUCUUUAUUGUUUUUAGGGUUCUUUUGAUCUUUUCUGAUGAGGGUGAUACCACCUAAAAUUGUUAUGAUAGAUGGAUCUGAUCUAAAGUACCUUCCAAUGCCUUUCUCUCGAAAAAAAAUUAUCGAUUUUUAGAAAUUGGUGGUUGAGACUCCUCCAUUCCCCAUAUUUCCAUCUUUUAGCACCAAAAUCCUGCAAUUGUGGCAAAAAAAAAGAGAGUAAAAAUACACACAAAAAAGCAAAUUUAGAAAAUAACACAAAAUACUCCACAUUGGUUUUCUAUAGUUCCAAAAACGCUAAAAAAUUGUUGAAAAAAAAAAAAAAAACAAAAACAAAACUCUCUAGUCUAAAAUUCCAUGGCUUAAAUUCCUAGAACAUUAAAAAAAAAAUUUGUGAAGGAAAAGGCCUCCAUUUUCUCCAUAAUUAGAAGAUUCAACCAAAUAAUUAGAAAAAAAAAUUGCAAAUCCAAGGAUAAAAAUAGAGAAAGAAAUAAAUGCCAAAUGCUAGACGAAAUGCCUAGUAAAAAAAAAAAACUCCACAUAAAUCAGACCUUUCAUAUUAAUAAAAUUUAAAUAAAUAACGGCGACCUCACAAACACCCAAUCCUACUCAUUCCACUUCAAAUCCUACUAUAUAAAAAAAAAAAACAAAAAAAAGAAAAAAAUUAAGAAAAAAGAAAAGCAGAAUCCAAUGCGGGAAAGAAGCGAAACAGAAUCAUACACUAGCGAAGAGAAUAUAAUCGGAGAGAGAGGGAGAGAGUAAUUUCUUACUGAUUACUUCGAUUUUGGUUCUAUUUGUAGGGUUUUUUUUUUUUUUGUUCUUUUUUGCCCUAUUUUCUGAAACCCUGGUUUUUCGAUCGUACCGAUGCUUCGUCCGCUUCGGAGCCGCUGUUUUUUUUAUAGCAAUAUAGAGAGAGAGAGUAGAGAGAGAAAAAUGAGAGCGGAGAGUAGAGAGAGAAAGAGGAGUUUCCCGGGCUGUGGCGGUUGUUGUGGUGGCUUCAGACUCGGACCGAGAGGUCACUGUGAAUCAAUUUUUUGGGUUAAUUACAAAUGGCUUAAUUGCACACACAUAGCUUCCCCUGAAUACAUCGAAUAACUGAUAUAUUCUUAUAUAAAGUUUAACUUUUUACUUUUGUUCCUAUAAAAAUUUUAAUAUUUUUAAAUAUAUUUUUACUGUUAAGAUUCUUUAGAAAAAUAUAAUUAACCUGAUUAGUAAAUAAGUUAAAUUAACCUUUUUACCCCUUCUAUUAUUAUUCGGUAAAAUACCUUUUUGAUAGAAUAUUUUUUACAUAAUUAUAACAGUUAGAGCUUUUGAAGGGAUAUAUUUAUAAGGAUAAAAAUAUCAUUUUACUUGUCUGCUGUUAAAAAAUAAUAGUACACUAGCGAUAACAAAUCAGAGGGGGAAAUAUGAAUAUCACUGAACUUUUACAUAAAUAAAAAACAAAAGUUGAACUUUUUAGAAAUAUAUUUAAUAUUCGAUAUGUUUAUAUGAAACUGUAUACAAUUAACCCAUUACAAAUUUAUCCUUACAAGAUAAUAAAAUUACAUAGUCCUAGGCCAAGCUUUUUAUUGGAUCGUUGGCGUUCACUAUUAAUCCCAAAAAUUCACGUUUUAAAAAUAUACAAUUAAUUUAUUUAAAAUGUAUUGAUACAGAACCUAUGGGUCACAUUUGUGACUUAGCCCAACAAGAUUCUUGCCACUUCGAACAUGACUUGGUCCAAUCCGAUUUUCUGCCAUUUCGAACGUUACUCGGACUAACUCGACCUCCAGCCACAAGGCAAGAUAUUAAUCCCUUUAAACAGACAGGUUUAAAAGCAAUGAACAUCGGAAAAUAAAAAAAAAUUCAGAAUGGUUUACUAUUCCAAAAUAGUAAAAAAUAAAACUAAAUUAUUUUUUAUUUACAAUAUUGUUAUUUCUGGAAAGAACUAUUUUUGUAUUUGGUUAAUCUUAUAUAAUAAUAGACAAUGGUAAAAAAAAAUAAUAAUAGCUGAAUUUGAUAUAAGAUUUGAUUAAUAUUUUGUNUAAAAAAAAAUAAUAAUAGCUGAAUUUGAUAUAAGAUUUGAUUAAUAUUUUGUAAUAAAAUAGAUAUAAAAUUAUAUUAUAUAGAAAAAUAUUUGAAAUAUAAUGCUAUUUUUCAAAUUUCACUUAAACUUAAAUUUAAUAAAAAUUUAUUAUACUAAUUGAGUUUAAUUUAUUACAAUAUGUAAUAUAUUUUGUCCAUAUAAUUACCUUAAUUUAAUUUAUAAUCUUAACAAAGCUUAAAAUUAAAUCUUAAAACCUUAAUUUAAUUUAUAAUCUUAACAAAGCUUAAAAUUAAAUCUUAAAAUAACAUUAUUCCAUCAAAAGAGUGGAAUAGUUGAUCUGGAGCUAUCUCAAGUCAGAACAACCGAAAAUAGCAAUAUUUGACUGGAAUAUUUUAUUCCGACUAAAAAAUACUUUAUUUGACGGAUAGCGAGGAUAACGUGCUGAUUUAUUUCUGAACCAAAUGGGGCUUAGCAAUUAAAAAUAUUCAGCUCACGUUGUAUAAUUUGUAAAAUACAUUUGUCUCAUUUACUAACAGGUUAAAAAUUGACUAUCUUUCUACAUAAUAUUUAUUCUACUGUGGUCCUCAAACUAUAGGGAAUGUGACACUUUCAUCCUUUAGCUUUAAUUUGCUAUAAAUUUUAGUUUGAACUUCAUGAAUCGUUCAAAUUAAGUUUUGUAAAAUAAUUAGUUGACUUAAUGGUAACGUAUUACUAAUAUAAAAUAAUGUGUCAACUAUAAAAAUGACAUGGGAUUGACACAUCAGUGGCAUACGGACAAUCAAUUAAUUAAAUUUGUCCAUUCUGAAAUAAUUUCCUUGGUUUUUUUUUUUGCCAUUGAUCAAAUUAAUAUUAUUCCCUUCUUUCUUUCCUUUCUCUCUCUCCUUAGUUUUUCUCCUCGCUCUUCAUCUUCCUCCUCCAUAGCCGUCCUCAUGUCGACACCGCUCUCUUCUCUCCUACCUUGCGCAUACGGCUGACAUCCAUGUCGGUGAUGGUGGCUUGGAUAUGGCAUAGAUCGCGAAGGUGAGGUUACAGCGGAGAGCAUGAUUACAGAUAGCGACGAGUGUGCUACGAAAAUUGAGAAUGAUGAAGAGGGAAAACACAUUGGGACGGGGACGGUGACUGCAGCAAAGGACGAGGGAAAAAGAGCGAAAAAGGAUGCAGAAACGGUUGGUAAGAACAGAUGUAAAUCAGUAGGCAAAUUCUACAGAGGUGGAUUUGGUUUGAUUGUUUCCUUCUUUGCUUUUGAUUUGUUUUGGAUUUUUCUGUCUCUUCCGGAAAGCUACUGAACCUGUGGGGAAACACGAGGAAGAGGAUCAAAGUUCACGGGUUUACAAUCAAGUUCAAUAAUUGGCCUCACUUUUAGCUAGACCGGUAUACUAUCUAUAGCACGGAGCCCUUCGUACUAUCAAGUUGUUUUUAAUGAUGCGGCUUCCAAAUCGACUAUUGACUCCGUUACUCUUGAUUUACAGCAUUAAAAGUAUUUGAAAACUAAAUUUUAUAAUUUUUCGUUAUUAUUUGGCUAAUAAUCAAAAAGUUUCAAAAUUGAUAAUUUUAAUGGUAGAUGUGAUACUUUUGUGAAUUUAACGAUGUAAAAAAAUUCAAAUCUGAUGAAAUUUAUAUAUAAAUUUUUUUUCACUAUUUAAAGUAAGAUCAGUACCUCUGAUCUUAAAUUCAAGUCUUUUAUCAUCAUUUUUUAUGAACUUUUUAUUUUCAUCCGUUCAUUUUUAGAUUAUUCGUUUGAUAAGUAAAUGAUGCUAAACAAUUAUGAAAUUUAGUUUUUAAAUACUUUCAAUAGUGUAGAUCAAGUUUAACGAAGGCGAUCGUCGAUUUCGAAACCGCAUCAUUGAGAACAAUUUGAUAGUACGGAGGCCUCCGUACUACCGAUAGUAUACCAACCUAGCUCUCUCUCUCUCUCUCUCUCUCUCUAUAUAUAUAUAUAUAUAUUUUUUCAACUCUUUGACACCAAAUUUAAAUAAAAUUGAAUAGAAUUUAAAUAAAAAAAAAUUCAGUUCGGUUUGUUCUACCAAAAGUUUUCAAUCUUUUCUCCAAGUUUUGAAACCUUUCAUAAGAUUAUAAUAUUUUAUUUAUUUUACUUAGCAUUUUAAAUAUCCAACUCGUUAUAUUCAGCUCCUUGCAAGAAUAUCUUAUUACCGAAGUACAGGAGGUAUUUGGUUGCCCGAAAAAUAUCAAGAAAAUAGUUUUUUUAAGUUGAAAAAAUGUUUUUCGUUUGUUUAGUUUUUUGAAAAAGUAAUUUUUCUAUUAAAAGAUUUUUUCUGAUUUUAUAAAACAGUGGCAUUUGAUUCCUUAAAAAUAAAUAAAUAAAUAAAUAAAUAAAUAAAUAGAAAGCUAUUUUCUGAAAAAAAAUCAUGAAAAAUAUAUGAGAUAUUUUUUAAAAAACCCAGCCACCCCCGACGGCUUAAUGUGUUAUACUCUUUAUUACUCUAUCUGAUUACUGCAGUCAAAAUUACAACCACUUUACACAUAGUGACAACUCUUGCUGUUGAAUUUUCUUGUAUAGUUUCAAUUAUAGUAAUUAAAUUCAAAUACAUCAAAUCAAACACCAUAUCAACAUUGUAUUUAGUUACAAUAACAGUGCAAUUACAAUUAAUAGUGUAGAGACCCGCGCGAUGCAGCGGGUAGAAAAUAGAAAUAAAUUUUUAAUAUUUUAAUAAAAUUUAUAUUUACAGCUUAUUGGAAGCUAUACCAUAUUUAAGCACAGUCAAUUUGCAUGACUAAAUUCAGUUGUUAAAAAAAUAAAAUAAUAGUUAGAAGCAUAUGAAAUACAUAAAUAAUAACUUAACGUAUCUGGCUUAAGAAAAUUUUGGUUGACGUCUCAGGCUCCAAAUCUCCGCAUCAUACUUUUUAAUCUACGAAAGAAAUUUUGCCCACAACAGUGUCUACUCAAAAAAAUGAUCAUAAUAUAAAAAUAAAACAAAAAACACCAAUCUUAAAAAAACUAAUAUUUUUUUGGAGCACUUCUCUUACUCAUCCAAAUCUCAUAUAUCUUCUUAAUCUUCAACUGGUAGUUGCUCCCUGCGCCGAGUCAUUUCUGGAUUUCCAUUGUAACCUAUGAACAAAUACCUCAUCUGCAUCACUAAACUGCGAUAUCUAAACCGACACAGUCUUGCCAUCACAUCAACCAUAGAAACCCUAAUUCUUAAACAAUUUGAUUUAUCAAAAAGUUCCUGCAAUUCUUGAGAAGCAAACUCCCGCACAACGUCCCCGCGAAGAGGAGGCUAGGACGGCGCUCCCCUCGGCCUAGUUGCCGGCACGCGGGAGCCGUGCGAGAAGGCAGCCGAGGCGGCGGCGGUUCACGGCGAGCGACGGCUCCAGUGCAGACUGGCCCAGCGAGCACUUAUAUGGGGCGCGGCUGGACUUUACAGGACGAUAUUUUUUGAAGGAGACAACGUUCUUCGCAUGCUCUUCUUCUUCAUCAUCCUCAUAAUCUUUGUUAACACAAUGAGAUAGAGAGAAUGAGAUAAGUGUGGGGUGAGAGAUUAGAUGAUAAUGUUUCUUUUUGCAUGAAAAAUAACAUGUCAUGCAAGAAAGAGGGGGUGAGGGGAUUAAUGGUGGAGGGGAGUGGAUUGGAGUUAUAAAGCUCACUAAUUGGUGAAAUAUAAUGCAUGUAAUUAAAUGUGGACAGGUGAAAGUUUGAGCAUUUAGAAGUGGAGAUUAAUAGUGGAGGGGAGUGGAUUGGAGUUAUAAAGCUUACUAAUUGAUAGAAUAUGAUGCAUAUAAUUAAAUGUGGAGAGGUGAAGGGUUUAGCAUAGCAUUUAGAAGUGAUGAUUAAUGGUGAAGAGGAGUGGAUUGGAGUUACAAAGCUCACUACUUGGUGGAAUAUAAUGCAUGUAAUUAAAUAUAGAGAGGUAAACGGUUAAGCAUUUAAAAGUGGAGAAGAAACGUAAAUUUUAUAUUGGGGAUUCAUAUAAGAGAUGGAUAUUAUCUAUUAAUCUAAGAAUGAAGGGUUUCUUGCCACGUGGCAAGAAAUUUUAUGGAUUUAUUAUGUUUAAUAGAUAUGCAACCAAACAGUCUUUACAUCAAGCCGUAAAAAACCUAUUUACUCGGCCCAAGAUGAACAUCAGAAUAGGCCCAGACUCCAAAUGGGCCAAAGCCUAAAACACGGAGAAGAGAAUGGGCCAAAAGUCCGAUAAAAAAUGAAACCGAAAGGUUAGAGGCCUUUGAGAGGAUGUUGAUACGCUUAUUCAUCUGAUACUUUAUAAAGAACUCGGUAGCAAAGCCCCCACAAAAGCCGACUUCGAUUAUUACUCUGCAAAAUGAAUUCGGCGGGCGACGGAGCCCCUAAACUGCCCGAUUUCUAUUGUAGUCGGCAACGAGGAGCCUCCGCACGCCGACUACAAGAGAUCGAUUUGUGUAAAUGCGAAAAAAAAAAAAAAAAAAAGGGAGUGAGAAUAUCAGUUCUCGGUCAAACGGUCAGCAUUUUGGCGCCUCCUUUCGGAAAGCGCUCGCUCGCUGCCACGUCAUAGGGGCGGUGCAAAAAGCCAAAACCAACCGCCAAGGCUUACGUACAUCUCACACUAGACCCGGUCUAUACACCCAACCACUCUCUAUUAACCUCCAUUGUCCGAGACAUGUUUUUUUCGGAAUAAUUACGUACACAUCUCUCAAAAUUUCUGAAAUAUUUUUAUAAUUUUUUAUUUUUUUAUUUAAAAUAUACAUCUUAUAUAUUUUUUUGUUAUUAAAAAAUAACUCCGCUAUUAGUAUUUGUUAAAUCAUCUUGGAUUAAAUCUGGAUUAAAUUUUUACCGGAGUUAAAAAAAUGUCAAAUUUCCCUUUUGUCCGUAACUUAAUGAUAAAUAAGAAAAGUUAGUAACAACAGAAGAAUAUAUUUGAAAGGGCGAAAAGACAAGCUGUUUUUUUUUGCCCCUAACUUAAGGGUAAUAAAAAAAAGUUAGUAACAAUAAAAGAGAUAUAUUUAAAAGGACAAAAUAGUAAUUUUAUAAAAAUAAUGUUUAUUUCUGACAUUCACUAAUAAAAUUUUACUCUAUAGAGAUAUAUUUGAAAAAACUUAGAUUUUUAGGAGAAUAUUUUUUAAUUAUAUUAGCCUUCUAAGCGAGAGAAAUAAAAAUGUCUGAAAUUUUUUAGGAGUAUAUAAGUGAUUAUUUUUUUUUAGCCCUUGUGUAUUUCAAAUUGCAUUAGAUAAUUUAAAUAUAAUUUUAUUUGAUUAAUUUUAUCUUACACCAUGUGAGAUAAAUAUCAAGAUUUUUUUAUAUAGCAUAGAUUCUUUUUUCUAUCUUAUACCUUCCUUUCUAUUAUAAUAUUUUAUAUAUUUUCACAUAAUAGAGAUGACAAUUUUAAUUUUUACUAAAAUUAUAUUAAUAAUAUUAUUAUAAAUUUUUUUAAUUCGUUGAAGUAUCAAAAAAAGUAAAAUUUAGCAUAAACUAGGAAAAGAAUAUAGUGUUCUAAGGAUAGUGAUGAAUUUGUCAUGAGCGUGAUUUGUCUAUGAUGACGUGGCACACCCGGUUCAUGAGAAUAGUUAUUGCAGCAAAAGGCGAAAUUAUAGACCGAAAGAAACCACGCUUUUUUAUUCAAUUCCUUCGAUCUCCUCCUCGCUCUUCUUCUUCUCCUUCUUCCUCUUCCCUUUCCUUUUCUCCCUCUUCGCCUCAUCUCUCUCGAUUCAACCCUAUCAAUGGCGAACGACGCCAUCCCCUCCUCGUCCUCGUCGUCGGAGGCCGCGGCGGAAGAGGAGGAGAAGAAGAAGAAGAGGCGUAGUGGCCGCGGAGGCGGCGGCGGAGGAGUGGUGUCGCGCGUGUGGAAGGGGAUCUUCGGAGCGGGACAUGACUUGGAGAAGGAGCUUCGGCGCCUCUCCGUGGCGGAGGCCUCCGCCCACGCGCGGAUCAAGCGAAGGGCCCAAGCCACGCGCGCGAUGAGGACGAACCUCGUCGUCGUAUCGAUCGCUCUUGAGGUUUUGCGAUUUGAUUUGAUUUUAGCCGAAUUAGUUUUAAUUAGGUCGCUGGAAUUUAUCAAGUUGAUUUCGAAUUUAGGGUUUGAUGAGGUAGCAAGGUUGCCACUAUGUAUUGAAAUGAGCUUAAUAGUUGGUAGUUGUUUGAUAUUCUCAAAUCAUAUUAGGUUUGAUUGCAAUAAUUCAGGUAGUUUGAAUCACAAACUUCAAUAAUUCUAGUUUUGAUGAUCAAAUAUCAGCAACCUUGUAGUUCGAGAACGAUUCGUCAAAUUUGGCCUAUGAUUUAUGUGUGCAAAUGGAGCAAUAUUGCUCGUUUAGUUUUAUUUUUUAUUUGUAGAGACAUGAUUUUUGAUGUUUAUAAUGGUUGCACAGAAUUGCGCCAAGUGAUUGAAAAAAUCUGAUAUGAAGCUGUUUGUCCAAUUUAGACUAUGAUUUAUAUGAGCAAAUGGAGCAAUCUUGCUUGUUUUAAUUUAAUAUUAGUUUGUAGAAACAUGAUUUUUAAUGUUUAUAGUGGUUUCACGGCAUUGCGCCUAGUGAUUGAAAAAUCAGAUAUGAUGAUGUGCUUAAACAUAAUAUAUAUUAGAUUUAGUAUACGUCACAAAUAUAUCUUUCACCGGUUGUGUACUUCUAUAUCUUCUAUAAAGGUUCCUUGUGGUUCUGCAAGUGUUCGUUGCUUGAUUAUUGCUAAACCUUCCAAAAAAAUGAUUUAGUGUUCUUGGUCAUUUUCUACUAGAUCAUUUUUCUUGGUAGCAUGGUAUCAGAGCUAACCCAAAUCCCCCUCCAUUCCAAGAGGUCCUGAGUUUGAUUCUUUUAUCCGCCACUUUAUGGCAUAUAUUUCCGUCCUUUAUUCCAUUGUAUUUUCCAUUAUCUCAGACCUUUUGGCAUGGUUCAUUUGAUACUCACCGUGCACGCGAGUGAGGAGUGUUAAGACAAAUCCUAGGCCGUUUCCUAGUCGAUCAAUUUUUUUGUUAACACCUAUCAGAUAUGUCUGCAGCACCUGCAUGAAGCUUGUGCCCUUCCCCAGGUGUGGGUUGAGGGACUUCAAGAAGGCCAGAGCCUGCCCGUCGCUCACGUCGCUAAAUAUCUUCUUCAAUCUCAGCUCCUUCACGUCCUCCUCGCUGCUCAAGAGGAGGGCGAGCAGAGAGAGGUAAGAGCCGACCCCGUAGUCGGUCACACCGACGGCGCAAGUCUCGAACGCCACCAUGUUCGAUAUUACGGUCUGGGUCGCAUCAUCGAUUUGGAUCGGCGGAAGGGACAGCCACCCGAAGAGCAAGCCGCUGCGGAAGGUAAUGUCCCGGAACCGGGACAUAUCACUGGCGCGGAACCGAACCCCGAUCUCUGUGAGCUCCAUGGCAGAGCUGAAGAGCGAGAAACGAGUUAACCCACUGGGUUUUGACUCAAUGCUGGGGCCUAGGUAACUCUCGCGCACGAGGUCUAGUAGGUGGCAGGGCUUAUAACCGCUGACGGCGCCCUCGUCGAACUGGGGAGGCGACUCCAUCUCCAAGGAAGAGACAAUUGCUCGGGCAAACCAGUGGAUCCACACACGUCGCAAACUCAUGAGGGCCUCCAGCACCACCCACGGAAUCUGGUUCUCGAGCAACAAGAUGUCCUUCCUGAUCUGUGAGCCGCGGAAGGUGCUGAAGCUCAUGAAGAUGGACGAAGAAGGCAUGCAAUUGCCAGUCAUAAGCGCUACGAACUCCAACAGGUAGCAGCCAUCGAAGAACACAAUGUCGGCGAAUUCCUUUUCGCUCAUGUACUCAAAUAGGUCCGCAUAGCCACUCCGAGCCUCCCCAGCGACUGCACGGACCUUUCUGUAGAAAUCUUCGACGGAGUGUCUUGGGACCUUUCUGUAGAAAUCUUCGACGGAGUGUCUUGUGCUGUUGCAAAAGUCAUGAGCGGCCGCUUUCUUGACCACUUCCAUCGACUGCAGUUGCAGGUCAUGUCAGUGGUAAGGACUGCAGUUGCGGGUCGUGUCGGUGGUAAGGACCGAUGGCCACUAUCUCGGGGUUGAAGUACCGGGCGCCAUUCUCGAUACUUCAAAGAGGUUCGGGGACCUUCUGUGUGAGGGGCUUGCCCAAUUGAGCCUCUGCUCGUACCUUCUCAUUGCUCGCCUUCAUGAUGGCAGCAAGCUCUCUGCACUCGGCCGUGGUUUGGUCGGCGGAUGCCAUGGCCGAGUUCCUCCCUUGCCCUUGCACAGAUGAAUCUUAACAAUCGUUUCUUGUCUGAACUUCUUAAAAUGAGCUUCUAGGAGUGAGAAUGAAACGGGCGAUACGAAACAAAGAAAAGGAAAGAAGAGUGUGAAGCAACCGUUAUUUUUGUAUCAGCCGUGGCUUGGUUGACGAAUGCCAUGGCCAAGUUCCUCUCGGCAGCACGCCCCUCGGCAGCACGCUUGAAUCGCAGUAAUCGUUUCUUGUCUGAACUGCUUAAAAUAAACUUCUGGAGCAAAAGCUUCAAUGUGACGGACGAUGGGAAACAAAGAAAAAGGAAGCAAAGUGUGAAGCAACCAUUACUUUAUUAUUCUUACAAAGAGAGAGAAUGAAAAGUGGGAAGCUAAGUGUUAUCUUUUUAAAGAAUGAUGCUUUAUGACAUUUUAGAAGAAAAUUAGGGAAGAAAUCCUUUGGCUGGUAUCAUUGCUUUUACAACUUGGGAAGGCAACUCUAGUACUGAGCUUUGGGUUAGAGAAGUUCUAUAAGAAGAAAUCCAACUUAACCAGAGCCUUUCCAGCAUGAGCUUUGUGGAACGCCUGGAACAGCACUUGGAUGCGAGUACACAAUCUUUCGUGGAUCCAGACACCUGCCAACUCUCUAUUUUCAUCGAUGCCUUUCAAAAGAUUGUUUUGAGGUACAAAUAAUAUUUUUCUUUUCGAUUGAGCAAUACUAGGGGUACCAAUACUAGGGGUACGUCUCUACAGUCAGUGUAAGUCUCUUUUCGAUUGAGCAAUGCCCGGGGCGGGGAUACAUCCCCUGCAGUGGAUGUAAAUUUUAGGCUCAAAUUAUAAAAAUUAUCUUAUUAAUUUUUUAUUUUAAAAAACUAUAAAUUUUUAUGCACCCGUUUGGUUCGGGAUUAAGGGGUAGGGGUGGAAACGAGCCGAGCUCGCGCGAGCUUAUGUCAGCUCAAAUUCUGCUUGAAAUUAAUUUCGAGCCUAAAUCUAGGCUCAAGCUUGGCUUGAAAUUAAUUCGAACCGAGCUCGAGCGAGCCUAAUUUCGAGUCAAGCCGAGCUCGAGCUCUAAAUGAGCCGAUUGAAAUUCUCGACAUUAUAUAAUCAAUAGUUUAAUUUUUAUAGAACAUUACCUAUAAUUUGAUGUAACAUGUUCAAUAGUUCAAAAUACAAAAUAAUUGCAAGAAAUGUGAGCACUGAGCUAGGAUGACUGCCUGACUGGGUGAGGGUCUGAGAGAGAGAGAGAGAGAGAGAGAGAGAGAGAGGGAAAAAAAAUUAGGGAUUUGAAAAUUUGAAUGUUAUAAUGUUUUAGGGUUAUGUGCAAUAGUGAAAGUCUGAAAGAGAGAGUGUGUUAUGUAAAUUUAGAAUUGGGCUCAAUUACACAGUUGUACUUGUUGGGUUUAUUUUAUGGGCCAACAAUAAUGGCCCAAAUUAAAUUAAAGCCUAUAUAUAAUUAAAAUACAUUAUAUUUAUAAAUAUUAUAUAUAUAUAUAUAUAUAUAUAUAUAUAUAUAUAUUCGUGCUUUGCGAGCUUUUCGUGCCUAAUUCGAACGGGCCGAGUAAUACUCAAGCUCGGCUUGAAAUGAAUUUCGAGCCUUUUAUUUUGUUCAAGCUCGGCUCAUUUAAUUUCGAGUCGAGCUCGAACGAGCCGAAUAUCGAGCUGAACACGAGUCGAACGCGAGCCGGCUCGCUCGUUUGCCAGCCCUAUUAAGGGGUGGAAUAACUCCUUAGCUCUGAAGUUAUUCCCAAACACAUAAUUUGGGGGGUGGGGUUAGCUAACCCUACCCUACCCCACUACUCUAACCAAACAAAACACUAUUUUACCUACUAUCCUUCUUUCUGAACUACUCCAAUCAAACACUAUUUUAUCUAUAUCUGGACUAAACCGAAUUCUCAACCAAAUACAAAAUUACUUUAACCCCACAUUAACCCUGAACUUAACCCAAUCCCUGAAAUAACAAGUUUUUACUUAACCCCGAACCAAACGGUAGCUAUAAGUAGGUGUGUAGGUGAUAAUUUUCUUUGCCGGUUGAGCAAUGUUAGUGGUGCACUGGUAGACUAGGCGAAAAUCUUAUGCCUUAAGAGCUCAAAUUUUAUACUUAUCAUAUUAGUUUUUGUUUUUUUAAAAAAAAACUUAAAUUUUUUUUAAAAAAAAAUUUGAGAGAAAAAUAGCACGCUAUCCACUCCAUUUAUUGAAAUGAUGAACUAGACUGCAUGGGUGAGACAACAUCAGCCUCGAGUGGGGGUGAAAAAAAAAUACUAAUAAUAAUAAUCAGAGCCUCCGAUUAGCUGGGAGUAACAAUUCCCAAAGGUUCAGAAGCUGUUUAAUCCUACCCGAUACAAGAAGGGGGUUCGGACGAGCCUUUCUAAAGAUCACGUCGUUCCUAGUCCCCCAAAUACUCCACCAACAUGCUACCAAUCCGAUUAAGUUUGUUCUCGUCGCUUGCGAUCCAAUCCUUGCUGUCCAUUUAUCCCAUGUUGACGACACGUCUUCCCCCUAAUCAGAGAGCUGAGUGUUAUCCAAAGACGUCGCCAAUAGGAAUUUCAAAAAGACGCACUGUGCGAAUAGAUGGUCGACAGUUUCUUCUUCACACCCACACAACACACAGUCAGAGUUACCUGUCCAUCCUCUCUUUAGCAAGUUAUCAGUUGUAAGGGGUCUCUUUUUAAGUACGAUCCAACAGAACACUUUCACUUUUGAGGGAACUUGUAGUCUCCAAAUCCUACUUGAUCGAAUGCCCCUGAUGCCCCCGUCAGUCACCAUCGAGUAAGCUAAUUUCACCGUGAAUCUCCUAUCUUAGCUCCAUCUCCACUGCGUCCUGUCAGGUGUCAGGUCUAGUUGGUAGCUGGAUAUCUUUUCUCUGAGAGCUAUUAGAGUGGGGCUCAAACCAGGACCUCCAGAAUUAACGUCACCAAGGAUCUUGCUUCAGUUCCACCCGUCGCUUGUGAGACAGUCACUGAUUUUCCUAUGUUUUUGUUGCAGAAAGGAAUAAAUUUUGGGGAAGGACGAGGCCAACGUCUUUUCCCCACACCAGCGGUUAGUCCAGAAAUCAAUAGUGCAUUCGUUGCCCACCUUGAAGUAUAUUCCCCACUGGAAGAUUGCGCUAAGACUAAGCACUCCCUUCCACCAGUGAGUAUAGGGUCUAAAUUAUCUACCGUCCAGAAUUUCCACCACCAUUUGAUGAGGAAAGCAUGGUUCAUCGUGGCUAGGUUUAGGAUUCCCAGCCCACCUUUUUUCUUACUUUUGCAAACGUUCUUCCACGCCACCAGACACCCCCUACCUGAUGUGUUAUAUCCUUCAUUCCAGAAAAAGUCUCAACGUAGAGUCUCGAUACGCUUAAUUACCCAUUUGGGUGCCUUGAACACCGACAGAAACUACAGAGGGAGAUUGGUUAGGACUACGUUGAUCAGAAUAAGUCUACCUCCUUUCGAUAGAAGCUUUGAUUGCCACCUGUCUAUUUUCCAUUGAAUAUUCCUGAUCAGCCCCAUUCAGUCAUCCUUGGAAGGGGGACGGGUGAAUCUGUGAUGCUUGAGGUAUAAGAGUUACAUCUAUAAAAAAAAAAAAAAAAAAGAGAGUACAAGGAGUAUUUUUAUUUUUCUUUUUUCGAUUACAGUCAGUAUUUUUCGCACACGGCAUUAAAAUAAUUAUUAAUAAACAAGAAAGAUCAACGUUAACAUGUUUAAUCAAAUAAACGUGCGCCUAGCGGAAGCCCAUCACUCGCAUGACCUUGCUGGCCUGCAUACAGUAUGCGUUCACGGCGCGGACCAGCGUUCUGAAGUGGUGCUGAUAGCCGCCGCCCACGUUAAGCGGGGCGAGCCUCCCAAAAUAUGUUGCCGCCACAAGCCAAUCCUCGGCGCGAAUUUUGAGAAUCCCCGCGUCGAUGAGCACCGUUGCGUCCUCCCGCCCGCCGAUGAGCUCGCUCAUAAACAUCGCGUAGCUGCAGAAGAGCCGCUCCGUCGGUUCCCAACCGUCGCCUAUCUCCAUCGCCACUAGAUUGUUCACCGUGUAAAUGGCGAGCCCGUUACGAGGAAAUCGCGGGAACUCUAACACGCCAUUUUUGUCGUCGAACGUAAUGUCGGCGAGAUGGGGCGUCGUCUUUGGCUUGAACCUCACCCCGAGCCUGCUGAGCUCUCGAGCCGGGGGCAUCAGUUUCCAUAGCACCCAGUCCACGGGCGAGUUCGAGGAGCUCGCGUUCAGUAGCCUCCAUAGGAGCUCCAUCUUUCUUAGCUUGCCAACUAAAGGCGGCGGCGACCGCCGAGAAGCGGUCGGUGGUGGCAGCGGGCGAAGGCAUAUGUGUAGUAAAUGGACUAGAUGAUAGACGGGUCCGUUGUAGCCAGCCGGCACUUCCUGUAUUUCUCCCAUGGUGAGGUAAAACACCGCUAGGUUUCUGACGAGCGCUCGGCCUUCGUCUUUGGUCCCGAACUCGGGUACGGCGGUAAUGCGGAACAGCUCCUCGAGGACGAAGAAGGGGAUUUGGUUCUCGACUAGAAGCAAGUCAUACCUGACCGACUCGUUGGCGAGCGGCAACUCAUCCUCUUUCUUGCUUAUCCAGUAAUUGACGAUCGCCUCGAUGAUGAAGCAACCGUCGAGCACCAUCAUUUCAACAAGAUCUUCGCGAGUAAAGUUGUACUUCUCCAGUGAUUCGUAGCACUGGAUGAUGCAACUAAUCAUCCCCUGGACGAUUGGGAUGCUGGUGAGUGCAGAUACCAGAAACAUUCUCCUGCCGCGAACUGAGUGAGGCAGUCUUAACUAGAGCUAAUUGAGGAAAGUUUUUAGCAAAAUCUUCAAUUUUCUAUCGUUCUCAUUCUUUCCAAUGUUUUUUUUAAUAAUUAUAUACGCCAUCAGAAUUAAAGCUUCAGGAUAGCACACUGCGAUCAAUCUAGUUGCUUCACAAAACUUGAGGAUUAUUAUAAACUAAAUUAUUAAUGUCUGCUUUGCCUUUUCCUUCUCCUAGUGAAAAGGUUUACAAUUAUCUUUCAUUUAUUAUUAUUAUUAUUAUUAUUAUUAUUAUUUUCAAAAGUGGUCGGUUUUUAGAGUGAUUCCAAUUUUGGGCUCUUGCGGGCGCCAAGUUGUUAAGAUGCCAAUCCAUACCUGGAUGUGGUUCAAGUACUGAACCACCACUGCAGUCUCUCUGCCGACGGCGUGGCCUCGAAGAAUCAAUCUGCGGAGGAACUCCAGUUUGGUCUUCUCCACGUUCGUCGUGAAUGUAGGCAUCAUGAGCUCAGUCAGCAGAGGGACGCCGCCGCCGAGCUCAGGCAGAGGGAGCUCAAUCUUUGCUUCCCCUGCUGUCCUUCUUUCAGGCAGAGGGAGCUCAAUCUUACCUUCCACUGUCGUCCUUCUUUCCAGCAGAGGGGAAGUCCACUGAGGAAGCUGGAUCGGACCGCGCUGUUGCAGAGGUCCGAUGCGUACGACCGUAGGGUAGAUACGGCCGCGCCAUAACACAUCCUGAUCUUGAGAGAGACGCGCGAUGCGCCCCCCCAUGGGUUGGUCUUGUGAGAUUGUUUGGAGCUUGGAGGGCAGUUUCCAGCUCCCUUGGCCUUCAGUCUCGGUACUUGACAUGGCCAUUUCCAAUUCUUUGUUUGUUGUUACGGAUUUACUUAACAACAGACACUUUAAAUAGUAAGGAGACAAGGAAUAAUCUAUCAUCCGCUCGACUACUACUCGGAGCUCUAUACAAGCAAGGAAUAUCGCAUGUAUAGUCUUUGCUUCUUCGGCGUAUGUACCAUAUAACCAGCACAGGGGAUCCAAGAAAGGAACANAAAAAAAUGAGAGAAUCGUUUAAAUUUUUAAAGUUUGAUUUACAUAUUAAAAUUAAAUAAAUUAAAAAUUUUAAAUGUGUCGAUUAAUAAGUUGAAGAAUUAUUGAAAAAUAUAAACAUGUUAUAUAUAUAUCUACUUAUUUAUUUAAAAAUAGUAAGUUUAAAUGAUUAAUAAACUUAUACAAUUAUUUUAUGCAUAGUGAAGGUAAUCUCACCAUUCUAUUUGAAGAGAUGACAAAAUUCACAAAUACAACUAUGAGCUUCAUAUUACCAAACAGAAGAAAUGUAACUGCAGUAAUUGCAACUGUAUAAAACCAAACAGACUAAGUGUAGUUACAACUGCAGUAUUUGCAACUGCAUGUAUUUCCAACUACACUGUUUUUGCAAUUAUAUCCAACCAAACGGCCCCUAAGAUGCACUGCAGUUCCACAAAGUGGACCGCCUUCAUUAUUGCAAACUCAAACUCCACAAUUAUUUUUUUUGCUUUUUAUGCAGGACUCCUUUUUUUUUUUUUUUUUCCUAAAACACCAUUUAACUAUCUUUUUCUUCAAUUCCUAUUGUAUAAAUAAUAACUUUAUAAUAUUGAAUGAAAGUUGUUCGAGAAUACCACUUUAAAGUGACUGAGCAUAUAUUUAACUUAUUUUAAUUCGAAAUAACAAAAUAUAUAAAGAUAAUAAAGACUAGUUAAAAAUAAUUUGAUAGAAGAUUUUAAUUAAUCGAUCAUGAAGAUUUAUUUUUAUUUUCUUACUAUUUAACUAAUGACUAUUAAUAAAGUUAAUAGUUUUUGCGUAAGCCAAUAGAUUUGUUAGUAGUAAUAUAGAGAUUGGCGAGAAAAAAAUAAUUAAGCGAUAUCUAAGAGAAAAAAAUAUUUCAAGAUAGAAAAAUAAAAAUCAAUCUCAAAUAUAAUGAAAAGAUUGAUAAAUAUAAUGAUGGUGCUAGUACACAAAAAUAAAGAUUAGACUACAAAAAGAAUGAAAAGUGUCGAGGAGUUGAUCAAAACUAGACACUAAAAUCUUUCUCUUUUUAAAUUGAUUUGAGCCUUCUAUGGUUGGCAAAGAUCUCGAUUUGAUGCAACAGAAUACUAGCUGUUCUAUUCUACGAUAUAACAGCUUAAUUUUCGUCGUAUAGAUUUAUCAGCUCUACACAAGUAAAUUAGUCGAAAGUUCCACAAAAAAUAAUACCUUUUUUGGCCAACACUCAAAGAAUACAAAUAAUAGAAUAUAGAUAAGUUGUGUUUGUUGUGUGUUGUGAAGAAUAAAUAAGCUCACUAUAAAUGGACUUCACAAAUAUUAAAAUUAAAACCCAUAAGCUGUGUUUGCUUCCGAUUUAGGUACAAGUUAAGGUAUAAGUAAAAAUUAGACUAAUUUUACGUUUGUUUCUGGGAAUAAGAUAAUUGGUGCUUUGAUGGUUAGAUUGGAACAAAAAAAAUAUGAGUUAUAAAUUUAAAUUAAAAAUAGUUUAUCUAAUUAAUUAACAUCAAAAUAUUAAUUAAAAAUAAUUCAAUAAAUUAAUAAAUUUAUUACGUAUGAAUAUUAUGAUAAAUUAAUAAUUUAAUAAAUAUAAAUAUUAGUUAAUUAUAGAAAUAACUUAACUUUUUAAUUAGUUAGUAAACUAUUUUAUUUAGAUAAUUAAUUAAAAAUUAAAUAGAUUAGUCAAAAUAUUAAUGGUUGGUCAAUAUAAAUAUUGGUUAUUAAAUAAAUUGAUUAAAAUAUUAAUUUUUAAUUAGUUAAUUAAUGAUAAAUAAUAAAUUAAUUAAUUACUUUACUAUUUAAGCAAUAGGUAAUGACUUAAAUACAUUAAUUAGAUUAAUUAAUAAAUUAAUAUCAUAAUUAAAAUUAGAUUAGACUUUAAUUAAUCAUGUUUUUACUUAGAACAAACUGUUUUGGAGGGAAGGGUGGGAUGGCUGUUUCAAAAUUAUACCAGAUUAUACCAAUUUAUUUCAGGGUGGGAGAACUGCUGUUUUCGAGAGCCAAAAAUAUCGUUUUGAGACCAAAGCGGGGGGACAAAAGUUUAUCUCCCCUUGUUGCUGAAUCAAACACUACCGGAAGUUACAAGAAUUAGGUGUGAAAUCAAAUGUUAAGAGUUACAGGAAUUGAAUUGACAGAGUGUACGGGACUGAGAAAUGCAAGAUGUAUAGGUAAUGUGAGGAUUUGUAACUUCGCUUGCAACUCCACGGUAAAUGCAUAGGUUAUCAAAAAUAAAAAUAAAAUAUUUCAACAAAAUUUUACUCAUCUAUAUAACUUUUGAAUCGGGGAUCCUAAGAGGGUACGGCAGGGGCCUCCGCGUUUUGCGUGAGCGGGGCGACGCGGGCGGGUCUGGACGGUGCGCGGGCGCGAGGCGCGAGCGGGCGGGCCGGGCGAGCCGGCGCGGCGGGCGAGGCGCUUGGGCGGCGCGCCGAGCGUGCGUGGGGGGCUGGCGCUCGGGCGAGCGCGCGCUGGUGCGAGCGCGGGCGGGCGUUGCGCGCGUGGGCGAGCCGGCAGGGAAAUGGCGAAGUGGCGCGGGGCGGGCUGAGCGCAGCGCGCGUGCGCGGCGCGAGCGGGCGCGGGCAUUUGCACGGCGCGCAGGCUCGGCGCGGGAUGCGGGCCAGCGCGGACGGGCGGCCGGGCUGGCGCUGUCGAGCGGUACUGAGCGCGCAAGCCGGGUUUGGGCGCGAGCGGCGGCGGGCGAGCGCGCGCGCGGACGGGCGGACGCCAGCUUUGGCUCGGAGAGGGGCGAAUGUGCAGCAGCUCGGUCAUGCGAGCCGGCGGUCCUUCCCCAUAACCCCCCUCCAUUACCUCCGUCGCCCUCCAUACCCAUCUCCAUGCUGCCACCUAGACCCCCUCCAUACCCUCUCCCAUGCUUGCAGACCUUAUUUAUUUAUUUUUUUUUAUCGCAUGCCUCCCUCAUCUCUCACCACUCACAUAACAGCGACUCCCACCCUUCCGUUCCUCCCCGUCGCCCUCCCUGCCUCGCCCUAUUGCUGCUAUUGCCGAGCGGCGCAAGCGGGCGGCGCGAGCUCGCGAGGCUUCGUGCUUGCCGCGUAAUUCCGGCAGACUCGAGCGGGUUCGCCGCGGAAUCUGGUCCCCCUACAGCGUUUACCAAGACAAGAGGGGGAGAGCUGCUUAUAACGCUAUUUCCCUAACGUUAAUGCUCCAUUGAGUCUACUUCACGGUACUUUCGGUCGGCACUCAUUACCGUGUUCAUCGCAGCUGUGUUGUCGAUCACCGAGUGCUUGGUUUAAUGCUGCUGAGAAAAUUGUUGUUUAUGGACUAAGUGUAUGGUUUAAUUUAAUGCUGCUGCAGAGAGUAGAGCCAGGAGGCCGCUGCUUAUGGUCAUCGGCGAACCGGAGCUCUGCCUCCAACUUGGUAUUGGCGACGAUCGACCAUCCGGCGAUGCCGACUCCGCCAAAGUUUGCAAGUAUGUGCAUGUGAUUAUAUUCCCAUAGAUUUUGAUCUCUUUAAGGUCAUGCAUGUUGUUUACAUAUUUCUAAUCUUUUUAUGUAGAUAGAUUAUUUGAUGAUGAUACUAAAAUUGAUGUUUUUGUAGGGAUGCGAGAUGUUUUGAAAUGAAAGAGAAGUGCCAGGAGAAGCAGCAACAGCAGCAGAAUAAGCAGAUUACAAUCUUCUACAAGGGGCAGAUUUGCGUCUACGACAUCACAGAGAUUCAAGUUUGUUAAUUUGGUUCCAUUCCAGAUUUUCUACUAUUUUUAAGAGUUUGCAAUAUAUAUAUAUUAUCUAUCUCCAUCGGUUUACAACCUUUAAUUUUCUUUUCUUUUGUCUUUUUUUUUUUUUUUCAUCGGAGUUAACAGGCAGAAGUUGCAAAAAAGAAUUGCGUGAAGCUUGGUUGCCUUCCUGCAAGCAGGGACCUGCAGUGAUGGAAGGAAUGCGUGGGCGGUACUCAUGCAGCCCUCUCCCCUGAGAUUUGCGGCUGCGCCACCGCCACCGCAGUAGCGAUUCGCGGAGAAGCGGGCUUCGGGAAUGGGCGGUGGGCAAAAGCGCGGCCGCACGCAGCGGCGGCACUUCAAGCAGAGCCGUGAGAACGUGUGGAAGCUCAACCCCAAGAAGACCCGCCCCGACGCUGACAAACCCGACGCCGACGCCAAAGCCAACGCCAACCCCAAGUGGGAGCCCUUCACCACCCAAAACCCCGGCUUCAACGAGCACUACAAGGUGCUUCUCCUCUCCGCACUUCCACGAGAUCGAUUCUUGGUUUGGCGUGGAUUUGUUUUGAUGAUUGGGAUCUUAUACGUGGUGCGUAGUUUGUUUCGUUUUAAUUGCGAUUUCUUGGAGGAAAAGGUGAAUUUUUUGGAUCAUUCUUUGGUGCCAUCCCAAUGGGGAAUCCCUUUCUCCCUUUUUUUGAUCUGUGAAUUCAUGUUUAUGCUUGCGCUCUAUGAUGUAUAACACAAAUUGUACCUUAGGCUUGACAUAUUUACGUGCUUUAUUUUUUUUUUCUCAAAAUUAUUAUGUAAACUUCAAACAAUCUGAUCUUGCCCCUCAUUCUUAAGCACCUCUUUUCUUUUGUGUAGGUUCGGACUGUUGAAACUUAUUGUGGGUCGUUAGCCAAUAUGGCAUGAAGCACAUGCGAUCCCUCGCAAAUAUCUGCAAUGCAGGUGUUAGAAAAGAGAGCAUGGCCGAGGGUUCUUCAAGCUUGCAUGAGGAUCCCCUCCAACUCUUGGAGUUCUCUGCAGAGAGGUUUCAGCGCUUGAAGCAUACAUCAAAGCAACUUUGGUCAGAGUAAUAAAUUUGUGACUUAAUGUUAUAAUUGCUUAGCUUUGUUAUGUUGCACUGUGUAUAUAAUCUCUGAAUAGCCUUGAAAAACAUCUAUUUGGUUAACAUGGCCAUUUCUUGCUGUUCGUCACUUCUUCACUGGAUAUUGUAGCAUGAUCUAUUUUAUAAUGUAUAGCAUAGUAUUUUACACAGCUAAGCAAAAUUUCUAAAUGAAGAAAACCUUAGUCAGGACUUCAGAAAAAAAAAUGGACAACUUAGAAGAGCUAUAGCGCAAAAUUUGGAGCAAUCACUAACCAGCACCACUGGGUGUAUUAAGCAUUUAUUAUUCGAAACUGCUCAAUGAAAAUAACGAAGGUUACCCAUAGUGUUCUGUUCUGUUUUGGGACCUUUUCGCUUUGAGUUUGAUUUUAUUGCUGUGUAUAAGCUUAUGCUUUUUGCUCCGGUUGGGGAUCCUAAGAGGGGUACUGGGCAGUGGGCCUCCGUGUUUUGUGUUGGGGGGGGGGGGUGGCGCGAAAGGCAACUGCGCGCGAAAGCGACGCAGGGCCGAGCAAGAGGCUGCGGGCAGGGGCCGGGCGCAGCGGCGCGCGUGCGCGGGGCAAGGGCGCGGGCUCAGGCGAGCAUGCGGCCGUCGCUCGUGCGGCGCUGAGCGGGCUGGGCGCACGGCGAGCGGUGCGAUGCCAGCCGCCGCGCGGGCGGCGAGCCGUGCGUGCGGGUUUUUUUUUUUUCCCUUUUUCUUUCUUUUUUCGCUGUCAGACCCACUCCGGACUCUCUCUUUUUUAUUUUAUUUAUUGUCCUGUUCUCCGUUUACAAACACGUUGAUCAAAUUCAAAUUUAAAUCCUGUGCACGCGCAGGCGAACGGGCUGCGCGGCUAGCGGACACGGGGCGAGCAGGAGCAUAUGCGUUCUUUGAGUGACGCGGUGCGACAGUGGGGGGGGGGCCGCGGGGUGCGCAACCCUGCAUGCGAUGCGAGCGGCAGUGUUUGUGAGGCUGCAUACAGAAAAUUUAUUAAAUUUUAAAGUUAAAUUGUUGUCUUGAAUGUUGCUUAUUGUGGCUAUCUUAAAAGGCUGUUUUUUUUUUGCUAGGUAUUUGUGCGUGUGGCCGCGACUGUUUCUCAUGAGCGCGCGGAGUUACGGAGACGGGCGGGCGAGCAGGAGCGGGUCCAUUCUUUGGCGAAGUCGCUGGACAGGCGAGCGGCGAGCAGCGCGGCGCGGUCACGUGCGCAGGUAUAUAUAUAUAUUAGUAUAUAUUGUGCUUUUAUUUGAUUUCUUUAAAAGUCAUUUAUUUCUUUUUGCCGUUGGGUGGCAUACAGAAAAUAAAAAAAAAUUAUCAUUUAAUUUUUAAUUUACAUUUUAGAUCUGCGCGGGGGGUAGUGAGCGGAGACGGCGUGGGCGAGCCGGAAGCGGGUGGGGUGCUUGUGACGGUGCCGGUAAGGGCGCAAGCGAGCCGCCGGCCGGCGUGGCACGCCCCGUCGCAGGUAUAUAUAUAUAUUAUUAUAUAUUUAUAUAUAUAUACCUAUUAGGGAGAACAGUGGCAUUUCUUCUUAAACACCAGAUUCAUCUCUUUUACUUUAAAAUGUUCUUAUUUAUUUUUAAAUAUAAGUAAAUAUAAUAGAUAUAUAUUUUAUGGUAUAUAUACAAAUAUAUUUAUACAUUUGUUUUCCUGCUCCCUACUGUUUUUGAUAUUAUGUGUAUACUUUAUUGGAUGUCGCUUUUUUUGCUACCUUGGGUUUAUUAAUUAUCUAGGAAUUAAUAUAUAUGGAUUUAGAUUUAUUUUUUCAUUAUUGGCAAAAUAAUCUGUUGGCUACUUUGCACCUGCUCUGUUAGUCCAUCGGGUUAUAGAAACUGAAGCAGUUUCGGUAUUGUUUUGCUUAGUCAGUACUCGCAAGUCUUGGAUUAGUCUGUAGAAAAAGCUUCUGCAGUUACAUAGUAUUCUGGUUUUGUUCUCCAAGAGAAUUUUUUGGAGAAUUUUUUUUUUUUUUACUUUUGCUGUAGUUUUAUGUGUUGGCCGACAAAAAAGGCCUUAUGACUUUAUUUACUAUGUUUUCUUUUCGGACAUUGCUUGAUUUGUAGGGUUUAACAUUGCGUGACUUACUAUGUAUGCUGGUCUUUUGCCUGUGAUACAUAAUAAAAACAAAAAAUAUAUUAAUAGUUAUAAUAAUUUACUGUUUUAUUUUCUUCCCGCCGCAUCGCGCGGGGCCCGUACCUAGUUUUAUUAUUAAAGGACGGAAUAUGUGAAAGUUUAAUGACCAAAAAAGAACCGUUAUAUAUAAAAAAAAUAUGUUCUUUAUUGAAUCUUCACUUAGUGAAAUAAUAAUUUCUAUUUUAGAGCCAGAGUGACUUCAUAUUUGAAUUUUUGCUACUUAAGAAAAAUAAAGUCUUACUGCUUAUAGAUAAUAAUUCAAGUAUCAAGGCGAGGUUUACUGGUUAGUACGUUAUGGCCUUAAGGGUGCGUUUGGUUCGCGCUAUAUUCCUAGUAAUUCAAUAGGAAUAAAAAAAUAUGACGGUGUUUGGCUAAACGCACUAAGUAAUCUAGUUGGUAAUAUUAGAUUUACUUGGGAAUGAGAUUUAUCCCAAAGUACUAAUCUCAUUCCCUUAAUGGAGGGUAGGUAUUCUCAUAUUAAUGAAUUGGGGUAAUCAUAAUAUGUCUAAUCUCUUUCUUUCUCCUUACCCGCGGCUAGUUGGUAUUAUUUUUCUUUACAUUCUAACUUCAUAUCUCUCUCUAAACUUAUUUUUUUUUCUCUAAACUUCAACUCUCUUUCUCUUUCUAAACUAAGCUCUCUCUUCCCCUCUUUUUCUAAAAUCUCGACUCUCUCACUCCCUCUAAUCUCGACUCUAUUUCUCUUCCUAUUUCUUUAAUUAUGCUCUCUCUCUCUAACCUAUAUUCUCUCUCUCUCUCUUUUUCUAAAAAGAUAUUAAAAUUUUUGAUGGCAUUAUUUUAAAUUAAUUAAAAAAAAUAAAUAAAUAAAUUGUAUAUUUUUUGUAAAUUUAAAUAACAUGACUAAAUAAUAUAACCGUGCGAAUCAAAUACAGGAAUGCCACAUUCUUAGUAAUAGGAUGAAUAGAAAUAAGAUUCUCGAACAUCUUUUUAUUGCUAGUAAUCUUUCAUAGUGCGAACCAAACGCACCCUAAUAGUAUUCUUAUAGCCGAGAAUCUUUCCAAGAGAGGCUGGCUGUAACAAUUUGAGGGGCCAUUUGGUUGAACAAAGUUGUAAAUUCAAAAGAGGUGCGUGAAACGGUUCACUAGGAUCUCACGAAGAGAGUACGCAGAUUGCUUGAUCGGUGGCUUAUGGUGGAAUAUCUGAAAGGAAUGUAAUUGUUGCAGGAUUUGUUUAAAGGAGUCCAACUGACUGAUGAGGAGAUGGUGAGAGAAAAUUAAAAUCGAUUUGCCUGAGCAUCUCUGUACGACUCUCAGCCUCCCUACCUCUUUUUUUUUUUAAUUUUUUAGAGAGAAAGAUAGUAUGCUAUUCAUUUCAACUAUUUUUUUUUAAAAGUAAACUUAGCUGAAAACGUGAAUCAACUAGAAUUCGAAUUACCGACUGUCUCUAUAGCAAGUGGCAAAGAGUUUGGUAGUUAGUAUCCAAGAUCCUAAAUUCGAAUCCUAGUUGAUUCAUAUUUCUAGCUAAAUUUAUUUUUAAACAAAAUAAACGAAGCAUGUAGCAUGCUACCCAUCUCUCAAAAAAAAAAAAAAAAACUAGAAUUCGAACUUAGGAUCUCGGAUACCAACUACCAAAUUUUUUGCCACUUGCGCUAGGAACGGUGAGUGCCUCCCUACCUCCUUAUAUAUACUACAAACAUUCUUAAUUCGUUAUAACUUUGUAAUUUUUGUAAACCGAUAUAAAUGAAAAAAAAAAAAACUUCAGUAGAGAGUUCCGUAACGGUACUUCGUUGAGGAAUCUUUAUUUAUUGUCAUGUGUUAGUUUUAUUUUUCAUCCGAGAAUUAUAAUCCUUCUUUAUAGAAUUUUAAAUUUUUUUAAAAAUUUUAGUAUUAAAAAAAACUCAACGAAUUUUUGAAUGAAAGCAAAACUACAACAUGAGAUGAGAAAGUAUCUUAUUAGCAUCUAUAUCUAUAACAUACAUGAAUUCUCAGUUUUGGAACAGGUGGCGAGCGUGGAGGCGCGGGCAGAGGCGAGCGCGGGGCGCGGGCAGGCGGGCGCGCGUGGCGGGGCGCCGCGUGGNNNNNNNNNNNNNNNNNNNNNNNNNNNNNNNNNNNNNNNNNNNNNNNNNNNNNNNNNNNNNNNNNNNNNNNNNNNNNNNNNNNNNNNNNNNNNNNNNNNNNNNNNNNNNNNNNNNNNNNNNNNNNNNNNNNNNNNNNNNNNNNNNNNNNNNNNNNNNNNNNNNNNNNNNNNNNNNNNNNNNNNNNNNNNNNNNNNNNNNNNNNNNNNNNNNNNNNNNNNNNNNNNNNNNNNNNNNNNNNNNNNNNNNNNNNNNNNNNNNNNNNNNNNNNNNNNNNNNNNNNNNNNNNNNNNNNNNNNNNNNNNNNNNNNNNNNNNNNNNNNNNNNNNNNNNNNNNNNNNNNNNNNNNNNNNNNNNNNNNNNNNNNNNNNNNNNNNNNNNNNNNNNNNNNNNNNNNNNNNNNNNNNNNNNNNNNNNNNNNNNNNNNNNNNNNNNNNNNNNNNNNNNNNNNNNNNNNNNNNNNNNNNNNNNNNNNNNNNNNNNNNNNNNNNNNNNNNNNNNNNNNNNNNNNNNNNNNNNNNNNNNNNNNNNNNNNNNNNNNNNNNNNNNNNNNNNNNNNNNNNNNNNNNNNNNNNNNNNNNNNNNNNNNNNNNNNNNNNNNNNNNNNNNNNNNNNNNNNNNNNNNNNNNNNNNNNNNNNNNNNNNNNNNNNNNNNNNNNNAUAAUUAUAAUAAUAAUUAUAAUAUAUAUAAUUAUAAAUAUAAUUAUAUAUAAUUUUUUAUUAGUAUGAUUUUUGUCUUUAUUUUUUUUAAUCUUUCUUAUAAUUUUAUUACAGCAAUAGUUGUUUAUUUUUUAGUUAUUUUUUUAUACAAUUUUUUGACUCUUUUUUUUUACUAUUAUUUAUUUUAUUUAUAUAUUUAUUUCUGCAGAAUCGUUCUGCAGCAACACGUCGGUCCUUUACUAGUUUUUCAAUAAGAUGUCGUAAGUCAUUAGAGAGCUCCCUGCAAUGGAAGCGUUAUUAAACUUGUUUUCUAGAGAUUGCUUAAUGAUAUAAGUAUUAAUUGCUUAAUGAUGGAAGUAUUAUUUGUCGGUGACUCAGCGUGCUUGAAGGUGUGUUGUCAGUUAAAAGUUAUUAUCAAUUUUAACUUGCACACCUUAUUUAGUGUCUUUAUUUACUCAGACGUUCAAACCAGAAAAGUGAAUCAUUAAACAAGUUGUACAUUAAGAUCAAAGAAACCAAAAAAAAAAAAACAAAACAAAACAAAAGAAAAAACAAAAUAAACAAAAUCAGGACAACAAUUUAAUUUCUUUUUUCUUUUAAUUUUCCAUCAUUUUUAUUUCCAUCAUUUUAUUUCAAGGGCAAGCAAAGCACGUAUGAAAAGAAACAAAUUAAAGCUAAGUCUUAGGUAAUGUUGGAAUGAAGCUUGUCAUUUCCGAGGAUAGAUGGUGAAGAUGGUUUGGAGAAUAGUGAUGAGGAAGAGAACGACUGAGGUAGCGGCCAAAAGGAAGUUGAAGUUGUUGUAGACGAUCUUGUGAAUAAAGACCCUCACCUUUCUGCGUCUGUGGUAGUCGUUAAGGUGCUGAAGCAGAGACAUGUAGUCAUUGCCGGUCAUGAGGUAAGGGGAGAGGGACUUGAAGAAGCUGAGAGACUGUUGGUCGCUGAGACCGCCGUAUAGUAUCUUCUUUGAUCUCAGCUCCUUGACGUCCUCCUCCCGGCUAAUGAGGGCGACGAGCAGAGAGAGGUAGGAGCCUACCGAGCUCUCAGACGCAACACCGGGGCACAUCUCGAACGCCACCAAAUUGCUGAGGACGAUCCUGUUGUACGUGGUGAGCACGAUUGGUGGGAGGGAUAGCCACCCGUAGAGCGGGCCCCUACGGAAGCUGAAGUUGCGGAACCGGAACGUAUCGCUAGCACAAAUUCGAACCCCGACUUCUGCGAGGUCGAUGGCGGAGGUGAAGAUCGAGAUAUGCGUCACAAUAUCGUCGCCUCGCUGGACCUGGGGGCCUAGGAAUUUCUCACGCACGAGCUCUAGGAGGUGGCAGGGACUGCGGUCGUUGUCGCGGUGGCUGCCGCCCUCAUCGUAUGGAGGCAGCAACCCCGCCGUCAUAUCAAUCUUAGCAACAAUUUUUUGGAGAAACAGAUCGAUAGGUACCCAUCGGAAACUCAUAAGGGCCUCUAGAACCACCCACGGAAGCUGGUUCUCGAGCAACAUGACGUCCCUAAAGACUCGAUCUAGGUUGAAAGAGCUCAUCCACCUUUCGACGGAUAAAGAUGCCGGGAUGUACCCGGUUGCCGUCACAAUGAACUGCAGCAGAAAGCAGCCAUCGAAGAACAUCAUGUCCGCGAAUUCCUUGUCGCUGAUGUCGUCGAAUCGGUCCGCAUAGCACAACCGAGCCAGAGGAGUCACAUCACGAACCACUUUGUAGAACUCUCGGACGGAGCGCCGUGAGCUCUUGCAGAAGUCGAGGGCGACCGCCUUCUUGAUUGCCUCUGCCGGCUGCACUUGCGGGUCGUGUCGGUGGUACGGCCCGAUCGCCACUACCUCGGGGUUGAAGUACUGGUCGCCCUUCUCGAUACUUCGAAGAAGGUAAUGGACCCUCCGUAUGAUGGGCCUCGUUCUGUCUGGCCAUUGUUGCGCUGUGGACUGGAUCUCCGUCAUCGCCGAAACAAGCGCUUCGGAUUCAUCCAUGGCUUCCACGUUCAUGCCGCUCCGCGCACAACUGCUGCUCCUUCAGCAAUCGCCUCUCGUGUUUCGGCCCCUCCUUAAGAAGAAGGACCGGCCAAGCUCCUUCGCCGUCUCUCGUAUCGUUUGCUUUUACCACCACUUCUCCGCAAGGCAACUCGAUUCCAUUACCACGUCGCAAGGCAACUCCAUUCGAUGGUCUUUGGUUUUUUCUGUCGGAAAGCUUUAAAACAACUAUAUAUUUCACCAGCUUUUUUUUUUCUUUCUUUUUCCCUUUGUUUGAAGAGGAAUGCUGCUUGCACUCUAGUAGUGAAAAGAUCAGAAAGAAGUUGAACAACCCUGUGUGAUCUCCGAAGACCGAAGAAUUUCUCUUUUUGGCUAAAUUUCACGGCUUGUCCUCAUAAUGCUCAUGAUAUAUAUAUAUUUUAGUUUUUUAGAUUAUAAUUUAUCAUAAUUUUUUAUUCAAAUUUUAUAAAUUAUUGUAAUUAAGUCUCAUAGUCCGUCCUAUUGAGUAAGCCGGAGACUGAUUCAUCGCCAAUUUGGUAACACUAUAUAUAUAUAUAUAUAUAUAUAUAAAAUUAGGCUGGAAUACUUCUAAUAGCACUAAGUUGUUGGUGCUAUUAGAUUUUCGGUCUUUGGACGAAGGGACGUGCGGUUAGAGUAAUAAUGAUUUUCGAGUUGAAUUGAUGGUUGGUUGAAUAGUAUAAUUUAACAGGUGAAAAUUAUCAAAAGGAUAAAUCUAGCAGCGAAAGAUUCGAUAGCACCAAAUAAUAUAGUAGUUAAACUCUCUCUCUUUAUAUAUACUAGUGAAGACCCGCGCUUCGCGGCGGAAAAUUUAUGCAAUUUUUAAAAUAUUUUGAACAAUUUUUUUUUAUUUUUUUAAUUUCCAAAUUUAAUUUUAAAUUUUAAACUUCGAAAAAAUGAAGAGAGAGAAAAAGUAAAAAAAAUUAUUUAAGUAGAGAGGGACAAAAAAAAUUUGAAGUUUGAAGCACGAUUUAUUAUAUGUAUUAUUAAUAAAUUAAUUAAUUAUAUAUUAUAUAACAUUAUUAAUAAAUUUAAUUAAUUAAUUAAAUUUAUAGAGUUUAGAAAUUAAAAAUUUUNUAUAUAACAUUAUUAAUAAAUUUAAUUAAUUAAUUACUUUUAUAGAGUUUAGAGAUUAAAAAUUUUAAACUUUGAAGUUUAAAAUUGAAAUAAAUAUUAUAUGUUAAUAUUUGAAUUUAAAAUUUAAACAUAAAAUAUAAAAUCUAAAAAAUUAAAAUUUUAAAAGUCUCUCUCUCUCCCUCUCUCUCUCUCUUUCUCCCCCUAGCUCUCUCUCUUUCUCGCUCUUUCUCUCUCGCCCAGCGUCUCUCUCUCUCUCUUUCUCUCUCUCUUCCCCUCUCUCCCUCAGUCCCUCCUCCCCCCGGUGCUCGCGCCGCGGCCGCGGCCGCGGAGAGGGGGAGAGAGAGUCCCUAAAUCCUAAACCCUAAACCCUUCGUAGCGGGUAAAUAAUAUUUAAAUUAAUUAACAUAUAUAAGUAUUACAAUUUUAAAAUUAAAAAAUUAUAACUAACUAAAAAUAUUAUAAAAUAAAUUUUAAAUAGUUACAUUAUUCUAACAACUUAAUAUAAAUUUAUAUUUGAUUUAUAAUUUAGAUUCGGUGUACGAUAUAGUUAAAACAGAAGUAUAGGACCCCAAUCGGGCCUUUCUAAAGUGUAGCAUAAUCAUUAAAAUUAAAAUUUCUAAUUAUAUUCGUAUGAAAUGUUACUAUAUUAUGCAAAUAACACUGUGUAGUCAGUAGUCUGAUGGUCAUAUAAUUUUUUAUAGAACACAGAGUCAUCGUAAUUAAUAUCUUUGAUCUGCAAAUCACAUUCAUCUUUCAGUCUCUUAAGAGCAAUACGUGCGGCAUCUUGUUCAGCCGCAGCUGAUGUAGGAAAUUGGGUGCUCAAACAUCGAACAGUUUCAACUAUAAUUUCACUCUGAGAAAUUUGCAAAUCUAUAUAGCCCACAAACCUCCCCUCGGUGUCCACGCUUAGUACACAUCGUGGCACUUGUAACUGGAGCUGCUCAUAAAUGAACUGCAAAAGGAGGAAGCAGAGAAAUUUUAAUUUUAUGGUUAGAAAUUCUAUGUUGAUCAGAAAGAAACAAUUCAUAGCAAAGAGAACUACUAACCUGAAACCCUACCAAGAAGGAAACGUCCAGAUCUUGUAAAUGUGAGCGUCGAUUCCUGGGGAUAAAACAAUAAGAUUAGUAUUAUUAUUAUAUAAUAUAAGAAAGAAAGAUUUGAUCUGAAUACCUAAAUUUCUUACCGUUCAAAUUUUGGGAUAAUAGCAUAAGAUGCUAGUUUCGAUCUGAGGCAUGGAUGAAUUUUAUAGGCAAAAAUGUAGCAGCGAGGAGGGUAGAAGAAUCGACCAGGGUAGAGGACAGGAUCCAUCUGAAACGGUGGUAGAUUUUAUGAGCACGAUCCCGUCGAUCCCGUCUGAAACGAAAAUAGGAGACGGAUGCUGCGACGUAGAGAAGAGAAGAAACGAUUUGCUGUAACCGACAGGAAAAGAAGCAAGGUCGCGCGGUGGGGGAGCGAUUUACUGUAACGGAUAUGAGAAGAACAUGAGAAAAAGCAAGGUCGUGAGGAGGCGGGGCGAUUUGCGGUUUCGUGCGGAGAAGAAGAAAGGAUCGCGUGUAUUGGUUUGGUUUUAUUUAGAAGUUUAGAUAGUGAACGGUUCGGUUUGCUUCGCUUCGGUUCAGAGAGAAGCAGUUCAAUGGUUCGGUUCAGAUGUUUAGAGACAACGGUUCGAUUCGGUUGGUUCGUUUCGGUUCGGUUCAGAGGUUUAGAGAGAUGCAGUUCAAUGGUUCGGUUUUCAUACACAAAAUUAGAGAGGCAGAUCAUUGGUUCAGUUCGGUCUAAAAGAAAUGGUUUGGUUCAAAGUGGGUUAUUAUUAUUAUUUAUCUAUUAAUUAUCUAUUAACCUAAGAAUGAAGGGUUUCUUGCCACGUGACAAGAAACAUUGUGGAUUCAUUUAGGUUUAUAGAUACUCUUUAUUACUCUAACGGCUUAAUGUGUUAUACCCUUUAUUACUCUAUCUGAUUACUGCAGUCAUAAUUACAACCAAUCUACGCGUAGUGACAACUCUUGCUGUUGAAUUUUCUCGUAUAGUUUCAACUAUAGUAAUUAAAUUCAAAUACAUCAAAUCAAACACUGUAUCUAUAUUGUAUUUAGUUACAAUAACAGUGCAAUUACAACUAUAUACAACCAAAUAGUCUUUACACCAAGAUGAACAUCAGACUCGGCCCAGACUCCAAAUGGGCCAAAGCCUAAAACACGGACAAGAGAAUGGGCCAAAAGUCCCAUAAAAAAUGAAACCGAAAGGUUAGAGACUUUUGAGAGGAUGUUGAUAUGCUUAUUCAUCUGAUAUUUUAUAAAGAACUCGGUAGCAAAGCCCCACAAAAGCCGACUUUGAUUAUUACUCUGCAAAAUGAAUUCGGCGGGCGACGGAGCCCCUAAACUGCCCGAUUUCUAUUGUAGUCGGCAACGAGGAGCCUCCGCACGCCGACUACAAGAGAUCGAUAUGUGUAAAUGCGAAAAAAAAAAAAAGGGAGUGAGAAUAUCAGUUCUCGGUCAAACGGUCAGCAUUUUGGCGCCUCCUUUCGGAAAGCGCUCGCUCGCUGCCACGUCAUAGGGGCGGUGCAAAAAGCCAAAACCAACCGCCAAGGCUUACGUACAUCUCACACUAGACCCGGUCUAUACACCCAACCACUCUAUUAACCUCCAUUGUUUGAGAGAUGUCUUUUUUUGGAAUAAUUACCUACACAUCUCUCAAAAUUUCUGAAAUAUUUUAUAAUAUUUUAUUUUUUUAUUUAAAAUAUACAUUUUAUAUAUUUUUUCGUUAUUAAAAAAUAACUCCGCUGUUAGUAUCCGUUAAAUCAUCUUCGAUUAAACCAGUAUUAAAUUUUUACCGGAGUUAAAAAAUGUCAAAAUUCUCUUUUUGUCUGUAACUUAAUGAUAAAUAAGAAAAGUUAGUAACAACAGAAGGAUAUAUUUGAAAGGGCGAAAAUUCAAACUGUUUUUUUUUGCCCCUAACUUAAGGGCAAAUAAAAAAAAAUUAGUAACGGUAGAAAGGGGAUAUUUAAAAAGGCAAAAUAGUAAUUUUAUAAAAAUAAUGUUUAUUUCCGACGUUCACUAAUAAAAUUUUACUCUAGAGAGAUAUAUGAAAAAAUUUAGAUCUCUAGAAGAAUAUUUUUUAUAUUAGCCUUCUAAGCGAGGGAAAUAAAAAUGUCUGAAAUCUUUUAGAGGUAUUUAAAUAAUUAUCCUUUUUUUAGCCCUUGUGUAGUUCAAAUUGCAUUAGAUAAUUUAAAUAUAAUUUUUUCUGAUUAAUUUUAUCUUACAUCAUGUGAGAUAAUAUAUUAAGAUAUUUUUAUAUAACAUAGACUCUUUUUUUUAUCUUACACCUUGUUUUCUAUUGCAGUGUUUUAUAUAUUUUCACAUAAUAGAAAUAAAAAAUUUUAAAUUUUACUAAAAUUAUACUAAUAAUAUUAUUAUAAAAUUUUUUAAUUUGUUAAAAUUUUUAGCUACGGCUAAAAUUUAGUAUGAAAUAGAAAAAGAAUAGAGUGUCUGAGAUCUAAUGAUAGUGAUGAAUUUGUCAUUUGUGUGAUUUGUUCAUGAUGACGUGGCACACCCGGUUCAUGAGAAUAGUUAUUACAGCUAAAGGGCAAAUUAUAGACCGAAAGAAACCACGCUUUUUUUAUUCAAUUCCUUCGAUCUCCUCCUCACUCUUCUUCUUCUUCUUCUUCCUCUCCCCUUUCCUUUUCUCCCUCUUCGCCUCAUCUCUCUCGAUUCAGCCCUAGCAAUGGCGAACGACGCCAUCCCCUCCUCCUCCUCGUCGUCGGAGGCCGCGGCGGAAGAGGAGGAGAAGAAGAAGAAGAGGCGUAGUGGCCGCGGAGGCGGCGGCGGAGGAGUGGUGUCGCGCGUGUGGAAGGGGAUCUUCGGAGCGGGACAUGACUUGGAGAAGGAGCUUCGGCGCCUCUCCGUGGCGGAGGCCUCCGCCCACGCGCGGAUCAAGCGAAGGGCCCAAGCCACGCGCGCGAUGAGGACGAACCUCGUCGUCGUAUCGAUCGCUCUUGAGGUUUUGCGAUUUGAUUUGAUUUUAGCCGAAUUAGUUUUAAUUAGGUCGCUGGAAUUUAUCAAGUUGAUUUCGAAUUUAGGGUUUGAUGAGGUAGCAAGGUUGUCACUAUGUAUUGAAAUGAGCUUAAUAUUUGGUAGUUGUUUGAUAUUCUCAAAUCAUAUUACGUUUGAUUGCAAUAAUUCAGGUAGUUUGAAUCACAAACUUCAAUAAUUAAAGUUUUGAUGAUCAAAUAUCAGCAACCUUGUAGUUCGAGGACUAUUCGUCAAAUUUGGCCUAUGAUUUAUGUGUGCAAAUGGAGCAAUAUUGCUCGUUUAGUUUUACUUUUUUGUUUGUAGAAACAUGAUUUUUGAUGUUUAUAAUGGUUGCACAGAAUUGCGCCAAGUGAUUGAAAAAUCUGGUAUGAAGCUGUUCGUCCAAUUUAGCCUAUGAUUUAUAUGAGCAAAUGGAGUGAUCUUGCUUGUUUAAUUUUAUAUUAGUUUGUAGAAACAUGAUUUUUAUUGUUUAUAGUGGUUUCACGGCAUUGCGCCAAGUGAUUGAAAAAUCCGAUAUGAUGAUGUACUUCAACACAAUAUAUAUUAGAUUCCGUAUACGUCACAAAUAUAUCUUUCACCAGUUGUGUACUUCUAUAUCUUCUAUAAAAGUUCCUAGUGGUUCUGCAAGUGUUUGUUGCUUCAUUAUUGCUAAAACCUUCCAAAAAAUGAUUUAGUGUUCUUGGUCAUUUUCUACUAGAUCAUUUUUUUUUUGGUAGCAUGGUAUCAGAGCUAGCCCAAACCCCCCUCCAUUCCAAGAGGUCCUUAGUUUGAUUCUUUUAUCCGCCACUUUAUGGCAUCAAUUUCCGUCCUUUAUUCCUUUGUAUUUUCCAUUAUCUCAGACCUUUUGGCAUGGUUCGUUUGAUAUUCACCAUGCAUGCGAGUGGGCAGUGUUAAGACAAAUUCUAGGCCAUUUCCUAGUUGGUCAAUUUUUUUGUUAACACCUAUCAGAUAUUUCUCUCGGUCAAGACUCAGGGUUAUAUACUCGUUAGAAAAGCCUUGAUAAUUUCUUAGGAUAGUUGCUUUUUGAACUGAUUUCUAAUUGUUGUUGAUUUGUUUCACAGGGUUUGGCUGUUGCAUAUGCUAUCAUGACGACAAGAUCAUUGGAUUUGAACUGGCAGAUGAGGGCAGUUAGAGUGAUGCCUUUGUUUGUGCUUCCUGUUUUAGCUGUUGUCAUCUACUCGACACUUGGGAGCGUCAGAAGAAUGUGUAAAUAUCAUGGACUCUUUUCCUUUUAAAUUUUUUUUAUAACCCAGUUCUCAGUUUCUAUAAAUUUGCUGAUUGAGCUUUUGAUCUAUUAGUCUCUCUUUAUAGACGUUUAUUUGACUGUUCUUUCAUAUUUGAUUGGUCCAUUGAAUUUUUUUUAAUUAAAUAGAUAUUUAAAUGGAAAAAAAGAAGGCGGCCGUGGAGUAUAGAAGAAGUGAUCCUGGGUUGUACUCAGCUUUCAUCCCUAUUCAAUUAUGUUUUUGAUGGGAAUAUGGGACUUAUUAGGUGUAUCAGCAUUUUUCCAGCUACAAAUAAGGGGGUAUCAUGUUAAUGAAGUUCAUAGUUUUGUCUGGAGAAGGGAAAAAAAGAAAAUAAUGUGAUGGUGGGGAAUCCUUUCGCCACUAAUACAAAAAAGCACAUAUAAGAUGAACUGCCUCAAAAUUGAUUCUCUGAAUCUUUGAUGUUUUUCUUACAUGGUUGACCAUGAGCUUUUUAAAUUCCUUUUAGACACCUAAUGUGGGAGAAACUUUUAGUGAGAUUUGGGAAAAACAUUAUCCUGUUUAUAACCUGUCCUUCUUUUCUUCAGUGGAUAGCAAGGACCAGAAAGCGCUUGAGAGGCUCCGUGAAGAAAGGCAAGCGAAGAUAACUGAGCUGAAGGAGAGGACAAAUUACUACACUACACAACAGCUUAUUCAGGUAGGUUUUUCAUCUUUCUAUCCUUCAUCUAUAUAUCUACUAUUGGCACUUGAUCUUGGGCAAAAAAAAUGCAUUGAUAUCACUCUCUGUAGAGUUACAUGCCUAAGUGGUUCCUGUAUGGUCUACUCUUGUGUACCUGUCAAUUUAAUCACUGAGCACUUCUUUUAGUCAAUCAGGUCACUGAAGUCUCGACUAUUUGUGAAAUUCAUUAUUCCAAGUGAAUUAAAAGAACUUGUACUACCGCUUGGUCCAUAUACAUAUCAGUAAUACUCUUGAUUCCAUCCGUUUUUUAAGAAUCUCAGCAAGUGUUUAACCGUCCAUGUCUGCAAAGUCGAUGAUGUACACUUAUAAGAUGACGCUGGGAAUAUACCUAUUUUUUCCUCCUUUUUUUCUCUCUCCAAGAACGAGGUAUGGUUUAGUACAAUUUAUCACGAUCCUAUCAUAAUAACUCUUUUGGUAUCUAAAAGAGUUUAGGGUUCAAAUCUAUUUCUUUAUAUCUGUAACAUUGGAGGGAUAACUAAUAAUUUAACUUCUGAAGUUAGUUUAUUUAUCAUCAAGGAUGGUAUUAGUAAUUUAGCAAAGCUUUGAUUAGCGAAUUUUCAUCGAAAUGGACAUAGCACGAUAUUCAUGUAUCAGUGAAAGUAGAGUGACUAACUUUUAAUUUUUAUUCUCUGUAUAUGUUACUGAUUCUUUAUAACGAUUAACGCAGAGAUACGACCUUGAUCCUGCUGCCAAGGCCGCAGCAGCAACUGUUCUGGCAUCUAAACUUGGAGCAGAUUCUGGGUUGAAAUUUUAUGUUGGAGAUGAAUCAAAUACCAGUCCCUCAUUGGGAGUUAGCAAUGAUGUUAACCCGGCGCAACCUACUCAGCUCCGACACAGAAAACCAGCUUCUGGCAAAAGUGCUGCCGCAGUAAGCAGCCAAGAAGCUCACUUCUUUGAUGAUUCCUUAAAUGAGUACGACGAAAAUGCCGGGGAAAUUGCUUCUCCAAAUCAGAGUUUUGUUGGACAUAAUAAAGGUUCAGCUGGUAGUGACGGGGGAUGGCUCGCUCGAAUUGCGGCUUUGCUUGUAGGAGAAGAUCCGACACAGUGCUAUGCGCUGAUCUGCAGCAACUGCCAUAUGCAUAAUGGUAAGUGAUGUCUUUCGAAGUUGUUAUCAUGUCAAAUUACCUUUUUAUCCCUUUCCGCUCUAAAUGUGCUCGCCCUCGUGUUUAACCUCGAUCACAAGCAACAAAAUGCAAGAACUGACUCAACUGGCUAACUUAAUGUGCAGGAUUUGCGAGGAAAGAGGAUUUUCUAUUUAUAACAUAUUAUUGCCCUCAUUGCCACGCAUUAAACGGGUCUCGACAGCAAGCGGAAAACGAAAUGAUUUUGAAUUCUGAGAGGGAAACUCCGAUUUCUCAAGCUGAUGGUAAUGAUGCGUUCAACGACGCGAGCAAUUCGAGCUCGAUCACCGGCAGUCCAUUUGCAAACACUCCAACAGCUGCCAAAGAAAUGCCUCAAGGAGACAACGGCGACGAGGAAGGAAAUGAUGUUCAUACUAAUUAGGAAUUUGCAUUCAGUAUUAUAUGUAAUGCUUUUACAAUGAGAUAGCUUCUGUUGAAGGGAAAAUUCGUUUGUUUGUCGAUGAUUCCGCAUAAAGAGAGGAAAGGAGCAUGUUGUGUAAAAUAAUUACUAAUUCUUUUUGAGAGUUAUGGUAAUUUUUGGCCAUUUUGUUAUAUACUGUGAGGAGUGGAAGGUACCAUAAUGGGGUUUUUGGGCGACUACACUUAUAGAAUUUUUUUUAAUUCUAAAAAUAUAUAUGUAUCCAACAUUUUUAUUUGUAAAUUAUGUUGCACUAUUUUACAACACAUUGUACUGUUUGAUAAGUUAUUGUGAAGUGCUCUCAAGUAAUUACGUAAUAAAUUUUCAAGUGAUGUAACGUAUUUUUUAAUUGUUCAGCAACUAAUCACAUAGUAUUAUAUUUUUUAACUAAUGGUUUAAUAUUUUUAUUUCUUUGAAUGGAGAAAAAAAAUUUGUAGAGAGAGCAUGACAAAACAAUAAAGAAAAAGAAAUAACAGUGCAACACAAAUAUUAGUAACAAGCAUAAGUAUAGUAAAAAAAGAGUCUAGAUGAAGAAGGGAUAUAACACACCACUUAUUAGGCAUUUGUUAUAUUAUUUAUAUAAAUAUUACACUACCUGUUCUUUUUGGACUAUAUUUAAUCUUUUAAUAUUAGUAAAUUUUUAUUUUUUUAAAAAAAUUUACAUAGCAAAUACUAAAAAUAAAAAUAAAGGAUUCACGUUGGCGAAAAUAGUUUGCAUAUAUUAUGAAUUAAGGUAGAUGAGAUGCACUAUUUAACUAUUACUUCUUGUCUAGAGAAUACGAAAAUUCAUCUUGCACUAUGUACGAAUUUUGACUACAGAGACAAUUUUGUCAAAAUUUUGAAAAAUAGGAGCAAAUUGUAGAUUCCAAAAAAUGCAUUGGAUCUGCAAAAUCACAAAAUUAGUUAUUAUUUUUUAGCACUGAUAUGGUACACUGAAAAGGGGUAUAAGUCACCCCCUCAUCUAAGGACCCUUAGUGGGGAGUUUUUAAUAUUAAUGGACUUAAAAGAAUAUUAUAAUUAUAAAAAUAGUUUUUUUAAAAAAUUAUUUAUAAAAUUAGUUUUAUGCAAUGAAUGAUUUACCGUAUUUAUUUAAAUAUAAUAGUUUAUUUAUUCUCAAAAUGUUAAAAUUAUUUUUACUAUUUAAUACUAUACAUCUUUUGAAGUUUAAAUGUGUAAAAUAUAUAAGUUCGGUAAAUAAUGAAUAAUGUAUCGUUUUUAGAACGCGGUGAGUCAUCGUUUUUUAAAAAUAGUAAAUAAUUCACUGCAAAAAUCUAAUUAUAUAAAUAAAAAUUUUAAAUGUCCAUUUUUAUAAUUAAAAAAAUUCUAUAGCAUCCGUUUGGUUCGGAGUUAAGGAGUGGAAAAACCCUUUAACCCCGAAGUUAUUUCCAAACGCCUAAUUUGGGGAUUGGGGUUAACUAACCCCACCCCACCCCACCCCACCCCACCCCACUACUCCAAGUCUCAAACCAAACAAAAUACUGUUUUAUCUAUUAUCUUUCUUAUCUCAACCACUCCAAUCAAACACUAUUUUAUUUAUAUCUGAACUAAUCCCAAUUUUCAACUAAAUACAAAAUUAUUCUAAUCCCACCUUAACCCUGAACUUAACUCCAUUCUUGGAAUAAUAAAUUUUUACUUAACCCAGAACCAAACGGUUGCAUAGGGUUAGUCGAUCUCAAAACCUUCUUAAUAGGUCCUUAUCUUGUCCUUUUUUUUUAAUACUAAAAACUUAAAAAAUUUUUUAAUAAAUUCUAGGGCGAAGUAAUGUAUGUCAUACAUGUAGCAUUUUUUUUUUUUCAAUCAAAAUCUAUUAAUUAAAGAAAAUAUAAAACUGAAGCUUUAUUGCAAACUUUCCAUAAUAGAGGGGUCUCUGUACAUUUUUAUGCAGAAAUGGGGCUUCGUUUUCUUCUUAACGACAAUACAGGGAUCGAAAACUCCAACUCUCUCUCUCUCUCCCCCUUCCCCAGAUCUCGUUCCCGGCGAAACCCUAGAUCUCAAUCCCAGGUAUGCUCUUUUCCCUUCCUCCCCAUCUCUCUCUCAAUCUCCGCAUCUUUGAUUCCAUUUCAUUUCGAAGCAUUAGAUCCGUUAGUUUUAGCUUACACUCUUUGAUCGAUGUGAAAUGGCUCAUUAAAUCGCUAUAAAGUUGAAGGUUUUUGCCUAAUAUUGGGCUAAUUGAUGUUACUUUUGUGCCUAGGGUUGUAGAUCUACGAGCAUUGUAGNNNNNNNNNNNNNNNNNNNNNNNNNNNNNNNNNNNNNNNNNNNNNNNNNNNNNNNNNNNNNNNNNNNNNNNNNNNNNNNNNNNNNNNNNNNNNNNNNNNNNNNNNNNNNNNNNNNNNNNNNNNNNNNNNNNNNNNNNNNNNNNNNNNNNNNNNNNNNNNNNNNNNNNNNNNNNNNNNNNNNNNNNNNNNNNNNNNNNNNNNNNNNNNNNNNNNNNNNNNNNNNNNNNNNNNNNNNNNNNNNNNNNNNNNNNNNNNNNNNNNNNNNNNNNNNNNNNNNNNNNNNNNNNNNNNNNNNNNNNNNNNNNNNNNNNNNNNNNNNNNNNNNNNNNNNNNNNNNNNNNNNNNNNNNNNNNNNNNNNNNNNNNNNNNNNNNNNNNNNNNNNNNNNNNNNNNNNNNNNNNNNNNNNNNNNNNNNNNNNNNNNNNNNNNNNNNNNNNNNNNNNNNNNNNNNNNNNNNNNNNNNNNNNNNNNNNNNNNNNNNNNNNNNNNNNNNNNNNNNNNNNNNNNNNNNNNNNNNNNNNNNNNNNNNNNNNNNNNNNNNNNNNNNNNNNNNNNNNNNNNNNNNNNNNNNNNNNNNNNNNNNNNNNNNNNNNNNNNNNNNNNNNNNNNNNNNNNNNNNNNNNNNNNNNNNNNNNNNNNNNNNNNNNNNNNNNNNNNNNNNNNNNNNNNNNNNNNNNNNNNNNNNNNNNNNNNNNNNNNNNNNNNNNNNNNNNNNNNNNNNNNNNNNNNNNNNNNNNNNNNNNNNNNNNNNNNNNNNNNNNNNNNNNNNNNNNNNNNNNNNNNNNNNNNNNNNNNNNNNNNNNNNNNNNNNNNNNNNNNNNNNNNNNNNNNNNNNNNNNNNNNNNNNNNNNNNNNNNNNNNNNNNNNNNNNNNNNNNNNNNNNNNNNNNNNNNNNNNNNNNNNNNNNNNNNNNNNNNNNNNNNNNNNNNNNNNNNNNNNNNNNNNNNNNNNNNNNNNNNNNNNNNNNNNNNNNNNNNNNNNNNNNNNNNNNNNNNNNNNNNNNNNNNNNNNNNNNNNNNNNNNNNNNNNNNNNNNNNNNNNNNNNNNNNNNNNNNNNNNNNNNNNNNNNNNNNNNNNNNNNNNNNNNNNNNNNNNNNNNNNNNNNNNNNNNNNNNNNNNNNNNNNNNNNNNNNNNNNNNNNNNNNNNNNNNNNNNNNNNNNNNNNNNNNNNNNNNNNNNNNNNNNNNNNNNNNNNNNNNNNNNNNNNNNNNNNNNNNNNNNNNNNNNNNNNNNNNNNNNNNNNNNNNNNNNNNNNNNNNNNNNNNNNNNNNNNNNNNNNNNNNNNNNNNNNNNNNNNNNNNNNNNNNNNNNNNNNNNNNNNNNNNNNNNNNNNNNNNNNNNNNNNNNNNNNNNNNNNNNNNNNNNNNNNNNNNNNNNNNNNNNNNNNNNNNNNNNNNNNNNNNNNGAUCAAGUCUAACGGAGCCGAUCGUCGAUUCGAAAAUUCCAUCAUCGAAAACGGCUCAGGAGCACGGAGGCCUCCGUGCUCCUGAGAGCACAGCAGCCCUGCUCUACAUAUAUAUAUAUAUACAUAUAUACAUAUAUAUAUAUAUAUAUCUAUAUAUAUAUAUAUUAGGUCUUGUGUGCUAUUAGGAGCACGGAGGCCUCCGUGCUACCAAUAAUAUACCAGCCUAGCUCUAUAUAUAUAUAUAUCGAGUCCGGCUACUAUACUAUUAAUAGUACAAACCGCUUACUAUUAGCUUUUCGGUCCUUGAAUGAAGGGAUAUGCAAUCAGGAUGAUAGUAACCCCCUAGGGUUGAGUGGGUGUGGUUAGUUGAAUAGUAUGAUCUAACGAGUGAAAAUGAUCAAUAGAAUAAAUCUAAGGGCAAAAAACUUAUGAGUAUAAGGGAGCGAAUACUCAUAAAAGUAUAGUAGCCGGACUCAUAUAUAUAUAUAUAUAUAUGUAAAUGUAUAUUAAUUGCCCCUUCAUUGUACCAUUUCAGGCUUCUGAAGGCAUUGCCUGAUUAACUCCUCCCAUAGUUCAUCAUCAUGUUGAUCGGUCACAAAUUCUACAGCCUACAUAAAGUUAAAAUAUUCAUUUAUUAGACACCAAGAAGUAUAUUAUUAUCCAAUCAUAAUGCAGUAAUUACGAUGGAAUGAAAUGUUUUUGGUAAACAAGGACAAAAGAAAAAGAAGAAAACAACUGACACAAACAAAGUUACUUAUGCACACCUCCUGUAUGUCCUCCAACUUAUUUAUAAUAAUAGCAAGGGCCUGUUUUGCAUUUCCCAUCCUACCAAGGACAAAGACUUGCUCUCUUAUGAGCUCUUUCCUAGCACAAAUUUCAUAAGCCUGAAAGGUAAUAAAAUGUUAUUUAUUUAUUCAGUAAAUCUGAAAAAAUGUUAGCAAAUCAAGUCCAACCUUGUCUAGCCUGUAAUGCUGACUGGUACGAAGAAAAGGGAGUAGCAAUCGUGAUUCGUAAUCUGCAUAAAGCUCUACCUAUGACAUAAAAGGACAAAGUACACAACGAAUAAUUAAUCAAGAAUAAGUGUUAUUGCAUGCACAGCAAGUACUGAAAUUAUUCAAAUUCAAAAAGAGUAGAGCUCAGGGGGAAAAGAAAAUUGUACAAGGAAAAAUGAUGAUUGCCCACAGUAAUGACAAAUAACUAGAGAUAGGUAAUUAUUGUGAUAUGAUCCUGAAGGGAUGAAGAACAAAUAAAAUUCAGUAAGAAAACAGAUAUACCUGCAUAUCAUGGAACUCUUUUCCAGCAUUAAUGUCAACCUCAAAAAGGGAAUGCAAGUAAAGAUGCAAGAAAUAUCUCUUGUCACACUUUUUAUUGGACUGCAAAAGCUGCCCGACAACUUCAGAUGGAGGAAUUAUAUCACGGUGUUGGAUCAAUAAAAGAACCGUUCUUUUACUGUCAAGUAUCAUAAGAUCAACCACCUGUAUAAGAAAUAAUAGUAAAUAUAAUAUUAAAAGAAUUGCCUUAACGAUUGCAUAAAUGUACAAGUUAAUUCUAACAUUUAUUUGACAAUAAAUAUAAUUGCUAUCUUAGUAAUAUUUUGCUAAUAGGGACUAAAAGCAACAUGCAUAAACUUCAACACAACCAAUAAAAUGAGAAUGCAAUAACAUAUAAUUUCAUGAUAACUUGAAGUUCAACAUACAUUCCUUUCUUUCAGUGAGCAGCUGUUAAUACCUGUAGAUCAUAAAACUCUUAAAUGCUUACCGGUUUGGAGUGUAAUCAUCAUAGUGAAAGGGUCAACGUUGUACUCUGUUUGAAAUGCAUUUUGUCUAUUCUUAUCCUUCAACUCCUCUCUCUAGGCUUCAAAGUUUUUAAAAAACCUUUUUUGGAUAUAUAUGAAGACUAACACAUUUUUUUGAGUGAGAGAAAGCACAGUAUGCACAAACAAGAAACAGAGUCAUUUCAGCAGACUAUUCUUGUCAAGAUAAUCGUAAAAGGACCAUUUUGCAGAAAAGAAAUAGUAAAAAUUUGAACCAUAGAUUUUAACAAUGGUCAGAUGCAUGAGGAUUUUUACUCAUAAAGGAGAAACAACAAUAGGACAGAACUUUUCAUCUGAGCCACAAGAACAAACAACAGUAUUGUAUCCAAGUACUAGAAGAGGAAUAAACAAAAGCGUAUGCCGCAGAGCGCAAGGCUACUUUUAGUGUAGCCUCCACAGUAAUGAUAUACAACCUUACCCUAGUUAAUAAAAGGAUUUCCAUGAAUCAAACCAGCAUCUAGAGGUUGUAACAAAAGGAAUCACUACAGUUAUUUGCACAAGCAGAUAGCUAAAACGAGUGGGCUGUAAGCUUCAUAAGCAUACCAAGUAUGAUAGAAUAUAGCUCUUCCCAUGAAAGUAAAACUAAGAAAAGAAAGUAAUACUGAGAAAAGAUAAAAGUGAAAUUAUCGUCAACAUUAGGGCUGAUAGCAUACCUUGUCAUGAACGGCAUGAUAUAAACUGUGCUUUUCAAUAAAAUUGAAAACGUCAGGCUUCAAUACCUGAAAAGACAAAAAUGGAAAGAUGAAGUGGGAAGGUAACAUCAAUAUGCGAAUUAAGGCUUGUUUGGCCUGUUUGGGCUUGGAAGAAAUGCUGUUACUCAAAGAGCCGUUCAAAGCAGUGGUAAUAUUUUCUUUUUUUAACCAUAAGUUAUCCUCUACAGCUUCUCACUGCAGAAGAAGCAAAAUGUUCAAAUUGGAACUUUUGGUUUUGGGGCCUGAAAGACUAUUUUAGUCUCCCAACAGCAAAAGCUCGGGACAAUUUGCUAGCCAAACACAUGGUUUAUGGAAGCUUCCACUUCGUGCAUAGAGAUGCUUUUCCAUAAGCCAGGCCAAAAUGUCGCAUGAAGCGUAAGUACUUACAUCAGCAUACAAACCAAAGGCUUUCUCAUACAGUCCAUUGAUCACAUAUAAUUCAGCUAAUGCCUGUUACAAAAACAUGAAUAAAUAAAUAGGAGAUAUAGAACAGAUGUACCAACGCAAAAAUUCCAAACUAACCUCUUUCAAAUUAUCAGUCAUAGAGGAGGUAUUCAUUUGUGGCUCAAUGGCAGAAAUAACAGGUGAUACAGAAUAUAAUGUAGGCGGCCACGAUUUAACAGUUGACAAGAGAAGUUUGUGAAAUGGCGGGUUAGUAGCCAAUGCAACAAGGGCAACCUGUUCAUAUAAAGAAUAAUAUUCAGGAACUCUACAAGCUAAUGAUAAAAAUCUUACUCAUGAAGCAACAACUACAGAUCCAUUAUUUAUCUUACAGACCUCAUAUGCAGUAUCACUCAGCUGAGGAUAGUCUGUAGGAAUGUAAGGAACCAACACAGGAAGCUGGCGCAGAUGGGCAAAGUGAAAAACCCACCUAUUGAAGAAAAAGUUUUAGUUAACAGAGAAUUGAAAACUGUGAAAGUUAAAUUGUGGGCUUUUGCAAACCUUUCCCAUGCUGAAGCGGAUCCACGGAGUAACUUAGGACACAAAGAUGCAGCUUCUGCAUAUUUCCUUUCAACAAUUAGAUGAUCAAGGUAUCUUGAUCCCACCUGACAUAAGAAGAGCACAAAAUCAUUGACCAAAUGAAAUGUUCUUAAAGAAUUUAUAAGAAGGUAGCAAAAUCCUAAUAAGAAUUCCAGAAUAUAAAGAUAAACUAUUAUAAGAAAAUCAUAGUAGACAAGGCCAUAUGCCACUGAUGCUAUCUUAAAGAGAGCUUAUGACUUUCUGCACCAAACAGGAUGGGAAACACUGAAAGGUUAUUAAAUGAAUGAGAAAUAGCUAUUCCGCCUACAAUUCUUUUAUUGCCAACCCACGAAACCAGUUGAUAAUAGAUUUCAGUUUUUGACCAACAUAUUUUUUAUUGCUGAACAAUCCCACUGGGCCAGGAUUAUAUGUUUCUUCAACCAGUUAUAUUAUCAUUGUACACCCAGUAACGAUGGCAAUGGGGAUAAAAUCAACAGUUAAUUGGAAGCGGAUUUUAAAUUGUUGCUUAAAAUGUCCAUUGCUAGAUUACAUAGUAUAAAGUGCCAUGCUGUUUCACAGCUCGCAAAAUCGAUGAGCUUGACAAUGUAGCCUUGUGCACAAACAAAAAAAAAAAAACAGAAUUCUGUUUAAUUUAAAUAGUAGGGUUGCUAUUCAUACAAGUACAAUAUCGACUCAAAAAAAAAAAAUCUUUAUGAUGGCAAAUGCAAUCACAGGCGUUACCAGCCCCUCCUUUAACUAACAGAUUAAUAGCAAGAAAGAGAAAGAAGCAGCGCCACAAUAAUCUCUUAAUCAAGUGCUUAGAGGGGAUGUGGAUCAGUAGAUCUCAUUUGCUACAACUGACCAGCGAGUAAGUACUACUUUUAAUAAUAAGUAAAUAAUGUGCAAUUGUUUGUCAUGGAAAAUAUUGACAACUGUUACGCUGGCAUGUACAUCCACCCAUAUGAUAUUGCACCAUUGAUAAUUAAAGGAAAAACAGCAGAGAUCUAAUGUACCUCAUCAAGAAGUUCAGUCCGUCCCUGUCCCGCUUCAACUGCAGCUAAUGCCUUUUCAUGCCAACCAUGAUGAAGAAGCCAAGCUAUGUGAUCUUCAGCAUCUCUAAUUUUCAUACAGAUAUUGGAUAGUUAAGAGCAUGGAGUCUGCAAUUUUACCGAGCUUCAAAAAUACACAUACUCUUGUCCAUGUUUGAUGACAUUUUUCAGAUCAAAACAAGCAAGCAAUUAUACAAGUUGAAAAUAUAUCAGAUGGUCAAAUCAGAAAUUUGCAGGAUUCCCUCACUAGUUUAUUUCUAUCUCAGCCCAAACCCUUGAAACAAUUUAGAAAGGCCCAAUUUUAUUUAGAAAAAGGAAGAAGAGUAGGUACUUCCCCAAAAUAACAAUUCAAAUCAUAACAUGUACAUAGAUAGUAAAAUGUAAUGGCAUGCAUACAUACACUAUAUAAGUACAUUGUGAACACCAAUGCAAAUAAGUCAAAGAUGCUGCUAAGUUCAAGGGGGAAAAACAUAAAAUAUAGAACGAUGGUUCCUAGAGUAACAGCCUAACGAGUUAAAAGACACCAGAAAAAGCUUGAAAAAAAGAAGAAGCUAAAGUACUUAAAAUGAGUAUAAAUUCUACAAAAUCCUCAUAUACCUAGGCCUCGCAAUCACUAUGUCUUUGGGAGAUACGAUAUAAUAGAGAGGUUCAUCACCAGCAGCCCACUGACCACCAGCAUAGCUGCUUCCUAUGCAAAAGUGCAAAAGCAGUUAGAAGUUAGCAUUCCAAACCAUGCAACUACAGUUUACAUAUUAUAAACAAAAUGAUUAGGGCUGUUUGGUCUAAUUGUAGCUUAGCAGUUACUUCUACAAAUAGCAAUUUGAAGAAGUUAGUUUUUUUAAGCAUUUGUAACAAACCUAGUCCCUAAUGAUCAGGUUUCCAAUUUGUCCUCAAGAGUUUCAAUUGUAACAAUUUAGCCAUAGAAGUUUGACCAAAAUAUCAGUUUUGUCCUUUGAGCUUCCAUCAUAACAACUUCGUCUCCGAAGGCUAAUCCGGAUUUCAGUUUCGUCCUUAAUGUUCCAUUUCUAACAAAGCAAUAUCUAACUGCAAUGCUGACCUAGCCAAGUUAGAAGUAUAAUAACAAUAGAGCGACUUGCUCGUUAUGCAAAAUGAACUUCGAAGACUAAAGUACUAAAACUAUUGAGGAAAGUGAAAUCAAAAGCGAAGUUCAGGGAUGAAAUUUGUAAUUAACCCUUUUGAUCAAAAUCUCCUUUACAGCCUCUCGUUGCAAUAGAAGCAGAAUCUCAAAUGGGAGCUUCCGCUUGGGGGCCAAACCCCUUUUAAUUUCUUGUCCAAAGAAAAUUUUGAGCCUAUUUGUUAGCAAAAUAGCUGGUUUCUAAAGCUUAUGAUAGGGAAGCUAUUCCAUAAGACAGGCCAAGCAGGCAAUUCAAAUUGGUAAAGGGUGUUUGAAACCUGUGAAUGGAGCAUGUGCAAGAGCAUAAUCUUUUGCCUUAUAAUGUUCAUAGCCAUGAACAGGUAAAGCAUCAGUUGUUAGUUCCUCAUUUUUCCAUGUGACAAUUCGUAUUUCUGGCCUUUGUGCAGUUCCCUGUGUAAAAAUUCCACGCACAUUAAGAACAAGUACUUCUGACUAAUGUAAAAUAUUUCACAAGAGCUAAAGUCAGAGAAAUUUACAAUGUCCAAUGCAACCAGCAAACAGGAAAAAUUAUUGCCAGCACCUGUGCACCACAUCAGCCAGCGCACCACCCAUUCUCUACCAUUCAUCCAUCACAUACUUCUAGAUCAAUAAAUGCUAGGAAGUGGGGACUGAACAGUGAGAUGGGAUGAAGGGCGGAGCAUGGGCGGGGGCACAGGCUGACAAGAUGUGGCAAAUGCAGGCAAUAAUCUAUCCUACUUAGGCAAUCAUUAGUAUUACUAACUGCUCUGGAGCAAGACAUUUUGAAAGCACAUUCAUCAGAAAACAAAGAACCAUGUAGCCCAGUAAAUCUGGUUUGACCCUAGUUGGGAAAACAUCUAGCUUAGUGUUGCCAGCCAUCCAAACUCAUUUUGACCUUGUUCACUUUCUUAAAAUUUCAUACUUUGGUCAUAGCUAGUGCAAUUACAUAACUGUCCAAAAAUUUGAUCAUUAGGCAUGUUUUGGUAGAUAGCGUUUAGCGUGCUAGUAAAUGCAGGUCUGCAUUUAGACCUUCUAAAGGUGAGACAGACUUAUUUUUGUUCCCACAAUUUCAUAUAGCCAUAUAAAAAGAAAAACCACACAAAAGUCCAUAAACAAGAAAAAAGACUUUCAAAUAAUGUCAAAUGAGAUCACUGCAAUAUUAUACUUUUCUCUUUAACUUAUGGUUUCUCAAGCUUCCCAUAGCCAAAAACUCCAAGAUUUGCAAAAAAACCUGAAACUGGAUAUGAGACUUAAGAUUUGAACCUAGUCAUAAAGUCACAAUAGAGUUGACAAUAAAGCAGCAUUUCAUUUUAGGGUAUUUCACAUAAGUAACUGCACAAAAUCCUCUAUUUGAUAAAUGUAUACACGCGACAUCUGAAUUUUCACAUAUACCCCUUGGCAGUGCAGUUUAAGAUAAUGCUCUCACCUUAAAUUAGGGUUACAAUUUACAGGGGAAGGGUUCUAAAAAUAACCAUCCAGAAUAUAUUUCUAAAAAUAAGCCCCUGUAAAAAAAUCUGAAUUGUCAGAUGCGCGUGUCCUUUGGAACUGCCGCUCAAAAAAAAAUGUUGUUACCCUAAACUAGAGAUCCAUUUUACAGGAAAGCUGGUUUUGUUCAGAUUUUUUAUUUUUUUCGUAUGUAGAGGAAGUUUUUUCUAAAAAGAUGAGAUAUUUUUACUACAAGGAAAUAAUAUUUUGCAGGAAAUUAAGUAUAUAUGCAAUUAGUUAGUACUUUGAUAGAGUAUAAGUGAAAUUUGCUAAAUAUAGUAUGAAAAUGCUAAUGUUGUCAAUCUAAAAAAUCAUUCUUUAAGCUACUAAAUGAAAAUACCUGCCGUGAUGGGACAGUUGUACUGAAAUCCUUUUCUCCAUUUUCCUCAUCCGGGAUGUAUGCUAGUACUACUAAAGCAUCGCCGUAUGGAGCAAUACCAGAAAUGUAGUAACUAGUUUGAAAAGAUGCCACAAUAUCCACAUACUUAGUACUUGAAAUGGAAAUAUUUGUCCGUACACCAUUCACACCAUUGGGAGAAUUAGCUCUAAUGGCAGCAAUCUUUACACUCGUUCCCCAGCCAAUGACCAAGAGAGUGUCAUCCUAGAUACAACAAAUCUUCUUAGCAUGUGACAUAGAAAAUUUCCAGAUUCAACAUAGAAAGAGGAAAGAACCUGCAAUUGCUAUAAACCUUCUCAAAAGUAUUUAAGAAAAAAAAAGAGAAGAAGAAAACAGCCAUCAUUAGCUGAGUUAGGCCUGGCUAGAACUUUUGACAACUGCUGCAUAAUAGAGUUGUUUGGGGAAGCACAAGCAGCUUUGUCAUUACAUUUCCCUAGCAGCUUCUCAAUAACCUAAUUGGAACAUCUGCUUUUGAGGCCCAAACACUCAUUUUAUCAUCUUGCCAUAGCAAAAGCUCUAGAGACUCUUCAUGACAAACUCCUAGUAACUGUUUCUUGAAGUAGAGAAGUUAUACCAGAAACUAAGCCAAACAAACAAAUUAGUGCCCAAAUACCCUCUAAUUUAUUCCUUUAUAAUCAUAAAGAGAGUAAAAUGCAAUAAUAAACAAUCAUGCACUUAAUUCUGCUACUGCCCAUGAUUCAUUGCUCCUCCAUCUUACCUCCACCCCAUCCUGAUAAAGUAUUAACAAUAAAAAUAAAAUAAAAUAAAAAUAAAAGAAGAGACUUCCAGAUCAGAUAGGUAGGCUUUUCGUUGGUAUUCAUUAUAUUCUCCGGUAGCUUGAGUUUCAAAUUAAUACUGAUUCAAAACUGUAGAAAAAUUUUUACUGCCGACCUUUUCAAUUGUCUUAUUUUCUGAUAAUUUAGUGGACUGCCAUCUGAAAUCUGAAAAAUGUUCACCAAUUUCAGCAAAUGGUAUAUCAUUAUUUCGACAUAAAGCAAUUUCCGGCCUGUAAAUACACCACUUACUAGGCUAAAACAAGGCCCAAACUCAAGAUAGCUGAAAUUCAGUCUCAAUAACACACAUAUGCGUGUUACUUGUAUUACUUUACGGGCCAAUAAGAACAGUAUCAUAUAUCUAUUUCUAUCAGUCAGGAACAGUAAAUCUCAAAAAUCUGAAAUGACUUAAUAUUUUGAGCAUGAUGAGGUCAAGCACAACAUUCUCUUUUGAAAUGGUUGCCUCAGCCAGACUACUUCAGAAUGAAAAGGGGAAACUUCACAGAAUAUAUUUUACCUGCCACACCAAGUGAGGAAGUAAAAGCUCUGGACGGGGGAUUCCCCUCGGUCUCUCAAUAAAAGAAAUUCGCUGAUGAUUUGCCAUGUCAUAAACUUUUACUCCUGCAUCAUUAGCCCAAGCAAUAAGACUUGUUCUCCACUUCACGGUAUGAAUUGGACCCUCACCGUCAUGCAGAAUCUGAGAAGAUACAAGGAUGCUGAAUAAUUAAAAUCUGACAAAUCUACAUAUAUGUACCCCCAAAUUACACAUUUAUAUACAUAUAUUCUUGUAAAAUCAGAAUUUAUAUCUUUUCAAAAGUGCAAUUCUUAUAGAAAUACUCGUUUUUAACCUGAGUCAUCCAAUUCAGGUGAAAAUUUGGUUUUGCACAAGAACAAAGCUUUCCAAUGAGGGGCAUUUUGUAAGUAGAAGGGUUAUAUAUUUAAGAAAUUAAAAUUUUGAGACGCAAAUAUGAAAUGAGUCUUGCAGGGGUAUUAGUAUAUACGUUAACAUCUCGAGACACAAGCGGGUACUAAACCGAAAUAUAUUCUAUAUCAAGAAAUAAGACAUACCUGCUUAUUAUAACCUAGCCAGUUCUUCAUGUUGAGAAAUAGUUGACCAGCUAAACCACCCGCGACAAACCUUCUUGAGGAUUUCCGUGAAUAGUCAGGGUCUAGAGCUAUUGCUUUCAUAGGCCGAUGAUACUCGAAUUUCAAUUUUUCAUCCGUAAAAAGGCUGCUUAUAACUACAGAUCCAUCAUCUGAGCAGCUACCAAUAAAUUCACCUUCUGCAUCAAAGCUAAGGUCGUUGACUGUAGCGGUAUGAGCAGCAAAUUCUUUGACCUGUAAAUAUAAAGUGUUGAGAACAUCGGCAUAUUUCGGCAAGAUAAUGGCAAGGAGUAGUAGACAACAGGGCAAAUCAGAAUAAAAAUGACAAGUACUUCUCAAAACAACUAAAAAUCUGGUCCAACCAAUAUGUCGGAACCUCAAAUAUCCUUAAUCUUCCUAAAGAUGAAAAAUCACGCCAUGCAAUCAAAACUACUUCAACUAUAUUGAACCUAAGUUAGAUUCAUCUAAGCACAAACUAGGGAUUGAGUAACUCUAAAGAAUAACAACUAACAUUUUAUACAGCUAUACGCGGUCAGCUAUAUAGGUCGUAUACUUUACAUAAGAUUCUUUGUGAAAUAAAUAUUAUCAUGUAUUUCCUUAUUAUGUCCUCCAGUGUUCAUUAUAAUAUUCCCUUCCCUCAUAAGGCAACUUCUACUUGAAUACUCUUUACUGACACCCCAAGUGGUCUUCUUUGUGCNGGAUAUACCGACUGGCGCAUAUCGACAUAUUUUACAAUCAACAAUAAGAAAUCUCAAUGAGUUAGGGAUCAAACACGAAUCUACUUAGAUUGAAUCCAAGUUAUAUCAACUUCAUCAAAACUAACGUACCGCACUAAAAAGUAGAAAUCCUUCUAAUUCCUAUAAACUCCAAGGCUGUAUAACCAACCUGGUCUAAAAAUCAACAAAACUCUUCAUGAACAGUAAAAAUAAGACUAAACGGGACAACAGAUGAUGAGGAACGGUAAUAGAACGGCUUUAUACGGCUACAAGAGUUGUGAAAUAUAAAUGUCCAGUUUCUUAAACGACGAGUAUGGCGAUGUCAGUUGCUGGAAUCGAAACUACGUCUUCCACUUAAAUAACCAUCGACGAGUCUACUACCUAGACAUCAAUAUUCGUCGGAAAAAUGCCUACUUUUUAACUUUAAGCUCAUAGUAGCCGGAUACUUUCGUUAUCGAGAUCUGGGACUGAUAAGUGCCUUUAGGAGUUCUUCCAAACAGCGCCCACCAAAUCGACCAGUUGAUAAAGAGUUGUACUUCUUGACCGAUCCAAUAUUAUUCGUCCAUACAGAAUAAAGAACUAUAUCUUAUAUAAAGCCAAAUCAUGGGCGAACACAGAGCUCUACAAUUGCAUAUAUGAUUAUGCAUGUAUUUCCUUAUUAUGUCCUCCAGUGUUCAUUAUAAUAUUCCCUUCCCUCAUAAGGCAACUUCUACUUGAAUACUCUUUACUGACACCCCAAGUGGUCUUCUUUGUGCAUGUCCAAACCAUCUCAAUUGGUUCCGCGUGAUUUAACCAGUUGGGUGCUAUACCUAAUUUGCUACUUAAUAGAAUCCUUUCUUUACUUUAUCUUCCAUACUAGCCCCACUAACAUGACUAACUUUAUAGUUGUCUAAUAAAAUCUUCCUUCUACUUUCAGGGGUAUAACAUUAGAAGCACUUCUUUCACUUCUAAUCAUCUUAUGCUUCCGUGCUAGAGCAUAUGGAACGCAGUUUUUUACAAAUGAAACAGUAAAGAUAAAAAAAGAAAAAUUCAUGGUGGAUAAACAUAACUAAGAGGGAUUUCUGUCGUUAACUUGGAUACAUCCAAGUGAAAAAGAUGGCAAAUAGUCUAACAGUGCAUUCAAGAUGUUGAUAAAUCAUCUUAUGCUCCAGUCAUCAAAUAAAAGCUCAUCAUCCAACUACCAUUCAAGAUAACCUACAAAGCAGUUUAUAUUGGGAGCUACACACAAGCCUAUAUGUGCAGGGUAGGGCCCCUCCUUUAAAAAGCAGAUGAUACAAAGGCGUAAAAACAGGGAAUCAAUAUCUAACUUACAAGACCAAGAGAAUAAAAACAAAUGUGAUUGUUUCAAUGAUUGGCUCUCACAAUGCCUAGAUGGUGGAAGUAAUGCUGUAAUUAGGGUACACUAUCUACAAAAGAUAGGGGAAAAAAUAAAAAAACUUUAAUUACUUGAACAAAAAAGAACUGUUCUAAUCAAAAUUAAAAACUACAAAAAUUAAGGUCGAUCUCCCGAUCUUUAUAUUUGAACAUUGAAAAUUCUAAUUCAGUUUUCUUGACCAUAUUUCGGACAGCAAAUCCCCACAUCAACAAUAUUUCACUUCAAAACCAAUCUCAUGACAGAAAUGAUCAUAUCCGUUUGGGCGAUUAAAAAGAAAUUAUUUGACUACAGGAUGUGUCGAUCGCAUCAUAAUUCUACCUCCGAGUUUACUUUACUCAGAAAACCGAUCUAAGCGACCAAAAAUCGUUCUGAGGGAAAAAGAACGGAAUCGAAUCGGAAUCGACCUGAUUGCCCUGGAAAUCGAGGAUGUGGACGGUGCCGUCGUGGGUGCCGAGGGCGACCAUGCGCUCGGCGACGGCGAUGGACGCGGCGGCGUCGGUGGAGAGGAGGGGGGGAACGCUCCCCCCCAUUCUCUGGUACUUGAGCCUCGGCUCCUCCUCGUCCUCUUCCGCCUCCUCCUCUCCCCUGUUCUCUACAUGCUCCUCCUCCUCCUCCUCCUCCUCCUCCUCUUCCUCCUCCUCCUCGUCGUCGUCCUCCUCCUCCCUCUCGUCGUCCCCCUCGACCCCGUUCUCCGAGGGUUGGAGCUCCGACGCCAUGGCUGCUGCGCCGAGAUCCGUGUACAGCAGGAGCUUCGAGAAGCGCCCACGCGAUCGCUCUCUCUCUCUCUCUCUCUCUCUCUCUCUCUCUCCUUCUCUUUCUCUCUCUAGAUUUUUUUUUUUUUUAUCCUGUUUAAUGCUAAACUUCGUGCCAAUUUUAAUCCGGUUCGUUUGUCGUUACGAAAUUAAAAGGAAUUAAUACGAAAAGUCGGGGCGUUUGAUAGAUCCGUUAACCCGCUUAGGACUUAACGGGCGAAAAUGAGGAGCCCAUUAUUAAUCGGAUCGGGUAAUAUAUAUAGUAAGCUUUUUAUCGCCUUGUUUUGAUGCCCAAACAAGUUAUUCACAAACAAAUUAUUAUGACUUUAUUUAAAUACUAGUGUAGUAACCCNCGAAAACUUAAAAUCUAUAUUUAAGAAUAAAUUAUUAUUUAAAGAUUUAUUUAAAAUGGAUGGUUGAAAAUUACUGGACAUGACAAUAUUAGUAAAAAUGAUAGAGACAUUUUUGGAAAGAAAAAAAAUUUAAAACUCACGUUUUUAUAAGUAGUAUAGAUUUGGAGAUAACCUUUGUCUAUAUUGGCCCAAUUAUGAGAGUAGAAAUUAUAAAUAAAACUCAUGAUAGAUGUUGAUUGCAACACAUGCCAUAUUUUAAAUUUUAAAUCAAACAGGACAAAGUUAAAUACUAUAUAGAAUCUAUAAGAGAAUCUUAUUUAAUACUCUCAAUUUAACAUAAUCUAAAUUCUAUUCCAUUAUGUUGUGGCACUUAAUUAAGUUAUCAUCAAAAACUUAUGUGGCAAUAAUUACUACCCUUUUAAAUUAUUAUCAUAUCAUCUCAAAAUUAUUUUUAUUUAGCUACUUAGUUUAACAACUAAUUAACAAUUUGCACGUAAAAGUGAUCUUAAGAGAUAAAUUAAUAGCCAUGCCAUCUCUAGAGAUAGUGUGAUUAUGAAUAUAAAUCGGUUUGUCUUUUUGUUUGACAAACUACAUGGAAUUUAGUAAAAUAUAAUAAACAAAAAAUUGAAGUUCAAUAAUUUAACCGACCGUCACUAGAACAAGUGGCAAAGGGUUUGGUGGUUGGUACCCGAGGUCCCAAGUUCGAAUCCUAGUUGAUUCACAUUUUCAGCUAAGUUUAUUUCUAAAUAAAAUAAAUGAAACGGGUAGCGUGCUACCUAUCUCUCAAAAAAAAAAAGAAAAAAGAAGAAGUUCAAUAAUUUAUUUCUCAAAACCUUUCAAAGAACUAAAUUUGAAAUAAGGUAUAAAUUACAUUGUAAAUAAAAUAUGUUAUCUCUUUCCAAAUCAGUAAUGUUAAGAUUCUUCAAAGAUAUUUAAACUUUUUAUUUCAAAUCACAAAAAAAAAACCAAAUAAGUUAUUAUUAAAUAAUUUAUUUUCAUAUAUCUAUUAUCUAUUACUCAAAGUUUGUCGGCCAUUUGGAUCUCAUCAAACGAUUAAAAUGAAGAGUACUCUGUCAUUUUUGUGUGACAAAAAUACCCCUCCUCCAUAUCCGUAAUGUUCAUCCUAUGUACUGCCGCGUUUUUCUAAUGACCAAUCAUUUAAUUACGUAAAGAUAAAUUUAUUUCUAGUUAUCUAAGGUAAUACGACAGCCAAUCAUAUGCCUGCGCUAAUCACGUGAAUAUUGAAAAUUAAAUUUAUUUCCUAGCCACACAUUUUUUCAAAUAUUUUUCUUAUCAAACAUAUACUGUCAACCAUAUAUUCAAAAAAUAAAUUUUAAUUCUGUAAUUGCGCAAAAUUUAAUACCACGCGAAUUUGAUUUUUUUUUUGCGUAUUUUCUCAUUUUCAAGCUGUAGGUUUUUUAUAUAUAAAUAGUAUAUUUUUUUAAUUGUAUCCUUGGUUUAUUUUUAUCUAUAUUUUUUUUCAAUAUUUUUUAGUAAUAUUUUCUCAUUUGUUACAGCGGUUACAUCGUCAUCGUACCUACUUAUCAUCAUUGUUGUGUGCUGGUACAUGUGUCGCCCCGUUCACCACCGUUAGUCUAAUUAAAGAUGGUAUUUUAAUUCUAUCUGAAAUUUUUUCUUUUUUUUAAUAUGCCUUAUCUGUUUAAGUUUUUUUUUUUGUUUUUUCUUAGUUUCUAGAUACGGUUCUCAAAUACUAAAGUAUAAUUUUUUAGUAAUAUAUAUUUUAUUUUUAUUUAUAUAUUUUUAUAAAUACUUUUAAAUAUUUUUUUUGUAUAUAUUCUAUUUGUCCCCCGUUGUCGACAUGGUCAUCGUAAUCAUUUAUCACUGAGCGACAAUUUCACCUUCGCCACCUCCGCUUCGCACAAUUUUGAAGAGUAUUUUGAGUCCCAUCUAAAAUUUCUCUUUUUUUAAUAUGUAUCUUUAUACGGUUUUAGUAUUUUUUUAGUUUUUUUAUUUUCUAUACUUAUAUUAUUUCAAAAGUAUGAAGGUAUAUUUUUUAGUAAUAUUUUUUUUAUUUUAUUCUACUAUUAUUUUUCUUAAGAUAUUUUCAAAUAUUUUUUUAAAUAAUAUUCUUUUUUUAUUUAUCUCCGUCGUCGUGAACGCGUACAUCAUCCAUAUUACUCUCUGUACAUAUCCGCCUUUGCAAUAAUUAGAGAAUAUUUUAAUUUAAUUUUGAAUUGUCUUUUUUGCUAAGUGCCUUAUACUGUUUUAGCAUAUUUUUUUUAGUAAUUUGCUCAUUGUUUACCUAUAUUUUUUUCAAAUAUAAACAUAUAUGUAUUUAGUUAAUAUUCUUUUUUUUUAUCUAUAUUUUUUCAAAUUUCUCAAAUAUUUUUUUAGUAUAUUAUUCUCAUUUGUCACCAUUGUCGGUAAUUAGACUGCUCAUCUUUCUCAUCGUUUAGCCGUCAUGGCGCCAAACUGAUUGUCGCCUUCGUCAACUUUAUUACUACUGCUAUGUCUAUAUAUUCAGUUUCUUUAGAUGUUUAGAAAUAAUUUGUCUAAAUCAAUUCUACAUCUUUAUUUUGUAUGGUGUUAAUCGUUCUAAACGGGUGAAGGUUAAAGCAGUUUCUCUUUUUAUCAUUCCACAUACAAAAAUUAUUAUAACUAAUUUUUGGAUGGAUUAAAGUAUGAAUGAAUUAGAUUAAUCCUCAUAGGACACAGAUAUGUUGCUAACACACAUAUGGCAUGAAAAAUUAUUAAUAACUAAUUAUUUGAUGGAUUGAAGUAUGAAUCGAUUAGAUUGAUCCUUUAGGACAAUGAUAGUGCUAUUACAACAAUUUAUUUUUGUAUUAAAACAUCGUCACGUUAAUAUCGAUAAUUAGAAUAAAUGUAUUUUUAAUAUUUUAUUUUUCUGUUGUAUUUUCAAAUUUUUAUUUAUUAGGAUCAAUUUAUUAGCAAAAUUUGUGAAUAAAUGUGCUUAAUCUAUCUAUUCCAAAAAUCAAGAAAUAAAAUCAAGCUAAAAUUUUUAUUACUUAUAUGAUUUUAUUAAAUUUUAUAUUUUAUUAAUUUUAUUUUCUGAUGAUUACUAAUAUUUACUUAUUAUUUUUCUUACUUUCAGUGCAAUUUGUAUGGAAGAAGACUGAUGUUGACAUUUUCAGUUAGUUUAGAUAGAUUUUGUGUUCUUUCUUUGAUGAUAUUGUAUUCUAUUUCUAUUUCUUGGUAUUUUAUUUUUUUGGUAAUAAUUAAAUAUUAUAUUAUCGAUCUAUAAUAUUUAUUAUAAAAAAUUUAUUUGUUAGUAUUGGUGUGACGUGCAUUGCCGUGCACUUAACUAGUAUAUAUAUAUAUAUUAUAUUAAUAUAUUAUUAUAUAUAUAUAUAUAUAAUAUAUAUUAUAUAUAUAUAUAUGAGUGCCUCUACUAUACUUUCGAAAGUACGGGAACCUCCGUGCUUGUAAGUUGUUUUCGAUGAUAGGAUAUCCGAUUCGACGAUCGGCUCUAUUAGGUAUAAUCUACUCUAUUGGAACUAUCUAGAAACCAAAUUUUAUAAUUUUUUGACAUCAUUUACUAAGCGAUCAAAACGUCCCAAAAAUGACUAUUUUAAUGGCCAAUGCGGCACGUUUUUAAGUUCAACAGUAUAGAAGUAUCCAAAUUACAUGAAAAUUUAAUAGAAAAUUCUACUUAACGUCAAUAGCAAGAUCAAUACUUUCGAUUUGAAAUUUGAGUCCUUUAUCAUUAUUUUUUAUGAGAUUUUUAUUUUCAACCGUUUAUUUUGAGGCUACUCAUUUACUAGACAAACGAAGUCAAAAAAUUAUAACAAUUGGUUUCUAGAUAGUUCCAAUAGCGUAGAUCAUGUCUAACGGAACCGAUAGCCGAAUCGGAUGUCCCAUCAUCGAAAACAACUUGUAAACACGGAGGCCUCCGUACUUUCGAAAGCAUAGGAGCCUAGCUCAUAUAUAUAUAUAAAUAUAGAGUUGAGCUAGAAUACUAUCGGUAGCAAACGGGCUCCGUUGCCACCAAUUUGUUUUCGAUGAUGGAGCCUCCAAAUCGACGAUCAGCACCGUUGAACAUGAUCUAUACCACUUGAAGUUUUUAGAAAUCAAAUUUCAUACAUUUUCGAUAUUAUUCUCUUAUCCAUCGAGUGGACAAAAAAAUGAACCGUUGGAAAUAAAUAUUCUUUAAAAAAUGAUGUUAGGAGUCUUGUAGCCAAGAUCAAGAGUAUAGAUCUUGUUUUAGAUAGUUUAAAAAAUUUUCUAACAAAAAUUCAAUUGAUUUGGAUAUCUUUACACUGUUAAACGAGAAAAAGCCUCAUAUCGACCAUUAAAAUUACAAAAUUUAAAACCCUUUGAUCAUUAGGCAAAUAAUGUCGAAAAGAUUUAAAAUUUGAUUUCUAAACACUCAAAGUGGUAUAGAUCUUGUUUAACGGUGCCGAUCGUCGAUUUGGAGGCUCUAUCAUCGAAAACAAAUUGGUGGCAACAGAGCCCGUUUGCUAUCGAUAGUAUUCUAACUCAACUCUCUCUCUCUCUCUCUCUCUCUCUCUAUAUAUAUAUAUAUAUAUAUAGCUAAUUUAAAUUUUAAAUUAUUUAAACAUGACCAGUUAAAUGAGUUUGGCAUAGAGAAAAAUACACUAAUAAAUUGCUUCGUAAAGUUUCAUUUGAUAGUAUAUAACUGUAAGGAUGGUUUGGUUCAAGGUUUGUAAUAUUUUAAAAAUAUUAUAUAUUUUAUAUUUGGAAUGACAAGAUUACUACUAACUUUUACCCUUCUUUGAAUAAAAAACUUAAUUAUAAUCCUAAUCAAAUUUCAAUAUUUUAUUAAUUUUUCUAAUACAAAUAUAUCUAAUUCUAAUUCAAAACUUUUAAAUUCAUCUUCCUAAAUUUUAAAAAUUUAUUCCACAGGGAAAAUCAUAAAAAUCUAAACAACAUCUAUAAAAAAAUCAAUAAAAUAAUAAUUCUAAUAAUUAAAAAAUAAAAUUUUGUUUUUUUUUUUAACAGCAUCACAUGAUGAAAAUUUAUACAUUGAACAAAAAUAACUAUUGGAGUUAAAUUAGAUAGUGGAAAAUUAGUUAAUAGUUUAUGUAAAUAAGGUAUUAUUUUAGCACAUUCUCAAAAUUUGAAAUCAUUAGAGUUGUUAAUAUUAGUACUAUAUUUAAAAUCAUAAAUAAUCAUAAAUUGUUUCACAAGUGUCCUUCUUGUGAGACAUUCAUUUAUCAUGCAUUUAUCAAGUGUACAAAAUAUAACCUUUUAUAUUGCAAAAAUAUAAAAAAUGUACUCUUUUUUUUCAAUUUAACAUGUUUUCAAGUAUAAAAAAUAAUUUUAUUUUUCAAGAGAAGAGAUAGCUUGUAGAUUGUAUAAAGUACUAAUUUGCCAUCUUAUGGUACAGCGUAUUUUCACUUUUCCAGUAAGUUUAACCUUUUUACCCUAUAAUUUUUUAUUUUUAUUUCACUGUAUGGGAUGGAAUAUGAAAAUAUUAUAAUUUGUAAACCACAUUAUAGUAAGUAAUACAUUUUAUGAAUAGCAAAGACAUAAAACAUGGCGUUUUAAUAUCUUAUAAUUUGCAUUUAAUUAGGUUAUGUUGGAUGUAUAAACAUUCUAUUCGGUAUAUAUCUUUGAUUUAUUAGAAAAGUGUAUAGUAUUUAACUAGAUAAAAAGUGAAAUCCGGUGCUUAAAAUGGAUAUCAUAUUCAACUUUCAAAUAUUUUUCUAAAUAAGAUAAAGUACUUCUAAAAUAUAUUAUUUUAUUAAAUUAUAGAUGUUAAAACUUUUUAAAAAGCAAAAAUUAAUUCCUACCUUGCAAUUGCAUAAGAGAAUUUUCAUAACAAAUAACUUUUCAUGUAAUAUCUUAUUCCAACAUCUAAGCAAGGCCUAAACUACCAUAUAAUUUGUAAAAUAUAUUACUUUACAUAUUCUUAACGAAAUAUCCUUUAUGGUUCUUCUGUUUGGAUAUACUAACACCUUGUUUAGUAUAUCUUUUUAACUUACUUAAAAAAGCUUCCUAUGAUAUAUUAGAUCUUAGUAAAUAGGCAAGAUUGUAGUAAGAAUUUCCAGUUAGUAUUUUUUUUUUUUUCGUAGUGCUUGAUUGAGUUGAAGACGUUUUAGCGUGAAAUAGACGCAAACACGAACUCCAAAAUUCAAAAUUUAGCUUGUGGGAAAUUAAACUAAAUAAUAUAAUAUGGAUAUAGAAGUUAGUAUGCCAAUUUUGACGAUACAGAACAACCUAAUCGCAAAUCUAAGGAGCAAAAUGAUAGUCAGGACGACGAGGUGAUCUGCUACCGCUCUCCUAGUCAGAACAACAGCCACAACACUUCAGAGUGGUUUGAAAAAUUUCUCAUCAAAAUUAUGCAAAAUCAACUCCUAAAACGUAUAGAAAAUAAUUUCUAACUCUCAAUUUCUUUAAAGAUUCAUCAAAAAAGUAUAAACAAAAAUUAAUAAUAUUAUAUAUAAGGUGUAUUCUUGUGCAUGCGGCUGAUCUUUUUGAUGUAACCGGACUUCGCUGUAACACUUGUAUAAUAUUUGAUAUAUGAUAAGUGUGAUAAUGUAUAGAAUAAAAUAACAUACUUGGCCUCUAUGUUGGUUUUUUGAAAUAAAAUAAAUUACUUCAUAGGUGAAACUUACUAUCCUCCCAAAUUGAGAAUGUCAAAACUUUUAUUAAGGUCUAGUUUAAUAAUGCGGUGACUACAAACAUCAGUUUUAUACUACAUAAAAAUAAUACUUAAAAAAAGCAUGCGAUUUUAACUGAAAUUUUAUAGUAUAAAAGAAAAAAAGUUGUAAGUACUUGUAAAUUUCUUGUGUCUUCUAUUACUAUAAAAAUAAUUUACAAAAUUAAGCCUAAGAAGUAAAAAAAAAAAUCAAUCUCCUUGCUCUUAAUCACAAUACAAAAAUUUCUUGCUAAAUAAGUUAUCAACAAAUAAUUUAGUCCAGCAUCCAAAUAUGAAUUGUUAUGAAAUAGAGAGACAAAUGAACAUGGGCCGAACAACAUGGGCCUCAUGCCUUAUUAAAGGUUUUUUUUUAUUAUUAUUAAAGGGUAAAUUACACUUAUGGUUCUAAAAAUAUGAGACGCGUGACGGUUUAAUCCUAAAUUUUAAUUCAUUGUAAUUUUUAAAUCAAAUUAUAAGAUGUGUAGCGUUUCAGUUCUCAAACUUUAGUUAAUUAUAAUUUUUGAUUCAAGCUAUAAAGCAUGUGAUAUUUUAGUUCUCGAUCCCUCAAUAAUGUAGCAAUAUCCUACUUGACAAUAUAAUAAUAAUCAAGAUACUAUAUCACCUGGAUAUGAAUUGAGCUGGAAUGCUUUUAGAAGCAUUACCCUCUUGGUGCUUAUAGGUUUUUAACCCUUGGAUCUACUCCUUAAUUACUAAUAAUCUUUGGAUCAAACACUAUUCUAUCUAUCACCACCUAUCAUCAUCAUCCCAACCCUACAUCUCUCAAUCUAAGAAUUAAAAAUUCAAAAGCACCACCCUCUUGGUGCUUUUGAGAGUAUUCUAGUUCAACUCCCUCGAUAUUAGUAAUUCAUUAACUAUAAUAAUUCAAAAAGCGUGUCCUUAUAUUUUGAGUUAUAAAAUAUAACUAAUUAAAAUUUGUGGACUAAAUUGCUAUCAGAAUUUAGUUAUAAUGAAUUACAGUUUGAAGAUUAAAAUAUUACACAGUCAUAGUUUGAGAGGACUAAAAUGUAAUUUACGCUCUCUCGUUUUUUUUUUUUAAUUUUUUAAUAAGUUGUCCUUGUUGGGUAGUUUUUUUAGCAACAUCACCGUCCACAUCAGCACGUGUUGGGAGCCCAAAAGCCGCGCACAGCUGUACACUCCGGUGCCACGCGGCGCUUUUUCAUUGGCUUCGGAGUCUCCUCACGUGGCGUUCCACAGCUCGUCCCCGUCGCGCCACGUGUCUCCCGUUCAUCACCCCUCGAUCGACACGCGAGCGUUGACCUAUGGCUGACCCUCCGAUCUCAACCGUCCAAUGCUGCUCGGCCUUUUCUUCGCAAUAUCCACCGUCCGAUCAUAUGUCGGCACUUCGGCGGGAGAUAUUGCUUGUCCUUGGUGUACUCAUACAUCUCAUGCACCGUACUUAAAAAUUAAAAUAUAAUCUAAUUGAUAUGAUUUAAAAUAUUUUGAAAUGUCUAUAUUCAUUAAAUAUAAGUUCUAAAAAGAUAAAACAUAAAUUGAAAUUUAAAUGUUUUCUAAAUGUUAAAUUAAUCUGAAAAAUUAAUUGGUAUAGAUAAAAUAUUAGUCUAUUUAUAGUGAUAAUAAUAUUCGAUAUUCAUGAAUUUUUCAUACGUAAAUCUUUUAGUGCCAUAGAUUAUUAUAGAAGACAUUUGAUGGAUUAUUAUUUUUAAAGGCUCUAAAUUUAUUAUUGAAACAUGGAAUGAUUAUAAAAAUAGAAAUAAAUAUUAUUUGAUUCAUAUAUAAAAUCAAAUUCAGAUUUGAAAACAUCGACGUCGGAUGUUGAUCUGAUGAUUCUAAAAAUAUUAAUGGCAAAUAUAUGUAUUGGAUCUAGUUAGCAUAUAUUUUGACUAAAAGUAACUUAUAUUAAUUGAAGAGUUAGUUGCAUAUCUCUCCAUACAAAACAAUGAAAUUGUAUAUUUAACUCCAUAAAAUAUUUUAGUUAUCACAUUUAUUUUUUAAAAAUACAUAGUUCAUAAGUAUACCUCUCGUCACUACUUAGUCAGUUAAAGUUAAAUUUUCAAUAUUUUAAAUUAGAUUUAAUAUUAUUUACUAAUUUUAAUAUUGUUCUUCUAUUUUUUGUGUCAUUCUACACAAACUACAAAUUGUAAAUUCCAAAAAAAUUCUAUAAAAAUUAUUUUUUACAAGAACAGAUUUGUUGAUUUAGAAUUUUAAAUAGAUUAUUUGUACACCAUUGAUACAAAUUUGUUAAGAAGGAGUGCGGUGCACGGUGCACGGUGCACCGGGUGCACGCAAGUAUUUUCCGUCAGUAGUAUCAUGGGAUAUGUAUAAAUAGCGUGGACCAAUAGAGUAAAGGGGCCUACUAUUCCCGUUGCAACGCUCCGUUCCGUUUUUUCCAUUUUGCGCUCUUUUUAAAUCACCGGUUGAGGAAGGUCCUAGAAGCUACUUUAUUUUUUUUAAUUAUAAUUAUAAUUAUAACAUAUAUUUUCUUCUUAGAUCUCCCUCUAGGGUUUCCUCGUCGCCUCGAUCGCUCCGACGAAUCCACCUCCUUUGAGCAUUUGCUACGGUUUUAAUGGUAAAUAAAUGACCCCCUCCCCCGAUUUUUGGGGUUUUCUUGGUUUGAUUUGAGCUAGUUUGUGUUGUUUGAUCCAAAUUUACGCCUUAAAUGCUUUGAUUCUAUGUUCGGAUCUUACUUUGGGGUGAUUUUUUUUGGUAGGAUUCGUCUACGAUGAAGAGCGGAGCGCUAGUGCUCACGGAUGAGGUCGGUUUCUCUGUGCGUGCGGUGAGGGAUUUGGGGAUUGAUGGGGCAUCCUUUGAUGAUGCUGUUGUUAUUACCCAAUGCGGCUCUUUGGGUAAGAUCGAUACGCUUUUCUCUUUAGUUGGAUGUGUAAAAGGCCCCAGAAUUGUGAUUUGGUCAUUAAUUAGAAGUUUUGAGGGGUUAAAUAUUCAACGGGGGUUUAAUUUGUUAGGUUUGUGGUUUCCUUUUUGUUUGGUUAGUACUUUAAAUUUCUAAGAGAUUGGUUUGGUGUAGAAUGAUGAACCUUAGAAAUUUUGGAAGUGAUGAACUUCAAUUAAUUAUUCUACAGGGUUUAAUUUGUUUGGUUUGUAGUUUCCUUUUAUUUGGUUAGUACUUUUGAAUUUAUAAGGGAUUGCUUUGGUGUAGAAUGAUGAAACUUAGAAAUUUGGAAAUGAUUGCCUUUAUUUAAUUAUACUACAAGGUUUAAUUUGUUUGGUUUGUAGUUUCCUUGUUGUUUGGUUAGUACUUUAAAUUACUAAGGGAUCCGUUUGGUGUAGAAUGAUGAAACUUAGACAUUGGAAAUGAUUGCCUUUUCCUAUUAAACUAUCAGAUUACGCAGAUCCCUUAGGGUAUGCCAAACUAGAUGUACAUGGUUUCUGAUGAUUAUUAGCUUUCUCCUCCUUUUUGUAGUUUUCACUUGGGACCCUCAUUCCAUGAUGAUUAUUAUUAUUUCUAUCUUUCAUAAAUUCCAAUAUGAAGUUACCAGCAGUAUUCAGAUAUCUCCCCCAUCAUUUGCAUUUCUUCUCGCUGUUUAAAUCUUUAAAAAGCCUAGCGAUUAACCGCUAUCGACAUCAUGAAUGAAUUGGAAGCUAUUAGGGCCUGGUCAAUGGCAACUAUUUACAUGAAUAAAAGUUACAUGAAUAAAUAUAUCAAGAAGAGUGUUUUUAUUGUGUGUGGCCUAUUCUCUCUUUCAUUAGAUGUUUGAUUGCCUCAGUAGUAGAAAUAACUACAAAUAAGUCUAAAGGAGGUAAAAACAUGGACUUUGUCUUUUCCCUCUUCCAUGUGUGCAGAAACUUUCUAGGAUCUAAUUCUCUAUAGACUAAUAAAUCGUAGUACUUGUCAUACUUGCUGGGUUUAAAUAAUGCGGGAGUAAGCAUAUUAUGAAGUGUUUAAUAGUGAAUUAAUGGUCUUCCAGUUCUUUUCUCCUCAUAAACCAGCCAAACAAAUGCCUUUUCCUCUUCUCUUCUUCUAUUUGCAUCAAGAAGAGUUGGAAGAAUCCAUUUUUACACCUUUUUUCUUCCUACUUUUGUAGUUUUUACUUUUUUCUCUCCUAGGCAUGCCAUCGGCACAUUAUGAAUUGAUUUUCCAUCAUUGUAGCAAUAGGUAGACAUGAUACUUAAAUUCCAGCUUGAUAUCCUUUGAGAGUGAUAUUGUCCUUUGUCAGUUGGUUAUCAUGCAAUUGGUGCAUCAAAGGCUUUCAUAACUUAGCUCCAAUUUUUUCAGAAGACACCUUGAUUUGUUAACUUAUGGCCUUUCAUACAGGUGGCAAGUUGCCAUUUGGAGCCGCAUCCUUUGAUUCUGUUCUUGCUGUUCUGAGAAGCCCCGAAUCUUCUGGAGAGCUUUGGCUUGGAGAGAUUGGUCGGGUGUUGAAAUCUGAGGGGCAGAUUAUUAUACAGACUUAUCUGCCUUCCACUUCACUGGAUAAGGUGGAUUGUACAUCUCAUGCUGAUUUGCAUAUUGUACUUUUUUUAAGUGAAUAUUUGAUGCUGAAAGUUUGUAAAAUCUAACUCUUUAACAGCCAAGCAACACAUUAGAGCGCAAACUGCUCUUGUCGGGGUUUGUCGAAAUCCAAGCCUUCGCACCGGCUCAAGAUGGUCAAUCCGUUACGGUGAGUCAAGUCCUCUAUUCUAAAUUGUUGACCUAUCCUGCUUCUUAGUCAUGUGAUAAAGCCGUAUAGGCGCAACCUGAACUAUGAGCUUUUUCAAAUGGGUAUACGAACUUAAAACUUUUGAUUUCAGUACCUAAGUUUCAUCACAUUGGUUUCAAUACUUCUUUGUCAGACAAUAACACUUUUGUAGCUUUAGUUACGGGAUAUUCGUAACAGAAUAUUCUAUUAUUUAAUAGAAUAUUCCUGAUGUCCACCUUUUGAAAUUAAAGAAACUUUAAAGUUUAGAUGCACAUUUUGAGGUGUGCUAUAUUUCAGUCAGUACUGUAUGGUUUUCCUAAUCAUCUUUCCCCUUGGCUUCUCAAUGAUUAUGCCCUUCAUGUGUGCUAGAUUAAGGGUAAGAAGGCUUCUUGGACAAUGGGGUCAUCUUUCCCCCUCAGAAAAGAAGCAAAGAUCCUUCCCAGGGUUCAGAUUGACGAUGAGUCAGAUUUGAUUGAUGAAGAUAGUCUCCUAACUGAAGAAGACCUGAUGAAACCACAAGUACCGAUAGGUUCGCUUUUAGACCCUUUCAUUUUGUCUAGUUGGUUUGCUGAUCCUUAUUCCUGCAUAGAUAGUAACAGUUAUUUAAUGCUGUAAACAGUUGGAGAUUGCGAAGUUGGAAGCACUAGAAAGGCCUGUAAAAACUGUACGUGCGGCCGGGCUGAGGAGGAGCAGAAAGUGCAGAAAUUGGGGCUUACUGCAGAGCAGAUAGAUAAUCCUCAAUCUGCUUGUGGUAAUGUAAGUGACAGAUUACUGAGCAAUCUCGUGUGAGUUUGAAAUGAUAUUUCUCAAAAAUAGUGCUGCCACACCAAUAAAUUAACAGCUACAACGCUUAUAAAAUCAUGUUCCCAAAAAAGAAUGUGCAUUUAAAAUCAUAAAUAUGUGAUUAUUCUCUCAGAUCAAAUGGGAGAAGUUAAUUAAACCACUGAAUGAUGUUCCAUCAUCAAUUAAAGAAAACUCAACCACCAAAGAGAAGUUUAGUUCAUGGAAUUUGGUUGAUAGUUUGGGUACUUCCUGGAUAAUGCACCUCGAGUAUUGCUGCUAAUUACAAGUUUCGAGUUGUUGAUAUUGUUUUUGUUUUUUUUUUCUUUUGUUUAAUGAUUUUUGUGUGUGAAUCUUGUAGUGUGGGCUUGGUGAUGCAUUCCGCUGCGGCGGAUGUCCCUACAAAGGCCUUCCUCCAUUCAAGUUGGGUGAAAAGGUGGCUUCACAAUCUCUUCUUGUUAUUCAUCAUGCGAUUUAUGUCCUCAUUUUGUAUUCAGUUGCUUUAAAUAUAUUUUGGUGGUUAUUUGUAGGUUUCAUUGUCCGGCAAUUUCCUUGCUGCGGAUAUAUGACAGCGGACUGAUAACAGCACUAGAUAGUUAUGAUUGUUUUCGCAAAAGAUGAGCGGAGAUAUUACCUCAUUAGUCUGAUCUCAAGUUGAUGGAAAUGAUAGGAGCUUUUCGUUUCAGUUCUUUUACUUUUGUCGCCUUCUUUCAUAGGAUACUGCAUGUUGGCUGUCUUGAGAGAUUUUAAGCUACAUACUGAAUAUGAAGUUGUAGUAAUAAUUUAAUACUUCUAUCGAUUGAAAACACACAUUAUGUUCUGCAUUGUAAAAUAAAUCAUUUUGGUUCAAUUUAUUUCACCAUAGUUGGAGUGUCUUUGGCUGCUGUGUUAAAUGAUGCAAGGGAAUGUAAUGUGAGACCAACUUGGAAAUUCUCUCUACAUCCACUUAUUUUUAACAAUUCAAUGCAACCCUUUUUUCUUUUUCUUUUUUUUUUUUUUUUCUGGGAAAACUUCAAAUAUUAUCUGUGGUUUUUUGCUUUCUCACUUUAAUAUCCUGUGGUUUAAAGUGUAUUAUUUUAGUUUUUUUUUGUGGUUUUGUUUUUUUUCUUUUCGACGUUACUUUCAUUAACUCUUCGUUAAAUUAUAUAGAAAAAUCUUUAGAUAUAGGCGGUUGAAAAAACUUUAGAUAUAGGCGGUUUAUCGAAUAUUUAUUUUAAUAUCUCGUGGUUUAUCGAAUUUGCACUUAGUAUCAUGGAAUUUAAAGUGUAUCACUUUAGUAUUCUUUGGUUUCGCUUUUCUCUUUCCAUUAGCACCUUUGUUAAUUCUCAGUUAAAUCAUGUAAAAAAAACUUUAGAUAUCUUAUUUAUGAUUUAUCGAAUAUUCAUUUUAAUAUCCGUGGUUUAUUGAAUUUUCACUUUAGUAUUCUAUAGUUUUAACUUUCGCACUGAUUUAAUAAAAAAAUUAAGGGAGGGAAUAACGAAAAGAGAAAACCAAAUUGAGCGAUACAUUUUGAACCAUAGAGUACUAAAGUGAAAAAAUGUGAAAUUACAUGAUGGAAGUAGAUAUAGGUGAAAUCGCACGCAUCAAUUACAAUAACUAUAGAUAGUGUACUGUAAAAGCUGCAACAGGCGCACAAAAUUGACGGUAUUAAGUAUGAUCGUCAAAUCAUUACUGUUUGGCUCGGUGGUAUUGUAAGACUCCAGUUAAUCGUAUAUAUAAAAGAUAUAAUAGGGCUAAAAUUUUUAACCCAGCUUAAUUAUUUUGGGUGGUGACUAAAUUCACCAAGUUAAAAAAGUUAAGCGUGCUAGGAUGGAAGUAGUCCUAAGAUAGAUGACUCCUUAGAAAGUCGGGGUCCUAAGAUGGGUGACUCCUUAGGAAGUCGGGGUGUCACAGGUAUAGCUCGCUGGUGCAUUGAAGACUUUCAAAUUUUUGAUUUUCUUUCUGCAGCUACAAAUAGAUUGUGCAGCAGACAAGAUAAUUGCAAAAAUGUCAAAAAAUAAAAAAUGACAAAGGCAAAUGGCGUCGCCCGGACUCGAACCGGAGACCUUCAGUGUGUUAGACUGACGUGAUAACCAACUACACCACGACACCUCUUGUGUCAGGUUCUUAUUUCUUUUCUACAUAAAUAUAUUAAAUAUGUUAUUUUUUAUUUUCCCCCAUUAAAUCCUUAACAUUAGAGCCUAUUAUAUCCCUAGCCUUUACCAUUUAUCCCUUCGAUCUCUAACGGCAUCGAUUGCGUCAAGACUAAUUGCACUUACCUUCAAUAUCGUCCUCCAUGUCUAUGAUCACCUCGACCUCAUACAGGAAUAAUAUUACUAUCUUUAUUGGAGCAUCUGAUGCCCCUGGUGUGGAACAAGACAUACAGUUAACUCCUCAAGAAAGUUAAAACAGUUGGCGUUAAGAUUGAUUGGGAGAUACUAAAUCGUAAUCGUAUUUUAUGUUAGCAGGUAAAGCUUUAUUAGUGUGGUGUUCUAGAGCUUAGUCGUUGGGCUUGAAUACAGUGGAGAUAGUCGAUCGAGACAUCUGUAGAGUGUCGCGUCGAGUGGGAGUUGUCUUAGCGCGAAAUGGACGCAACAACGUUUAGUUAUGACCGACCGUCUCUAGUGCAAGUGACAAAGAACUUAGUGAUUGAUACUCGAGGUCCCAAGUUUGAAUCCUCACGUUUCAAGCGAAGUUUAUUUCUAAACAAAAUACAUGAAGCGGGUAGUAUACUACCUCUAUCUAAAAAAAAAAAAACGUUCAGCUAUAAAACAUGUGGAUAUUUCUUGGAUGUGAUGUAUGUACAGUAUGACUUUAUUUAUAUUAGUUAUUUUUAUUCCAAUUUUGAUGUUAAUUGUAAUUGUAGUUCUUUAGUUAUAUUUUACAGGUUUAAACGCUCAGUAUGCAUGGAACUUUUCGUAUAUACGACGGAUCUGUUGACGUACUCGAAUUUUCGCUGUAAUCCGGGACGUGACAAUUAAAGAAGGCAUGAACUAGUCUAUUAAAAUUUGCUUGAAUGUGAAUUAUUGGGAACCAACCUACAACAAAAUAUAAAGAUUGUUAUUUUUUUUUUCCUAAAAAGGAGGUUGAAUCUAAAGCACACAUAGAUUUCCAGAAUAUUUUAUUAGUACAUUCUUUGUUAGUUAGUGUAAAAAGAAUAUAAAUUGUAGAGGCAAUUGCUUAUAUAUUUCUGAAAAUUUUUCGACUUUCUGAUUUACUUCUCUUAGAAAGUUAAUAUUGAAAAUACUUUUUUUAUGUUCCAACCUAUUUCAAAUAUAUCCUUAGAGUUAAAAUUUGUUAAUGAACUCUGUUAUCUCUAUUAAAUUACUAUUUUGCUCUUUCAAAUAUACCCUUCCACCAUCAUUAACUUUUCCUAUUUGCCCUUCAGUUAGGAAUAUAAAAAGUAUUUUGCGUUUUGAUCUUUUCAAAUCUACCAUUCUACCAUCACUAACAUUCCUUAUUUGCACUUAAGUUAAGGGCAAAAGUGCUAUUUUAAUUUUUUUUUAACUGUUGUAAAUAAUUAACUCACGUUUAACCCAAGUUAACUUAACGGGUGGCAACGACAGGGGUAUUUUGAAAUAACAGAGGAACAUAUGAAUGGUAUAUUGGAAAGAACAAAAAAAAGGAAUAAAUAAGCUAUUUUUGAAGUAUUGAGGGAUAUAUUAGCAAUUAUUCCUAAAUUGUAAUACUAAAUUGUGGACUUGUUCUUGAAUUGUUAGGUCAUAAAAGCCAAAAACUUUUUAAUUCAAAAUCUUUGAAAUUCUAACUUAAUGCAACUAACUUUGCACAGAAUCAAAGCAGCGGCGCCUGAUCAAAAGCUCUGUUUAGGUCAACAAUUCAAAAGCACUUUUCACCCUUUGAAACUCGUGUUCUUGUUAAGAUAAAUUGACUAAAGAUAUAUAAUAAUUUCUACACAAAUUUGGAAAAUCAUGCGAAGUUUAUUUUUGACCUGCUAGAUGGUGCUGGUCAAUAGACCGAGAGAAAGAAAAAAAAAAAAAAAAAUCUAAAAUGUAUCAGUCACACCACCCUAACUAAUUAAAUGGGAAAACUUCAAAUAACCCCCUGUGGUUUCACUUUUCUCACUUUAGUACCUUGCCAUUUAAAGUGUAUCAAGUUAGUAUCCUGUGAUUUCACACUUUCGCACUUUAGUACUCUGUGGUUUAAAAUGUAUCAAGUUAGUACCAUGUGGUUUCGCACUUUCUCACUUUAGUACCCUGUGGUUUAAUAUUUCAUUAACCGAAAAAUGAAACUACAGAGUACUAAUUUGAUACAAAAAUAAAACCACAUGGUACUAACUUGAUACAAAAAUAAAGCCACAGAGUACUAACUUGAUACAUUUUAAAUUACAAGAUACUAAAGUGAGAAAGUGCGAAAUUAUAGGGUACUAACUUGAUUCACUUUAAAUCACAGGGUACUAAUCGUAAAUUUUGAAAAGUAUUUUUUAAUGGUUUCCUAUGAAAAAGUAAGUUUUAAUUGGCUUGUGACAAAGAUGAUAUGAUAUGUUACGGAGAAAACCAGCUUCCAGAAAAGACAUAUUGAAUCUAAAAUUAUUCAAAACAUUAUGUCUAAAUUCUCCAUUUUNGAAGCGGGGGGUCCUUAGCGGCGUCGUCACCGGCGCCGUCACUGGCGCCGUAGCUGUUGGCAGAGAAGGUGACAAAAAAAUUAUAGAAAAAACAGAAAAAAAAGAAAUAAAGAUAAAAAAUUAUAUAAAAAGAAGGAUGAAGAUGAAAUUACAUCGUUAAUUACAAAAAAAAUUAUAAGUUGCACUAUUUAAGAUGUAAACUGCUGUUUUAAGAUAAAAUUUAUACUCUUUGAACGAAAAUUAUACUAUUUUUUAUCUUAAACUGCAUCCUUUUAGGUGAUAUUUAUACUGUUUCUCUUCUUGUUGCACUGUUUCUCCUGUUGUUGCAUUAUUUCUCCUCUUAUUUACACAGAAAUGAUGCAACAAGAGGAGAAACAGUGCAACAAGAGGAGAAACAGUAUAAAUAUCUCUUAAAAGGAUGCAGUUUCUCCUCUUAUUGCAUUGUUUCUCCUCUUGUUGCACUAUUUCUCCUAUUGUUUACACAGAAAUGGUGCAACAAGAGAAGAAACAGUGCAACAAGAGAAGAAAUAGUAGAUAUAUCUCUUAAAACAGUGCAGUUUCUCCUCUUGUUUACACAGAAAUUGUGCAACAAGAGGAGAAACAGUAUAUAUAUCUCUUAAAACAGUGCAAUUUCUUCUCUUCUUGCACUGUUUUUUCUCUUGUUGCACUAUUUUUUCUCUUAUUUACACAGAAAUGAUACAAUAAGAGGAGAAACAGUAUAAAUAUCUCUUAAAAUGGUGCAGUUUAAGAUAAAAAAUAGUGUAACAAGAGGAGAAAUGGUGCAACAAGAGGAGAAACAAUGCAACUUUUGUUUAAAGAGUGUAACUUUCAUCUUAAUGGAUGCAGUUUACAUCUGAAAGAGUGUAAUAAGAAGAGAAACAGUGUAAAUAUUUCUCAAAGAGUGUAAUUUUCGUUUAAAGAGUGUAGUUUUCAUCUUAAAGCUGGAGUUUACAUCUUAAAUAGUGCAAUUUAUAAUUUUUUUGGCAGUUAACGAUACAAUUUGAUGUUCAUCAUUCUUUUUAUAUAAUUUUUUUUAUCUUUAUUUUUUUUCCUGUUUUCUCUAUAAUUUUUUUUUGUCACCUUCUCUGCCAACAGCCACGGUGCCGGCGACGACACCGCUAAAGACCCCCGCUUCGAGCCUGUAGCGCCGCAGUGACCUCCACGGUGUCGACGUCGGCGCCGGCGAAGAUGCAUCGUCGUCGGAGGCGGCAGAGAAUGAGGGAGAGNNNNNNNNNNNNNNNNNNNNNNNNNNNNNNNNNNNNNNNNNNNNNNNNNNNNNNNNNNNNNNNNNNNNNNNNNNNNNNNNNNNNNNNNNNNNNNNNNNNNNNNNNNNNNNNNNNNNNNNNNNNNNNNNNNNNNNNNNNNNNNNNNNNNNNNNNNNNNNNNNNNNNNNNNNNNNNNNNNNNNNNNNNNNNNNNNNNNNNNNNNNNNNNNNNNNNNNNNNNNNNNNNNNNNNNNNNNNNNNNNNNNNNNNNNNNNNNNNNNNNNNNNNNNNNNNNNNNNNNNNNNNNNNNNNNNNNNNNNNNNNNNNNNNNNNNNNNNNNNNNNNNNNNNNNNNNNNNNNNNNNNNNNNNNNNNNNNNNNNNNNNNNNNNNNNNNNNNNNNNNNNNNNNNNNNNNNNNNNNNNNNNNNNNNNNNNNNNNNNNNNNNNNNNNNNNNNNNNNNNNNNNNNNNNNNNNNNNNNNNNNNNNNNNNNNNNNNNNNNNNNNNNNNNNNNNNNNNNNNNNNNNNNNNNNNNNNNNNNNNNNNNNNNNNNNNNNNNNNNNNNNNNNNNNNNNNNNNNNNNNNNNNNNNNNNNNNNNNNNNNNNNNNNNNNNNNNNNNNNNNNNNNNNNNNNNNNNNNNNNNNNNNNNNNNNNNNNNNNNNNNNNNNNNNNNNNNNNNNNNNNNNNNNNNNNNNNNNNNNNNNNNNNNNNNNNNNNNNNNNNNNNNNNNNNNNNNNNNNNNNNNNNNNNNNNNNNNNNNNNNNNNNNNNNNNNNNNNNNNNNNNNNNNNNNNNNNNNNNNNNNNNNNNNNNNNNNNNNNNNNNNNNNNNNNNNNNNNNNNNNNNNNNNNNNNNNNNNNNNNNNNNNNNNNNNNNNNNNNNNNNNNNNNNNNNNNNNNNNNNNNNNNNNNNNNNNNNNNNNNNNNNNNNNNNNNNNNNNNNNNNNNNNNNNNNNNNNNNNNNNNNNNNNNNNNNNNNNNNNNNNNNNNNNNNNNNNNNNNNNNNNNNNNNNNNNNNNNNNNNNNNNNNNNNNNNNNNNNNNNNNNNNNNNNNNNNNNNNNNNNNNNNNNNNNNNNNNNNNNNNNNNNNNNNNNNNNNNNNNNNNNNNNNNNNNNNNNNNNNNNNNNNNNNNNNNNNNNNNNNNNNNNNNNNNNNNNNNNNNNNNNNNNNNNNNNNNNNNNNNNNNNNNNNNNNNNNNNNNNNNNNNNNNNNNNNNNNNNNNNNNNNNNNNNNNNNNNNNNNNNNNNNNNNNNNNNNNNNNNNNNNNNNNNNNNNNNNNNNNNNNNNNNNNNNNNNNNNNNNNNNNNNNNNNNNNNNNNNNNNNNNNNNNNNNNNNNNNNNNNNNNNNNNNNNNNNNNNNNNNNNNNNNNNNNNNNNNNNNNNNNNNNNNNNNNNNNNNNNNNNNNNNNNNNNNNNNNNNNNNNNNNNNNNNNNNNNNNNNNNNNNNNNNNNNNNNNNNNNNNNNNNNNNNNNNNNNNNNNNNNNNNNNNNNNNNNNNNNNNNNNNNNNNNNNNNNNNNNNNNNNNNNNNNNNNNNNNNNNNNNNNNNNNNNNNNNNNNNNNNNNNNNNNNNNNNNNNNNNNNNNNNNNNNNNNNNNNNNNAAGAAAAGAAAAGAAAAAAGCAAAAAAAAAAAAGUCGUGGCGCGGCCUUGGCGGGGUUGGAAGCGAGGAAGGUUGGGGGAGCGUGGACGAGGGCAAGGGCGAGGGCGAGGGCGAGGGCUAGAGAAUGAGGGUGAGAGGCGAGACGGACCGUUUCCGCCUCCGCUCUGCCGGCGAGAAAAAAAAAGAACGAGAGAAACGAAGAGGAGAGAGAAAGAGGAAAGAGAAAAAGUAAAAAGGGUAUUUUGGUCAGUUUGCUGAAAAAGUGGACCGAAUCUGCAAAAACGAAAAAUGUGGCCCGAUUUUGCAAAAGCCCAAAAUAAGUGGAUUUUUUAUGCAAAUUGGCCAAAAAUUUUCGACUUUCUGAUUUACUCAUCUUAGAAAGUUAAUAUUAAAAAUAUCCUUUUUACGUUUCAACCUAUUUCAAAUAUAUCCUUAGAGUUAAAAUUUGUUAAUGAACUCUGUUAUCUUUAUUAAAUUACUAUUUUGCACUUUCAAAUAUACCUUUCCACCAUUAUUGACUUUUCUUAUUUGCCCUUACGUUAGGGGCAUAAAAAGUAUUUUGUGUUUUGAUAUUUUCAAAUCUACCAUUCUAUCAUCACCAACAUUCCUUAUUUGCACUUAAGUUAAGGGCAAAAGUACUAUUUUAAUUUUUUUUUAACUGUGGUAGAUAUUUAACUCAUAUUUAACCCAAGUUAACUUGACGGGUGGUAACGGCAGAGGUAUUUUGAAAUAACAGAGGAACAUAUGAGUGGUAUAUUGGAAAGAAAAAAAAAAAUAAGGAUAAAUAAGAUAUUUUCGAAAUUUUGAGGGGUAUAUAGGUAAUUAUUCAAAAAUUGUAAUACUAAAUUGUGGACUUUGUUCUUGAAUUGUUAGGUCAUAAAAGCCAAAAACUUUUAAUUCAAAAUCUUUGAAAUUCUAACUUAAUGCUACUAACUUUGCACAGAAUCAAAGCAGCGGCGCCUGAUCAAAAGCUUUGUUUAGGUCAACAAUUCAAAAGCACUUUUCACCCUUUGAAACUAGUGUUCUUGUUAAGAUAAAUUGACUAAAGAUAUAUAAUAAUUUCUACACAAAUUUGGAAAAUCAUGCGAAGUUUAUUUUUGACCUGCUAGAUGGUGCUGGUCAAUAGACCGAGAGAAAGAAAAAAAAAAAAAAUCUAAAAUGUAUCAGUCACACAACCCUAACUAAUUAAAUGGGAAAACUUCAAAUACCCCAUUGUGGUUUCACUUUUUCUCACUUAAGUACCCUGUGAUUUAAAGUGUAUCAAGUUAGUACCAUGUGGUUUCGCACUUUUUCACUUUAGUACUCUGUGGUUUAAAAUGUAUCAAGUUAGUACCAUGUGGUUUCGCACUUUUUCACUUUAGUACCCUGUGGUUUAAUAUUUCAUUAAGAGAAAAAUAAAACUACAGAGUACUAAUUUGAUACAAAAAUAAAACCACAUGGUACUAACUUAAUACAAAAAUAAAGCCACAGAGUACUAACUUGAUACAUUUUAAAUCACAAGAUAUAAAAGUGAGAAAGUGCAAAAUUAUAAGGUACUAACUUGAUACACUUCAAACCACAGGUACUAAUCGUAAAUUUUAAAAAGUAUUUUUUAAUGGUUCUCUAUGAAAAAGUAAGUUUUAAUUGGCUUGUGACAAAGAUGAUAUGAUAUGUUACGGAGAAAACCAGCUUCCAGAAAAGACAUAUUGAAUCUAAAAUUAUUCAAAACAUUAUGUCUAAAUUCUCCAUUUUUAAGGAUAAAUUUAUCUUCACAUUAUAAAAAGAAUUAAAGCUAAUUAUAUAGACAUAAUCAGGGACAAAGUUAGGAUUCAAUCUUGAGAGGGGCCAAAAUAUAUUUAAAUAUAAACUUUAGUAAUAAAUAAAAAACAAAAUUUUUUCUAAUUAAAAAUUUUUUAUUAAAAAAUUAUUAAAUAAAUAAAUAAUGUAAAAGUAUGAACUUUAUGUUUUUUAUUUUCAUAUGUUUAACUUCUAAUUUUUUUUUUAUAUUAUUACAUUAAAAUAACGUAGAAAUUUUACUAAAUCUAUCAGUAAUUUCUUAGUUUUUUAGUAAAUAAAAUUAACAUAGCUAUUAAAUUUAGUGCAAUUAUUGAUUUAGUCAAAUAAAAGAGCUCAUCUAAGAUAAAUAAAAUUUUUAGAGUAGAGAAAUAUAUUACAAAAUACUCUAUAAGCAAGAAGCUUUUAAUAUAUUUUCACCCAUAAAAAGAGUAUACCGAUUAGGAGAAAGAGAGAGAGAGAGAGUUAUAUUGACACCAUACUAUUAAGUAAAUAUUGAAAAACUAGGGGGGCUAAAGCUAUCCAUGGUGCACAAAAAAAAAAAUUUUGAAGGACCAUUAAACAAAUAUUGAAAAGUUGAGUAGGGCCAUGGCCACCUUGGGCUUCCAUAUAGCUUCGUCCCUGGACAUAAUAUAUAACAUAUUAUAUCAGAUUAUGAAAAAUUAUUUAUUUUAUUAUAUUAAUACAAAUUAUUGGCACUUAAGUUCAAUGAUUUAUAAUAUAAAAUGGUGUUGCGAAUACUAUAAUACACUUUAUUGUUUAUAUUAAAUCAUCUUAUAUUGUGUAUUUGAUAUAUAUCUCUAUAUUAUGUAAAUUAUUAAUCAAAAUAUAUUAUUUUAAAUUGUUUAUUUAAUAUUUAUCUUCGAAUUUAUAAUUUGCACUACUCUGCAGAUAAAUGCCAAACACAAUCUAAGCUAUUUCUCAAGAAUAACAUGAUUUUAUACUAAACAUAAUUUUACACUUACUUAUAUCAGAAUAGGUUAGUUAUACCUCCCAAAAAAAAAUCCUGAAAACAAAACAAAAGUUUCUAGAAAAAAAAACAAUCAUUUUAUAUUAUUUUAUAUAGUAUAAGAUCUUGAAAUCGAACUGGAUGAAUCCGCCUAGCUUUUUUAUUUUUCCUUUCUGACCUUAAAAAUUUAUAUUUUGCACACUUAAAAUUUUAGAAUAUUUUUAGGGGGAUGCGCGUCAGCGGAGAUGGCGAAAUAAUCAAAAUUUUCUUAUUUAUUCUAUAAAAAGUAAUUUUUAAUAUAUUUUUUAUCAAUUUUAAAGAUAUUUUCAGUAUAAAUUAUAAAACAUAGAUUGAAUAGUGACAGAAUCGUAACAAAUGGAGGUUAAAUGCAGCAACUUGAAAUAUUAAGAGAAUAAAUAUAGAUUUUUGAAAGUCGCAAAAAAAGUAAAAUUACAGAUAUUUACAGAAAAAUUUCUAUAUUUUAGUCAAAUGUUUAUUAUAAAAUAAGAAUUUCUCAAAAAUGAGUCACCUUCCUCAUCGUCACUCAUAAAUCAAACAAUGACCAAAAUUGCACCUACUUUGAUGGCUAAUGAACAUGUUCAACAAAGAGGUGCCCUCACAUAAGAAUAAUUAAUUUGUACCAAAUCCUUUUGACUAUAUAUCUCUUAGACAUAAUUAAUUCCGUAGCACUUAAAUGAAUUCCUAUAUAUCCAAACACAAUUAUUUUGGGUAAACUUCAAAUACGAUUUCGCACUUUCUUAGUUUAAUACCCUAUGGUUUAAAAUGUAUCAAGUUAGUACUAUAUGAUUUUAUUUUUUUUCUUUUUGUCAGAUCCUAUGUUAAUAUUUUGUUAAAUUAUAUAGAAAAACUUCAAAUAUUUCAUCUAGAUUUAUCGAAUAUUCACUUUAGCAUCCUUUAAUUUUAACAUCCUUCAAAUACCCUAUGAUUUAACAAAAAAAAUUAGUGGAAUGGAUAAUAAAAGGAGAAAAAUAAAACCACAGGGUAGUAAAUUGAUACAUUUUAAACUACAGGGUAACAAAAUGAGAAAGUGCGAAACUAUAAGGGUGGUAUUUGAAGUUUUUCCUAAUAUAUAUAUAUAGGGUCCGGCUACUAUACUAUUAUGAGUACGAUCGCCCUCGUAUUCAUAAGUUGUUUUCGAUGAUAGAGCUUCCGAAUCGACGAUCCACACCGUUAAACGUUAUUUACAGCAUUUGAAAUCAAAUUUUAUAAUUUUUCGAUAUCAUUGACCUUACGAUCAAGAGGUCACAGAUUUGACAAUUUUUAACGGCCGGUAUGAAAUACUUGUUAGUUUAACGGAGUAAAAGAAUCGGAAAUUGUUGAAUUUUUGAUAGAAAAUUCUAUUCACUACAUAGAUAAAGAUUAAUAACUCUGAUCUUGAAUUGAAGGAUCCGAUCAUCCUUUUUUAGGACGUCGUUAGAUUUUGACCGUUCAUUUUAUGCCCACUUGAUGGACUUUAUUAUGAUUUCGAAAAUUUACGAAAUUUAUUUUCUAGAAGUUUCAAAUACUCUAGAUCAUAUUUAAUCGGACCCCUCGAGAUGGAUCGCUCGAUUCUUGAAAGACAUCCCAUCAUUGAAAACACAUUAUAAGUAUGAAGGCUCCAAUACUCAUAAUAGUAUAUAUCCACGGCCUAUAUAUAAUAAAUUAUAAUAUAUAUAUAUAUGUAAUAAUAUAAUAAUUAUACCAUUCUCCUUCAUUUUCAAAUAUAUAUAUAUAUAUAUAUAUAUAUAACAAUUUAUAUAUACUCAUUCUCCUUCAUUUUCAAAAAGCAGUAUGAAUUAAUUUCCAUAUUGUUACAUCAAUAGAGCAAUAGCUUAUAUACCCUUGAAAAGUUUACAACUUUUUGAAUUACUUCUUUUACAAGACUAAUAUUGAAAAUGUUCUUUUUACGUUCUAAGCUAUUUCUAAUAUACCCGAAAGUUAAAAUUUGUUAAUAAACUAUGUUAUCUCUAUGAAAUUACUAUUUUACCCUUUCAAAUAUAACCUUCUAUCAUCACCGAUUUUUUUUAUUUACCCUUAAGUUAGGGGCACAAAAGUAUUUUAUUUUUUAGUCUUUUCAAAUAUACCCUUCUAUCAUCAGCAGCAUUUUUUAUUUGCCCUUAAGUUAAAGUCAAAAGUGGCAUUUUAAUUUUUUUUAAUUGUGAUAGAUAUUUAACUCACGUUUAACUCAGAUUAACUUAACCGAUGGUAACUGUAGGGGUAUUUUGAAAUAACGGAGGAACAUAUGAGUAAUAUAUUGGAAAGAAAAAAAUAAAAACAAAUAAGAUAUUUUUAAAAUUUUUGAAGGGUAUAUAGGCAAUUAUCCCUAUAAAGAAUUAUCUAUAGAUUUUAUUUUAUUUUAUUUUGUUAUUAUUAUUUUUUUUGGGUUUUAAGGAGACUUUGAAGAUUACCUUGCACGUUGAAGAUGACCUUGCACGGCACCGGCGAGGCUGCGACAAACACCCGCUCUCUCUCACUGACUUUUGUUUGGAAAUUUAAGAGAGAGCGAGAGAGUAGAGACUUUUCUUUUCUUUUCUUUUGUUUUCUUUUUGUGUGUAGUGGUAGAUAACUAGAUAUAAAAGGACUCGGUAAGAGCAACACCAUGUCAUUGGGGUGAGAUAAUAGUAUACGUCAUAUGUGUUACAUCAAUGGCAUAUGUAUAGUCAUAGUCUUAUAUAUAUAUAUAUAAGGCACCUACCCACAACACCUCGCAGUCAUGCAUUUAAAUAGUAAUAAUAAUAAUAAUAAUAAUAAUAAUAAUAAUAGUAGUUAAUAUAUCGAUCGUCCCUGGAGCAAGUAGCAAAGGGCUUCGAAUCCUAGUUGAUUCACGUUUCUUGCUAAGUUUAUUUCUAAAUAAAAUAAACGAAGUGGGUAGCGUUCUACCUAUCUCUCAAAAAAAAAAAAAAUAGUAACUAAUAUAUAUUUGAAUAAUUGAGUUAGAAUAUUUUUGGAAGCAUCAUAUUCUUGGUGCUUCUAAAUUUUUAGCCCUUAAAUCUACUCAAUUAUUAAUAGUUUUUGGAUCAAAUACUAUUCCACUUACCAUCCCUACAUUUCUUCACGACUUCAUCCAAAGGCUAAAAACUCAAAAACACCACCUCUUUGGUGCUUUUAUAAAGUAUUUUAUAAAGUAUUCUAGCUCAACUCUAUAUUUGAAAUCGGGGGAUAAUAACUAAUAUAUUCUAAGUAGCGCUAUUCUGAAUGGUGCCAUUUAAAUAUUUAAGGUUUUCUUUCGUUCAGAUAUAAAUAAGAACUGUUUAUUUUAGAGAUAAAUAUAAAUUUGUGUAUAAGUAAAAAUUAGAUUAAUUUUAUAUUUGGAUGAAAAUUGAAUUAUUUUCGGAAAUAAGAAAAAUAGCGUUUGGANUUUAAAUAUAACCUUCUAUCAUCACCGACUUUUCUUAUUUACCGUUAAGUUAGGGGCACAAAAAAUAUUUUACUUUUUGGUCUUUUAAAAUAUACUCUUCUAUCAUCAUCAAUAUUUUUUAUUUGCCCUUAAGUUAAGAGUAAAAGUAGCAUUUUAAUUUUUUUUUUUAACUGUGAUAGAUAUUUAACUCACGUUUAACCCAAGUUAACUUAACGAGUGGUAACUGCAGAAGUAUUUUGGAAUAACGGAGGAACAUAUGAGUGAUAUAUUAGAAAGAAAAAAAUAAAGAUAAAUAAGAUAUUUUUGAAAUUUUGAAAGAUGUAUAGGCAAUUAUCUCUAUAAAAAAUUGUCUAUAGUUUUUUUGUUUUCUUUUUUUUGGGUUUUAAGGAAACUUUGAAGAUGACCUUGCACUUUCAAGAUUACCUUGCACGGCACCGGCGAGGCUGCGACAAACACCCGCUGUCUCUCACUGAUUUUUGUUUGGAAAUUUAAGAGAGAGUGAGAGAGUAGAGACUUUUCUUUUUCUUUUUCUUUUUUUUUUUUUGUGUUGUGGUAGAUAACUAGAUAUAGAAGGACUCGGUCAAAGCAACGCCAUGUCAUUGGGGGUGAGAUAAUAGUAUACGUCAUAUGUGUUACAUCAAUGGCAUAUGUAUAGUCAUAGUCUUAUAUAUAUAAGCCACCUACCCACAACACCUCGCAGCCAUGAAUAUAAAUAGUAAUAAUAAUAAUAAUAAUAAUAAUAGUAGCUAAUAUACCGAUCGUCCCUAAAGCAAGUAGUAAAGGGCUUCGAAUUCUAGUUGGUUCAUAUUUUUUGCAAAAUUUAUUUCUAAAUAAAAUAAAUAAAGUGGGUAACGUUCUAUCUUUCUCUCAAAAAAAAGGGGAAAACUUCAAAAACCCCCCUGUGGUUUCAUGCUUUCUCACUUUAGUACCCUAUGGUUUAAAACGUAUCAAUUUGCCCCCCUGUGGUUUCGUUUUUCUCUUUUUGUUAUCAAUUUUAUUAUUAUUAAGAGAAUAGGUAGCACGCUGCCCACAUUCGUUUGAUUUCGUAACGUAAAUAAACGUACUAGAAAUGUGAAUCAACUAGGAUUAAGACUUGGGACGCUUCGGUAUCAACCGCCGAGCCCUUUUGCCACUUGCUCUAACGAGACGGUCGGUAAAUUCCCUGAUUGUUAAAAUAAUAAAACUAACUGUUUACAUUGAGGAAUAAAUAUGAAGCCAAUGUGGUUUUCGCUUGCAUUUUUGUUGUAAUACUAAUUACGUAUAUGCGGUGAUGCUGCAAAUAUAAAAUAUUUUAAAAAUAAUAUUAAUUAUUUAACUUUUAUACUUUAUAUAAUUUUAUUAGCCAGAUUAAUAAUUAACGUAAUUUCAAACACAAAUAAUGUUAAAUUGGUACAUGUUCGUAUAAAUUUUUAAAAGAGGCUUAUUAUAAAAACUAAUUAAUUAUGAUAUAUAAAGUAAAUGGUUAUAAUAUAGGUAACUUAAAUGAUAAAAAUAACUUAAUAAUAAAAGUUUUGUAGGAUCUAAUUAGUAAUUAGAUAGUUUUUAUAAGACGAUAAUUAUAAAAAAACAUUAUUUGAGAUUAAGAGUUAUAAGUGUACAAUUAUGUUCGGAUGGGUAUAAAGAAGAGAGGCGCGGGGGGGGGGGGGGGGGUGUGAUUAUAUUACUAAAAUUUAUAAUUUGUAAUUUUAAAAUUAAAAUUUAUAAUUUUUUUAAAUUUAAUUUUUAAAUCUUAUAAUUUUUAAAUUUUAAAAUUUGAUAUUUAUAUUUUUAAAUUAAAAUUUGGAUUAAUUUACAAUUUGAUUAUUUUAUAUUUUAAAUUUAAAAUUUGGACNNNNNNNNNNNNNNNNNNNNNNNNNUGCUGCAAAUAUAAAAUAUUUAAUAUAUAAUAUUAUAAUUUACUUAUAUAAUUUUAUUUAUUCCAGAUUAAUAUUGAGUUAAUUUUUAACACACAAAUAAUUUAAAUUGGUAUACUGUUUUAGUAUUAUAUUUUUAAAUAGAGCUUUAUUAUGUAAUAAAACUAAUUAAUUUAUGUAGUAUAAAGUAAAUGGUAAUAAUAUUGGUAUAAAUGAUUAAAAUAAAUAAUAAUAAAAGUUAUUAGGCUCUUAAUGUAGUAUUAGAUAUUAUUAUAGACGAUAUUGAUAAAAAAAAAUUAUUUGAGAUUAGAUAUAGUGUUACAUUUAUUUCGGGAUGGGUAUAAACUGAUAUUUUCACCUUAGAGAAGAGAGGGGGUUAGAGGAAAAGUAGAGAGAAUUUUAAAAUUUAUAAUUUUAAACUUUUAAUUUAUUACAAAAUUCUAUAAUUUGUAUGAUUUAAAAUAAAUAUUUUCAUAAUUUUAUAAAUUUACAAAAUUUUUAAUCUAAACUUUUUUAAAUUUAAAAUUGAUAUUUUAUAUUUUUAAUUUUAAUUUAUCGUUUCAUUACAUUUGAUAUUUUAAAUUUGCGAUUUUUGAAAUUUCAAUUUUAAAUUUAAAAUUUUAAUAUAUCACUAAUUUAAAAAUUAAAUUUAAAUUUAGUUAGAUGUGGUUAUAUCAUUUUUUUUAUUAUACUACUCAUUUUUUUUUAUUUUUUUUAUGUAUCCAACCGCUAUUUUUCUUAUUUCCGAAGACAGUCAAAUUCUUAUCAAAUAUAUAAUUAAUCUAAUUUUUUACUUAUAUCACAAAAUUUAUUUAUUACUUAAAAUAAACAGUUUAUUUAUAUGCUGAACAAAAAAGAAACCUUAAAUAUUAUAAAUGGACCAUUUAGAAUUCAGCGCUACUUAGAAUAUAUUUAGUUCUUAUCUCGAUUUCAAAUAUAGAGUUGAGCUAGUAACUGCUUUGUUAAAAGCACAACGAGGUGGUGACUUUUUGAGUUUUUACUUUGAUGAAGUCAUUGAAGAAAUGUUAGGGACGAUAAAGUGGAUAGAUUUUGUCCCAGAGGUUAUAAUAAUUAGGAGUAGAUUUAAGUGCCUAAAAAUAUAGAAAGCACCAAGAAAAAAGGUGGUGCUUUCCAAAAUAUUCUAACUCAAUUAUUAAAUAUAUAUUACGUUACUUUUUUUUUGGGAAAACUUCAGAAAACCCCCCCUGUGUUUCAUGCAUUUCUAUUUUACUAUCCUGUAGGUUUAAACGUAUCAUUUGCCCCCUCGUGGUUUCAUUUUAUAUCUUUCUCGGACAGCUUUUUCGUAACAUUCGUUAAAUUAUAUACAAAAAACUUCAGUAACAUCUAUAUUUAUCGAAAUAUUCACUUUGUAUCCUUCUAAUUUUAACUUUUGUCACUGAUUUAAGAAAAAAAAAAAAAAAAAAAAAAAAACAAAAAACAACGAUCAGUAAAUUUAGACCAACUCCAUGUAAAAAGGCCAAACAUUUCCCUUUUUAGGGGAUAAUAAUGCUUUUUAAAAUUUUAAAAAUAUUUUUAUUUAUAUUUGAAAUAUCAAAAUAAUUUUAUUGAUUUUAAAAACUUUCUUCAAAUAUUUCUAUUUUUUUAGAAUUUACUAGUAAGAUUGAAUUUUAAAUAAAUAUUUUAGUAAUUUUAAAAUAAAUUUAAAAAUAUUGGAUAGUAAUAAAAGAUAAAUAAGCAAAAACUCUUCAAUGAGAAAUAUGAUUUUUUUUUUCUGCUUUAGUUAAAAAAGCAGGUAUCAUGUUCCAAUAAAAAUAAAAAUACAUAUCUAGAUCUAGAUAUUUAAUUAUUUGUGACAGCCAAUGCAUGUCUUGCACGUAUAUCCAAGCAAGUUAUUAGGAAAGAGACAAAUUUUAUUUGUAUUAAAUAUUCAUAUAAUAAGAUGAUUAAUAGGAGACAAAAAGAUGUCUGGAUAAGGAUGGCAUUAGUGACAGAUAAUAAUUUAGAAAAGGAAAUAGUAAUGGCUAAAUUACACUUUUGGCCCUCAAAUUACGUUGCACGUGAUACUUUGGUCCUCAAAAUUUAAUUAAUAAUAAUUUUUAAUUCAACAUAUUUAAAUUAUUAUAAUUAAGUCUUAUAAUUUAAUUUAAUUGAUAUAAAUAAUGAUGUGCCACCGAUGUAACAGUAAUGUGACAUUUUAGUUAUUAUCAUGCCAUCAAUUGAAAUAUUAUUCUGCUAUUGCCACAUCAGCAACAAAUCACUUCCAGUUAACUUAAUUUAACUGCAGAAUAAUUUAAAAAAUUCAAACAAAAAAUUAAUAAUAAAUUAAACUUCAGGUUUCGUUUGGUUCGGGGUUAAGUAAGAACUAAUUAUUUCAGGGAUAGGAUUAAGUCUGGAAUAGACCAAUUUUGCAUUUGAAUGAUAAUUGAAUUGUUCCUGAAAUUAAGAAAAAUAGUGUUUAAAUAGAUAAGAUGGAAAUAAGAAAAAUAGUUGGUAGUUAUAAAUAGAAAAUAAUGAUAUUACCCUAAUUAUAUAUUUGAAUUUAAUUUUUUAUUUUAUAUUUUAAAAUUUCAAUUUAAAUAGAUAACUUUUGAAAUUAAAAAUUCAAAAUUAAAUCUAUAUUUUUAAUUUUAAAUUUAAAAUUUUAAGUUAUAAAUUUUCAUUUUAAAUUUUAAUCAAUCUAACAAAUAUAAAAUUACAAAUAUAAAAGUCCAUUUAAAAUUAUAAUAAAUUAAAAAUGAAUAAGUUUAAAUUUUAAAUUUUAAAUUGUAAUUGAAAUCUAUAUUUUUAAAUCUCAAAUUUAAAAAUUUAAAGUUAUAACUUUUAAAUUUUAAAUUUUAAAUCAAAUCUCAAGUUACAAAUAUAAAAUAUGAAAUUUAAAAUUUAAAUAAUUAAAAAUAAAAUUUAAAAUUUAAAAUCUAGAAAUUUUAAAAAAUAAAUAUUAAUUUUAAAAUUUUAAAUUAUUAAAAUUUAAAAUUUAAAAUUUAUAUUUAAAAAUUAGAUACGGGAGGGAUUAGCUAAUCCUACCCGUAUAGCUAACCCCACCCCAAAUGGGUUAUCCCGAAAUAACCCAUUUGGGAUGAGGUUAGCUAACCAGCUAACCCCCACCCCCUCUCCCAGAAUAGCGUUUGGGGGUGAGGUUAGCUAAACCCAUCCCUCAAAAAUAAUGUUUGCGGGAUUAUCCCCUUAACCCCCUCUUUAACUCCGAGCCAGAGCCAAACACUAGCCCCUUAACCCCCUCUUGAACUCCGAACCAAACACUAGCUGGGGAGGGCACCUCAAAGUUUGAGGAGCAAUAUAGUUUAGCGUUCAUAAAUUGAUUUAGUUUAAUUCACAAAUAAUUUUAAUAAAUUCAAUCAUUUUAAUUAAUUUUAAUUAGUUUAAUUAAUAUUAAAUAAAUUAAUUUUAGUUACCUAUAAAAAAAUUAAAGCUAGAAGACAUGCUAAUGAACUAACCAAAAAUAAUAGGAAUAAUUUUAAGAAUGACAUUUUCUUGUGGUUCUAAUUUUAUAAGUACCCUUUGAAGUUUAAGUAUUACCAAUAUUCUUAUAAACAUUAGGAAUAUUCUAAUAUUCCUAAUAUAAUAUGUGUAAAUUAAUGAGUAGUUAUAAGAUUUCCUUUUUAUCCCCCAAUAAAUUUAAAACUUAGCAAACUUUAUCAAUAAAUUAAGCAAUUUUUUAAAUUUUAAUGAGUUUUUUUAAGGCUAAGUAUACUUAAUUAAAAAGUUACACCAUAAUCUCUAAUAUAUAUAGCUUUUGUAAAACAACAUAUAUUUAUAAAUUGAAAUUUUUGAUGGGCUAUAUUAUGGGGAAAACUUCAAAAACCUUCCUGUCGAUUUCGCACUUUUUCAUUUUAAUACCUUUUGAUUUAAAGUGUAUCAAGUUAUAUCCUGUGGUUUCGCACUUUCUUACUUUAGUACCCUGUGGUUUAAAGUGUAUCAAGUUAGUACUCGUGGUUUUAUUUUUGUAUUAAGUUAGAAUUCUGUGAUUUUAUUUUUGUAUCAAAUUAGUACCCUGUGGUUUUAUUUUUUUCUUAAUAAAAUAUUAAACCACAUGAUACUAAAGUGAGAAAGUGUGAAAACACAUGAUACUAACUUGAUACACUUUAAACCACAGUAUAUUAAAAUGAAAAAAAUGCAAAACCAUAAGGUACUAAUUUGAUAUACUUUAAACCACAGGAUACUAAAGUGAGAAAGGGUGAAACCACAAGGGGUAUUUGAAAUUUUUUUAUAUAUAUUAUAUAUGAAAUUUAGGACGUUGAGAGGGUACAUUGAAAUUGCUUCCAAAAAUAGAUAAAGUUGUAAAUAUAAAAAGAAGAAAUUUAGCUCCAUAUAUUUUCACAGAAGCUUCUAAAUCUGUCUAUCUUCUUCUUCUUCUUCUUUUUGUAAUCUUUUAAGCAGUUAAUGUUUCUCUACGGCAUCUCCAAUGUCGUUUUCUCCAUCACCCUUCCCCUUCAUUCGUUUUUAAUAUUCUUCUUAUAAAUUUACAAAAAAAAAUUCUUAUAUUUAACCCCAUUUCAAUUACUAUUAUUUUAUAUUAAAAUUCAUGUUAAUUACUAUUUUUUAUUUACAUCGAAAAUUUUAAAGCAUUCAGAUAUAGCGCUCAGAGGUCUCGAUUGUAACUCGUUCCAACUAGCAUUCCGUUAUUUCGAACAUGACUCGACUCAACUUAACCUUUGGUAAUUGCAAACAUGACUCCACUCAGCCUAACCUCCCGCCAGAUCUCUUUAUGCCAAUAAACUCGACUUUACCUUUCAUACCACCAAAGUCAAAACACUGAUUGCAGUACAAAUUAUGAUUGAGAGAUCGAAAGAGAGUUCGAGUGAUCCGCUCUCUCUAUCAUAUGUCAAAACAAAUAAAAAAAGUUAGCUAAGAAUUUAAGAAAAAUACACCUAUGGUACACCACUUAAUAGGUAUGAAAUGAUUAGUAUCAGAUUCAAAUAAGGAUGCAAACGGACAGAUCUGGGGGUGGGAGCCACACCCCGCUUGCCGCCCCGACUAGCAAAAUUUCGCCUUGCCUUCCACCCCGAAUCCGUGAUAGGUUAAAAUAUAUCCCAUAAUCCGUCCCGUCUCGUAACCCGCAUUCCGCCGGCGUCCCGAAUUCGCCCCACCAACUAAUAUUUUUUAUAAAAUUAUAAUAUUAUUAAUAUUUUUGUAAAAUAUAAAUUAAUAAUUUAUAAUAAUAUUAUAUAUAUAAUUACAGCAUUAAUUAUAAAAAUUAAAAAUAUCAAUCACAAUUCGAAAUAAAAUUCAGAAGUUUCAAAUACAUGAGUAAUGAGAGCACUAAUUUAUUUAUAUUUUGACUUUUUUUUACAAAUAUAUUAUUUUUUAGAAAUAUUUUUUAAAAUAUAAAUAGUUUUCGAGGAGGAUUCGGAGUGGAUAAUGGUGGGGCAGGUGCGGGACGGGUCAAAAUUUCUUUCGUUUUCUGCCUUAAAUUCGUCUCGAAUCAUAAAAUUUAUCACGUUUUCUACUCCAAAUCCGUUUAUUUCUUCCCGUUUACUAUCUCAUUCGGAACGGAUCAGAGCGAAAGCUCUACCGACUCGGAUCCGUUUGCGUCUCUAGAUUCAAGAUAAUCAAAUCAUAUUCAAUGAUCCGCUAUUAAUGGAAUUGAAAAAAUUUACUAUUCAUAUUCAGCGAUUUGACUGAUUAGAAAUAUCAUAUCAAUAAUAUGACCGCAACCUUCCAGUUUUAUGUUCCUAAGUUGUCGACAUAAAUGAUUUUUUUUAGUAAUCAUAAAUUUAAUAAGCUCUAAUAAAAAUCAUAAAAACAAGCAAAACUCGUACUUUUCUUUUCCUUUUUUUUUUUGUCGCAUUUUUAUUGACUCCAAAGUCCACAGCGCGUGCCCACCGUGGUGCUAUUAUAUAUACAACAUCACAAUAAUGCAUUAUCACCAUCAUCAUCAUCAUCAUCUCCUCCGCCUCUUCCAACAUUCGCUGUGUGUGUGUGUGUGAGAGAGAGAGAGAGAGAGAGAGAGAGAGAUCGCCAUGGAUGAGCUCGGGGCGAACGCGACGAACAGCGCGCCGCUGACGCCGCUAGGGUUUCUGGAGCGCGCGGCGUUGGUGCACGGGGAUCGGGCGUCGGUGGUGUACCGCGACACGGUGUACACCUGGUCCCAGACCCUGCGCCGCUGCCUCCGCCUCGCCUCCGCCCUCGUCUCCCUCGGCAUUUCCCCCGGCGACGUCGUACGUACUUACUUACUCUCCCUAUUCGCUUCGCUUCUCCUUAAUUUGUUGAUUCGAUGGUUCCCUCGAUUGCGAACACGCCCGCUUCCCCCACCCAAAAUCCCAUCUUUGUCUCUGUUUCCACGUUGAUUAUCUCAACUAUUUAGAUCCCAAUAUCUCAUUUCCGAACCCCCAAACUUUCAAUAUCUCAAACUUUUUCCCCACAAUUUCAUCCCCAGAAUCGCAAAAUCCCAUCUUUUUUGCCGAUCUCUCAAUAUCUUGUUUUUNCAGAAUCGCAAAAUCCCAUCUUUUUUGCCGAUCUCUCAAUAUCUUGUUUUUUCUUUUUUUUUUUUGGGUUUUGAUUUGCUACAGGUCUCUCUUUUCCCUAAAUUACAUAAAAAUUCACCGUCAAAACUCGAUUUUUUAUUUUCCUCCUAUCACAAUAAAAUUUACAUUUUGUUUUCUUUUAAAAUAAAAAAUAUUCACUUCGCCCUUUGCCUUUAAUAAUUCGAUAGGAUUCCGUUUAUAAAAUAUUAUUAUAUAUUUUUUAUGCCAAAAAUAUCUUUAGCUUUAUCUUCUGUAAACAUGAUAAAAAAAGUGCAAAAUAGUGAGGAACAAAAUGAUCAUUUUAUUGUCACGGUUCACACCGUACUCCUUGUGAAUAUUUUUUUAUUUUAUAAAAUAAUAAAAUAUAGAUUUUUAAAUGACAGGAGAAAAAAUGAAAAAUUGAAUUUUGACAUGUGGAUUUUAUGUAAUUUAGCCUUUUUUUUUGUGUUUUAUUUUUUUUUAGAAAUAAAUAAUAUGCUAUCUGUUUCAUUUAUUUUAUUUAAAAAUAAAAUUAGCUGAAAAUAUGAAUCAAUUAGGAUUCAAACUUGGGUCUCGGAUUACCGACCACUAAGCAGCCACUUGCUUAGGACAGUUGGUUUUUUUUGUGUUUUGUUGUCUCCUCUCCUCCCCUAACAACAACAACAACAACAACAUGAUGAUGAUAAUGAUGAUGAUGAUGGACAGGUGUCUGUGUUGGCGCCGAACAUACCGGCGAUGUACGAGAUGCACUUCGGCGUGCCGAUGAGCGGCGCCGUGCUGAACACCAUCAACACCCGCCUCGACCCCCGCACCGUCUCCGUCCUCCUCCGCCACUCCUCCUCCAAGCUCGUCUUCGUCGACCCCCUCUCCCUCCCCAUCCUCCUCUCCGCGCUCCCCCUCCUCCCCGCCUCCCACCCCCCUCCCCUCGUCGUCCCCAUCGACGACCCCUACGAGCACGAACAAGCCCCUCCACUGCACUCCUUCCCCACCACCUACGAGAAGCUCCUCGAGGAGAAGGGCGACCCGGAGUUCCAGUGGGUGCGGCCGCGGAGCGAGUGGGACCCCAUGGUGCUCAACUACACCUCAGGGACGACCUCGGCGCCGAAGGGGGUGGUGCACUGCCACCGGGGCCUGUUCCUGGUCACCGUCGACUCGCUGGUGGACUGGUCGGUGCCGCCGCACCCGGUGUUCCUCUGGACGCUGCCCAUGUUCCACACCAACGGCUGGUCCUUCCCUUGGGGCGUCGCCGCCGUCGCCGGCACCAACGUCUGCCUCCGCCGCGUCGACGCUCCCGCCGUCUUCUCCGCCCUCCGCCGCCACCGCUGCACCCACAUGUGCGGCGCCCCCGUCGUCCUCAACAUGCUCGCCAACUCCCCCCACUCCGACCCCGACCCCGACUCCGCCCCCGUCAACGUCCUCACCGCCGGCGCGCCCCCGCCGGCCGCCGUGCUCCACCGCGCGGAGAAGCUCGGGUUCCGCGUCAGCCACGGGUACGGCCUCACGGAGACGGCGGGGCUGGCGGUGUCGUGCGCGUGGAAGGGGGAGUGGGACCGGCUCCCCGCGCUGGAGCGCGCGCGGCUGAAGGCGCGGCAGGGCGUGCGCACGCCCUGCAUGGCGGCCGUCGACGUGGUGGACCCCGCCACCGGCCGCCCCGUCCCGCGCGACGGCGCCGCCGUGGGCGAGAUCGUCCUCCGCGGCGGCUGCAUCAUGCUCGGCUACCUGAAAGACGCAGCGGCGACCGCGCAGGUGAUCCGCGGCGACGGGUGGUUCUACACGGGCGACGUCGCGGUCAUGCACCCGGACGGGUACCUGGAGAUCAAGGACCGGUCCAAGGACGUGAUCAUCAGCGGCGGGGAGAACAUCAGCAGCGUGGAGGUGGAGUCGAUCCUUUACGGUCACCCGGCCGUGGACGAGGCGGCGGUGGUCGCUCGUCCGGACGAGUUCUGGGGCGAGACCCCUUGCGCCUUCGUCAGCCUCAAGAGAAAGCAGCAGGAGAAGCAAGAACAGCCGACGGCGGAGGAGGUGAUCGCGUGGUGCAGGGAGCGAAUGCCGCACUACAUGGUGCCGAAGACGGUAGUGUUCGAGGAGGAGCUGCCAAAGACGUCCACGGGCAAGAUUCUGAAGUACGUGCUCCGCAGCAAGGCCAAACAGAUGGGCCCCAGGACCAGCAGCAGCCGUUUGUGACCGACGAUAUAUAUAUAUAUAUAUAUCAUAUAAUUGAGUGGCUUUACUUACGCAAAAUAAUAAGUAAAAACCAAAAAAAAAAAAAAAGAAAAAAAAGAAGAAGAAGAGAGAAUGCAUGUUGUUACUAUUUGGAAAAUGCUCUUGCAUACAAAUAAAUUAUGCCACUCGCUGGAUGUAUUUCUAUUUUGAAAUUAAUAGUCAUGUUUAUUUUCUUGUGAUUUAUACUUUUUCUAGUAUUGUCUCUAUUUGUAAGUAUAAUUUUACUGAUUAUGAUUAUUAUUGUUAUAUACAAAGACUGCUGAUGUGUUGACAAAUAUAAUACAUUUGUCUCUCAGAAGAAAUAUGUUUAAAAAUUUCUUCCCAGAGACUUGCUUCACACUCACUCGGGUCAAGUCUUCGCCAGUAAAUAAGUGGUUGGUAGUGUUUUUUUUUGGUAUUUUUUUAAAUGAAAAAUAGGGUAGCAUAACAAAUAAAAUAAAUGAAGCGGGCAGCAUACUACUAUCUCUUAAAAAAAAUAAUAAUAAUGAUAGAGAGAGCUUUGGUUGGUAUACAUAAAUUUAUAUAAGCAGCAUAUUUAUUAAUAAUUAUAUGGAGAGUUUUGAUUGGUAUACAUAAAUUUAUAUAAACAACACACUUAUUAAUAAUUAUAUGGAGAGUUUCGAUUGGUAUACAUAAACUUACAUAAGCAGCACACUUAUUAAUGUAUCUGCUGUACAUACGAACAAUNUGUUAUUUUUUUUUUUUUUUUUUUUUUUUUUUUGGCGUCAAAAGUAAUAAUAUCUAGAACGGACAAAUUAGGUGAAUUGAAAAAUAUUGAGCACCACCGAUCGUUUCUAGAGCAAGUGGCAAAGGAAUUGAUGGUUGAUAUCCGAGAUUCAAGUUUGAAUUCUAAUUGAUUCAUAUUUUCAGUUAAAUUUAUUUUUAAAUGAAAUAAACGAAAAAGGGUAGCGUACUAUCUAAAAGUAAAUGAUUCUUUUGAAAUUUAAAUAACGUUUUAGUUGUCUUUAUUGAUGAGGCCAUGAGGGCUGUGAUGUUUUUCUUUAUUAUUAUUAUUUUUUAUUUUUUAUAGCUAGGAAAAUAGUUUUAAGUGGGACUGUGGGACAGUGGAAGUGGAGUGAGUGACGGUUAUAUUGACCAAGUGGUGCUUUCUUACUGCAUGCGGAUGUCAAUGGACACGGGUAUCUAAAAUUUUAUCCGAAUUCGAACCCGAAAAAAACGGAUAUAUUCGAUGCUAAAUAGAUAUGAAUUCAGAUAUGGAUAUCAAAAAUAGAAACCUGACGGAUAUGGAUUUUGACUGUACCAGACCCAAAUCCGAACCCGAUUCGAAUCCGAAUUUAUUUUGUUCUAUAUAUAUAUAUAUAUAUAUAUAUAUAUAUAUAUAUUCUUAGUCUAUGAUAUAAUAUUAUUUAUUUAUUUAUUUUAUUAUAUAUAGAGGGUAACAAUAACAAUGUUAUGAUAUGGGCAAGUGAAUAGAAAUGUCGAUAUGGGAACCACAUGCAUGUGAUGAUGUGAGACACAUUUUUAUACAUAAAGAGAAGUAUAAAUUUUCAAAUCAAGGUCUAGUUUGAUACUAUGGUGAUUAAAAUCACUUUUCAUAUUUUAAAAAUUUUGACUUUAAUAGAGUUUCUGCUUUUUUCUUCAAUAAUAUAAAAUUAUGGUGGUCAAAACUAUUGUGGUGGAACGGCAAAAUAUUUAGAAUAACUGCAUUAUGGCCAAUUUGCAUAAAAAAUCCACUUAUUUUGGGCUUUUGCAAAACUGGACUAUCUUUUUCGUUUUUGUAGAUUCGGUCCGUUUUUUCAGCAAAUUAACCAAAAUACUCUUAUUACUUUUUCUCUUUCCUCUUUCUCUCUUCUUUUGCACUGUUUUUCCUCUUGUUGCACCAUUUUUUCUCCUGUUACACUAUUUUUUAUCUUAAACUGCACCCCUUUAAGAGAUAUAAAAAGGUAUAAGGGUGUCUCCGCUCCGUCUCCGCCGCUCUCUGGGAAGAGAAAGAAAAAAGAACGAGAGAAACAAAGAGGAGAGAGAAAGAGGAAAGAGAAAAAAGUAUAAGGGUAUUUUGGUCAGUUUGCUGAAAAAACGGACCGAAUUUGCAAAAACGAAAAAGGUGGCCCAGUUUUGCAAAAGUCCAAAAUAAAUAGAUUUUUUAUGCAAAUUGGCCCUGCAUUAUUGGUUCCCAACAUUUUACCUUUUUUUUAUUUUUUAUUUUGGCCCCCAAACUUGCGUCUAAUCAUGUUAAACCGAGUCUCGCUACCCUAAAUAUUAUUCUUUACAUCUACAAUCUUCUCGAUCACGCAUAUGAUAUCUGCUGUCACUUUUAGAAUAUUUAGGCUUAGUUUGGUAUUGAGGUCUAUCUGACGCUAUUAGAUAAAAUGGAGUCGAGGAAAAAGUAUAUAGGGAUAUACUUCUGCGUUCUCCGGUGGGACUGCAGAAAAUAUAUCGUAACCGAUUCAUCGCGAUAUGCGGAACGCAAUAUUACGUAAGGAAACAAAAGUAUUUUUCCAACGUACUUUCUCACCGCACGUAAUGCAAUCUCCCCGCAAUCCCAAACGAAGCCUUAGUAUUCUUAAUAGCAAGUCCGACGUAUCACUAAAUUUUCGUAAACAAACUUAAAAAAAUUAUCAUCAGAAUUAAUUCAUAAACCUGAUCUAUACACGUAGAAGUAUUUUAUUGGAGUUGACAUAGUCUACUUUAUCAACGUAAGAAAAAACAAUUAAAUAUUUGAGAUCCCACCAAAAUGAAAUGCAAAGCUUAGAAAUCUAGUAGCCAAAACUAAAAGAUCAAGCACGAAAAGUUCAAAAAAUAAUAAUAAUAAAGAAAAUAAAGAUUAGCGACAAAUAGUGUAAUUAACCUUUUAAUCUAUGUUUGUUCUUUGACUAUUAUGUCACGCUACCAUGUUUUUCAAAAAAGAAAGAAAAAAACUCUAUGCUACUACAUAGAUGGGUAGUUAUUAAAAUGCAAUAAAGGUCACAUUUUUCAUCAAGAUUACGAGAUUAUUAGGUGCAAUAGUGUAAAGCGGGGGGUCAAGUAACAUGGAACGGGGAUUCAAAAAUAAUAACCUAAGAUUUCGUUUUUUCUUUUUUUAAAUCUUUUAAGCUAAAUAUUAGGUGCAAUAUUUUUUAUUUUUUAGAGAGAUAAAGUGUAAAUUUUUAAAUGAUAGGGAGAGAAAGUGAAAAAUUAAAUUUUGCUAGAAGGAUUUUCAGUAAUUUAGCCUUUUAUUUUUUUAUUUUUUUAAAAAAAAAGAAAUAGAUGAAAUGUUGCCUUUAUAUUUCGACUAAUAUUAUAAAAUAAGUAAAGUUACCAGCACAUUUGUCACGUCCCGGAUUACAGCGGAAACCCGGGUUACGUCAACAGAUCCGCCGCAUGCAUAAGGAUACACCUUAUACAUACGAAGCGUCAACAAAAUUAACUAAAAUCUAAUAAUAAUAGGUAUCAGAGAAAAAUAAAACUAUAUACUAUAAUAACACUGUAACGAUUUACAAUCAUCAUCACACUGGUCUUCAAAAUGGUACAAUAUUUCUGACCACUCCAAGUAUCAAAACACUGUAUAGGCUGCUCACUAAUAGGUGGUCCAACUAUACACACAAGAAGGGUAGGAGAUACUAACUAUCCACGAUCCCCUUAUCUCGACAGUCGCUGGUGCUGAAGGCUUUGAAAUAAAAUAUUAAAUAAGAAGGUAUGAGAACUAUAAUCAAUAGUUCCCAGUGGAUACGAUCAUCAAUGUCGGCGAUCUACACCACGAGGUCUAUAAGAAGCAGAAAUAGUAAAUACUGAGCAAUAUGAAGGAACAGAUAUUAAUAGGAAUAAUUGCUGAAAAUAACUGCUACUAUCAUAUCUCUACAAUAUAGCUGGAAUUGUAAAUUAUGUUUUGCAUGCAUUAAUUAGAGAUUAAAUAAAAUAUUACAAUAAUGCUCAAUCAUAGUGACCGACUCAACAGUCAGGUCUAGCCUGCGCCACCUCGUGUCCACCACCCACCUAUAAUGGUCCGCUACCACGCAGGCUACUGUUUGCCCCAUGCCAUAAUAAUAUCUCAUAACCCAACCUCCGGAGUGGUACUGGCGGGACGCUACCCCAACCGAGUAUAGUAUCACUGUCAAACUCAAAAUAGCAUGCAGGCUGUGAUCAAAUGCGAUGAUCAAACAGAUCAUGAUAAUACUGUUAUACUGUGCAAAAUAUAGUUAUACUCUACACUAUCUGUAGCUGUCUAUUGACUUUUAGAAAAAUAUCACAUAUAUAUGUGUCUCAAUUUAUUAUAUUGGUAGGUAUCAAAAUAUCACUAUUUAUCUUAACUAUGUCAACAGUUCAUCUCACAGGCUAAAUAAUGUAAUAUGGAUAUAGAAAUUAGUCCGCCAAUUUUGAUAAUACGGAACCCACCUAUUACGCAAAUCCAAUGAAAUGAACAGUAGACAGGAUAGUAGCCACAACACUCUAAGAUAGCUCGAAAAUCUCUCGUCAAAAUUACGCGAAAUCCACUCCAUGAAGUCGAAAAGGUAAAAAUACACGUGCGCGCACUCGACUCGCUCGUUCGCUCGCCUCGCUCGCUCGCUCGUAAGAAUGAAACCAAGUUUUUCCUUCUUCCCUGUUAAUUAAUUUUGUGCUCAAAACCUCCCUCCCCCCCUCUCUCUCUCUCUCUCUCUCUCUCUCUCUCUCAAACUUAGCAACAAAAAAGAAAAUGAUAAGGAUGGGGAAUAGCACGUGGAUUCUACCGCUUAAUAAAGUAAAAUUGCCAACAAGCCCCUCUAUAACUAAGUAUUUGUUGCUAGCCGAACGUUCUCAUCCUUGACCUGGUCAAAGAUCUCCCUCGGAAAAGUGCGCAGGGAUGUGGAACGACUACGAUUAGUGACCCUCGAAGUUUGCGCUCUUCGAUUAGAUCAAGCGAUUCGGCUAAUGAGGGAUCGGAUUAGCUGAGUUCGAAACUUUUACUGUAAAAUCAGUUCGGCUGGAUGAGCCGAAUCUACGGACUGUGUGAAAACUGGGGUUGGCCGAAGGAACCGAAUGAAUGGAAAACACAGUAGUUGGUCGGCCGAAAAAGCUGAAUUACCUUUAUAUAUAUUGAAUUUGACUGGUGGAAAAAGAACAAGGGUCGUGUGUGCCUGAAGGCAUACAGACUCGGUUGAUCUAAUCUAAUUCUACUCCUAGGAAAAGCAGUAAAUGCUGGAAAGUAAAGGAUUACAAGUAGACUACUCUUAAAAAAUGCAGAGAAAUUGUAAAGAAAAUAAAGGUGGUCUUCUAUUCUCGGAAAAAAAUACCUCUUUCUAGGACGUUAUUGGCUUAUUUAUAGAUCGCCUUUGUUGAUCAGUUAUUGUCUAUUCAUGAUCGGCCACUACUCUUGUUUUUCCGGGCCACUUUCAACCGAUCAGAACCGCUUGUGUAACCGCUCGCGGCUACUGUAACUUUACUUAAUUUGUGCGGUGAUUACUUAGAAUUUCUUUCGAUACUCUUGGUGCACAAUAAAAUCCUUAUCAUUAAAGAACAGUGUUGAGUGGAGUACCGAUGCACCACUUGGAUGUGUCUUAUUGGCCCAACAGUAUUCAACUUUAGUCGUCUACAAUAUAAAUUUUGAGUUUCAAAGUCCGUUUUUACGUCUAUUUUGCGCAAAACGUUUCCAAUUCAAUCAAGCAUAAACUUAUACUGUAACUUUGCCAAUUUGUUAAGGUUCAAUAUAUCAUAACAUUGCAGCGGACUAAUAUUAUAAAAGACAGAAGAUUGAUAAAAUAAAAAUUUUUAAAUUUUUUAACUUACAUGAGACAUCAAUAAAUAUAAAUAGUAUGAGAAAAAAAAAAAGAAAAAACUUUAAAUAUUACCCCUAUGGUUUUGCACUUUUUUAUUUUAAUACCCUAUAAUUUAAAGUGUAUCAAUUUAGUACCCUGUAAUUUUUUUUUUCUUUUCGUCACUCCCUAUGUUAACUUUUUCGUUAAAUCAUAUACAAAAAACUUUAGAUUGAAUAUCACGUUAGUACCUUUUAGCUUUAACUUUGUUACUGAUUUAACUAAAUAAAUUAGUGGAGAAGAUAAUAAAAAAUUAAACCACGUGGUAUUAAAGUGAAAAAAUAUGAAACCACUGGAAUAGUAUUUAAGUAUUUCCCAAAGAAUAUGAAGAAAUUUUAUUUUACUUGUUUUUCGUAAACGCAUUAAUUGAAAAGUGAACGGGUAGAAAGAUAAAAUAUCGGACAGAGAUGAGGGUGAAAAGACGAAGCAUCAAAAAGUAAGAAGGGGAGAAAGCAAUAGUGAAAAAAGGAACUGCAAAUUCUAUGAAAAAAGAUAUAAAAUAUAAAAAAAAAGUUCCUCUGUACCCUUAUAAAAUCAUUAAUUUCAUAAAUAUCUAUCUAAAAAUUAGAAUAUCAUAUAUACCCCGCCAAAUUUGAAAUACUUUCAAAAAUAACCCUACAAUCAAAUUUCUAUCUAAAUUAAAAUUAAUUAGUAUUUAAAUUCCAAAUUUACCACUAUUAUGUAUUCAAUAGUCAAUUAUUUUAUUUCAUAAAUAUUCUCUAUUAUAUUUAAAAAUUAAGUAAGUAAAAUUCAAUUGAUUUUAAUUUAAAAAAAUUAUUGAUUUUAAUUAAAAAUAAAUAUUUCUAUUUGGUAUAAAUUGUAGUUCAAUUAGCAAUGAAGCAAAAUAAAAUAAAAUUUAACUAUAUUUUAUACCAAGUAGAUAUAUUUAUUGUUAAUUAAAAUGAAUUUUUUUUCAAACUAAAAUCAAUUGAAUUUUACUAAAUUUUUAGUCUGGAAGAGUUUAUUAAUUUUGAAAUAUUAGAGAGGUAAAGUUGGAAUUUAAAUAUUAAUUAACUUUAAUUUUGAUGGAAAUUUGAUUGUAAGGUUAUUUUUAAAAAUUUUUCAAAUUUGACGGGAUAUACAUGAUAUUUUAAAUUUUAGAUAAAUAUUUAUAAAAUUGUCCCUCCAAUAUAGUAGAUUGGUCGGGCACAUGAAGAACGUUACAAUGCUUUUUUUUGGGAAGUCAAAAAACAGGACAAGAAGUGGGUGGGUUUCUUGGCCGGAAUUUUAGGGGAAAGUGAGCAAGAGAAUAUAGAAAAAAACAUAUAUAUAAAAAUAAUAUAUUACACACAUGUAUAUUUGAAUCAUUUUAUCCCGUUGAAUUUAUAAGCGUGACACAUCGGUUAUUAAAAUAAUAAUCUUUGAGACUAUUUUGAUCACUUGUAAAUAAUAUUAAAAAAUUAUGAGAUUUGGUUUGUAAAUAGUUCUAACACAGUAAAUUAUGUCAAACGAAAUCGAUCGUCAAAUCGAAUAUUUUAUUAUUGAAAACAAAUUACAAAUACGGAGGCCUGCAUAGCUUUAAAAGCACGAGACAUAUUCAUACAUUAAUACAUUAACUCUUAUCUUUGAGGGUCAAAGUACCUCGCACCUCAUAAUUUGAGGAGCAAUAUAAUUUAGCCUUCAUAAAUUGAUUUAGUUUAAUUCAUAAAUAAUUUUAAUGAAUUCCAUCAUUUGGAUUAAUUUUAAUUAGUUUAAUUAAUUUUAAAUAAAUAAAUUUUAGUUACCUAUAAAAAAAUUAAAGCUAGAAGACUUGCUAAUGAACUAACAAAAAAUAAUAGGAAUAAUUUUAAGAAUGACCAUUCGUGUGGUUCUAAUUUUAUCAAUACCCCUUUGAAGUUUAAGCAUAACCAAUAUUCUUAUAAACAUUAGGAAUAUUCUAAUAUUCCUAAUAUAAUAUGUGUAAAUUAAUGAGUAGUUAUAAAAUUUCCUUUUUAUCCCCCAAUAAAUUAAAAACUUAGCAAACUUAUCAAUAAAGUAAGCAAUUUUUUAAAUUUUAAUGAGUUUUUUUAAGGCUAAGCAUACUUAAUUAAAAAGUUACACCAUAAUCUCUAAUAUAUAUAGCUUUUGUAAAACAACGUAUAUUUAUAAAUUGAAAAUUUUGAUGGGAUAUAUUAUAUAUGAAAUUUAGGAAGUUGAGAGGGUACAUUGAAAUUGCUUCCAAAAAUAGAUAAAUUUGCAAAAAUAAAAAUAAGAAAUGAGUUAGGCUCCUAUGCUUUGAAAAGUACGGAGGCCUCCGUACUUGUAAGUUGUUUUCGAUGAUGGAGUAUCCGAUUCGGCGAUUAGUUUCGUUAGACAUAAUUUAUGUUAUUGGAACUAUUUAAAAACCAAAUUUCAUAAUUUUUUGACUUCAUUUGUCUGGUAAACGAACGGGUAGACUCAAAAUGAACGGCUGAAAAUAAAAAUUUAAAAAAAAAUAGUGAUAAAAUAUUCAAAUUUCAAAUCGGAAGUAUUAUUCUUACUCUUAAUGUUAUGUAGAAAUUUCUAUUAAGAUUUCAUGUAAUUUGAAUUCUUCUACACCGUUAAACUUUAAAACAUGCCACAUCGGCCAUUAAAAUAGUUAUUUUUGAGACUCUUUAAUCACUUGGUAAAUAAUGUAAAAAAAUUAUGAAAUUUAGUUUCUAAAUAAUUCUAAUAAUGUAGAUCAUGCCUAAUGAAACCGAUCGUCGAAUCAGAUGCUUUAUCAUAAAAAAUAAUAUACAAACACAAAAAUCUCCAUAUUUUUGAAAGUAUAUUUAGUUUUAUAUAUUUGAACAGAAGCUUCUAAAUCUUUUUAUUUUUUUCUUGUGUCUUUUUAGCAGUUAAUGUUUCUACACGGCAUCUCCACCUGUCGUUUUCUCCAUCACCCUUCCCCUUCAUUAGUUUUAUAUUUAACCCCAUUUCAAUUAUUAUUAGUUUAUAUUAAAAUUUAUGUUAUUAUUAUUCUAUAUUUACAUCUAAAAUUUUAAAGUGUACAGAUAUAGCGCACAGGAUUUUCGAUUGUGACUCAGUCCAAGCAAUCUUUCGUUAUUUCAAAAAUGACUCGAACCAACUCAAUCUUUCAUUAUUGCAAACGUGACCCCACUCAAUCUAAUCUUUUACCACAUGAGAGAAUAUUGAUUUUUUUAAGUCAAUAAAUUCGCCUUCACCUUUCGUACUAUCAAACUGAAAAGAUCGAUUGUAGUACAAAUUGUAUUACAAAUUGUAAUCGAGAGAUCGAGAGUACGUCGAAACAAACAAAAAUUAGCUAAGGAUUUAAGAAAAAACGCACCUCCGGUACACCACUUAAUAGGUAUGAAAUGAUUAGUGUCACAAUCAAGGUAAUCAAAUCAUAUUCAAUAAUCCACCAUUAAUGAAAUUGAAAAAGUUUACUAUUUAUAUUCAGCAAUUUGAUUGGUUAGAAAUAUCAAUACGACCGCAACCCUCUAGCCAUAGAUAAUUUUUAUUUAAUAGUCAUAAAUUUAAUAACCUCUAAUAAAAAUCAUAAAAACAAGCAAUACUCAUACUUUUCUUUUCUUUUCUUUUCUUUUCUUUUUUUUUGUCGCAUUUUUAUUGACUCCAAAGUCCACUGCCCAUGCCCACCGUGGUUCUAUUAUAUAUAAUAUACAACAUCACAAUACACGAACCCCCUUAUCAUCUUCAUCAUCAUCAUCAUCUCCUCCGCCUCUUCCAACAGAGAGAGAGAUCGCCAUGGAUGAGCUCGGGGCGAACGCGGCGAAUAGCGCGCCGUUGACGCCGCUAGGGUUUCUGGAGCGCGCGGCGUUGGUGCACGGGGAUCGGGCGUCGGUGGUGUACCGCGACACGGUCUACACCUGGGACCAGACCCUGCGCCGCUGCCUCCGCCUCGCCUCCGCCCUCGUCUCCCUCGGCAUCUCCCCCGGCGACGUCGUACGUACUUACUUACUCUCCCCUAUUCGUUUCGCUUCUCCUUAAUUUGUUGAUUCGAUGGUUCCCUCGAUUGCGAACACGCCCCCCUCCCCCACCCAAAAUCCCAUCUUUGUCUAUAUUUCCACGUUCCCCCAAACCACACCUUUUCCCCUUGUUCCUCCACUUUCAAGAUCUCAAACUUUUCCCGCCCCAAUUUCAUCCCCAGAAUCGCAAAAUCCCAUCUUUUUUGUCGUUCCCCCGACCCCGAUCUCUCAAUAUCUUGUUUUUUUUUUUGUUUUGGUUUGCUACAGGUCUGUCUUUUCCCAACAAAAAUCUCACCUUUCUCCCAAUUCCACCCCCAAUUCCGUCUCUUCUCUCCCCUGCUCUCCGCAUCUGUUUAAUCUAAUCUAAUCUAAUCCAAAAUACUUGAAUUGAGUUAGAAUUGAAUCGAAUUGAAUUGAAUUGAUGAUGAUGGACAGGUGUCUGUGUUGGCGCCGAACAUACCGGCGAUGUACGAGAUGCACUUCGGCGUGCCGAUGAGCGGCGCCGUGCUGAACACCAUCAACACCCGCCUCGACCCCCGCACCGUCUCCGUCCUCCUCCGCCACUCCUCCUCCAAGCUCGUCUUCGUCGACCCCCUCUCCCUCCCCAUCCUCCUCUCCGCGCUCCCCCUCCUCCCCGCCUCCCACCCCCCUCCCCUCGUCGUCCCCAUCGACGACCCCUACGAGCAGGAACAAGCCCCUCCGCUGCACUCCUUCCCCACCACCUACGAGAGGCUCCUCGAGGAGAAGGGCGACCCGGGGUUCCAGUGGGUGCGGCCGCGGAGCGAGUGGGACCCCAUGGUGCUCAACUACACCUCGGGGACGACCUCGGCGCCCAAGGGCGUGGUGCACUGCCACCGCGGCCUGUUCCUGAUCACGGUCGACUCGCUCGUGGACUGGUCUGUGCCGCCGCACCCGGUGUUCCUCUGGACGCUGCCCAUGUUCCACGCCAACGGCUGGUCCUUCCCCUGGGGCGUCGCCGCCGUCGCCGGCACCAACGUCUGCCUCCGCCACCGCUGCACCCACAUGUGCGGCGCCCCCGUCGUCCUCAACAUGCUCGCCAACUCCCCCCCCUCCCCCGACUCCGACUCCCCCGACUCCGCCCCCGUCAACGUCCUCACCGCCGGCGCGCCCCCGCCGGCCGCCGUGCUCCACCGCGCGGAGAAGCUCGGGUUCCGCGUCAGCCACGGGUACGGCCUCACGGAGACGGCGGGGCUGGCGGUGUCGUGCGCGUGGAAGGGGGAGUGGGACCGGCUCCCCGCGCUGGAGCGCGCGCGGCUGAAGGCGCGGCAGGGCGUGCGCACGCCCUGCAUGGCGGCCGUCGACGUGGUGGACGCCGCCACCGGCCGCCCCGUCCCGCGCGACGGCGCCGCCGUGGGCGAGAUCGUCCUCCGCGGCGGCUGCAUCAUGCUCGGCUACCUGAAAGACGCGGCGGCGACGGCCCAGGCGAUCCGCGGCGACGGGUGGUUCUACACGGGCGACGUCGGCGUGAUGCACCCGGACGGGUACCUGGAGAUCAAGGACCGGUCCAAGGACGUGAUCAUCAGCGGCGGGGAGAACAUCAGCAGCGUCGAGGUGGAGUCGAUCCUCUACGGGCACCCGGCGGUGGACGAGGCGGCGGUGGUCGCUCGCCCCGAUGAGUUCUGGGGGGAGACCCCCUGCGCCUUCGUCAGCCUCAAGAAGCAGCAGGAGAAGAAGCAAGAACAGCCGACAGCAGAGGAGGUGAUCGCGUGGUGCAGGGAGCGGAUGCCGCACUACAUGGUGCCGAAGACGGUGAUCUUCGAGGACGAGCUCCCGAAGACGUCCACGGGCAAGAUUCAGAAGUACGUGCUCCGCAGCAAGGCCAAGCAGAUGGGCCCCAGGACCACCAGCAGCCGUAUGUGAUGAUAUAUAUAUAUAUAUAUAUAUAUAUAUAUAUAUAUAUAUAUAUAAAAUUGAGUGGCUUUACUUGCACAAAAUAAUAAGAACCAAAAAAAGAAAAGAAAAGAAAAAAAAAGAGAGAAUACAAAUAAAUUUUACUGUCUUUUUAUAAUUAUUAAUUAUGCGACUCGCUGGAUGUAUUUUUAUUUUGAAAUUACUGGUCAUGUUUGUUUUCUUGUAAUGUAUACUUUCCCAUCAAUUUAGUAGAAUCGAGUGUAUUUGUAAGUAUAAUUUUACUCAUUAUUAUUAUUACUAUUUUUAUAUGUAAAGACAACUGGUGUGUUGACAAAUAUAAUAAAUUAGUCUAUCAUAAAAAAUACGCUUAAAAACUUUUUAUCAAAGAUUUGCUUCACGCUCAUUCAGGUCAAGUCUUCGCCAGUAAAUAAGUGGUUGUUAGUGUUUUUCUAUUUUUGAUAUUUUUUUAAACGAAAAAUAAGGGAGCACAACUUCUAAUAUAACAAUAGAGAGAGUUUUGAUUGGUAUAAAUAGAACUUAUAAGCAACACACUUGUUAAUGUAUCAGCAGCACAUGUACAUAUGAACAAUAUCUUAAAAUCUCAAAAUAUAUUCCUUUUUUCUUUUUGGGUUUAAUGCCCAAUAUUUUAGCUUUUGUAAUUAGGUGCUGGGAGGGGAGUGAGUGACAGUUAUGUUGACCAAGUGGUGCAUUCUUAUUUCUUAGUCUAUGAUAUAAUAUUAUUUAUUUAUUUAUUUAUUAUUUAUAGAGGAUAACAAUAACAAUGUUAUGAUAUGGCCUAAGGUAUCGUUUGGUUCGGGGAUAAGCAAAAAGUAGGUAUUCUAGGUAUUCCAGGGAUAGGUAUAAAUUGAGGUAUAAGCGAGGAUUAGAUCAAUUUUGUGUUUGGAUGAAAAUUGAGUUAUUGCUGGGAAUAAGAAAAAUAGCGUUUGGUUAGGUAAGAUGGGAUAAGAAUUAAAGUUGGUAGUUAAAAAUAAAAAAUAACGAUAUUAUCUUUUUCUUUAUAUUAGAAUUUAAACUUUUAUAUUUUAUAUUUAUAUUUUAAAAGUUAAAAUAUAAACUUUUAAUUUAAAAAUUAAAAUUAAAAUUUUAAAUUUUAAAAUCUCAAAUUUAUAAUUUUAAAAAAUUAAUUUUUUAAAGUUUGAACAUUAAAUUUAAGAUGAAAUUUUAAUUUAAAAAAUAACAUAUCAAAUUCUAAAUAUAAAAAAAAUUAAAAUAUCAAAAUUUUAAAUUUUAAAUUAAACAAUUUAAAAUUUAAAUUUUUAAUUUUGUAAUUUUAAAAUUAUAAAUUUUAAUUUUUGAAUUUAUAAUUUAAAUUUUAUAAUAAAUUAAAAAUUCUCUCUCUCUCUCUCUCUCUCUCUCUCUUCAUGGGUGGAACAAGCAGGGUGAUCCUAAAAAUACUUUCUUUUAAAUUCAAAAAUUAAAAUUUUUAAUUUUAAAAUUUAAAAUUUAAGAUCAAAUUUAAAUUUUAAAAUAUAAAUAUCAAAUUUAUAUUAAAAAAUAUAAAAUUUAAAUUUAAAAUUUAAAAUUUAAAAUUUAAAAUUUAAAACUAUAAACUUGAAUUUUGAAAUUACCAAUUAUAAAUUUUUAAAACUAAAAUUAAAAUUAAAAUUUUUAAUUUUUAAUUUUUUUAAAAAAAUAGGGGUGGGAA
RNAcentral lists this long non-coding RNA (301508 nucleotides) under Ananas comosus (pineapple). RNAcentral's name for it is "long non-coding RNA (ACOM_LNC012555)". Lineage: Eukaryota; Viridiplantae; Streptophyta; Magnoliopsida; Poales; Bromeliaceae. The record is from RNAcentral.